Molecule: long non-coding RNA, 312021 nt
Filed under: Capsella rubella
Lineage: Eukaryota; Viridiplantae; Streptophyta; Magnoliopsida; Brassicales; Brassicaceae
Description: long non-coding RNA (CRUB_LNC001102)
Rfam family: MIR391 microRNA precursor family (bases 173156-173251)
Source: RNAcentral
GGUUUUCUCAGAUUUAAUUAGUAGUUGCUAUUUCAAAACUGAGAAUUUGACACUAUUUUUUUAAAGCUCUGAUGGAAGUUUCCAUCAAUUAGUAAUGAAGUUAGUUUAGAGGUUAGUUUCUGACCAAAAACACUCGUAUAAGUUUAAAACCAAAAACAAAACAAAAUAAAAUUGUAUGAUAUAAUAAGAAAACUAGAAAAGAAAAGUGAGUAAAACGGGAGACCAUAAAAGAAGUCUACACUGGUAGAGAACUUUGGUUUCCUUGCAAGUCGUCAUCAGAGUCUUCGGCACAGAAACAUACACAGCCACAGCAAAGGGCCAUGAACACAAUGGAAGAGGGUAACCCGACGUAGAGAGAGAGUAUGGGAGAGAUACAAUUGAGGAGAAAGACGACGAGAGCAAUCCCUAAGACAUGACUCACGCAUUCAACUACGAAGACACCGUAACCUUCGGGUUUCCCGGGAUUUGUGGGUGCCUGGAGCCCGACAAAAGUGGCAUUGAUGUACAUGAAUGCCAAAAAAAAUCCCAAAAUUUUUUGGGAGUAGGUCACGGGGAUCUUGUUUAGCCUUAUGUACAAGAACUCUGCAAGAGCCGCCGACAAGAUGAGUAUGUGCAUGGUUAAGACGUAACGGAUUUGCUUCGUGGACCUGCAUGCGUGACAUAUAUACCACCACCAAAUUAAAUAAUAUAAGAUAACAUAUGCAAUCAACCCAUGCAUUACUUAGUUUGGAAAUCAAAUUAUAUAGCUAGCCUACUACACAAAGAAAUAUAAAAUAAUAAUCAACGAUCCACUCACAAUUUACAUCCAGGUUCAGCCAUCGUUUCGCUCUUGUCCAUGAUGAUGAAUAUGGUACAACCUCCUCUGUAAUUACACAUAUUGUUUAGUCGAUACUUGUAUAUAUAUAGUGUACCACGUUCAACAUCCUAUUCCAACUCGAACUCGGAUGUCAAUUAAUAUGUUUCUGUUUUAAUUUUUUUGCGGGAUAUAUGUAAAUCUUUUACGAUUAUUAUAUUUUGACAAGUUUGGGAGUUCGUAUGUAUCUAGUACAAUUCUCAAUAUAUGCAGUUUCUCUUCUUUUCUUUUUUUUUUUCUUUUUCUAAUUUAAUAAAUGAAGAGACUGAGAGAGUCAUAUUACAUUGUGGAGCAAUAUAGUAUUGCGAUGCGAUGGUAUAUUUUUUGGUAUGAUGGAAAUGAUAUAUUUAAGUCACUUUUCAAGACUUCGAAAUCAUACUCUACAAUGUAGUCACGUACGUACGUUUCAUUGACUAAGUUUGCACGAAAGUUGUUUCGAAUGUACGAUUCUUGUUUAAGAAAAUACUCAAGUCACUCCUAUCUGUGGUAUCUUGUCAUAUAGAGAAGUAGAACCUGAAGACUAUAAAGAAAAAAUAAAGUUGAUACUUCUAAGUGUACUAGAGUCUAGAGAUAUCAAUCCACAACCAGAAUGGCUUUAUGUGUUCACAGUUCAGGUUCAGGUUCUCAUAUGAUGAUACACUAGCUAGCUAAUGCUAACAACUAUAUAUAGCUAAUCCUGAAAUAACUUUUAGAAUAUAUACCAACCUUGGCAAAUAUUUAAAGAAACAAUUCUUUUUUUUUUUAAUUAGCUUUGAUUUUUUCCACGUCAUCAAUCUCGUAAUGCGUAAAAUAAUCGAGUCCCACAUUACACGUAUGCUAAAUAUGCCACGUGAUCAAUCUCGAAACAAUAUCUUCUUUGAUCUCCUCUCUCUGUUCUACCACCUCCCCAAAAGUCCCAAUCUUUCAAUCUCUUCUUCUCUGUUUCUCUCUAUAAAGUUUUUUAUUUAUUUUAUUUUUAAUAAAAAUUUUCUAUUAUAGAGCAAUUGGAUAUAGUUCUGUCGUAAAAGGAAAUAUUGAUACGAAUCAAAACCAGAUUAAAUACUAAACAAACCAGAUUAAGCAAAAUCUGUUCUUUUUUGAGGUUUAAAAGUCAGACAUGAUGAGAGGUUUUGGUGGUGGUGGUGUUCUUCAUCUAUGGAUAAGCUUUAAGCUACAGAGGUCUGCUUUUUUUUUGUUUUUCUUUUGUCCCUUUGACAAGCUGGUGCUGUUUCAAUUUGGUGCCUAUCUCGUUUAGUAUACCGUAGCUUAUAGUUUCAUUUUGUACCAUUUGCUUAUAGUUUGAUAUUGUAUCUGGGUUCUGAAAUUUUCUAAGGACUAUGGGAAAGUAGGAGAUCUAAGAAAUCAAAGAGACUGUGCUCAGUGUUACUCAUCUCUUCUUCUUUAGUUGUUUUCCAUCUCUUGUUGCCAAGUACUGUGAUAAUUUUGUAUUGGUACAUUCAUAGCUUUUUGAUUUCAGAAGCAAUAACUUUCGGAUUGUUUUUAAAAGCUGAUUGUGUUACUAUUGAAAUUUGAAUUUGCCUCUGGCUUGUUUAGCUUUUAUUUGGACAAAGCUUGUUAAUUUAUCCAAAUUCAGGUUUUUAUUUGGUUCUGGUGUGAUUUUCUUACGAAAUGUUGAUUUUUUUUUUGUUUUUUUUUUUGUUUCUCUUAUUCGGUUGAGGUUUUGCUGAAGGGAUUAAAAUAAGUUUGGCGAAAGAAGAUAUGUGCAAAUGUUAUGUCAGUGUAGAGGGGAAGUUUCUGCAAAAUCUUAGACGUUAUUUGAUGCUGCUUCUGUUCUAUCUUGUUCAUGGAGGCUGGUCUUAACACAGUCAUCAGACAUUAGUAUUCUAAAAUGUGUUUUAAUAACAACGAAACUGGUGAUGAAGUUGAAACCGAGAGGCAAGUGUUUGGUUCAUCCGAACAAGAUGAAUUUCGAGUUGGAGAUACUACUGGAAAUGCCAACAAUUUGAUACAGAUUUCUCAACAACAACCACCGCUAGCUCCUGUUGUGAAGUGGGAGAGGUAUCUCCCGGUUAGAUCACUUAAGGUUCUUCUCCUUGUUUAGCUAUCACAUUGUUGUUUUCGACUAAUUGUUGUAAAUUUGGAAACAUUUCAUCAGUCACUGCAGCUUCGAAUGUCCUUGAAGCCUGGAGAAUCCUAGAAGACGAGAAGAGUUGCAUUGAUCUUGUAUUAACAGAGGUUGUCAUGCCUGUGCAGUCUGGAACUUGUCUGUUGUCCAAGAUUACGAGCCAUAAGACACUAAAGAACAUCCCUGUUAUAAGUAUUUACUUAAUCUUCAUUAAAUUUUCUGGACCUAGUUUCAGUAUGUGAUGCUCAGUUAGUGUAACUCAAGAUGUGAUGUUCUCUUUUUUUUUUUGUAGUGAUGUCAUCUCAUGAUUCUAUGGUUCUGGUCUUUAAGUGUUUGUCGAAUGGUGCUGUUGAUUUUCUCGUGAAACCCAUUAGAAAGAACGAACUAAAGAAUCUUUGGCAACAUGUCUGGAGAAGAUGUCACAGUGUAAGUGUUCUGCUUUGAUUACUUUUUAUUUUUGAAGUUACUCUGUGGACUGUGUUCUUAUUUUUUGUUUAUGAGUUUCUUUAUAUACCAGUCUAGCGGAAGCGGAAGUGAGAGUGCAAUACAGAACAAGAAGCCAGUGAAAACUGAAAGCUCUGAAGGGUCAGAAAACGAUGCCAGCAUUAGUGAUGAAGAUCAGGGGAAUGAAAAUGGGAGUAAUGGUUUGGGUGACCGAGAUGGUGGGAGUGAUACCGGGAGUGGAACGCAGGUAAUAUGUUUCCAUGGCAAUAGAGAACAGUUAUGUCUGAGGAAUCUGUUUGUGAGUUUUAAUUGGUUUUCAAUUAUAAUAACAGAGUUCUUGGACCAAAAGAGCUGGUGAUAUCAACAGCAUCUCGCCUUCAUAUCAAUUUCCCGAUGGAACCAAUAUGAACCCGGGAACUAAUGGCAACAGAUUGGAUGAUGUUAAUAAACUGAAGGAAAUUGAAGAUCAGAAUGAACAGAUAGGUAAGAGCAUAAAUUUAUUGGCCAAUUAAAAUCACAAUACACUGGUUUUGGAGAAACAUUCCGGAUAAUUUCUCUGUUGUACUCUAACUCAGAACGAUGACUUUAGAUGAUUUUGCAGUAGGAAUGGGAUCGCAGGAAGGAAUGUUUAUAGGUAAAAAAGUUGAAGAACGAGGAAACCAUGACAAGGAUGCAAAAAAUCAUGUUCAAGCUUUGGAGAGAAACAAUGAUAACUCACAAGUAGAAAGCAAAGCACCUUCAUCUCUCCCAGAAGAUUUGCCAAGAGAGGCUGGGGAUUACAGAAUCGGUGAUCAAAGUGUUUUGAGGCAUUCCAGUCACUCUGCAUUCUCAAAGUAAGUUCUUGACCUCAACUGACAAAUCAAACCUGUGACUGAUUUGGAGUUAUUGUUUCGUGUGUGAUAUGCAGGUACAAUAACUGUGCUACUUCUGCUUGUAAGGUAUUUUAUGAUGUGUGGUGCUGUCUUUAAAAUCUAUGACAGUUUUCAUCAACAAGCUUUAAUUUUUGCUGACUUAGGCUCCAGAAGAAAAUGUGGGAAGUUGUUCUCCUCAUGACAGUCCUAUUGCAAAACUGAUAGGUUCGGGUUCAAGCAGUGAUAAUCCUUUGAAUCAGCAGUCUAGUGGAAGCGAAAGAUCAGCACAAAGAGAAGCUGCUCUGAUGAAGUUUCGCCUCAAACGUAAAGAACGAUGUUUUGAGAAAAAGGUAGCUCCAAACAAGCUUAAGCUCUAGUUUUUUGAGGCAAAAAUUAUGCGCCUGUUUGUUUUCUUUAGGUUAGGUACCAUAGCAGGAAGAAACUAGCUGAGCAACGGCCUCGCGUCAAAGGUCAAUUUAUUCGCAAGUAAGUCUGAAUCCACUUACCAUAUCACUCUCUGAAUAUACAAAUUUAUUCCUCAUAUAGUAAUUUACUGACGUAGAGAAACCUUUUUUUUUAACAUUAGGAGGGAUGAUACUAAAUCAGGAAGUGAGUGUCCAAGUAGUGACGACAGCUAAACAACGAAAUUGGUAUAAAAGAGAGAAUAGAUAUACACACUUAGAAGAUCUAAAGAACAAAAAAAAAAGUUUCACUAAAGUGGAGGGCAUAUAUAUACAGUAUAUACUUUUUUCAAAUAAAGUCUUACAAAGACUAUUGUCAUGAGAAUUUUCUUGUGUAUUAGUGUAUUGUUUAAAUAUCGUAUUUCUACAAACAUAAUAAUGUUGCUACAGAAUUUUCUUGUGCAUUAGUGUAUUAGUUCCUUCAAUCAUUUUACUCAGUAAUCUCUGAUUUAUAUUUAAAAAAAAAUAUUCAUUGAGUAUCCCUUAAUUACACUUUUUUUUUUGUUAACUUCCAUGCCGUUAAGAAACGAACCAGUAAACAGAGUAAAAAAAACAGAGUAUUAUUAAUUUACCAAUUUAAUAAAUAAACAGAGCAUACUCUCACCUCUCUCUCUCUAUAUAUAUAUACAUUUUUUUCCGCCGAGAUCGUUUAGUGCUCAUCAUUAACUCACUCUCUCUCGUUCUCUUUCUCGCUCAAGUUUUCUAGUUGAGAGUCUGUUUAAUUACGUUCUUUUCCGGGAAAAAGGUUUCUCGAGAAACUAAAUAGAAAAGCCUCAAGAAAGAUUUCUCUUCGCUGAUCGUUACGAUGAUGAAAGGUUUCUUCUGCUGUGUCAAAGGAGAAAGCUCAAAUAGCGCAGCGCAGAAUCAAGUGUUUGACGACGAACCAUCUGGGCGAAACGAGUUCCUCAAUCGUAUUUGGAGAGAUGAGCUCCAGAUCCCUCAAAGUCCUGGAGUUGAAGGUUCCGCUUUCGUUUCAAAUCUUUAGGAAUCGAGAUUUCUUGUGUGUUUAUGGUUUCUUGUACCUUAAGCAAAUCUGUUCUUUAAGAGUUACUUGUUUCUUCGUUUUGAUCUCGUCACUUUCUCAUGCAAGUGAAAGUCGUAGAGUUCUUCUUGUCUCGAAAUUAACUGAAUCAUUAACGUCAUAUUAUAGUCGUGUACCACAAGAAAUUGAUUUAGGGUGAUCUUGUUCAAUCUAUCUCUAACGUUUUAGUGAUUCAUUUUGCAGAUCCGAAUGCUAUUCUUUUCCCUAUAAACCCACCUCUACCUGCCAAUUGUGGACCAUCAUACCAAUGGCGCGAGAUCUUAGACGGAACCCUAAACUUCCGGCAAACGUGUUUACUCGGCAGAGGCAACUUCGGCGAUGUCUAUCGCUGCGAAUUCAGAAGAACUAACCAGGUAUAGACCCAAAAGUCGUGUCCUUUAUGGUUAAAUGUCGAAACCCGGUUUCUAAACUUUUAAUUGAUUAGGUUGGAGCUGUGAAGAUUCAGAAUCGAGACAAUCCAGCAGGUCAUCAAGAGUUCUUGGCAGAGGUUACAACGUUACAUGAAGCUAAUCACCCAAACGUGAUUAAACUUCUUGGAAAAUGUUACGGCCGCAGAAACCGUGCUAUUGUUUACGAGUUCAUGCCCAAUGGCUCUCUUGAACGCCACAUCUUUGGUAAAGAAAUACUCAAACAAACCUUUAUUUAGUCUGGUGUUUAAACUUACUUAACUCCUUCAUUAACAUUCGGUUUUUUGUAGAUUACGCGAGGCAGCGUCAGAGAGUGCGACCUCAGGGUAUAGAUCAGCCAACUAGGCGUUUGGAUUGGGAGACGAGGAUGAAAAUUGCCGUGGGUGUAGCUGAAGGUCUGCUUUAUCUACACCAGGAGCUCAAAGUAAUAAACCGAGAUAUCAAGGCCGGGAAUAUUCUCCUUGAUGCGGAUUUUGUGCCGAAGUUGAGUGAUUUUGGGUUGGCCACGAAGAUCAGUUUUAAUGGGAGCUUGGAGAUACAUAAACAAGCACGAGCCCUCAAGGUUAAUAAGCAAUGUGCUGCACCAGAAUCUGAGUUUUGUGGGUUGGUUUCUACGAAGACCGAUGUAUACGGUUAUGGUAUACUAAUUCUGGAACUUUUUACCGGUUCAGAAGCCUACGACUCACAGAGACCUGUUGGGAAUGGUAAAAUCACUGACUGGGUAAGAUUUCUGCAAUUUAUAUCUUUUAAUACUUGUGAUACAAAAACUGAGCAUAGGAAUAUUAAUUUUGCAGUUGAUAUCCAAAUUAGAAAUAAAAGACAUUGGUUCACUGGUGGUAGAUGUUGCACUGCGCAGAAGUUACUCCCCAGAAGGGUUGAGAAAAGUGAUUUGCAUUGCCUUAAAGUGUCUUGCACCUGAACCUGAAGCACGGCCUACAAUGGAGGAAGUACUCUUGAAUGUUUCUGAGGCUGCUCUAUUUCAGGUCCGAGAGAUGCCCCGGGUGUUAAGGACUGGUUUCUUGACUCCUUAAUAUUUGCUCAGGCUGUUCAGGCUUUUAUAUGGGUUUUUGGGUUUUUUUCAGAAACAUAUUAUAGACUUGGUUUUGUAACGGAUGGUUUUGUUACUGGUUCUACUAGCUAAUUUGAUCAUGUUGUGAUUUUUUUGAGACAAUACCAUCUCAAGUUGUUAAUCAACGUUUAAGAUCUUUUGUCUUCAUUUAUCUGUUUAUGAAACUUCUUAAAACAGAGAAGAGGUAAAAAUAACAGACACGAUCUUGUUGGAGUUUUGUUAGAUGGUUAAAAGCCUUUUUGAUUUCGGAUGGAAGAACCCACCAAAUCAAUUAUAUCAAUGCAUGUGAUUCUGCAACUUUACAAAUCAAGCAUGUGAAAGGUCUUAACUCUUGAUCAUAUUUACCAAGAAGGAAACUCUAUAUAUGGUUUGAAUCAGCAGUUUAGUGGUUAUCAUCACCGUAAACAUGGAGUCAUCUUCCUUUAGGGUGGAUGAUUCUGUCUCAGAAAUGAGUUUCCAAGUAGUGACGACUCAGUUGAACACCAAAACUGGUAUAAAAGAGAGAUUUUACUUCAAAGAUCUGAAGAACAAUAAGAUAGUUUCACUAACUUUAAGAGAGAGUUUGGCUAUACUCUUAGAAAGAUUAGUAAGUACUCUGGUUUAAGUAUUGUAUUUGGCUAUAGUGAUAUCAACUAUAGCCAAAUACUUGUAGUUCUGGUUAUUUAGUGGUAUCUAGUCUCUUAUCUCACUCAAGUCUAGCCGUGUGGUAUUAUGAUUGCAGAAUAUUGAUUGAAUAGUAUUUGUCUGCAUCAAACCAUUGGAACAAAAUUGUUGAAAAGUGUAAGAUACUGUGUGAGACUCCAUGGAUAAUGAAAAUUGUUUAAUGGGUUCUUAUACAUCCAAUACAGCUGAAAACAAAAGGAAAGGAAUGACAUUUCGGUUCUUCUACAUAAAAAGUGCUUCUGAUCGCAAUACAUCAUCCUCUAUAGCAAAAUAACAAUGACAACAAAAUACGUCAAAAGCUAUUCCAUGGGAUCUUUCACUGUUUCACAAAACGGAUUUUUAUCUUCUCCAAAGAAAAGCAAUACAGGUGAAGCUAAGGUUCUGUGACCAAAACCACAUUAUAUACACAAGGAUUGGAUUCCUGCUGUUAGCUUCAUCAAAAGUAAAAGCUAUUCAGCUCUGCCUUGGUUUUUCUCGCCGUGAAAAGAUGAGCCUUACGAUAGAAUAUAGUACCGCCUUAAUGCAAGAAACCACAAAAUUCCAACAUGAGGAUGGCCAGUACCACGGAUAUAGCAGCCUGAAAAAUAGACUAAUGAGAUGCCUCGGGUAACGCCCGACCUGCAAGACAAGAGUAUCACAAUGUUACAAGCCAAGCCUACUCCAUAUUUGUGAUCUACUUCCAAGCGUUUGAGUGGAUUUGUGACUGUUUUGCUGAGCUUUGGGUCCUUCUAGAUAUAAGCGAUUUUUAAAAUUCUUAGACUGUCUUUAAAAACAGUGCACUUAUGGAUCUCGCAGUCAAAACAAUGCGUUUAAAUCUGAUUUUUUUAUACACAAAGAAAUACUCACAGGGAAAGAGGGAAUCCAAAGAAUCCCCAGGCUGCAUGACGGACAGCUCGUUGUCGGGUACAUUGGACCUCCAGGAGAUGUAAAACUAUAUAAACAUGCCUUUAACCUCGUGCUGGUGGUCAUUCUCAGUUCCAUACCUGCAGAUGUAAUUCAACACUGCUUAUACUUUGAUUCCNNNNNNNNNNNNNNNNNNNNNNNNNNNNNNNNNNNNNNNNNNNNNNNNNNNNNNNNNNNNNNNNNNNNNNNNNNNNNNNNNNNNNNNNNNNNNNNNNNNNAUUUUUUGGUAAAACACCACUUUUAAAAUUUACCCCAUUUUCAAACUUUAUCAAAAAAUACUCAAAUUUUUUAAUUUAUCCAAAUAUGUAUGUAAGCUUAUUUACACUCAAAUCUAGGUAAUGUCAUGCGCAUGCACAGAUUGUUGUAUAUUAAAUUAAUUAGUUUAAAUUUAUUUAAUAAUUAUAGAAAUAGAAUAAAUCAAUUUUAAUAUCAAUGAAAUAUUUACACUUUAUUUAUUUAAAUCAUACAGUAAGAGAAUACAUCUAUAUCUCUUGAGUUUAUUCACUGAUUUAUUGUUCAAUUUUUGUAGUAAUUUUAUUCCAGUACUUUUGAGCAUUUUUAGGUAAAACAAUAAUAUUGCUAAUGAUAAAAAUAUAAACUUACUAUGAUUUUGAAUCCCAAACGAUAAUAUUUUGUAAUAUACUAUUUAAUAUAUUUUUUUCAUAUAAACUCACACAUAACCUAAAUUAUUUAGUAAUUAAAUCUAAACUAUGUUGAAAGUAACAAAUUAUAUAUAUUUCCUAUAAAAUCAUAUGAAGUGCAAUCAAAGUUUAUUAAAAAUCAUUUUUUAUUUCCUAGGUAAUCAAAAUGUGAGAGAGACUAUAGAUUUUUCGGGGAGAUGUCUAGGUGUUGGGACUCGAUACCACCUGCCGACUGAGCUCUCAAGGAGGGACAGAGAAGCGGGAAUUAAGCCAGACCUUGAGAUUGAUGCAUUCAUGAAAUCCAUUGCCAUAUCAGAGCGCUACUUUUAUUCAAAUCAUACAAUAUAAUCAUACAGACAUAUUUCUUGAACUUGUUUUAUUAGUAAUAAAGUGUGAAUUUAAUGUAUAAAAAUGUAGAUUAAAUGUGUUUUUUGGUUUAAAUAUAAUUAAAUAUUGCAUUACCUAAUGGACCAAUAAAAUUCAAAGUUAAUAAAAUUUAUAAUGAUCAUUAUCUUAUUAAAUGUUGAAUCACGAACGUAAUAUAAUGAUUAUUAUUACAAUUUAAUUGUAUUACAAUUUUUUCAUAAUUAUAUAACAAAAAUUUAUUUUGUUAAAAAAUUACAUAAUUUUAAAAUUAAAAUAAAUAUACAUGAAUAUGUGAAAAAGAAAAAAACAUCUAAAGUUAAAGAAUGAAGAUGGUUUCUUUAGCUUGAUUUUAUUAUUGUGCAAUGGUCGGGAAUCAAAUUAUUUGAAUCCCAUCAAUAAAAUAGCUUUCUUAUAGCCAUAAAAUAUUAUUAUACAUAUGUAUUAUACAUUUAAAAAGUUAUAAAAAUGAAGAAAUACAUAUAAACAAAGAAGAAAUAAAAUUGAAAACAAAAGUUUAAACCAAAUAAUUAAUCAAACUCUUACAAUGAUAUCUUAAUUUAGUUGUCAACCCAUGCAAGAACUUUUUAAAAAACAAAGAAAAUAAUUAAGAUAUGAGAUAUGGUGGAGGAGGAUGUGAGAAUGGUUAUUUAUAGGAUAAGAAGUGAUGUAAGUUACAUUUUGAAAAUAAUUAAAUUAGAAGAGUCAUAAUUAUAAUAUAUAGUGUGUUUAAUUGAAAUUCAAUAAAGAAAAUCAAUAGUCAAUUGAAAAUUUAUAUAACUUUCAGUUACAUUUUAGUAGUAAAGUGUGAAUUUAAUGUAUAAAUUAAUGUAUAUGAUUAAAUGUGCUUUGGGAGAGAGAUUAGAUAAUGAUUGCUUCCUUCUUUUUUUAAAAUAUAUAAAUCAAUGAAUGAAUGGGGUCUGUGGAUUUAAAUCCCCUAUAUAGUAAAAGAGAAGUACAAAAAAUUUCUCGGGUCGGUUUUUGUUAAGAAAUUAACCCGAUUUACUAUUCGGAUCCUUUCCUUAAUAUUUGUUCGAAAUUAGUGAUGUUUAAUCGGACACCAAUGCUAAUAAUCUAAAAUGGGCCUCAAUUUUGGGCCUUCCACGGACAUUUACCAAACACAACGACAUGCCUUCAAUUUAGUAAAUCGUAAUAUGGAUAACUUUAAAAUAAGGUAUACUAUAUUAUGCCAUAACUGUAUUUGAAUAGUUAGAGUAUAAACGGUAUAGUAUACAAUACUAACAAUAUUAGUAUACCAACCAAAACAAGAAGUUAUGAAUCAACGUAAUAUAGUUAUUACGAUUGUUAUCAUAAAAAAAAAAAAUUAUGCCAUAACUGUAUUUUAAAUUUAGAAGCUAAUUUGUACACUCAUAUUAUAUAAGAAUUUAAAAUUUCUUAUUUUUCAAUUAUACUCAUUAUAUGUCAUGAUUCAAUUAUAUAUAUUUAAUUAUGCUUCUAUUUUUUCAUUAUUAGUCAUUUUUCAUGAUUCUUUUUAAAAUAGACGGGUCUUUGCGGGUUGGUUCGCCAUAACAAACAUUGUAAGUAUGUAAUUUUUGUAUACACGUUAUUUUAUUUUUUUAUUUAAAUAAUUUAUUCAUUUUCGAAUAGACACUUUUUCCAAAAAAAUAUUAUGUAGACCCUACAUACACAAAUGAUGAAUACACAAAAUUACACAUAUGAUAAAACACGUUAAAAAUAAAAUAAACUCGAAAACAUUCCCCCGCGCUGUAGCGCGGGUCCAAAUCUAGUUUAUUAUUAAAUGAUGAAUCACAAACUAAAUUUUAAAAAAAUGUAUUACAAACUUUUGGAAGUAAAGACAGGAGAGGAGAAAAGAGGAUAGAUUGCUGCUUGCUGAGUCAUAGUGAUGCCAUAGAUCAUUAUCCAAAAACGACGUCGUUAUAGCCUAAUUACUGGUGAUGACGUGUCGCAUUGAUAAAGACACGUGUCUCUCAUCUGCCCCUUGUUUAGUUCUAAAAGAAAAUUUACGUCAUUGUUGUUGCGGUUGAGUAGAUUCGUAAUAAGAACGAUUUAUUUUAAUAAUAAUGUAGUGGUUUUUUUUUUGUUUUUCAAAAUUUGUUAUGCAAUACGACAAUUUUAUAUCUAAUUGUAGAAAUUGGAAAGAAAAAAAAAAUUUGAUUCAUCAGAGCUACUCUUGAGAUAUCAUUAUCUGUUAUGGAUCAAGACAUCAUUGUCACUCGUGGCAAAGAGAAAAUGUAUUAAACCCAAUACCAUAAAUGGAGGGAAAAGUAAAGUUUACGCGCAAUGGAGUAAAUUUUGUAAAAAGCUGCUACUUUAUUCAAAACUUGAACCUGACGUUUUGUCUUCGUGAUACUACUGCGGACGGUACAUAUUCUUAUUGGGCCUGGUUAUGGUAUAUUGGACUCAGAAGUUUGGACAUUUUCAUUAGUAUUUUGUUACGAAUUGAAAGCCCAUGCCAAAUUAGCUUCAGCGAAGUGUCAAUGGUGGAAGAUUUGGGUUUACAGCGCACGAGUUAACACAUCUCUUCAAUUGUCAAAUUCAAAAGCAAAGUAAAAAAAAAAAAAAAAAAAAAAAAAAACAGAGUCGAAUCGAGCGGUUUCAUCAAGUUUCAGUCUGAGUUUAACUUGUUUCUUUUUCUAGGUUGAUAUGAUUUCGAUUGAUUUCACAGACAAGAUGUUAUUCCGAUUGAAGCAUCCAAUGGUUCAAGCUGCUAUUAAGGUUUGUUAUUCUCUUAUUUUUAGUUUAGACAUUGUUUUAUUUAAGAAGAAGUUGUGUGUUAUCUCAUUGUUUUUUCUUUGCUUCAACUUGAUGAAUUUUCUAAUGGGCAGCGAGGUAUUUACUUUGAAAUCAAAUACUCUGAUCUUCUCCUAAUGGAUGCACAAACAAGGAGACAAGUUAUAUCGAAUGAUAAGGUGAGAUAUUUUGAUUAAUUAGGCUCAAGUAUCACAUUGUAUAUUUGUUGUAUUUGUAAUGUGACGGUGAACUUGCUUAUACAUUGUCUUGUGAUAUGGGGUAUUUCUAGUUAGUAGUUACUGGUGGAUUGGACUAGGGGGAAGAAUCUGAUUAUAUCAAGUGGUGGCUCCUUCAGUCACAGAAAUUAGAGGUCCAAACGAUGUCAUAAAUCUCAUGUCCUUGCUUGGACUCUCUACUGAAAGAGCCAGAGCUGCCAUUUCAAUAAAUUGUAGGUAUGUAUCCCAAUUCUUCCAGCAAUUGUGUUAUGUGAUUUAGCUAAGCGUACAUUUAUGUCACUGAGGAUGGAUUUUGAAUCGCUUCCAGGAAUACGAUAGCCAAGGUUUUAAAGAAAAAACGGUUCCACAAAGAUGCUUUCAGGGUUGAAUUACUUUCUUCUGGUGAUACUUUCGUUUGAAUUUCCUCAUUUACAAACCUAACCUAACACAAGUUUGGACUAUAGGAUUCAGUCUAAUGUAACCUCAACACAUAAUGUAGGUAAGACGCAAUCUAAGAGGAGUAGAGUUAGAUUACCGCAACUACUGCCUGUUAGGCCAUUUCUACUUCAAUCAAGAUUCAAACAGAUCAGUUUGGAAAAGAAAACAUGGAAGAGCUUGAUCAAUUUACUUUAAAACCAUAGAUAAGUUUUGUGCAUUCUCUUAAUUUAAACCCCACGCAAGUCUCGUGGUUCUCUUUGUGUUGAACCGAUUAUAAAAAAAGUGGGGAAAAAAAGAAAGAAUCUAAUUUAUUCUCAAGCGUUGAUUCUUUGUGUACUCGUCUUCAAGAAAAAAUAAAGCAUUUAAAUUAAAAUAAAUAAUAAAAAGUGAAACAAAACAAUGUUUAAUAAGAGUGGAGAGUCGGUAAAUCUACCGCCGGCCGACAAAAGUCGGAGACAUUAUCGCCGGCGGGCCUACAACUUCCUUCUAUAGCCUUUGCUAAAGAAGAAAGAAUGCUCUCUUUACCUUUUUCAAAACUAUACUUAAAAACUUUAUUUAAAUGUAAUUAAGGACCAUUAUUCUUUACGUUUUUACUAAUUACGUGAUUGGAAAUUUUUUGUUUUUCUUACAAAAUAUAUAUAUAUAUAUCUAGUGUGUGUUGUCUCGGUUGAUUACUUUAGUUUAGUUUACUUGAGUGGAACCUUCUUUGAUAUCUUAAGCAUGUCUAAGGUUAUAAUAUAUGUUUGCUUUUUGGAGAUUGCUAGUACUUACUACUUAGUAGCACGAUGUGUAAUCAACGUGAGGGUAAUGAAAUCAUCAGAGUAACAUGGCCAUGUUCAUUAUAUGUUUUUUUAAUGCUAAAAAGUUAUCAUCUUUGUACUUUCUAAAAUACUUUUGUAUCAUCAACUUGGUUAAAAUAAAAUUUAUGACCAUUAAGGAACAUACUUAACUAUAUAUAAACUAUUUACCGGGUCCAUGUUAGUAAUAAUGAUAUGCCAAGAAAAUUUUGUUUUAGUUUGAGUUCGAUUAUUACUUUUUGAUUCUUUUGUGUUUUGUCCUCUAUAACUCACAUUACGAAUUUUUUAUCGAAAUAAUACGAUAUUGCAUUUCAACUAGACCAUGUUCGAGGUGAAUAUCGUUUUGGUUAUAACCUAACUACAACCCCAAUUUAUCUCAAUUAGAGAACUUGGGAUCGAACUCUCUAUGCCAUGCCAACAAUAUUGUCAAAGCUCCGAUCCAAUAUACCACUAGUUUAAAAUUGUCGGGUCAGUGAAGAUCGAGUAUUUUGCAAAUAUCUCCAAUCAAAAGUACAAAAUAUGUUGUUAUUAUUAUAUACAAAGAAAACACAAAACCUACAUGAGUUUAGCAACAUGGGGGCAAUCAUUUAAACCAAAAACAAAUUGAAGUGCCAUAUAAACAUAAGUAAGUAAAGAAAAACAAACAUAUGUAAAUACAUAAUUAGAAGGGGAUUAGUUAAGGAAGUGAUUAGCGGAGAAAGAAUCAAGAAAAGAUGCCCACGUGUCAGCAUCUCCAACCACGGCUUCCAUAACAUCAACUUGUUCUUGUUGUGACAUCUCAUCGUUUCUUGCAAAUCUUCCUCUUAUCCUUGGCCUACUGUCCGCUAAUGUCUUCCUGCACUCAUACUAAUUACACCCCAAAAAAAAAAAUUAUCAUUAAACUCGUCCCAAAUUAAUGUUAUAGUUAGAUCAUUUACAAUUUACAAACUUGUAACAGAAAACAUCUAACUGGGACACGGUUUAAUGUGUUUGUAUACCAUAUAUACGAAUACUCCAAUUAUCUCUAAUUGGGAAAUGUUUUUUUUUUUACAUUAUCAUCUAAAUGAAUAACUAAUGGAGAAAUAAACUUAUAGCAACCUAACCUUGGAGCUUUGAUGUGUCUAUCUCAAAAGAUUCCUUAGACCCAAAUCUGAUGUGACAGAACAUUAAUUCUCUUUCACAUACUCAUAUAUAUAUAUAUAUCAAAUGAAAAUUCUAUUUUCUUGUUCGAAGAUAAGAUUAAAAAGAAAAAUUCAAUGUUACUUUUUUAGUGAUAAGAGUGAUUGAUAUGAUGCAUUGAGCCAGUUUUAUUUUUUCUUUUCUAGUUUGGUCAACGAACAAUUUUAUUUUGUAUUAAACGUGAUAUUUUUGAUUAUUGUUUUGAAAAACAAGUUAUAUAAAUAAAGUUGGUUUUAUGAAAAUAGAUAUAUGCGCAUCCCCAAAUGCUUUUGUAUGAGUGAUACAUAAUUGACAGGUGAUAUUAACGGAGACAAUUAUAGGAAACAAUACGUUUGAUUAGAAAAUGGAAGGGUUAGCAUCAAUAAGUGUGCAGGUGCAUGUCACUGUGUCAUACAACUACACUAGCAUGUCAAGUCUUAAAAAGUUUCCAUGCGACACUUAUAUAUAUUAUAUACACGUUGAAUAUGUAAUCUAGUUUAGGUAUACAUAUCACAUAUGUACUCUAUGUGUUGAAGACCAAUAUGAAUCAAAAAUAUACAAUUCAUAUAUGCAAGAAAUAAAAUAAAUUUAUUUAGAGGAAAAUUAACAUAGAAACAAAUGUAGAAAACAUAUAAAAAUUACCUUAAUCCUCUUGUUGAAAUUCCUAAGGUUUCUUUUGCUACGAUAUUUCUCGAUCUUUUCUUUCUUCUCUUCGGGGCUGUACUUAUAGGCUUUGCUCAUUCCUUCUAUUAUUGCAUUGCUCUCACUCCACACCGCACUGCUCUCUCUUCUGCUACUUCUCUACACACAAACCAAAACACAGUGUCGUUUUGUGUCAUGAUAUACUUUGUAUAGGAUGCUAAAUAAUUCCUCAACGUAUCAAUUCAUGUUGGGGAUAUAUCAUAUAUGUCUAAUCAUCAUAACCAAAAAAAAAAAACGCAGCCGGAGCUAACUAAUACGUCUAUAUCAGUUUAGGUCAUGCAAGUGUGUGUAUAUAAUAUUAACUUACGGGUAGAUCUCCGGCGCUAAGGGCCCGUCUCACUGGCCCAUCAUCAUCGUUAACGAAAUCGUGGGCCGGCGCAAAAGUACCGGAAAAGCCAUUAUGGCUACUAACACUCCUCUGCAUAACAAGACUCUCUCCACCGCUUCCCAUAGAGCUUGGUGAGUCGCAACUACUGCUUCCGCCACCACCGUUUAUGCCGGAAUCAAAGUAACCGAACCCUGAAACCGCCUCGGCAGGGAACAGAGAGUUGUGGCUCAUCAUAAGAAGCGGCAGAGACGGAGGAGGGUGGAAGUGAUGAUUGUGAUGAUGAUCAUGAUCAUGUAGCUGAGGAGGAGCAACUAUGUUUUCAGAGUAUAGGAAACAUGGACAAUUGUCGCCGGAAGUGAUGGAAGAGCUUACGUGUCCACACAUGGCGGGUUUUGGUUUUCUUGUGGUGCGUGUGUUUAUGUUUCUUUGUGUUUUGUUUGUGUGUGUGUGUGUGUGUGUGAGUGAAACUCCAAGUGGUUGGGUUUCUAUUUAAACAGAGCAAGGAGAAGCUGAGGUCACUGAUCGUCAUCGAUGGUCAACUGACUUAACCGUUGACUUCUUUUGACUGACUAUAAUAAAAAGGAAUCUCAUAUAGCCUUUCGUUUUCACGUCGUUUCUAUCUCACUCUCUCACCCGUUAUUAUUUCGUUUUAUUUUCUCCGAACACAACUGAAUUUAACAUGUAUCAUACGAAGUUGAUACUUUAAAUGAUGAUUAUUUUUUACUUUUUUUUUCAUUUAGAAUGCCUGAAAUUGUUUUUUGAUAAUAAAAAAAUUCAACUAGAUUUAAGAAAUAACAAUUCUUCAAUAAUUGUUAUUCUUGAGCAGCAAUGUCAAUAAUAAACGCAAAUAAAGAGAGCUAGUAACAAUAUAACUCUUAUUAAAGAAAAAUGUUAUUCUAUUGAUUUAUGUAUUGGCUUACUCUUUUCAUCUCUUAACACUUCAGUGUUUUAAAUUAAACUUGUACAUUUUACAGCUUUACAUUUUUUUAAUAAAGAUAUAUGUUUAAACCAUAUAAUAUAAUUUUAAGUAAAUAUUAGUAGAAACAUAAAUAUAGAAUAAUACCAAAAACCAUUUUGUUUCUGAUAAAUAUGGAAGCAAUAAUCAUUUCUAAAAAUCCCUUAAAAACAAGAAUCAAAAUUAUUUUAAAUUUGUAGAUAAAUAAUAUCUCGUGCAACAUUCUUAACUGCAAAAGAGCCAUGGAAAUUUAUUAAAACAAAAAACAAAAUAUGAACAGUGGAGAGAAAAAAUAAAAAUAAAAACUAAAGGAAAGACACGACUUAGCUUUUUAGAUGGAAAUGUAGGAGAGACAAAAAGAUGGUUAAAAGCAUUAUUUCACGCAAAACCAUGUGAGCAGCACAAAUCUACUUUAUUACCUAAUUAAUCAUUUACUUAAUCAACACUAAUUAAUCAAAGCUCAAAUACAUGUUCACAUUAGAUGGGUAUUUUUUAGUCCGGAUAAUAAACCAAGACCAAGACCAACAACAGCAAACACUAUAAAUAUUAUUGCUAUUUGCUAGCUCUGAAUUUGAAUUAGAUCGAACCGUUUCAAUCCAUUAACAGAUACUCCAGGUUAGCCAGAAUUGUUUAGGGAAUCAAAACGAAUUAGGUAACAUAACGAAAGAAAUAUCUCAAAUGAGUCUACCCCUUAAGGUGAAUUAGAUAAGUAUUAUUGUUUAUAUAUAAUUGUUACUUUAUGCUUCAUAAUUACAUUCCAAAAACGACAUUCGAAUAGUAGGAUUACUGCAUAUAUUGUAGGAACACGUUUUAGUCAGUCACUAAAUCUGCCUACUCAUCAUUAGAUACAUAUAUAUCAUUUCUCAUUCACUAUGAUCAAACAACUUCUAAUGUUCCUGUCAAAGCCACAUUUUUAUCCUUAAUUAGGACACAUAAUCAUCCCACUCUCCAUCUUUUUCUAGCAAAAAACCUUAACACACAUAUUAGAUACUACUAGAAAUGAUAUUGAUUAGAUUUAUCUAACUCUAGUCCAAUUGAACCAAGCCAAGAUUAAACUAGAAUGAUUUUGUUUAAUUAAUUAUUCUUUUGUAUACACAAAAAGAACUGCAUCAACUUAGAUGAGAAUAUAGGAUCAUCCUCCUUAUUUCCCUUGAAUGAAGGGAAAAUCCUAUUUCUUCCAUAUUUUUAUAAUCAUCCCAUAUUUUUAUAUACAUAUUGGUACGUUUGAUAAAUGUAUUUGAAGAAAUUUUUUUCCUUUGGAGAUCACUUCUCUGAGCCAAUUUAUAUAAUUUUCUUUUAUGUAUGGGGUAAAAGGUCCAACGAGAGCAUCUUUUUCCAUGUACAAGAUCGGCUCUGUAGGUCCUUCACAAUCAUCGAAAUAAAAUAUAGAUAGCUUCAUUUUUUUUUUAUUUUUUUUCUUUUUAGCUUCAUAUUUCUUAUAAAUGAAUGAUUCUCUUUUUAUUUCAUAUAAACAUAUUAGAGACAUUCCAAAACUAAAAAAAAAAAAAAAAAAAAAAAAGUAUAUAUUUUCUACACUGCAUUGUCCCACAUAAUGAGGAGACAAAAGUAAUAAUUCGCAAUCGUUACGAGGACAUAUAGGAUCUCGAGUCCUACAGUGGAUAGAUGUAGUACUAUGGGGACUAAACAGAAAGACAUUUUUGUGUAUCCUUAAGGGCAAUAUCGCCCACAAGUUGAUGGGAAAGGUCAUGCAAAAGCUAUAUCUAUACAUCAAUCGAUGGUUACCAAGACUUUUUCUAUUUCGUGGUAAACUUUCUUGCAUUAUAUAUAUAUAUAUUUUUUUUUUUUUUUUUUUUUUUUUUUUUGGAAACGUCUUUCUUGCAUUAUAUAUGUACCCUAAAAUACUAAACGUUUCAUGCUUUGGUUGGUUCAUAACUAGUUUCGAGUUUUGACGAUCCAAUAAGAAUUGUUGUUUUUGUUUUCAAUAAUUCAUUAUUGUUUUUUAUCACCACUGGAGCAAAUUAUUGGUUUUAUAUAUACUUUCGCAAGUUUCUCUCUAUCUUCUCUUCAGUAACCCACUUUGGUUAUUUUGACAGCCAACAAUUUUAACUACUAGUUGUAGAUUCAUGAAGAAGGUCAACGGUUCAGGAAAACGAUGAUAGAAUAAAGGAAAUAUUUUAAUAUUUAAAUUCUAAUUAGUAGUGAAACUAAAUAAAUAAUUCUAUGUGAAAUAAAACUCACUCAUAUAAAAUUACACAGUACACUCAUAAAACUGAACUUUGUUAUAAUCAUGUGAAUUUUCCGCCACGACUACAUGGUGACUAUGGAAUAUUUUGCACUUUUAGCACUAAAUGAUACGUAAAUAACGUAUAAUAUUUAUAUGAAACCUCAUGGUUUUAAUUACUAGGAAUUUUGUAGUGUUGGUCAUGUUGUAUAUCAAACAGAGUAUAUGUUUCAUGUCCGAUUGUCUUAACCUAGUAAGUGUCUUUAAUGUCCAAGCCUCCAAGACAUUUAGCUGCUAUAACCACACAUGCAAGUCCGUAGACAUGUAUCCUGAUAUUCGAAUCUACAAUCUCACACUUAAGAAAAUUCCAUUCAUAAAAUAAAAUAAAAAGGUAAGCGGGUCCAUGAAUGGCAAUAUGCAAAUUAUAUAUAGUCCAUGCCUAUAGAAAAGCAAUGAUAAUAGCAUAAAUGUAGGCAAUGAGUACACAAAGAGUUUAUGAUAAAAAAAAAAAAAAUGAAAUGUGUAGGGUUUACUUGUUCUUGGUUGAAAGAAAAAUAAAAGUAUCUUCAUGACAAAUCAAAGAAAGACUAGAUGUUUUUUUUUUAAGUGAUCCCAUCAUUUUGUUUUAUUGUUUUGAUAUAUUACUUUUUUAAUUGUUAAUUAGGACUCGUGCAUGUGUUCCUAUGCGUUUGUCUAAUCUUUUGGAAAGGAGAAAAAGGUCAACAAGCACAAUAGUUUCUCCACCAUUUUCACAUAUAUUCUCCAAUUUGUUGUUUUACUCACUCGUUUUCAUAUAUCGAUUCACGUCAAACUUUGGAUUCUUCGUUUUUGUUUUCAAAAAAAAGAAUUUUGGAUUUCAGUUUGAUCAUAUAAUUUUCAGUUUAGUAAAGAAAUAUCUAUCGAUUUACAAUUUUGAUAUUUCAUGUUAGUUAAGAUUAUGAAUCGAGUUUUAGUCCACCACACUCUUCCACAUAGCCCACUAUGGAGUAUGGACAGUGAUUUUUGUCAACAAAGAAACGGACAACUAUAGAAAUUUUGAAUAGCCAAAACAAAAACACAAUUAUUUAUAUGUUUUGUUUUGGAUUAAUAUAAAUUUUGGCCAAAAUAAUGUAAAUAUAUGGAAAUUUAUGAAAAUAGAACGUUCAUCAUCCUACCAACCAGUUUAUUCGGCUAUGUGGUUAUAAAUAUAUAAUGAUAUAUUUUUUUUAAUAAUCAAAGAGGUUCUGGGCCGAAACACAUACAUCCCCUCAGGCCCGAGACCAAAGCAUGUUAUAUGGUCUCGUCCUAAGCGCUACUCGAACCUGGGACCUCUAAGCUUUUGCCAGAGAUCUAGAAUGAUAUUUUCGUAGCAAUGCAGUUUAAAAUGAUGGCUACGUGAGUAGUUUAUAGUGUAUACAUGGUAUAGAUAAGCUUAUAACUGAUCUAUUUUCUAUAUAUUACCUUAUGUUAAAAUCCGUCAUUACAAUCUUUUUCUAACAGUUUGAAUUAUACAUAAUUUUGUAUCCCUUGUUGAGUUGUUUCAACCCUAAUUUUCUCUAAUCUAUAAGAUUUCUCUUUGAAAACUCAGAUUGAUUAUUUCAUUUAUACUUGUCAGGUAAAUCAUAUAGUUAAUAUGUCAACACGGCUUUUAAAAUUAUUUCGCUUUGGAUGCUAUAUAAUAUGUAUAAGUGAGUGGAUGUACAUGUCGAACAGGAUCUACAUUGGGCAAGAUAGGAAGUCCGUAAAGCCAAAAAUUAAGAACAGAAUGAAGAAAAAUAACUUUCCAAAAUAGGUAAAAUGGGUUAGGCUUCAAAAGUAAUGAUAUUUCUUUUGAUUUGGUAAGUCAACGAGAUAGAUUUGUGUGUUUUAAGUAGGUAACCAAAAUCAUGAAACCAGUUAUUUUUACUGAUUUGUGUUGACUAUACGCUUUUUGAACAAAUAACUGAAACAUAUCAUAAGUACUUAAAACAAUGAAUGAACAGUACUAGAUACAUAUCAGUAUAUCACAUAUAUCAGAAAACAUUGGGUUAAAAAAUCCUGUAGGAAAUCUCUAUAUAUAUUUAGCAGAUAAAUAACUGAAAUAUAUCGAGACGAUUCGUUUAUAUUGAAAGCACGUCUAGCUAAUUCUUGUCAAGUACAUACACAAGAUGAUCAACGUCAAAUAUUAUUAAAAUCAAAAUCAAAAUCAAAAUAUGAAGGGAGGAAAACAAAAAAGAGGUGCGAAGUUGACUAACAGUGACAAAGAAAGAUUGGUGUGGCAAAAUGCACCUUCUCUAGCUAGCUAAGAUAAGCCUUCCCCAUCACUGUCCUUUUCCUCCUCUUCCCUUUCCUCACCUUUUCAUCCUUUUUUUUUCUUAUUCAAUUUUAUUUACUUCUCUACCAAAGUUCAUAGUAUUUUCAAAUAUAUUCUAGAAUAUGAAUUUGUUUUAGUCUUCAACAUUGUUUAUUUGUUUAUGAGAUUUCUUUGACAUAGUCUGCAAAUGAAAAUAAAUGGUGAUGAAAGAGAGGUAAAGUGCGAUACGUUGCAAAUCAAAUUUUUUUCCCAUAUAUAUAUUUUUUUUUGUAAAAUAUUGGUUUCAUAUAUAAGAACGUAUCUAAAUUGAAAAAUGAAUUUUUCAAUUUAUUGUCUUUUCGGUUAAUUAUUUAAAACACUCGAAGUAAAGUUGAAGAACAUAUUAAAAAAGUUGAAGAACAUUAAGUCUACUCGACUCUGAUUGAUAAAAACGUGAGGGAAAGUCAACUAAGAUCUGACCUUAUAGUGGUUGGUUAGAUUUGUACUCUUUAAAGUUUUAUAUAUAUAUAUAUAUAUAUAUAUUACACAAACGCAUGCACAAACACAUAUUCCAUAUAUAAGCUUUGAAUAUGUGAAGAUUCUAUCAUUUUUUCAUAAUUUUCUGUUUUAAAAUAAGUAUAGUUAAGUGUUAUUUUCAAAUUUUUGUUUAGAUUUUGACAUAAAUAAGGUAAAGUAAAUUCAAGUCAAAAUCUAGAAAAAAAACUAUCAAAAGUCAACUUAAUUUUAGAGGUAUGAUAAAAAUUCAUACAUGUGAUAUAGGUUUGUGUGUAAAAUGUCAAAACAACACUAUGUAUAAUAAUGAAUAAGUUUUUGGGUUUUCUAUUUGACAUGACAAGUUGAUUUUGCGUUAAGAAUGCAUGUAACAGAUUUUGACAACAUGCAUCCACUGACCACUAUCAUUUUAUCGUCUUUAUAUCAACUCUACAUCUUAUAGAGUUUGGCAAGUUCACACUAAGCCUCUGCGAACAUGUAAAAACCCAACAUCAUUGGAACAAUAAACAUAAUGCUAGCGGAACAUAACGCUUUAUAAUUUUGCAGAGUUGUUCUAAGUCUUUGAACAACAAAAUUGAUGAACCAAAAUGUUGACAAACUAUUAGAUUAAAUUAUAUCCUUUGAAACGAACCCGAAAAUGUUAAUUAAUAUACAGAUAAAAUGAGUUACUAAUACCAAAUGAUCGGAAAAACUUUGUCCCAGAUCCUCUUGUUGUUGUUCCAACGAUAAAAUCCAUCGUCUUUGACAACGACGAAACACGAGUUUUUACACUCCGUAGCAUCUUUGUCCGAAUCGUACAAGACGUACGGUCUCUCGUGCCUCUCGAAAUGUGCUUCGCUGUAAAACGUUCCUAGGCAAGUCGUUGGCUGCCACACUUUAGAUCCCGCUGCCUUCUUAUCAUCGACGGCGUUGUCGCCACCAGCAGUGGUUGGGAUUUCUAUCAACAACUUUUGACCCAAUGGCACCAGUUUGUACAGCAGAGGGGUCGGAUGGCACGUGACAAACACGGGAACAUCACCACGCGUCUGCAGCUCGUUGGACACGAUAAGUGUGGCUGCACGUGUGGGUUCCGACGUAGAAAAGAGCAUCAUGGUCAUGAUCGAGACCAUCAUAAGAAUGUCCAUGAUUUUGAUUGGAAAUGGAUCUUCGAUUUUUUAAGUAUUCAUUACGUUUUAUCUUUGUCGUAAAAUCUCACUAUACGUUAUUCGCAGAUGAUUAAUGGCCGUAGUAUGAUGACUAUAUUCAUUAUUCUGUUACGAUUGGAGAUUUGUCUGGUCUGCUACGAAAUAAAACGAGUUCAGUAUUGGCCUAUCAGAAGCCCAUAUAGGCCCAAAAGCUAAAACACUUCAGGUUGGUCCAAUUAUUAGUAUUCAAAUCUCACUUUCAUUACAGUAUUUUCCUAAGACCAUCCUCAAUGGGGGUAUCUUAGAAGGCUAAAAUACCCCCACUUUUUCAAAGAAAAUAUGUAAUAUAAGGAUUUUCUUUGAAAAAGUGGAGGUAUCUUAGCUUUCUAAGAUACCCCAUUGAGGAUGCCCUAAGCGCCCAUCCAGCUAGAGCGCCAAGGACUGAUCUAAAUUGGCAGCCCAGUGUGACUGUCACCUCUGAUCACUGGAGCCCCAUGAUAAAUAGCUUUUAGAACUGCUAUGUACUGUUCGGCUUGUAGCCUCUUCUAGGGCAGAGAUAUAAACUCCAAAACAGUUUUGCGAGCACUUGCUUGUUUUCGUCAACCGUUACAAUUAAUAUAUUUCUCAAGUAAAAAAAGUAUUAGUAAUUACUUGGAAACAUACUUUGCAAAUUCUAUAUAGACCGCACCUCCCCGGAUUAAUUUUAAUUUAAUAACAUGAGCUUUGUAGUAGCACUAAGUCAAAUUCAGAGAUUUCAUUCUUUUUAUAGGUCUUUGAUUGGUCUGUGUGUGUUUGACCUCAAAAAAAUGCUUUCCUUAGAACUUCCUAUUUUUAGUAAAAUUUUCAUGUGUCUCGCUUACCAACUAAAUAAACUAAACAAAAAUGUUACAAACAACACUAAAAUCAAUGCCUCUCCCCCUAUUUUUUCUCCUCAUCUAAUAAUCCCUUCAAACCACACAAAAAAAAAGAAAAAAAAAAAGAAAAGAGGAAAUCAAAAACAAAACAAAACGAUCCAAGAGAAAACAAGAUAGAGUUAUAAGAUUGCCGACGAUCCUUCGAUCAAAUUAUCGGUGCCGGAGAAAGAAUAAGUAAAACUACUAUGAAAAAUAACACUACUACCGAAGAUUCGACAAAAUGGAUGUUAGAGAGUGUAGAGAUCGAUUCAAUGGGGGAAGGUUCUUCCAAAGGACCCGACAUUAACCUCAACAAGAACGAAGGUGGUCUGAAGAAGAACGCGUCAAGAAAUCUUGGUGUGGGAUCGAUAAUACGAACGUUAAGCGUUUCAAACUGGAGAAAGAGCGGUAAUCUCGCGUCUCCGAGCACAAGGAAAAGCGGGAACCUGGGUCCUCCGACCAGUGUUCUGCCCAAGAAGACAGGUCCACAAAGAGUGGAGAGGACAACAUCUAGCGCCGCUAGGGGACUUCAGAGCUUACGGUUCCUUGAUCGGACAGUCACCGGACGGGAACGAGAUGCUUGGAGAUCGAUUGAGAACCGGUUUAAUCAGUUCUCCGUUGACGGCAAGUUGCCGAAAGAGAAGUUUGGUGUCUGCAUUGGUACUUAACAUAUAUACUAAUACUUUCUAUAUAGGGUUCCACAUAUUAUACGUGAGAACGUGUGAUUAGUUUCGCUUUUCUAUAGUUGAUAAUACAGAUGUACUUAGCGACGAAUUUUUUUUUAAUUAUUAUUAUUAUUUUUGUAUACCUCUAUGAACUCGAAUUUGUUUUAUUAUUACUGUUUGCUUAGAAAGAAAUUUUAACGUCGAUGGUGAAUAUAUUACUAGGAAUGGGAGACACAAUGGAAUUUGCUGGAGAAGUUUAUGAGGCAUUGGGUCGUAGAAGACAAAUAGAGACAGACACUGGAAUCGAUAAAGAACAACUCAAGCUGUUUUGGGAAGACAUGAUCAAGAAAGACCUUGAUUGUCGUCUUCAAAUUUUCUUCGACAUGUAAAUUAUUUAAUCUUAUACGUUUUCAUAUAUUACAUAAACAAAAAAAAAAAUCCAAAGGCGGUUACUUAGUUUAACUAUCGUGGUUGUGGUUGCUGUUCAGGUGUGACAAGAACGGAGAUGGUAAGCUCACGGAAGAGGAAGUGAAAGAGGUCAUAGUUUUGAGUGCCUCUGCGAACCGCCUCGGGAAUUUGAAAAAGAACGCUGCAGCUUACGCGUCUUUGAUCAUGGAAGAACUCGACCCUGAUCACAAAGGAUACAUAGAGGUUCACAUUUUAUUUCAACUUUUAUAUGAUAGCUUUCUUUAUUAUAUUAUCCAGAGAGUAAUUAUGUUCUGAAAAAUUUCAUUGUUUGUAUCUUCCAGAUGUGGCAGUUAGAAAUACUAUUAACAGGAAUGGUGACAAACGCCGAUACGGAGAAGAUGAAGAAAUCGCAAACGCUGACACGCGCCAUGAUCCCAGAGCGGUACAGAACACCGAUGAGAAAAUACGUUUCGGUAACCGCGGAACUGAUGCAUGAGAACUGGAAAAAAAUAUGGGUACUCGCCUUGUGGCUCAUCAUCAACGUUUAUCUAUUCAUGUGGAAGUACGAAGAGUUCACGAGAAACCCUCUUUACAAUAUCACCGGACGCUGUGUUUGCGCCGCUAAAGGAGCAGCCGAAACGCUUAAACUGAACAUGGCUCUGAUCUUGGUACCAGUCUGUAGAAAAACCCUAACGAUCCUUAGGUCAACGUUUUUGAACCGCGUUGUCCCAUUCGACGACAACAUUAACUUCCACAAGGUGAUUGCAUAUGCGAUCGCGUUCCACGCUUUGCUCCACACUGCACUUCACAUCUUCUGUAACUACCCUAGGUUAAGCUCUUGCUCCUAUGACGUGUUCUUGACGUAUGCGGGAUCUGCCUUGGGAACUACGCAACCGAGUUACAUAGGUUUAAUGAUGACGUCCGUGUCGAUCACGGGUGUUUUAAUGAUUUUCUUCAUGGGAUUCUCGUUUACACUCGCGAUGCAUUAUUUUAGAAGGAACAUAGUGAAAUUGCCUAAACCGUUCAACGUUCUUGCUGGUUUUAAUGCGUUUUGGUAUGCUCAUCAUUUGUUGGUUCUUGCUUAUAUUCUUCUCAUCAUCCAUGGUUACUAUCUAAUCAUCGAGAAGCCUUGGUACCAAAAGACGGUAAUUACGUUAAAAUUUCCAUAUUUAAUGCUAAGAUAAUAUAUUAAUAUGUUCUAAUUUUAUCUUUUUGGUAAAUUAUAUUAUAAUGCAGACAUGGAUGUAUGUGGCAGUACCGAUGCUGUUCUACGCGAGUGAGAGGCUUUUCUCUCGUGUCCUUCAAGAACACAGCCAUCGUGUCAACGUUAUUAAGGUAGCAAACAAAAUGAACAUUGACUACACUAUUAACAUUUUCUAAAGUAAUUUAUACAUUUGAGUGUUUUCUGUUCCUAUAUAUAUUUAUUUGUUUUUAAUUGUUUUGCCUUUCAUCACAGGCUAUUGUAUAUUCGGGUAAUGUUCUUGCACUUUACGUGACCAAACCUCCCGGAUUCAAAUACAAAAGUGGCAUGUACAUGUUUGUCAAGUGUCCUGAUCUGUCAAAAUUCGAAUGGUAUCCUAAUUAAUUAUUUAGUAAAAUAAAUUAAAUGAUUGUUUUUUUGAUAAGGUAAACAAUAAUAUUGAAUUUAUCUUCCUUAUUAUUUAGGCAUCCGUUCUCCAUUACUUCCGCACCAGGGGAUGACUAUUUAAGUGUUCACAUAAGAGCUUUAGGAGAUUGGACUACUGAACUUAGGAGCAGAUUUGCAAAGGUGAUCGUUGUCUCUCUUUAUUUGCCUAAUUAAAUAAUUUUCGUUAUAGCUGACUUUUAUUUUAUUUUUAUAUCUCAUGUUAAUUAUAUGAAAUUUUAAUUCUAAAGGUAAAGUGUUUAACUUUGAUUGUAGACAUGCGAGCCACCUCAAGCAGCAGCUAAACCUAAACCAAACAGUCUUAUGAGGAUGGAAACAAGAGCAGCGGGUGUGAAUCCUCACAUUGAAGAGUCACAAGUCUUGUAAGUGAAUACUAAAGAACUGCCAGUAAAUUCUUAAAUUCGAUCUGAUUGCUGUCGAAAAUUUUUUUUUUAAAUGAUCCUGAUCAGGUAAUCAAUUUUAUUUUUAUUUUUUUGUAUCAGAUUCCCUAAAAUUUUCAUCAAAGGACCAUAUGGAGCUCCGGCACAAAAUUAUCAGAAGUUCGACAUCCUCUUACUAGUAGGACUAGGGAUUGGGGCAACUCCAUUCAUAAGCAUCUUGAAAGACAUGUUAAACCAUCUAAAGCCCGGGAUUCCCAAAAGUGUAAGUAGGAUAAAUGUUUUGUUCAUUAGGAGGUGAUAGUGUUAGUGGAACAAUUUUUAAAAUAUUGGAACAACAGGGACAAAAGUACGAUGCAAGUAUAGGAGGAGAGAGUAUAGGAGGUGAUAGUGUUAGUGGUGGAGGCAAGAAGUUUCCACAAAGAGCAUACUUUUUUUGGGUGACAAGAGAACAAGCUUCUUUUGAUUGGUUCAAGGGAGUUAUGGAUGACAUCGCCGAGUAUGAUAAAACUGUAAGUUUAUUUGAUUCAGUUUUACUACAUUAUUGUUUUUUUCUUUCCAUAAUGGGGCUUAUGAAUUGCUCUGUCGUAUAAAACAAAAAAAUUGUAAUGUUUUUUUGUUUUUGGCAGCAUGUGAUAGAAAUGCAUAACUACUUAACAAGCAUGUACGAAGCGGGAGAUGCAAGAUCUGCCUUAAUCGCCAUGGUUCAGAAACUUCAACAUGCCAAGAACGGUGUGGAUAUCGUCUCCGAAAGCCGAGUAAGUUUUCUGAUUUUUUUCGAUUGAUUACCAAACAGUUAUAUGACCGUUGUCCACUUUCGAUUUCAGUGUAAGAAAACAUACAUAAAAUCAUUUUUACUUUGAUGUCAAAAAAAAAAAAAAAAACUUAGAAGGGAAUGUCAUUAGCUAAUGAUCAGUUACGUGUAUCUCAAUUAGAUGAUUAAUUACUCUUAAUUAUCCCCCGAAACAAAUCAGAUACGAACACAUUUCGCAAGACCUAAUUGGAGGAAGGUUUUUUCUGAAUUGUCAAGCAAACACGAAGCUUGUCGAAUAGGUACUUACUAUCUUAAAUAAUUAAUUAUUAUCAACUUGAAAAACAUUAUUACUUCAAGUAUUUGGUUUAUAACCUUCAUAAAAUAAUUCUUAACAUGUGUAUUUUCAGGUGUAUUCUACUGUGGAAGUCCAACAUUGGUUCGACCACUAAAAGAACUUUGUCAGGAGUUUAGUCUCGAGUCAUCCACUCGUUUUACUUUCCACAAGGAAAACUUCUAAUUAACCAAUUUAAUCUUUAAAAAACAGAUUUUGCUUAAUCCUUAAUCAGAUUGGGAGUAAAUUUAUUAAAGACCAUAUAUGCAGGAUGUAAUUAGUUGGUGAGACAAUGUAAAGUAAUUUAACGACGUAAGAAAUUGUAUAGUAACAUUUAAAUUAAGAAAAUCUUAAAGUACUAAUGUUUAUUUUGACGGAGUUUCUUGUAUAUAUACUUUUGUGAUGAAAAUCUUUGCUACAAUUGUUUAGAACAGUUUCUAUAUUUGUAAAGUUUUGUGAACUUGUGACUGUUAUUUUGUCUUUGUCAAAAAUUUUGAAAUUGAGAAAAUUUCCCAAAUUAAUGAACAAACACUUUUAUGCUUUCUAAAAUUCGUUUUUUAGAUUCUUUCUCCUAAAUCAGAUAAGUGUAUGGAAAGACCAAAUUUUAUCCUUAUUCCUAAUGGAAGUGGAGUAGAGUAGGUAAUAUGAUAACGAAGUGUACAAAAGAGUCUAACUUGUUAAGCAAUUGUUAGUUUUGGACCUUUCGUACGCAUGGCUAAAUCAUGGAACUUUCCACAUUAUUGAUAUUUUUCAUAUAACAUGGAUUCUACACGAUUUUCUAAAGAUUUAUUCAAUUAGAUAGAUGAUAAUUUAUUUCCCGAAAAUUGCAUUCCUUAAAAAAAAAAUCCAUGUUGCGUAGAAUUAAUCAUAUUACAUUCCUGUUGAUUUCCUUUAGGUGUACUUAUACUCUGCUUUUUCUUUUUUCACGUUAUUAAAGAUUGGCUAAUCUUUGGCACUUAAGGUAAAGCAUCUUAAUAAUCAUCAUUGAUCAUUUCUGUUCAAAGGUUAAUAAAAAGAAUGUUGAUUAUUUUUGUACAAAUAUAUGGCUUAAUGAUAUAAUUGCUAGUAAUAUUUUUUAGUUUUCUGGUUGCCUCUAUUUGUUGGUGGAUAUAUACACAAUACAAAAUUACUUUUCACUCUUAAGAUAUUUAUUGUCAGAGAAAACUAAAAUUCUAAAAAAAAAAAAAUUAAGAAAACUAAAAUUCUAUUAAUUAUUUAAUAAAAUUAUUACCCUAUGAUUCUCUUCCACAUUAUUUCAUAUCAGUUUACCAAACAGAAAAGAGAAAAUGUUAAAUAAUAUAGGACAUAUGAUAUAGAUUAGUACAUGCAUAGGCAUUACAAAUAUCAAAUUUUAAAUAAGCUAUAAUAACGAUGAGCGCGUGGUUAAUUAAUUACAGUUAUCAUAUGGAACAUCAAACAUGCAUAUAUGAUCUGUUACGUACGUCGAACUCUUAAGAUUUUAGAGAAUUUUUAUGUAAUUAUCACCAUCUUUAUAUAUUCGCCUAAAAGGUGGCUAGUAACAGUCCGCUCAAAUUUGUACAUAUAUAUUCGUAUAUGAUACGUUCUAUAUAUGUAUACAUACGUGCACACAUUAUACUAUAUAUAUUUUGUUGGAGCCUUAAUCAGAAAUCAAGGGUUGGUGUAACCACAAUAUGUAUGUCAAAAAAUUAAAUAAGAAAAAAACAUGUUUUCGCACAAGUCCUCCAAUCUAAUAAACCUCGAUCUCUUCACAUACCAAUCAUGUAUUUAUGUGUAUAUCUUAGCUACGCGUAUGUAUUCAGUAUAAAGAACCCACUUUCUACGCGUAUCUAGAUCAAAUAUUCUUUUUUAAAUUUUUUAAUUAAAUGGUAAGUUUAAGACAUUUAGAUAGUUUCUCUAGACUAGAGUUCGUUGAAAUUGGUCUGAUCAGGAUUAGAUAAAUACGUAAAAGGUCAUAUAUAUAUGUUUUUAGUUUAGUGUAAUUCUAUAAUUAUUGUCGAAAAAACCGUUAAGAGAUAUCAGAAUUUCGUUUUCAAAUAAUAACAUGGGAGAUAAUAACACGGAAUUAACCUGUUUCUAAAUAUAGCUCUCGUGUCACAUGCAGCCUAGUUAAAAACUUUAAAAUGAAUAUCUAUCUAUAACUAUAUUUACUGUUAAUGAUUGUGAGUUACCAACUAAAAUGUUGUUAAAGACAUAAUUGUAAAAACUACAAAUGGUUUGAACUACAUACUAAUGAUCUAAACUCAUGUUUCAUCAUUAUGUCGUCGUCCGAUUAUUUUCUUUAGUUUCAACAUUUCUUUAUAACCUUUUUAACAAAAAAUUAUAUGAAAACUAUAUUUGACGGGAUAAGUUGAUACGUACUUGUUAGCAACCUGUCUAGAUCAUAUUUUGACUUUAUAUUUCUCAAAAUUAUAUAUUUGAAAGAGGAGAUCGAGCCAACAAUUUGCAAAUACACAUAUUAUAUACUUUUUUUAUUUGGUUAAAGCUAAAGUUACACAUAAACUUAUUGAUUAAUAAACAUAAUUAUAAGAAUAUAAUGUGUUUUAAAAAGUUCAAUAAAUAAGAAUAUGAGUAUAAAGUUGUGUAAAUAUGUAUAUAAGUAUAGAGAAACAUGUAUAAGUGGCAUGCCUUUGAGGAUACGAACAUAAAAGGGAGUUAGGUCACUUGCUUGGGAAAUAAAAUAGCCAACCUUAAUUUGAGGUUUCCUCAAUGUUCUAAUAUAUUAAAAAGAAGGAAAAAAUAUAUUGGAAAUUGCCUUCAUGGAUUUUGAUAUCUAACCCUAAUCGUGACCUUCUUUGAUAGCUACAAUCUCCCUCUCCUUGCUUAUACCCCAAGCAAUUUUAGCUUACGAAUGUUUUGACCAACUCCACAUCGGUUAAAUCUCCUUUAAAAAGUUCCUCACCUACAAAUAAAAUAAAUUAAAAUAAUUAACAAACAGAGAUGAAGUACUUAUCACUUAUAACAUGCUUAUUAAAUGAUGAAACUGAAAUGUAAUUUACUAAAACAUAACCACUAUAAUCACAAAAGUUACCCCUUCCAAGAAAAUCCAAGAGUGCGUAAAAUUUUGAUGUUCGUACGUAGAGUUGUGUUUUGGGUCUAAGCAAAAUUUAGCCAAAACGAUAUUCCUAAACUGCCACAUUUAGUCCAAGUCACUUACUUUCUCAUGUCAAAAAUUUGAAGUCUAAUAUACUCAAAGCUGUCAAAGAUGCAGCACAGGAAGAGGAACUGUCAUAUCUGAGAAACUAAAAUUGGCAAUUUUACAUUUCAUAUUUAGAAUCUACGCCAUAGUAUCGAGAAGGAAACAAUAGUUUUCGAGGAAUUGAAGAGGGUCAAAGAGUUUGACUUAUCUUUGACACCACUCAUACAUUAGCUGUUCAUACAUAAUCUAACAACUUGUCAAUAUCAAGUGUUUCUGAUUACAGGGAGUACUUCUCUACCAAUUAUCUUUUUGUUUUUUUCCAAAACAUUUACUAAUUGUUUUUUCUAGCUCUCUUGCUCAAGCAAACACCUAACUCUCCUUCCUAUAUAUACACUAAAUGUUGAAACAAUGAAUCCACAAUCUACAGCAAAUACAUAAACAAAUAACCGAGGCAGAGUAUUCAGUAAAACUUACUUGCUAUAAUCAAAGCCUCGGGGUCCAAAGCUCACUCAAAUGGCGUUUCAGCUUCUCUUAGCUAUUUUCUCUUGUGUUCUCCUUCUUCCUCUACCUGCAUUUGGGAUUACAAGGCAUUAUACGCUGGAAGUAUGUGAAGGAUUUGUUUCUUCUGUGUAGUAGUUUAAAUGGGAAUGCAAAUAAUGAUUGAAUAUUGUUACGUUUUCGCAGAUCAAAAUGCAGAACGUGACACGUCUUUGCCACACAAAGAGCCUUGUUUCUGUAAACGGGCAGUUUCCAGGACCUAAGCUUAUUGCUAGAGAAGGUGACCAGCUUCUGAUCAAAGUCAUUAAUCAAGUGCCAAACAACAUCUCUAUCCACUGGUAAAUAAUCUUCAAACCACUUGUAUCAUUAUUCAGAGUAACGGUUGAUUACUCAUAGCUGGCUUUAAUCCGUGAAAAAUCGCAGGCAUGGGAUCCGACAACUACGAAGUGGUUGGGCUGAUGGACCAGCCUAUAUAACCCAAUGUCCUAUUCAGACAGGACAAAGCUAUGUCUACAACUAUACCAUUGUUGGUCAAAGAGGCACCCUGUUUUAUCAUGCUCACAUUUCAUGGCUAAGAGCAACAGUCUAUGGUCCACUUAUCAUCCUUCCCAAACGCGGUGUUCCUUACCCGUUUGCUAAACCUCACAAAGAAGUUCCCAUGAUCUUUGGUAAGGAUGAUGAGGAAUAGAAGCAGACUGAGAAUCUGAUGAGAGUUUAUAAACAUAAUAGCUGAUUUUUUAUGGUUAACUUGCAGGGGAGUGGUUCAACGCAGACCCUGAGGCAAUCAUCCGCCAAGCAACACAAACAGGAGGAGGUCCUAAUGUCUCUGAUGCUUACACAAUCAAUGGGCUUCCUGGUCCAUUAUAUAACUGCUCUGCCAAAGGUAAUUAUUACUUCCUAUAUCUAAUUAUGGUUUAAUAAAUUAUAGCCCACUAAUCAACUUAACCAAUGAUGUAAAACAGAUACAUUCAGACUGAGAGUGAAGCCAGGAAAAACAUACCUUCUCAGGCUAAUCAAUGCUGCACUUAAUGACGAGCUCUUUUUUAGCAUCGCAAAUCACACGGUUACGGUUGUUGAAGCGGAUGCAAUAUAUGUAAAGCCAUUUGAGACGGAUACCAUCUUAAUUGCUCCUGGCCAGACCACAAACGUCCUGCUGAAGACGAAACCUAGUUACCCGAGUGCCUCUUUCUUCAUGUUUGCUAGACCAUACGUCACAGGUCAAGGAACUUUCGAUAACUCUACAGUUGCUGGAAUCUUAGAAUAUGAACCAUCUAAACAUAUCAAAGAUGCUCACUCAAGGGCCUCUAUCAAGAAUCUUCAACUCUUCAGACCGACACUCCCUGCUCUAAACGAUACAAAUUUUGCUACUAAGUUCAGCAAUAAGCUACGCAGUCUGAACAGCAAAAACUUCCCAGCAAAUGUGCCUCUGAAUGUUGAUCGAAAGUUCUUCUUCACAGUAGGAUUGGGAACAAACCCGUGCAAUCAUAAGAAUAACCAGACAUGCCAGGGACCUACUAACACCACAAUGUUUGCUGCCUCAAUCAGUAACAUUUCCUUCACAAUGCCAACAAAAGCUCUCCUUCAAUCUCACUAUUCUGGCCAAUCUCAUGGAGUGUAUUCCCCCAAAUUCCCAUGGAGUCCCAUUGUUCCGUUUAACUACACAGGCACUCCACCAAACAAUACCAAUGUAAGCAACGGGACAAACUUGAUGGUUCUACCUUAUAACACCAGUGUGGAGUUGGUGAUGCAAGACACUAGCAUUCUAGGUGCUGAAAGCCAUCCUCUCCACCUUCAUGGGUUCAACUUCUUCGUCGUUGGUCAAGGCUUUGGAAAUUUUGACCCUAACAAGGAUCCUAAAAACUUCAACCUUGUUGACCCAAUAGAGCGGAACACAAUCGGUGUGCCAUCCGGUGGAUGGGCUGCUAUUCGAUUCCUUGCAGAUAACCCAGGUAAGAGAAACAAUAACAAACCAAAGAAACACAACUUUACAUUAGCGUAAUCUAAGAUGAAUAAUAAUAACCAAGUUUACAAAAUAUUUCACAGGAGUGUGGUUCAUGCACUGUCACUUGGAAGUACAUACCAGUUGGGGUCUGAGGAUGGCUUGGCUUGUUCUUGAUGGAGAUAAGCCUGAUCAGAAACUUCUUCCUCCUCCAGCAGACUUGCCCAAAUGCUGAGAAUUCUUGCUUCAUGAUUCAAGUGCUUUCCAUUUUGUUUGUUGUCUCUUUUUUCGUGCAUUUUUUUCGUUUUUUCCCCGGCCAUUUAUCGGUUUGACAUGAGGUCAAUUCCUGUUCAAUAAUUUGACAUGAGGUCAAUUUCUUUACAAUUAUUUUCUGUUGCACAGCUCUGUUUUCUGUAAGUGUAGAUCUAUGUAAACCCCAGAUUAAUAUAUAUACACAAUCUAAUUUGCAUAUAUUGACCUUACCUUCGAUUGUUAUUACCACAAUCUCUGAAGCAACUAACUGCUGAAGAUAUACACAAAUCAUUUGAAUCAGAUGGUUCAUAUAAACUAUGAUGCAACAUCCACAUAUGACAUGUGCACAUUGUAUUUAUGUGUAGAUAUUUAUGAUGAAAUAUGGCUCUACAGUCAAAACGGUUCUGUACAUUUAUCCCAAGUUUCCUAGUCUAGUUUUCUAUUAAAAGACCUUCGGAGCAGUACAAAGUCUAAGUGAAACUCUCAGGAACCAUAGGCACAUUUGUAACUGACAAAUAGCAUGUAAGAUUUACGUACCUGACGAUUGAGGAUCAUCUGUACUUGCACUAGUUUAGUUGAACAGGACGUGGAAAUCCUUCUUCAGAAAACUUCAAGUGCCUCGCAAUUGUGCAGACUUCCUAUACUUUCAAUUCCUAAACAAAAUUGAGUUUCACAUAUAGCAUUUCUAGUUUAUUUUACAGCUGCAAUAAGUUGAUUUAAGUGAAUGCUAAUGCCAAAACUUUGCAAACAAGCAUCUUCGAAAUAUAGUCAAAGAUAAUAAGGUAGCAUCACACUACCAAAACAACAAAAACUUGAAUCAGACAACCAAAACUAAGAAGAGAAUUCCAAAAAUAAAAUCUUUCUCAAUCUUAAUUGCCACCAAGUAACAUCUUCAACUACAUUUUAACCAAAAUUUGAAAGAUUUGUUCAUUCCCACUACAAAAAUUUCCCCAACCUUGAGCUAAAACCCCAAAUUAACCAGCUUUAACCAUCAAUUCAAUCUCCUACAAUUUCCUCUUUUUUUUGCUCUUGCUCUCCUCUGAAUCCAUCCCUUCACCACUCUUCCUUUUUUUCUUGCUCUUUUUCUCCUCUGAAGCCAACUCUUCCUCAGCCUUCAUCUUCUUCUUCUUCUUCUUCUUUUUUCUCUCUUCGCUCAUCUCCUCGUCUUCCAACUUAUCCUUCACCUUCUCAUCAAUAACAUCUUUGUCUUUGUUCUUCUUUUUCUUCUUCUCCUUCUUUCUCUCUCCGCCCAUUUCCUCCUCUUCCAACUUAUCCUUUACCUUCUCAUCAGUAACAUCUUUGUCUGUGUUCUUCUUCUUCUUCUUUUUUUUAGUCUUCUCCUUAUCCUCCUGUUCCCUACUAUAAACUGAUUCCUCAGUCAUAGAUUCACUUUUCCGGUCAGGAACCUUCUCACCAUCGAAUUCGCCGGUGAAAUUCCUCUCACGCCUCGUUUCGGAGCUUGGCUUCGUACCCUUCGAUUUAAUCUCCCUGUGGAAACUCUUUAAUUGAGAAAAGGCAGCGGAGGCUCGUUGGAGGUACGCACUAACGUCCUGAGAGGCGCCAUUAUCAGAAGAAGUGAAUCCAGAGAGAAGCGUAGCCGCCUUGGAGAGGGAGAUUGGUUCAGCACAAAUAACUCUUCCGGUCACGGUCUUCAUCGGAAAGAAGCAAGCUCGAAGAUCGCCGCGCCUCUCUCCCUCUGCUCAAAUUAGGGCAAUUUCUCCCCAAAGUUUAGUACAGUACUUUCAAAAUAUACACGAAUGAAAACAAAAAUUACGAACUUCUCCUUGUUAUGUUUUCUACGAAUUGUUUUUUUUUUUUCAAAACCAGUAAUUUUCCUUUUUCUAAGGUUUUGUAUUUUCCUUUUCUGGUCAAGCUGAACAAUAUUUGUAUAUAUACAAGUACUCGCGACAAAAUCAAUGAUUAGGAUUAAUACCUCCGUGGUAAAGAGCUCUAGGUUAAGAAGUUGAAGGUCGCAGGUUCGAAGCUUAAACUAGGUUUUUUUUUGCCCCUUCACUCUUGCUCAGUGCUCCAUUGCUCUCUGUAUCUCCCGCCUGUUACUACUUCUGCUGCUUGUCUUUAAACCCUAAACCCACCUUCCUCCAUCCUCGUCUUUCUCACCGUAAGUUGUUGAUUUUUCCGAUUGAUCCCGAGUUUGUUUUGUUUUUGCUUCUUCUUCUCUGACGUCGAUUCGAACUUAUUCGGGCUUUUUGGUUUCCCCCUGUGUAAAAAGUUUGCAGCUUUUUGAUUGGAGAGAUGGAGACGAAGAUGGAAAUUGAAUACACUAAGAAGCCUUACAUCGAAGAUGUUGGUUCUCUUAAGAUGUAUGUUCUUUCACUUUUCUCCUCAAGUUAAACCACUCCAUUGAUAUAAUUUUCCCAACUACGCUCCUUUCAGCAGUUGGAUCAUAAUACUCAAUGUGCCUAAAAAUCGUCUCUUUUGCUACUGUUUGUAUGUUGAUUUUGAAGCUCAUGAAAUUUUGAUUUGGGUGUCUGAAUUCUUAUGUCAAUUGAGAUGACUGUUUACCAGUUAAAGAGUUUCUUAGCUGACGUUUUCUCUGAUUUACUUUCAUGAUUCUCUUUUUGUAUGGUCUUCUGUAGAUUUAGCUUAUGAUGAUCUUACUUUGAUACAAAUGAAUGCCUUUGGGUGUUGUUUAUGAAUGUCUGACUUUUAUGGUUUGACAUUAUUGAUUUUGUGGAGCAAAACUUGCUUGUCAGUUUCUGCUGUUUUUUCCUGCUCCGCUUUUGACUUAACUAUUAUCUCUGCAGAAAAAGCAUAAACUUCUCUAUGCUUUCUGAUCUUGAGGUCAUGAAAGCCGCUGAAGUUCAGGUCUGGAAGAAUAGUUACUACGAUCCCAAUUGUAAACCCUUUGAAGGCGGCUUGUUGGAUCCUCGAAUGGUAUCCGACUCUCUUAUAUAUGUGUUUCUUUUGGUUUAACUUUUUAUGCAUAUAACCAGUUAUUUGUAUCUGUAUAUGUAAUUCUAACCAUUCUCUAAGUGGUUUGUUCAUUAUGAUUGGGCAGGGUCCUCCAAACAAAAAGUCUAUAUGCACAACCUGUGAGGGGAACUUCCAAAAUUGUCCAGGACACUAUGGAUAUCUGAAGCUUGACCUCCCAGUUUACAACAUUGGAUACUUCAAUUUUAUCCUCGACAUAUUGAAAUGCAUUUGUAAGGUAACAGAGUUAGCCAAUUAUAUCUCUCUAGUUUCUGUUCUCGACCCUUUUAUUUUUGUUGAAUGGAAACAGUAAAGAAAAGUACAUUAUAGAAAAAUUAUUUCUAGGGAAGAUCCCUUUCGAAAUGCAGACAAUACCUAAUUUUCAUAACAAAACUGGCUGGUUAUUUCACUGUCUUUGUAGCAUCAACCGUAGUUCACAAAUAUUGUUUUUCUCCUUUCUUUUACCGCAGUGCUGUUCGAACAUGCUUUUGGACGAGAAAUUGUAUGAAGAUCACUUGAGGAAGAUGCGGAAUCCCAAAAUGGAGCCAUUGAAGAAGACUGAAUUGGCAAAAGCGGUUGUCAAGAAGUGCAGUACGAUGGCUAGCCAGAGAAUUAUAACGUGCAAAAAAUGUGGCUACCUGAAUGGUAUACUUUUGAACUAUUUUUUGACUGAAACCAAUUAGAUUCGAUAUGCUAUUUCGAAGAUGUUUAUAACCUUGAUAUAUUUUCUCAUUCUUCAUGUGUUUCAUCUUAGUUGCAAAAUUUAGCUCACAGAACAUUCUAACGAAUCUUAAGUUGCACAAGCAGAGAACUUGGGAUUUUUUUUUUUGUCAUUCUGAUUUCCAGUGCCAAAAUCCUUUAAUUGUUGUUAUUGGUUAAUCUCAAAUUAUGUUAUAUUCUAAUUUAUGCUAUGUUCUUGAAAGUGCUUCUUCCUACCCAGUUCAGUUAUAUAUACAUAUAUAUAUUUCAGUUAUGAUAAUCUAUUGAUUAUUGCAGGUAUGGUGAAAAAGAUUCCAGCCCAGAUGGGUAUAGGUAUCAGUCAUGACCGAUCUAAAAUUCAUGGUGGAGAGGUUGAUGAAUUUAAAGCUGCAAUAUCCCACAUAAAGGAGUCUACUCAAGCAAUAAAUCCUCUUACAUAUGUUCUUGAUCCUAACGUGGUGCUUGGGCUUUUUAAAGGAAUGAGUGACAAGGUAUAUUUGAGUUUAUAUCUAUAAUGCACAUGUUUUUCUACAUAGUUUCCUGCAGUAUGUUCUUUUGCUCGCAGAACAUAUGCAUUAGUAUAAAGGGAUUUUCUUAUUUAUUAUUACAGGACUGUGAACUUCUUUAUAUUGCCCACAGACCUGAGAAUCUUAUCAUAACGUGCAUGCUUGUGCCACCUUUAUCAAUCCGACCAUCUGUUAUGGUUGGUGGCUCCCAAAGGUAAGCUAUCAUUUUGAUCUUUCUCAUGUCAAUUAUACUUUUUACUGCUGGUUUUCUUGAAAGAGCGUGUUUUCUUGCUGCAGUAAUGAAAAUGAUUUAUCAGCGCGAUUAAAGCAAAUCAUUCAAGACAAUGCUUCACUUCAUAGAAUUUUAAGUCAACCUACCACUUCGGCGAAAAACAUGGUACGAUGAGUUAUCUAUUGCAUUAUUGCAUCCCUGUUAUAUUUGUGUAUUAAUGCAUUUGGUGCUGUAAAGUUUGUCUCUGUUUUUGUUAAAUCUUACUUCGAAAUGUUUUCUUGGUUUACCCUUUUAUUAACUUUUCUUAUAUUACUAUUUCUUGUUAUAUCAUUUUCUUCUUACUUAUUUUUUGAGGAUUUCUUUUUAGCAAGUGUGGGAUACAGUACAAAGCGAGGUUGCAAAAUACAUUAACAGUGAAGUCCGUGGUGUUCAAAACCAGCCAGACAGCAAACCAAUGAGUGGAAUUCUUCAGCGUCUCAAAGGAAAACAGGGACGUUUCCGUGCAAACUUGUCAGGAAAGCGUGUCGAGUACACUGGUAGAACUGUUAUUUCACCUGAUCCCAAUCUGAAAAUUACAGAGGUAUCUUUUCAUAAAUGGUGUUAAAUUUUUGCUUUUUGUUUAUAUUUUUGGUUUAACUUAUCACAGAGGUAACUAAACUUUUCAGGUAGGAAUUCCCAUCCUUAUGGCUCGGAUCUUAACUUUUCCUGAAUGUGUUUCCCGUCAUAAUAUUGAGAAGUUAAGACAAUGUGUCCGUAAUGGCCCUAAUAAAUACCCUGGUGCCAGAAAUGUCAGAUAUCCGGAUGGUUCUUCAAGGUAAUGUUGUGUCCUAGCUUUGUUACUUCUUGGUUGAUGCAUACUUUUAAAGGGGAGGAAACUGAUCUUGAUGAGUUAAUAUAUCUAGAUAGCUAGUUUUCUCAGUUGAAGUGAUCUUCAGAUUCUGUAAAAUUAUGUGAAAUUGUAAAUCUAUGUUGACUCGUGUAUAGGUUUUGUUCAUGGUAUAUAGGUAGAAAUGAAAAUGUGCAAGUAACAAUUUUUCCUCUUAAUGAAGCCAAGUCAAACCAUUGAGACUUGUUUCAAGAAAAUAGUUACAUUAUUACUGAACUGAAGUUACCUGAUACCACUGAAGGACUCGUCAUAGGGUCAUUUGCAUGUGAUUGGGUCAUCAUAUGGGGGCAUUAACACAUUUCAUUUCAGGGCUUUGGUUGGUGAUUAUCGCAAGCGUAUUGCUGAUGAACUGGCCAUUGGGUGCAUAGUUGACCGCCAUUUGGAAGAAGGGGAUGCUGUUCUUUUUAACAGGCAGCCAAGUCUGCAUCGAAUGUCUAUCAUGUGUCACAGGGUCAGUACUGCUUUAGAAUGCUUAGUCCUAAUCCUAUGCUUUAGAAUGUCUAUAAUUUUUUGCUCUCAUACUAAUCCUAAUCCUAAUUUUACAUUUGUUGUCCUGUAGGCAAGAAUAAUGCCUUGGAGAACGUUGAGGUUCAAUGAAUCGGUUUGUAACCCAUAUAAUGCUGAUUUCGAUGGUGAUGAGAUGAACAUGCAUGUACCACAAACAGAGGAGGCUCGGACAGAGGCUAUUACAUUAAUGGGGGUACUUGCUCUUUUACUUAGCAUCAUAUUAAGUUUCUUAGGGGUAGUCAAUUAUACGUUGGUUACAUUUAACACUCUUUAUGCUCAUAUUAAUGCACACAUACAUAAGUAGCAGAUGAUUAUGAGAUGGAGUCUUACUUAACAAAUUCCACCAAUGAUUUUCAACUAAAUCAACUGAACCUUUAGGCUUUCCAAAGCAAUUUAGAUUCUGUAGUUGAGGGAAUUCUGAGUUUAAAAAUGUUUGAAAAACUUUAUUUGUAAUGUGUAUAUGAACGAUCUUGAUGGACAGAAGGGAUGAUAGAGUUAAAGAGAGGAAAUUUUUUCAUCUAAGUUGUGUUUGUCGUUAGAUAGCUACAGUUAUACUCGUCUGUAUAACUGUUGACAGGACUAAUUAUCUGGUUGAUAUUUUCCCUUCUGGUUGAUUAUUUACUUCUUCCUUGAUUGGUAUUUCAGGUACAAAACAAUUUAUGCACCCCAAAAAAUGGAGAAAUUUUAGUAGCAUCAACGCAGGAUUUUUUGACAUCUUCCUUUUUGAUAACGAGAAAGGACACAUUUUAUGACCGUGCAGCCUUUUCACUUAUAUGUUCUUACAUGGGAGAUGGCAUGGAUGCUAUUGAUUUGCCCACACCCACAGUCCUUAAGGUAUGAGACCUCUACAUGUUUUUCACCUCUAUAGUUUAUCUCAACUGACUUGAGAUUGUUAGAUAGCUACAGCUUGUUCUGUUGGUAUCAACUAUUUUAUAUUUUUAUUUCUAUUUUAUGUGCUUGUUUAAUUCUCUCAUUAGCUUUCUGCUGUCCUACUUCUUCUGGGAAUCCGUCGUCACUGAUUCUUUCUUUUCUUUUAAUCUAGAGAUAAUAGUUCUUAUCUUUGCUCAUCUCACCUUAAUUUCUUUUUCUGGAUGCUCAAGGUUAUAGACAUACUUUGUGGCUAUAUUUUGGCCUUCCCAUAAUGUUAAAGACCUUUUACAUAUCACAUGUUUAAAAACUGCUCCAGUCCAACUACUGUAUCAGCCUGAAUUUGCAUGACAUUUUACAUUAUUGUCUUGAGUUUAAUUAAUGGGUCAAUGUUAGUUAUUGAUAUUUAAUCUGCAUGGUCAAAUAAGUUUUGGUCUUGUGGACACUGGGAAUUCUUCUGCCUUUUUAGCAUUUUCUUUCUUUCUAUUAAUUUCUUAUCUAGAUGCUAUUUUUUAUGCAGCCAAUAGAGCUUUGGACUGGUAAACAAAUUUUUAGUGUUUUGCUGCGUCCAAAUGCAAGUGUUAGAGUCUACGUAACUCUUAAUGUGAAAGAGAAGAACUUCAAGAAGGGAAAUCAUGGUUUCGAUGAGACAAUGUGCACAAAUGAUGGAUGGGUUUAUUUUCGAAAUAGUGAGCUAAUAUCAGGACAAUUGGGGAAGGCUACGUUAGGUAAGUCCAAGAUGGAAUGCAAGAUGUAGCAAAUGCAUCAGAUAGCUGUUCAUUCUGGGAUUUUCUUUCGUGUAUUUUGAGCACUUGAUAUUUUUAUCUAGGGAAUGGAAACAAGGAUGGAUUAUAUUCUAUUCUUCUAAGAGAUUACAACUCUCAUGCUGCUGCAGUUUGCAUGAAUCGGCUAGCAAAAUUGAGGUGAGUUCAUUUUUAUGCAUAUGGGAUUGUUUUAUCUUUUCUGACUACUUUUUCCUUGAUCUCACUGCAACACUUCAAUCUUUAUUAUCCAUCUUUGUCUUGAUUAUUCGUUUUCUGCUUCAUCUCUAUAAUUAAUUUCAAAAGUUAUCUGUUCUUGCUUUGUAUGUACUGUGUUUUCUGUGACCUUUCUCUGCUAUCUGCCAUUGCUGCAUCGCGGCAUUGAGUAAAUCAAAGUUUCUUGUCUAAUUGGUAGCUUUUUUAUCUUGUUUUGUGCAGUGCUCGGUGGAUUGGAAUCCAUGGAUUCUCCAUUGGAAUCGAUGACGUUCAACCUGGGGAAGAGUUGAGUAGGCAAAGGAAAGACGCAAUCCAGUCUGGAUAUGACGACUGCCAUAGCAUAAUUGAGAAUUUUAAUCGAGGAAAUUUGCAACUUAAAGCUGGUCUAGAUGGUGCAAAAACAUUAGAAGCUGGCAUAACAGGGAUUCUUAAUACAAUUCGAGAAGACACUGGGAAGGUGAAUACGUAGCUUAUAUUUCCAGUUAGUAUAUUCAUGUUUUAAGGUAGAAAUGUGAUUUAAUUUACUAAGAUAGGUGUAUGGCCUGAGGUGACACUUUGAUUUGCAAUUAUAUUAUUUUUUUGCGUUCUAGUUUCAUUAGUUUCUUGUUUCAAAGGUGAGUUAUAAAUGUUUCCAAGAUGAGUAACGAGUAAAAAACUCUAUACUGAAGGAAUAUCUUUGACAGUUUAUCUACAUUAAUCAAAUGACAAUGAAUCCUUAAUCUUGUCAUUAUAUUUGUGAUAUACAGGCCUGUAUGGACGGAUUACAUUGGAGAAACAGUCCCUUGAUCAUGUCACAAUGUGGUUCCAAAGGAUCUCCUAUCAAUAUCAGUCAGAUGGUCGCAUGUGUUGGUCAGCAGACAGUUAAUGGUCACCGUGCUCCUGAUGGAUUUAUAGAUCGAAGCCUUCCUCAUUUCCCUAGGAUGUCCAAAUCACCUGCAGUAAGUAUACAGCUUGCCAACCACUCCCCCCGAUUGACUGAUUUAUUUUUGUUCGAAGAUGAUCUGUUAAGUGUUUGUUCUAUUUUCACCUCUCUUGCGUUGCAAUACUCCCCCUAUUUUAACCCCCCUGAGCAAUCUUUAACAUAUUGGAUGCUGCUAGCUCUCCUAAUUACCAGAAAUGUUUUGGAAAAUUUCUUAAGCUAUUAGUUGGAGGUGCUCUGAACAAGUAGAACCAUUUCUCACCACUGAAUAAUUUAUAGUAGGCUUCUUGAGCCUGACCCUAUAGUAGCCUGAUCAAACCAUUUUCCGGUCUGAUUUACUGCUUUGAGAGCUAGGACCUGAUCUCAUGUCUUCUUGGCAUUGCAGGCUAAAGGUUUUGUUGCUAAUUCGUUCUACAGUGGUCUUACUGCCACAGAAUUUUUCUUUCACACUAUGGGUGGACGAGAAGGUCUAGUUGAUACAGCGGUAUGCAUAAAUCCGUCUCUUGUUUUUUCCAUCCUGCUCCACUGUAAAAUAUGAAAAGGUUUUCACUGAAAGAGACAGCCAUGAUGGUUCUCUGUAGGGUGACAGUGUUUUAAUAUCUGGAAUGAAGAUAGUCUUCACCCUUUUGUAACUAUACUCUUGUCUAUUGCAGGUGAAAACUGCCAGUACAGGUUACAUGUCCCGUAGAUUGAUGAAAGCCUUGGAGGAUCUAUUAGUCCAUUAUGACAACACAGUACGAAAUGCCAGCGGAUGUAUACUUCAAUUUACUUAUGGGGAUGAUGGAAUGGACCCAGCACUAAUGGAAGGAAAGGAUGGAGCUCCUUUAAAUUUUAAUAGAUUAUUUCUGAAAAUUCAGGUGCUUUUUUUGGAUAUUUGUAUAUUGGUUGUUUGGUCUCUCUUUAUUUAGAGUUUUAUCACAAUCGGUUGUUGCAUUUGCAGGCUACAUGUCCUCCUCGAUCUCACCACAACUAUCUUUCUUCAGAAGAAUUGUCGCAAAAGUUUGAAGAGGAAUUAGUAAGACAUGAUAAAAAUCGGGUUUGCACUGAUGCCUUUGUGAAAUCUCUUCGAGAUUUUGUUUCCUUGCUCGGAGUUAAGUCUGCAAGCCCGCCCCAGGUUUUAUAUAAAGCAUCUGGUGUGACUGAUAAGCAACUCGAGGUGAGUUUCUUUGUCUUCCUUUUGUAGAAGAAAAAUACUCUGUGCAUUUUGCAUUUCAGUGUUCUUUGUGCGAGUCCUUGAUUAUAUGUACUACAUCUAAUCGACUAAAAAAUUUCACACCUAUUUUCUCCAGCGGUAUAUUUUCUAUAAGCUGAAGAAAAUUUCCCAUUUCUUGUGGUGUUUGGAAAAAAUAUGAAAUAUUACCUCUGAUAUAUAGAAAUAUGCAGGUAUUUGUAAAAAUUUGUGUAUCUCGCUAUCGGGAAAAAAAAAUUGAGGCUGGGACUGCAAUUGGGACAAUAGGAGCUCAGAGUAUUGGAGAACCUGGGACACAAAUGACUCUUAAAACUUUUCACUUUGCCGGAGUUGCGAGCAUGAGUAUCCUUGUUAAAAAUAUGUAUUUUCAGAAUGUCGCUACAAAACUAGUGCUUAUGAGCACAUAUGAGUAGUUUGUUGUUUUGAUUUCCUGAUUCUGGUUCAGAUAUCACACAAGGAGUCCCCCGAAUUAACGAAAUCAUAAAUGCUUCAAAAAAUAUAAGCACACCUGUCAUCUCUGCAGAACUUGAGAACCCCCUGGAAUUGACUAGUGCACGAUGGGUGAAAGGACGCAUCGAAAAAACUACUCUAGGACAGGUUCUCUUUUCCUCCAAAUUUUGAUCUCAAUUAUUUUACCUAUCCAAUCUUUUUGAUAGUUGCUGCUGCUUGUUUUAAGUUCAUAUUGCAGAUGGCAAUUUAUUAAUAACAACUAUUGGAUUGUUGGACCAGGUUGCUGAGAGUAUCGAGGUGCUAAUGACUUCAACAUCAGCGUCAGUGAGAAUAAUUCUUGACAAUAAAAUAAUCGAGGAGGCAUGUUUAUCUAUAAGCCCCUGGUCGGUAAAAAAUUCCAUCCUUAAGACCCCCAGAAUCAAACUGACCGAUAAUGUAAGUUCCUUAGAUUUUAUUGAUGUGUUCAUUGCGGGGCACACAGGUCUUUAGUCUCAUAGCAAUGUAAAUUUUGCAGGAUAUUAGGGUCUUAGAUACGGGAUUGGACAUUACUCCUGUGGUGGAUAAAAGUAGAACUCAUUUUAAUCUCCACAAUCUGAAGAAUGUGCUGCCAAGUAUUAUAGUGAAUGUGAUAUUCGUUAAACCACUCUCUCUCGCAUAUAUACAAAAAAUUUGUACGAUUCUUCAAGUAUAUUUUAUCUUUCACCGACUGAGAGAAUUCUUUCUGUUGAUUUGUUAUUAUAGGGGAUCAAAACAGUUGAGCGAGUUGUUGUCGCGGAGGAUAUGGAUAAAAAUAAACAGAUAGAUGGGAAAAAAAGGUGGAAACUAUUUGUGGAGGGGUAAGUUUUCUUGAGCUUCAAGAGACGAGAUUUCCUCUGUUCUUUUUUCCUUACUGUAAGUGCUAGCUUAGCUGAUAUAACAUGUCUCGUUGGGCAUGAUUUGAUAUGGUGGAUACUUGAUUUUGUCAUUAAGCAGUCUUUGUUUCUGUUUUUUGGUAAGCCACUGAUAUGAUUGUCAGUAUUUCACAUGCUUAAACCAAAAUUUUGAACUAAACGAAAUGCUUUCUAAUACAAAUACAUGUCCAUUUGGAACUCUCAUGAAUAACCAACAGAACUUCGAAGGAUAGUUAUUGACAAAAUUGUGGUGUGAAAGAGAAAAUGUGCUCUCUUUCUAUUUCCCGUUUGAAUAUUUUUCUUGAUAUAUGUUUCAGCACAAACCUCCUGGCUGUUAUGGGAACUCCAGGAAUCAAUGGGAGAACUACUACAAGUAAUAAUGUUGUCGAAGUGAGCAAAACACUGGGAAUCGAAGCUGCAAGGACAACAAUUAUUGAUGAAAUAGGGACAGUAAUGGGAAACCAUGGUAUGAGUAUAGACAUUCGUCACAUGAUGCUUUUGGCUGAUGUCAUGACGUACAGGGUCAGUUCUAAGACACCUGAAUCUGUUAUUAUGAUGUCUAUUCUCUAAUAAUAACUUUUUCUAAUCUUGUCAUAUUAACGAUAAAAAUGUCAUUUCAAUUUCUUGAUCAGGGGGAGGUUCUCGGGAUACAAAGAACCGGGAUUCAGAAGAUGGAUAAAAGUGUGCUGAUGCAGGCAUCUUUUGAGAGGACUGGAGAUCAUUUAUUUAGUGCAGCAAUUAGUGGAAAGGUGGAUAACAUAGAGGGAGUUACAGAAUGUGUGAUUAUGGGCAUACCAAUGAAGCUCGGAACCGGAAUACUCAAAGUCCUCCAAAGGUCAGAUUUCAUUCCUCUUUUUUAAGGUUCAGGUUGCGACUUUUCCUUAUGACAUUACUGGAUUUCUCUUGACUUACUGCAUCCAUGAGCCCUUUUAUGAUAUUGGAAAAUAUGUAAACGUUCAACAUAGGCUUAAGCUUAAUUCGUUAUCCUUUCAUUGUCUUCAUAGAUUCCGGUAUCAAAUACCAUUUUUUCGGUUUGUGCCAUAGCCGUAUAAAUCUCCUCUGUGAAACUAACUAUGUGUUAAUCUUGAUCAACAGGACCGAUGAUCUACCCAAGUUGAAAUAUGGAGCUGAUCCAAUUAUCUCUUGAAAAGACGGAAACAUAGUUUCAUAGCAGUUCACUUUGCAAACUAUAUAAGAUGACAAGCAAUGCAAGAUCAGGCAGAUGAAUGAAAUCAAUUCUUUGGCUCUAACUCAAGCACCCAAUUUGCAUACUAACGGGUAAGCAAAGGCCGGGCAAUAAUCCGCCAAUUUAGAUAAGCCCACGGUUAGGAAAACUUUGCAAGCAUAAUUUAGAUUCAAACUAGAUAUCGGAUUUUUGGUUUACACAAGGGAAAAAUGGUUGGGUGCCCUGACUGUUAUUGACAAAAUAUCCCUGAGCCACUUUCGUUUGAAUCUUUAUAUCUCAGUGAAAGUCACAAAUAGUAACAGUUUACAAAAGAAGAACAAAAAAAAAAAUAUGCUAUUUUGGCUUAGUCAUAGAGUGUAAUCUGCAGCUGCGAUCCAUCUGGCUCUGUCAAGACCUGUCUUAUGAAAGCUCUUCUCCACCACACCUCAAACGCACGUUGAACAUUUGGACAGUCAUCGCCUUUGCUCAGAAACCGAUCAAACCAUUUCAUUAGAAUCACCUGUUGUUGUCUCAGCGACAAGGUCAAUAUGGUCUGGCUGAGUCCAUCUUCCACAAGUUUCCUAUCCAGAGAUCUCGAAGAUAACCGUCUCAUCCACCCAAAAUCAUCAUACAAAGCCUCUAACCAGGUAUUCAAAACCGCAAACCUAGUCUCCCUGUUCACCAAGAUCCUUCCUUUACCUAUACCAACACAUAUCUGCGCGGUGAUCUUGCUUAUUUCGUGUCUGUACAUUGUUGGGAUCUUGGAAUGAAGAUUCGCAAGCUCCUUUUGAUCCGCCCAUAGUUUCACAAACUCAUCACACAUUUUCUUCUCAAUCAAGAUAUCUACCAUCCAUAGCAUGUUCUCGGCUUCUCUGGCGAUUUCUCCCAUCAAAGCACCACGGUCUUUCCCCGGAUCAUUCAUUUGUGUAGUCACUUCAGAUAAGCAAAGCACAAGAGAUGUGAGACAUCUAUGGCACAAACCGUAGAGUGUGUCUUUAGAGACAUCAUAAUCAGCUUCUUCCCUAAUCAACUUAAAGAUCAAAACUUUCAUCUCUCGCCGAGCUUUAUCAUCUUUGGCUUGUAGAACACCAGUGAGAAGCUUCAAGAAGAUAUCAUCGGUUCUCGUUCUCGUCGAGGAAGUCGAAGGUUCAGAUGAAACUCUCUGAAGAAUCAAAGUGACCGAAUCAGCAGGAAGAUGAAGCUCUUCAAGGCAAGACACAACAAUCUCUUCUUCAUCUUCUGACCAAGGAGCAGCUUCCAAAUGCUGCAAACAAGACUCUACUCCUUCAUCAAACAUUAUAGCUGCAGAAACCUAUACAAAAAAAAAAAAGAGAUUCACCAUCCAUCACAAAAUCAAAGCAAACAAACCAAAAAACAAUCUUAUCAAAAUCAAGAUGGAACAAAAUACCUUAAGUAAAGCCAAGAUUUUGAUGACAUUUUCACCGAUCAACUUCUUCUUGAGAUCAUCACUAUACAUCAAAACCACAGUCUCAACAUAAAUCUCCAACUCAUCACACUCGCUUAUCUCCACCAUGUGAGAAACCCCUUUCUCUCUUCUAGAAUUCAUCUUCUCCAUGAAAAACCUGCUCUUCUCCGACAAAACCUUCCGAUGAACAUCCAUGGUGACUCUGUAACCGUCUUUUCCCACCACAGUCAGCUUAACGUCGCUUGGCCCGAGGCUGUGGCCGUAAACGACGCCGUUCUUGAACUCGGUCAAGAUUUGAGCCACGCGCGCGUGAGAUUUCCUCCGUGGUGGCGGCUCGCGGUUGUGCUCAUCGGACAUCAUAUCAAAAAGAGUCGGGUUGGAGUGGGUCGAUUCGUUAGGCGGAGGAGGCGGCGGAGGAGGAGGAGGGGAGGCGGUGGAGAAUUUAACGGGAGAUGUGAUUCUUGACGGAGAAAACGAGAGAGAAGGGUCAGCGAUAAACCCUUGUUUGAUCAUCGUUGAUACUUCUCUUGACGCCAUUGAAGAAAGAAAAAAUUCUCAAACUUUCUCGAGCAAGAAAAUUCCCGCGGGAAAAAUUUAGCAAAGUGACUGAGUGAAGAAAAACAAAAAAUAUAAUCUCAAAAAGAAACAAGAAAAAGAGGUAAAUGGGGGAAACCACAAAAUCUUGUCGACUUUAAGAAGAAGUUUAAAGAGAAGACAAAGAAGAUUGUGAAAAAAUUUGUUUUUCUUGGGAAAACAAAACAAAGGUGCAGAUAUGUUUUAUGUUUAUAUAUAUGUAUCCCCACAAGAAAAAUGAAAUUGGGAGAAUCAGAAUCCAAGAAAAUGAUAGGACUUUGGAUCUGUGAAUAGAAAUACAAAUACAAUUGCAAUGGCGAGUGAGUGAGUGAGUGAGUAAGAGAAAAAAAAUGAUUAUAAAAAAUAAAAUAAAAAGUUACUUGUUUUAUGUAUCUUUUUACAGAUAGACAGAUAGAUAGAUCAUUGCCUCCAUGUGCUCUCAAAUUACAUACAUUGAGAAAAUUUAAAUAUUUUCAUAUAUCAUAUAGUUGGAAUUCGAGAUAAACUCAAAGACCAAAGGUAACAAACUUUUACGGUUGAAAUUUGUCAUUUAGUAAAUAUAUCAUUUCAUUCAUAUUUUCGAUUUUACAUUUUUUUUAUUAUCCCAUCUGAGAGAGAGAGGGGUACACAUGGAUUUGAAAGCUGAGGGACAAAUCUAUAUAAAUCAUCUGUUCAUACUGUUAGAAUUAUGCGUUUGUUUGAUCAAAAGAUUUUUAUCUCUUGGAUCUUGUCAAUCAACUAAAAACUUUGUCGUCUAUAUGCGUAAGGUUGUUUAUAAAAAAUAAAAAAACAUUCACAUAUCAAGCUCAAACUUGUUCCAUCACCGACUACUACUACUUAUAACAAAAAAGAAAGAUAGUUGUGGGAAGGCAUCACUGGCCCAAAGCAUUAACUUUUAUUUCUCCAAAUUUUGUGGCAACUAGAAGAGACCUAUCAGGAUUAUUGUUUGGAAAACAAGUAGACAAUUUAUUUCUCCAAUUGAAAACUUUGGUUACCCUCUCUCACAUGGCAAAUUUUGUAAAAUCGUUAGAUGUUGUUGCAGUCCACAUGCUUCCAUUGUAAUACAAUCACAAAUUCUGAUGUAUAACACAUUCAUUAACUUUGUAAUAUUCCGUUUGUCAUAUACAAUUACGGCUUAUUAUUUUAUAAAUUGAACAGCGGAACUGAAGGCCCAAAUCAUAGAAUAGGCCCAAAUAUUUGGGCUUUAUAGGAAAUGUCCACAUUGAAGACACCAUCACCGUCGCUGCAAAUCCUUCUGCUUCGUCCUCCAUUUCUAUAGUCUCUAUAGAAUAUACAACCUCCGGCGGAAUCUCCGGCAGGAAUCUGAACGGAGAAAGAACAGUCAUCUCCUAUAAACAGAGCCACGUCUCCUAACUCUCUCACCUCUUCCCAUCUCUUCUCUUCUCUCUUCAGCUUAUAAACUCUAAACUCCACCGCAGAUUUGGAGUUCUCCGAUUUGCACCAAACGUGUUUCACGUAUUUGUCAACCAGCAGCACUUCUCCGCCGGGAUAUUCCACCAGAUGCUUCUUGUGGCCUCCUCCUCCGACCAAACCAUCAGCCAAAUCCGAAACCUUGAAAUCCACAUCGUAAAUUACGGUUUUGCCCUUGUCGUCUACAACGAUGCAAUAGCUCUCCUCUCUGUACAACAAUAUGUCCUCGUAAAUCACAUUCCACGAAUUGUCCAAAAUUCUCCAUCUUUCUUCGUCUCCGCUUUUCAAAUACCCUAAUUUCCCACCACUGUGAAUCGCCAUUAUCGCAGAGCAUUCCCCUGAAGAAAAAAUCACAACUUUCUCGGAGCUCAGAGACCAGAAACACGACAUCUCACCACCACCAUUGUUUGCGUACUCCAUACGAUAAGCUCUACGAACCAAUCUCACAUGAAACUCCUGCAAAUCGAUCUUUCCCGGGAAUUUAUCAGGUAAGAAACAGAUUCUGUCGUUUGAGAAGAGAUCCAAUACUCGCAUUUUCCCAGGGGAUGUCUCUUGAAGCUUAACCAGCCAAGUACUUGGAUUCAAAGGAGCUUCGAGUUUAUAGAUACUACUCUGUUUCAGAACGAAGAAACCAGAGGCUGGUGAAGAAGAUGACCAAAAAGGAAGGUACUCUGGGAAUUUAGACAAACGAUUUUUUUUGUUGUUGUCGGAGAGAGGAAGACAGAGACGCCACGUGGCGCACACAGAGCGGAGACAGAGGAGAUCAACUGCGUCUGAUGAGCCGCCGUGGUCAAGACGACCGGAGAUCAACUCAAGAAUAUCUAAAGGAAGAUCAGACCAUUGAGAAGGAAGAAGAGAAGAAGAAGACUCCAUGAAAAAAGAACACAAAAGAAGGAUUAUGAAUUGUUCUGUUCUGUUUUUCUUCUUGGUUUUAGGAAUUUGGAUCAUAUAACUGUAUAAAUAAUGUCUAUAUAAUGUCGUUAUGAUUCAUCUUUGAUGUUGACAUCAUUUCAUUUUUUUUCUAAUUAUAUAAUCAUAAAUGUCUACUUUCAGUAGUUGUCUUUGUAGUUUUUAUAAUUUUAUACAGGUGCAUGAUGUCUAUUUAUGUCUAUUUAAACAUAUUUUACUAGUAAACCAUGUUUUGAUAUAAAUUAAUAAAAUGUUUAGAGAAUAUUUUUUGUUAUUUUACAAUGUACCAUUGACCAAUAGGCUUUUUAAAAAUUUAUCAUGGUAAUAACGAUUGUAUUAUUUUGAUAUAUUUAUUAAAAUAUUGACGUGUAAGCGAUACACAAUGAUCUCAGAAUCAAUUUUCUUAUCCAUUGAUAACUUCCACUUUUUUUUUUGUCAACUGCUACAUUUUAAAAAAAAAAUAGAAAGAAAUGUUCAUUUCUAUAAAAUUCAAUACUAGUUUUAAACGUGGCAUGAAAUAAUUUUUGUAAGAGAGAACAUUAUAAUUAUAUCAUAAACGGAAGAAACAUUUUACCAAAAAAAAAAUAAACGGAAGAAACAAAUAACACAAUUUUUACGUUAUAACUUUGUUUACUUCUUUCACACGCUUCAUCAGUCUCUGCUUAAUUUCUACAUGAUCUUUGUAUCUAAAUCACUAAAUAGCAUACAUUCUCUUUGUUAAAAUCCCAGAAAAUUCCAGCAAUCCUGAUUGUCUCGACCUUUCCAUGGACUCUUUCCUGGACUUUCUCACAUUAGAAGCCUCGAUACGAUGCAUUAUGACCCAAUAGCACAUUGUCCCUAGCGUCGUGAGCAUUAUAGACGCACCAAACACCGUCACCCCAACGGCUAGCCACCGCUCAUCAUCACCAACCACCACAAACGCUAACGCCAAAAACGCCACCGAUAUCAAAACGCAAGCCAACCACAUCAGCUUGUUUAUUACAGCCAUCAUGUUCUUCUUAGCCUUGUGCUCGAUUGCAACCACCGAAGUCUGAACCACCACAACCGCUAAAGAUAUAAAAAGAGCGAUGGAAUCGAAUAUGAAGAAGAUCGCAAACGCUGGUCUAUCCGCUAUAUUCGCUUCUCCUAAGGAUUGUCCCGGAGAGAGCGAACUCAAGUCAUCGGCGUAUUGUCCCGGUACGGUGAAAAUGGCGGCGAAAGCUACGGUUGCGAUUAAAACGGCCACGACUGUGGUUGAGUUAAUAGCGUUGUCAAGACCUUCUACGUGCAUUUUGUUAAUGCGUUUGGCGAUUCCUUGAACGCGUUUCCUCGUCUCUCGAGCGUGCUCUAGCUGGUGGUGAACCUCGUGUUUGAUGUCGCUCACCGUUUGUUUAAGCUCACGGGCAGCGUUUGGCCGAGUAGAGUUGUUGAUGGCUUUGGCUGAUGGAACGCCGCGGGUUUUCAGAACCGCAGCGAUCUCCGGAUGGCCUAUUUUCUCAGCCGUAUCGAGCGGCGUUUCUCCGGCUCUGUUUAUCGCUGUUGUGCUUGUGCUUGUCUCGUUGUUGUCUAGAAGCAAUUCCACUAUCUGCAAUCAUGCACGUUAAUUAAAAUCUCAAUAAACUAUAUAUUUUUUCAAUAAUUUCCAAGAUUUAUCAUAACACAUAGUGAAGACUCGAUUCUUUGUGUGUAUUAUAGAGUUUAUACCAUAAUAUUCAUUUUCUAACGUAUAAAUGUCGCUAAAUGUCACACGUAAUGAAAAGGACAUAAAAAAACGAAAAGUUGCAUGUACAUCUUACAAAAGUAUAUAUAUUUAAGCUGUUUUAUUACCUAUUUAAGUUACAGAGGACAUGUCUACACAUUACAUUAUUUAAGUACUAGUGUGUUUAAAAACACUCGUCGUAUGUUUUAAAUUUUUCUCUAUAAAUUGUAGACACAAAAACGCAAAUAUUUGAUAUAAAGAUAUAUGGAUUAAGUAAUUUCUAAGACGAGUAAAAACACCAUUUGUAACACAAAUUAUGUAAUUGGAGAUGAUUAACUAACCUUAAUGCGACCUUUCCUAGUAGCAACAUGUAACGCAGUGUUCCCUUUAAAAUCAGCCAUAUUCAGUGACGACCGAUGUCCCUUCAUCAGCUCAACCACCACGUCAAUGCUUUGUCCUUUCACGGCCAUAUGAAGUGGCGUCUGACCUUUUUUAUCAGUUCUCGUUGCCGUGUCCGGCUCAACCGCCACAAUCGCCUUUACGACUUCCUCGUGACCAUUCCUAGCCGCCGAGUGCAAUGCUGUUUUACCGUUGCUCUUUGCGAUCGCGGCUAGGCUACUACCUGCCGCUUCUAGUAGAUACUCUACAACCUCCACGUGUCCCUGAGCUGCCGCAGUGUGUAGAGCCGUCGUGUUUGAUAAGUCCACCGUCAUUGCUAGCUCCGGAUGUUCCUCCAUUAGUACUCUCAAAACGUCUAUAAAAAAUAUUCCAAAUUUCAUCAGUUUAUCACACAUUAAUUUUAUGAACGUGGUUCCUUAUAUCAAACAAAGAUUAACACUUUCAUCAUGUGUUUAUCUAGUUGUUUCUCCCCAAUGCUUAAGAUCAAAGAUCACAAAUUUCUUCAUAUGUUUAGGUCAUUUUAAGUUCAAUUCUUAAUAUCAAGCAAAAAGAUUGAAAUUUCAUGAAAGACAACAAAAUCCAUACCCAAUUCGCCUUGUUUAGCAGCAAUGUGGAAAGGAUCAAACCCAUUUCUAGCUUUAGUCUCAGCGUCUUCAAGAUCAUAGUACUUGAUGAGCUCUGCAACCACCUCGGCAUCACCAUAUUCUGCCGCCACAUAAAGAGCUGUCUCACCGCAUUGGUUCUGUUUCCGCAACAACUCUCUCAGUUCCUCUUCUGAUUCCAUAUGAUUACUCAAAAUCUCUGUCACCGCAGAGAAAUCUCCACGUCUGACAGCCGAAUGGAGCGGCGAAUCUUCACGUUUACCAGUCAGCUGUUUGGCCAUUGUCUUUCUAACAACAUUUGGUUUUGCAGCCAUUGGUGCUGAUGUCGAUGUUGAUGCUUCCUCCAUUAGAUCAACACGGUUUGAAAAUUUGAUUCAAUACCUAUAUCAAAUAGGAUGUAAAACAACAUCAUUUUUGUAAUGUUAAGACUAAUUAUUGUAUUGAAACAUUCAAUAAGAUGUGGAUCUAAAGAUAACCUAACAACCGGUAAAACGUUUUGUGGUAUAUAUGAUCAAGACUCAAGACCUUUACAACAUGACUUGUAAAGUUGAAGAAUCAUCCAUCUGAUCCAGUUUGAUUUGGUGGGUUUUCAAGGAAUUCGAAUUCAAAUCUAUGCAUCAUCGGAAACCAAAGAGAUUGUUUUGAAAAUUCCAAAGGUAAGAACCAUUCUGUUCUGUUUUUCCUUCUCCCUCAUCUUCUCUUCUAUUUUAAGAAAGUUUAGUAACAGAGAAAUGAAGAAAAAUAAUCUCAAACGUUGAUUAACAACUACUUUACAGAUGGCAUUGUCUCAAAAACUUCACACCCUGACCUUGUCUCAUUUCAUAAAAGCAGUAACAAAACCAUCCGUUACAUAACCCAGUCUGAUAUAUGUUUCUGACAAAACCAAAAAAAGCCUACAUAAUAAUAUCGCCUGAUCAAACUUCUUAUGUAGAACGUCGCUCCUCCUCUUUCGCCUCGGGAACCACUUGAACCGGGAACGCUGCAGCUUCACGAACCAAAGUUUCCACAAAAUCCAUAGCAGGCCGUUCAAGUGGCUGUGCGUUUAUACACAUCCUCGCAGUUUGAAAUAUUCUGUUUAAACCUUCAGCCGAGUACUUUUUACCGAGAGCAACAUCAAGUACCACAGGCGCAUACUCCAAUCUACCCAAUACUGGCAUUAACUGCAAAAGAAAUAUACACAUCCGAGAAAACCUAUAUUACUUCAGUAACACGAAACGUUUAAACAAAGUUUUUGAGUCUUACCCAAUCAGUGAGUUUCACUUUCGCUUCAGGUCUCUCCGGAUCAUAAGCUUUCCUUCCAGUGAAGAGCACCAACAGUAAAACUCCAAAGCUAUAGACAUCGGACUUGGUCGAAACCAACCCGGAGUUCUCUGUUUCCGGUGCGAUGUCUUCUUCACUUCCAUUCGUAUUGAUCUCCCACUGUCUCUCAGUGCCGUCUUCAUUGUAAGCGAUCUUACCCGCAUUUCCAAAACCAGUCAGCUUUGGCACAAAGUCAUCAUCAAGUAAAAUGUUUGUGGCUUUGACAUCUCUGUGAAUCGAAGAAAGCCCCUGGUGUACGUAAACCAGGCCUUCGGCUACACCCACAGCAAUUCUCAUCCUCGUGUCCCAGUCCAAAACCCUAGUUUCUUGCGUUAGACCUUGAACCUUCCUCGCGUGUGCUACAAAAAACGAGAAGGAGUUAACAAAACUGGAACUGGAAUACAAGUAAAACAGAGUUGAUUAGGGUUUGUAUUGAUUACCAAAGAGAUGGUGGUCAAGAGAGCCAUUAGGCAUGAAUUCGUAAACUAAGGCAGUGUCUUGGUGGCCGAAGAAUUUUCCGAGAAGUUUAAUCACAUUUGGGUGAUCAGCUUCAUCAUGUAACGUUGUAAUCUCUGCCAAAAACUCAGAAAGACCAGAAUGGUCGCCAUGAUUAUGAAUCUUUGCAGCUCCAACCUAAUUAACCAAUCAAAAGUUGCUGGUUUUAGAAAUUGGGUUUCGAAUUUCUAACCAUAAAGGACAAGACUUUUAGGUUCAUCAUACCUUAUGAAUUCUUGGGAAAUUGCAGCGAUAAACUUUGCCGUAUUUGCCUUGGCCGAUCAAAUGUGUCACCCCGAAGUUCUCAGUUCCGUCUACGAUCUCUUGCCAUUGAAAUGUAACUAAGCCUUAAGAAAUAAAGAUAACAAAGAAGAAGAAGAAGAAGAAUCCUAGAUUAGUUUCACGAUCAUCAGAGAAAACAGACUUGCUUGUGAUACAAGAAAAUAAGAAAAGGAGAAAAUUCACGAUCAUCAGAGAGUUCAAUAUUCCAAAUUGAAACUACUCACCUCGUUCGUCAUUACUUUCCGAUGCUUGUGGUAGUUCCGCUGGAUCUUGCACCACUUUACUUGAGCUUCCGCCUCCGAGACAGCAUGCGAAACGACUCAUCGCAGCGAUCGACGAAGAUAUAUCUUUCUUGAGGCUUUUCUUGUUUUCUUUUCUCCCGAGAAUCUCUUUCCCGGAAAAUGUAAUUAGAUAGAGAGAGAGAGAGAACUCUCUACCAAAAAACUAGAGCGAGAAGAUGUGGGACUUUGUGUGGGAGACUGAUAGAGAAACUCGAAUGAUGAUCACUAAAAGAACUAGCAGGGAGAUAUAUAUACAUACACAGGUAAAAAAAUUAUUAUUAAUUAUAGAAUUAAUAAUACUUUCUUUAUUUUUUUGUCGCCACUUAUUAGAUUUUAUAAAAGAAGAAAAACGGGUAAAUAGUCUAAUCAAGAUUACAAUUGUGUAUUCGGUGAAAUUUGAAUGUUAAAGACCAAUCAUGACUCAUGAGUGAAUACAUACUGUAAAUAGCUACAUACUAUGGCCAAAUACAAUAUUUAAAACAGAGUACUUACUAAGCUUUCUAUAAGAGUAUAGCCAAACUCUCUUAAAGUUAGUGAAACUAUCUUAUUGUUCUUCAGAUUUGUGAAGUAAAAUCUCUCUUUUAUACCAAAGUUGGUGAAACUAUCUUAUUGUUCUUCAGAUCUUUGAAGUGAAUCACUCUUUUAUACCUUAAAGGCAAUUGACUCCAUGUUUACGGAGAUGAUAACCACUAAACUACUGAUUCAAACCAUAUAUAGAGUUUCCUUCUUGGUAUAUAUGAUCAAGAGUCAAGACCUUUCCCAACUUGACUUGUAAAGUUGCAGAAUCAUAUGCAUUGAUCCGAUAGAAUCGAUUUGGUGGGUUCUUGAAUCUGAAAUCAAAAGGAUUAAACAUCUAAUUAACAAAACUCCAACAAGAACGUUUGUGCAUUUGUGCUCUGAUUUUUACCUCUUCCCUGUUUUAAGAAGUUUCAUAAACAGAUAAAUGAAGACAAAAGAUCUUAAACGUUGAUUAACAACUUUUAGAUGGUAUUGUCUCAAAAAAAUCACAACAUGAUCAAAUUAGCUAGUAGAACCAGUAACAAAACCAAGUCUAUAAUAUGUUUCUGAAAAAAACCCAAAAAACCAUAAAAAAAAAAGAAGCCUGCAUAAAACCGCCUGAAGAAACUUCUGUUAUAUCGUAUGGCUCAUUUCCAGCAGAGGCACCACUUGAACCGGGAAAUUUGCAGCUCCAAGAACCAUCUGUACUACAUCAGCCAUGGCAGGGCGUGCACGUGGCUCUUCCUUUAUACACAUAAAUGCAGUCUCAAAUAUUCUCCUUAAACCUUCAACCGAAAAUCUAUUGCCGAGCGCAGUAUCAGCUGUCAUCACAGACUCAGACGCAUUCCCAAAUCUACCCCAUACACGCAGAAACUGUCAAAAAGAGAACAUCCAAACACCAACUCAGUUUUAUAUAUUACUUGCAGAACACGAAACAUAUAAAAAGUUCCUAAAUGCAAGGUUUGAGUCAUACCCAAUUAGUGAUUUUAUGUUUCUCGGCCUCAGCAGGUACUUGGUUAGGAAUAAAAGGUUUCCUUCCGGUGAAAAGCACUAACAGGAAAGCCCCAUAGCUAUAGACGUCGGACUUGGUCGAAACCAACUUGGAGUACUCUGAUUCCGGUGCGAUGUAUCCUGGAGUUCCCUUCAUCAGAUCGAUCUUCCUCUCCUUCUCAACGCCUUUUUUAUUUACUUUGACUUUAGUAGCCAGCCCAAAAUCAGUCAGCUUCGGCACAAAAUCCGCAUCAAGGAGAAUAUUCCCGGCCUUGACAUCUCGGUUUAUUACUUUGAGCUCCUGGUGUAGAUAAAGCAGACCUUCAGCUACACCCACGGCAAUUUUCAUCCUCGUCUCCCAAUCCAAACGCCUAGUUGGCUGAUCUAUACCCUGAGGUCGCACUCUCUGACGCUGCCUCGCGUAAUCUACAAAAAACCGAAUGUUAAUGAAGGAGUUAAGUAAGUUUAAACACCAGACUAAAUAAAGGUUUGUUUGAGUAUUUCUUUACCAAAGAUGUGGCGUUCAAGAGAGCCAUUGGGCAUGAACUCGUAAACAAUAGCACGGUUUCUGCGGCCGUAACAUUUUCCAAGAAGUUUAAUCACGUUUGGGUGAUUAGCUUCAUGUAACGUUGUAACCUCUGCCAAGAACUCUUGAUGACCUGCUGGAUUGUCUCGAUUCUGAAUCUUCACAGCUCCAACCUAAUCAAUUAAAAGUUUAGAAACCGGGUUUCGACAUUUAACCAUAAAGGACACGACUUUUGGGUCUAUACCUGGUUAGUUCUUCUGAAUUCGCAGCGAUAGACAUCGCCGAAGUUGCCUCUGCCGAGUAAACACGUUUGCCGGAAGUUUAGGGUUCCGUCUAAGAUCUCGCGCCAUUGGUAUGAUGGUCCACAAUUGGCAGGUAGAGGUGGGUUUAUAGGGAAAAGAAUAGCAUUCGGAUCUGCAAAAUGAAUCACUAAAACGUUAGAGAUAGAUUGAACAAGAUCACCCUAAAUCAAUUUCUUGUGGUACACGACUAUAAUAUGACGUUAAUGAUUCAGUUAAUUUCGAGACAAGAAGAACUCUACGACUUUCACUUGCAUGAGAAAGUGACGAGAUCAAAACGAAGAAACAAGUAACUCUUAAAGAACAGAUUUGCUUAAGGUACAAGAAACCAUAAACACACAAGAAAUCUCGAUUCCUAAAGAUUUGAAACGAAAGCGGAACCUUCAACUCCAGGACUUUGAGGGAUCUGGAGCUCAUCUCUCCAAAUACGAUUGAGGAACUCGUUUCGCCCAGAUGGUUCGUCGUCAAACACUUGAUUCUGCGCUGCGCUAUUUGAGCUUUCUCCUUUGACACAGCAGAAGAAACCUUUCAUCAUCGUAACGAUCAGCGAAGAGAAAUCUUUCUUGAGGCUUUUCUAUUUAGUUUCUCGAGAAACCUUUUUCCCGGAAAAGAACGUAAUUAAACAGACUCUCAACUAGAAAACUUGAGCGAGAAAGAGAACGAGAGAGAGUGAGUUAAUGAUGAGCACUAAACGAUCUCGGCGGAAAAAAAUGUAUAUAUAUAUAGAGAGAGAGAGGUGAGAGUAUGCUCUGUUUAUUUAUUAAAUUGGUAAAUUAAUAAUACUCUGUUUUUUUUACUCUGUUUACUGGUUCGUUUCUUAACGGCAUGGAAGUUAACAAAAAAAAAAGUGUAAUUAAGGGAUACUCAAUGAAUAUUUUUUUUUAAAUAUAAAUCAGAGAUUACUGAGUAAAAUGAUUGAAGGAACUAAUACACUAAUGCACAAGAAAAUUCUGUAGCAACAUUAUUAUGUUUGUAGAAAUACGAUAUUUAAACAAUACACUAAUACACAAGAAAAUUCUCAUGACAAUAGUCUUUGUAAGACUUUAUUUGAAAAAAGUAUAUACUGUAUAUAUAUGCCCUCCACUUUAGUGAAACUUUUUUUUUUGUUCUUUAGAUCUUCUAAGUGUGUAUAUCUAUUCUCUCUUUUAUACCAAUUUCGUUGUUUAGCUGUCGUCACUACUUGGACACUCACUUCCUGAUUUAGUAUCAUCCCUCCUAAUGUUAAAAAAAAAGGUUUCUCUACGUCAGUAAAUUACUAUAUGAGGAAUAAAUUUGUAUAUUCAGAGAGUGAUAUGGUAAGUGGAUUCAGACUUACUUGCGAAUAAAUUGACCUUUGACGCGAGGCCGUUGCUCAGCUAGUUUCUUCCUGCUAUGGUACCUAACCUAAAGAAAACAAACAGGCGCAUAAUUUUUGCCUCAAAAAACUAGAGCUUAAGCUUGUUUGGAGCUACCUUUUUCUCAAAACAUCGUUCUUUACGUUUGAGGCGAAACUUCAUCAGAGCAGCUUCUCUUUGUGCUGAUCUUUCGCUUCCACUAGACUGCUGAUUCAAAGGAUUAUCACUGCUUGAACCCGAACCUAUCAGUUUUGCAAUAGGACUGUCAUGAGGAGAACAACUUCCCACAUUUUCUUCUGGAGCCUAAGUCAGCAAAAAUUAAAGCUUGUUGAUGAAAACUGUCAUAGAUUUUAAAGACAGCACCACACAUCAUAAAAUACCUUACAAGCAGAAGUAGCACAGUUAUUGUACCUGCAUAUCACACACGAAACAAUAACUCCAAAUCAGUCACAGGUUUGAUUUGUCAGUUGAGGUCAAGAACUUACUUUGAGAAUGCAGAGUGACUGGAAUGCCUCAAAACACUUUGAUCACCGAUUCUGUAAUCCCCAGCCUCUCUUGGCAAAUCUUCUGGGAGAGAUGAAGGUGCUUUGCUUUCUACUUGUGAGUUAUCAUUGUUUCUCUCCAAAGCUUGAACAUGAUUUUUUGCAUCCUUGUCAUGGUUUCCUCGUUCUUCAACUUUUUUACCUAUAAACAUUCCUUCCUGCGAUCCCAUUCCUACUGCAAAAUCAUCUAAAGUCAUCGUUCUGAGUUAGAGUACAACAGAGAAAUUAUCCGGAAUGUUUCUCCAAAACCAGUGUAUUGUGAUUUUAAUUGGCCAAUAAAUUUAUGCUCUUACCUAUCUGUUCAUUCUGAUCUUCAAUUUCCUUCAGUUUAUUAACAUCAUCCAAUCUGUUGCCAUUAGUUCUCGGGUUCAUAUUGGUUCCAUCGGGAAAUUGAUAUGAAGGCGAGAUACUGUUGAUAUCACCGGCUCUUUUGGUCCAAGAACUCUGUUAUUAUAAUUGAAAACCAAUUAUAACUCACAACAGAUUCCUCAGACAUAACUGUUCUCUAUUGCCAUGGAAACAUAUUACCUGCGUUCCACUCCCGUUAUCACUCCCACCAUCUUGGUCACCCAAACCAUUACUCCCAUUUUCAUUCCCCUGAUCUUCAUCACUAAUGCUGGCAUCGUUUUCUGACCCUUCAGAGCUUUCAGUUUUCACUGGCUUCUUGUUCUGUAUUGCACUCUCACUUCCGCUUCCGCUAGACUGGUAUAUAAAGAAACUCAUAAACAAAAAAUAAGAACACAGUCCACAGAGUAACUUCAAAAAUAAAAAGUAAUCAAAGCAGAACACUUACACUGUGACAUCUUCUCCAGACAUGUUGCCAAAGAUUCUUUAGUUCGUUCUUUCUAAUGGGUUUCACGAGAAAAUCAACAGCACCAUUCGACAAACACUUAAAGACCAGAACCAUAGAAUCAUGAGAUGACAUCACUACAAAAAAAGAGAACAUCACAUCUUGAGUUAGACUAACUGAGCAUCACAUACUGAAACUAGGUCCAGAAAAUUUAAUGAAGAUUAAGUAAAUACUUAUAACAGGGAUGUUCUUUAGUGUCUUAUGGCUCGUAAUCUUGGACAACAGACAAGUUCCAGAUUGCACAGGCAUGACAACCUCUGUUAAUACAAGAUCAAUGCAACUCUUCUCGUCUUCUAGGAUUCUCCAGGCUUCAAGGACAUUCGAAGCUGCAGUGACUGAUGAAAUGUUUCCAAAUUUACAACAGUUAGUCGAAAGCAACAAUGUGAUAGCUAAACAGGAUGAUAAAUUCAAUCAAUAUACCUUCAUAGCUACAAUUCUUCAAAAGGGCAGUAACAAUAUGGCGUGUUGAGUCAUCAUUCUCCACGAGAAGAACCUUAAGUGAUCUAACCGGGAGAUACCUCUCCCACUUCACAACAGGAGCUAGUGGUGGUUGUUGUUGAGAAAUCUGUAUCAAAUUGUUGGCAUUUCCAGUAGUAUCUCCAACUCGAAAUUCAUCUUGUUCGGAUAAACCAAACACUUGCCUCUCGGUUUCAACUUCAUCACCAGUUUCGUUGUUAUUAAAACACAUUUUAGAAUACUAAUGUCUGAUGACAGUGUUAAGACCAGCCUCCAUGAACAAGAUAGAACAGAAGCAGCAUCAAAUAACGUCUAAGAUUUUGCAGAAACUUCCCCUCUACACUGGCAUAACAUUUGCACAUAUCUUCUUUUGCCAAACUUAUUUUAAUCCCUUCAGCAAAACCUCAACAUUAUAAGAGAGAGAGAGAAAAAAAAAGCACAACAAUUCGUAAGAAAAUCACACCAGAACCAAAUAAAAACCUGAAUUUGGAUAAAUUAACAAGCUUUGUCCAAAUAAAAGCUAAACAAGCCAAAGGCAAAUUCAAAUUUCAAUAGUAACACAAUCAGCUUUCAAAAACAAUCCGAAAGUUAUUGCUUCUGAAAUGUGUACCAAUACAAAAUCAUCACAAUACUUGGCAACAAGAGAUUGGAAACAACUAAAGAAGAAGAGAUGAGUAACACUGAUUACAGUCUCUUUGAUUUCAUAGAUCUAGGAUCUCCUACUUUCCCAUAGUCCUUAGAAAUUUUCAGAACCCAGAUAGGCAGAUACAACAUCAAACUAUAAGCAAAUGGUACAAAAUGAAACUAUAAGCUACGGUAUACUAAACGAGAUAGGCACAAAAUUGAAACAGCACCAGCUUGUCAAAGGGACAAAAAAAAAAAAAAACAGACCUUUGUAGCUUAAAGCCUAUCCAUAAAUGAAGAACACCACCACCACCAAAACCUCUCAUCAUGUCUGACUUCAAAACCCCAAAAAAAAAAAAGAACAGAUUUUGCUUAAUCUGGUUUGUUUAGCAUUUAAUCUGGUUUUGAUUCGUAUCAAUAUUUUCUUUUACCAACAACUAUACAAGAUCCAAUUGCUACUAUAAAUAGAAUUUAAAAAAAAAACAAAAUUAUAAACUUUAUAGAGAAACAGAGAAGAAGAGAUUGAAAGAUUGGGACUUUUGGGGAGGUGGUGGAACAGAAAGAGAAGAUAUUAUUUUGGGAUUGAUGACGUGGCGUAUUUAGCCUACGUGUAAUGUGCGACUCGAUUCCGAGAUUGGUGACGUAGACAAAAUCAAAAGCUUGGACACUGAAGGUUGGUUAAGAGCUAAACCGAAUGUCGUGGCCAAAGAGUCAACAAACGUCGACGUUUCGAUUUACAUAUAUAUUUUUUUUUUUUCUAAUUUUUGACUUUAGUAAUAAUAUUGUAAAUAUUUGGAUAUAUAGAAUUAUGAUUUCCCCCGAUUAUCUUGGAAUAUUCUUAACUCAGAUAAUGAUUACUGUCUAUCUAUAUAUACACCAUAAGUCUUAUAACAUUAAUACGUAAACCUGUGGCAUGUGAAAUGAACUUCGACGGCGGCUCAGUGAUUCCCGGUGCCGCUAAAGAAACACUCAAUGCGGAACCUCAGUUUCAUAAGCUUUACUUUAAUAGUUUUGUAUGCGUAGAGAGAGUGGUGGUCCAGAGCGAAAAGCCGGUCACAACUACUAGAUUUGAGGUUUCAAUCUACGACCACAAGGACUAUCUGGUAUUGAAGACUAAUGGACUGCUGCGUGACCACUACGUGACUUCCACAGAGGCUCAUGUUAGGGCUUUAAUGCGUGGCCUAGAAGAAACCACUAAACUAGGGAUCAAUCACGUUUCUAUAUACUGCCGUCUCCCUCAGAUUUUCAAAUACGUAAGAUUCACAUUUUCUUCUGCUUAUAUCUCAGCCAUGAAUAAUAAUAUUGGAAAAUGUAACCUUGAUUUUUGUUUUUUUGAAUCUAGCUAUCGAAUAUAUCGAAUCCCAAAGAGAAAAAGAUUGCUUUGCUGAUGGAUGAUGUGAGAGUUAUGAGGAAGCAAUUCAUGUCUUGCAAUCUUGUUAAGAUGUUCGAUGAGAGUACUACCAAUCAUAGGGGAUUCGCUAAAAAAGAGACUUGCCAAAUCUGUUUCGACGACGUUGAUCAUGAUCUAAUGUUCUCUGCUUGUGUACACGGCCAUAGAUUUUGCUUAGCUUGUGUGAAAUCACAUAUCGAAGUGAAGCUUCUUGAUCGAAAGAUACCGACAUGUCCUCAGCAUCUCUGCAAGUCUCACCUAUAUAUGGAUAGAUGUGGCGAGAUAUUGAAUGAAAAGCUGCGUUUGAUGUGGAAGCCGAUGACUAGGGAGUAUUCAAUUCCUUAUAACCAGAGAAUUUGGACGUAGGACAUGCUUCAACUGCGGUGGCGACUUCUGUAUCAGCUGCAAAGUUCCGUGGCAUGGUAAGCUAAGCUGCGCCGCGUACGAGAAAUUGCAUAGUCAAUUGUUAACAAAUGGCGUCGAUGUGACAAUUGCCAACACAUGGUUGAACGCUCUGCCGGAUGCGACCACAUGACUUGCAGGUACGACCUACAUACAUAUUUUUCCAGAAAGCAACAUUGUUGUUAAGAGAUGUAGAAUUGGUUAUCGAACUAACUUGAUUUUAUUAACAUCCCAAACUUGGGUAUUUAUACAAACGUUUAUGAACAUAAGAUAGACACAAACUCUCCUAAUCCUUAUCACAAUAUAUUUAGAAAACUUAUCUAAAUAGAUAAUCCUUAUCCUCAAUAAGAGAUGCUUCCUUUUGUAACCUUAUUAGGUGUGGACAUAUUUUUAACUACACGUAUGGAGCUCAUAGGAUCAGCUUACCCGGCCACGGCGAAUUCAUUUCUACUAGGCACACAAACCAAUUUGGGAACAGGUUAACCGGCCAUAGAGAAGUCAAUUCUCGGAACGUAAAGCGGUUCCAAGAUGGCGAGGAAUUUGGUGUGACGAUAUUUGUUGUUUAUUGCCUAUUUGUGUUGUGUUUUAUCUUCUAUGCCUAGACUUUUAGUGGAAUAAUAUCCAUUUACAAUCUCGGUUUGCUAUUUUAUCUUUUUUUUUUUUUUUUUUUUUGUUGGUUGUUGCAGUUAGAGGUAAUAAUAAUAAAGUUUAAAUUUUUACACCUCUCGAAUUCAAUCCCGAAGAUUGGACCAGAUUUAUUGGAUGUGAAAAAAUUAAGGACUUUAUAAUAUUUGAUAAGUGAUGAUGAAAUACAAAAUUUAAUAUAUUAUUUAUAUAUAGAAAUCAAACAAAAUCUAAUUUAGUUCAUUAAAAGAUAAUAAACUCCUAAGUUUUAGUUAAAUAUAUCUAUCACUAGAUAUUAAUCUAAUAUGUUUUGCCUGCUAAAAUGUGGCUUUUUAUUAAUAGUUUUUUAGAAGAAAAAAAUAUAUUAAAAUUUACAGAUUUUAUUAUUUUAAAAAUAUCAGAUUUGAUUUUCCUAUAGUAGAAUAUCAGAGUAAAAUAUCAGAUUUGAUUUUCCUAUAAUAUCAGAUUUUAUUUAAAAUAUCAGAGUAUGAUACUUUAGAUACACGAAGAUACAGUGCCGGUUCUCUUCAACUUUGACAUUCCCGGUUUAAUUUCCUAAACCCAAUGUCAACCAAUUUACAAACAGUUUCUUAAUAAGAAAUUGGGCCGUUAAUCAUGGGCCGUGAUUGAGGACUGUUUAGUUUCGUAUUUAUAUCAUUCGCUGGGAAGUUUUGAAAACUCUAGUUCCUCUGUUCUCUCUCUUUUGUCAUUUCUUCUUCCUCUGGGUAAGACGAACGAACGAUCUUUCCUGGUUUGAUUUUCUCGGAAUCUUAGAAUUUUCUUUCCGCUGCAUCUUUUUAUACUUUAGAAGUAGGCUUAAGUAAUAAUAGAGUACAUCUUCAUCGUCUUUUAGGUGAUUUUUUCUCAAUUUUCUUGUCAAUUUGAUGUUGAAGUUACACGGCGAUUUCUUGAUAAUAUUUUUAUCAGAUUUCCGAAGUUUUCUCUUCCAUUGUUUCCGCUAACGAAUCCAUCUGAAUCUUGUGUUCUUCGUGUGUCAUCAUCGUAGAUAUAUACUGAGAUCUGCUGGGAAAAUAUUCGGACGAAAAUGGGGAGAUUGUUCAAGAUAGACCUGGAGGGAUCGGUUUACAAAUGCAAGCACUGCGAAAUCGAAUUCGUUGUUUACGAGGAUCCUCCAGUCAAAAGGGUUUGAUUUAAUCUUCUUUCUCAAACUUGACUUGUUUCUUUCGGUUUCCUUGUGGUCGUUGAUGAAGUCUUCAGCAAGAAUCCAACGUUUGAUUAUUAGAUGCUUGGUUUGUCUUAUGUGCUUUUAGAAAUCGAAACAAGUUGUAGAAUUCGAUAUUAUUUCAUCUGUUCUCAACCAGCAUUACUGAAAAACUUUUAUCUGAUGUCUGGAGGAUUUGUUUUGCAGAAUCUGCUAUUACAAUAUCCAGCCAGCCUUGGAAAACUAUACUGCAUCACCAAAUGGUAAAAAGCAUGCUUCAGAUUUCAUUCAUCUUACUUUAUGACAACUUCUAAAAACCCUUUAUGGUGGCAGCUACAAUGUGGUGAUUGGGACUGAUAAAAUGACAUUCACUGCUAAUGGCCGAAUUGACAAUACUAUGCUUCCACUGUUCUGUAUCGGUUGUGGCUCUCGUCUUGGCAUGUACUAUGUAUGACACAAGACUCUUUCCCUUCGACACCAUGUAUUGGUUUGAAGUUAAAAUGUUUUUUGAUUGUGGUUUUUGCUCUUUCACACAGGAAGGCGCUGAUGAUACAGUGAUGUACAAUGAAGGAAAUUUCUACAUCAAUAGGUGACGGAGCCAUAUUGUUUUUGCAUUAAGAAGAUCUUACUUAAUCCUUCUCACUCUCUGAAUAAUGAUGGUUUCAUUACAACUAAAUGCAGGUUUAAGAUCCAUGGACCACCAGAAGGAAGCGAUGAUGAGAAUCCAGGAAACGAGGAGCAAUAGUGUGUGAUUGAAGAAUUUUACAUUCUCUCUGUUUCUUCUCUUCUUUUACUUUGCUACUUUCUUUUCAAAAGUGAAUUAUAGUCCUCAGAGGCCUUUUCUUUGCUCCUCCAAAAGACUUGUGACAACACAAACCAUAUUUGGAUUAGUAUGACUUCAAAGACAUUUGUGAAUUUGUGAGUACUUUAUGCAGAACGUUGUAUAUUGUACAAAAUUUACUUGUUUCCAUUUUUUCAAUUAUGUUAAUGUUAGUAGAAUCAUUUAUAGAUACGAAAAUAAAAUAAAAAGGAAAACUCCACAAAAAUAAGUUUCCUUUUUUUCUACAAAAGAAAAAAAAGUUAAUUUGAUUUUCCUGGUGGAAUAAUAUAAAUUCAACUUUUUCGUUUAACGUUGUAGAUUUUUUUUUUUGGUAGGAAACCAGGAGUAAAACUCCCGGCUAAUAAAAUAAAAACAUUAUGCAAAAUUCUAAUUGUAGAUUGUAGAUUAUGCACUUGGAAUAAGCUUAAACAAAAUAUUCUAAUUCCACCGGUCUUUCGUUUAACGUUGUAGAUUGUACAUAAUUCUAAUUGUUUUUCAUUUUUUAAACAAAAUAAGCUUCCUUUUUCUAGUAGAGAAAAAUAAUGUAAAUCCGACUAGGAAAAGGAAAACAAAGAAAGAGCCUAACUUUGUUAGCUUCUUCUUCUAUAAAUACUAAUUUACAUGAUCACCACAGAUCCAACACUAGUCUCAUCAUCAUUCACAAGUCUCUGAUCACACUUCUCCAAAAUCACACAAAUCAUAACUAAUCCCUUGUACGUCUGUACAUCAUCAAUGGCAGUCAACAAUAAUACCUUUUCAAUGUCGACCAUGUUCGAUGCUUUACCAUACCCUAAUGGAGUCUCCAGUUCCAUCCCUCCUCCUGGAUUCGCCCCACACGCCUCGUCCGCCACUAACUUGCACGCGGCCAUGUUCAGCCUAAUGACUAGCUGCGAAGGUCUGUCCUACUUCAAGGAGACGAUCUCAACGCUAGACAAGACAGAGCUUCAGAGGAUGGCGUCGCUCCUGACGUCAGACUCCGAUUACUUCAUGGCCAUCGUCACAAAUAAGUUCGGCUCGAAACGCGUGCAGAAGCUCCUCGGGAUAUCAGAUGACUUGGACGCCCUCUUCUGCGCCGCUAUCUUGCGCCGUUUCUUGCACAUCACGGCUGACAAAUACGCAUCCUACGUGACGAUACGAGCCAUGACCGUUUUCGAAGAGGAGAAGAAAAAGGUAAUGUACGAGCACAUUCUCCACCACGCUCUCGACCUAGCGUGUGACCAACACGGCUGCAUCGCACUCAACGAUAUCAUAACCGAUGCGGAUGAUCCUUACUACAGGGAUCAGAUACUAGACCUGGUCGCAGACAACGCUCACGGUCUAAGCAACCACGCUUCAGGGAACUUUGUGGUCCAACAUGUGCUUACACUGUUUGACUCUCGUAGCAUUCACAACAUCGUGGUAAAUCUCCGUGGUCAUUGCAUUGAUCUCUCGUUUAAGAAGUACGGAAGCUACGUUAUGGAGAAGCUUCUGGAGGCAGAGGAGUCAAUUGCGGUGGUGGUUGUGGAGCUAUUGGAGUGCGAGGGAAACAGGUUGAUGAGGCUGGGGAGGAAUGAGUUUGGAAGUUUCGUGGUCUGCAAGGCACUGAGAAUGACCAAGGAGAUGUCUAGGAUGGAUCUGUUUUGGUGUUUGGUGGAGAAGCUCAUGCCUUUCGUCCAUCUCUUGCGUAGGUCUCACGGAAACAACAUUGCAAACAUCUUGGAAUCAUUAAAGCUUCGUUGCUGACUAUAAUUACUUUGUGUUUAUGUCUCAAAACUGGUUAAGUUGUUCGGGUGUUUAAGGUAGUUGCAUUGCAUGCAUGACUCUUGUAAGAAAUGGUUUUUUCGCAAUUAAUGUUUUUUGAAAAGCAAGGUUGGAGUUUUUACACAAGGGUUACCAUUUGAGAUGAAGAGGUAUCUUACUAUGUUAUGGACCUAUUGGUCAUAAAAUAUCAAAUCCACAACACUAGAAAACUUACGCUGGUUACAUGUACUGACAUACAUAUACGUAAUGUGGCAUUGACGGUAAACACAAACUUGGGCUGUUUUAGUUGGAGAUUUUUACCUAAGUAUGUACUCUGCAGCUCUGCUGCAAUGCAAGCUUAUUGGGAAUUAGUUAUCGAUAUAUAAUUAUAAAUAACUGUUGCAGGACAGUUUAUUGGAUUUUUAUUUUGUAAACAAAACACAAAUAAUUACCCUGUUUUAAUUCACCCUUACUUUGAGAUAUUAAUUAAAGGAUUAUUUGGAUAUUUAGUACGUUUCUGAUUAAAAGAUACUAUCGCCAAUUCUUAUAGACAUACUUUGUAAUAAAAUGGGAUAAUUGAAUAAUCGCACGAAAAGAUGGCCAACUUGAACUUGCAGUGUCACAUCGUACCAAAAACAAUAUUCAUUUUUCUGAUUAAUAGUAAACUCACAUGAUCAUGGACUUUCUGGACAACUAUGAUAAUUUAAAUAUAUUAUCUGUGAUUUUUAAUAUAUACGUUGUUUUGUUUUUAUUCCACUUGAGGAACUUUAAAAUAAUUAAAAAAGAAAAAUGAUAUCAUAGUAACAACCAGGUUUCAUUAUCCUAUAACUAUUUUAAAAAGGUAAUAAAUGGAAUAAUGAGUAAAAGAGUUUCCAAACAAGAAUCAAUUAUAGUGAAUCUGUAUUAAGUAAUGUGAUGUUUCGCAAAACAAAUGUUACUAAUUUUUAUAUAGACCAAUCUUGAACAAGCCUUCGACCGAAGUAUACACAAAUAGAUGAAAAUGCGAUCUAGUCAAAUGAAAAAUAUGAGAUCUUGCGAUGAUGUCUUUAGCCAUAAGUUAGGUAUGUAGAGUUUUGCCAAAAUAAUAAUAAUUAUAUAUAUAUAUGUUAUAACAUAUAUCCUUUUCAAAAGAGAUUGGACAUAAGGCGUCCACGUCUGCAGUAUAUGAUUAAUAUAUUUAUGAUUUCACAAAGAAAUGAUUGAUAAUAUUUAUUAAAGAAUAUGACAACAAAUAAGAAAAUAAUAUAAUAACAGUGACAUUUAAAAAAAAAAUCUAGAUAAAGACUAGUUAUUGUCUUAUUUCUCUGGUUUUAUUUUAAUAAAUGUAACCUAAUUCUGUAUUUUGAAAGUUUGAAGACUCCACAAUACAGUAUAUACAACAGCAUAACAUUUACAGUUUUGUUUUAGUCAAAAGUAAAAUUAAGGUUGUUGUAGUUGUUAAAAUGGCAAAUAUUUAAGAAAAGGUAAAAACAUGAAAGAAAAAACAGGAAAAAAAUGAAUCCCUAAAUUUCAGGAAAGUAAGAACGGACGUGGGCCGUCAGAUCAGAUAGACAGAUGAGGAAGAUUUUUGACCUGAGAGAGAGAGAGAGUAGUUGAAUGGCUGGGGUUCAAUCUCUGUUGUACACGUGGCUUCAUUCUACUCGUUAAUAUCCAUGAUCUUCGAGAUUUUUCUGACACUCCAAUUUUUUGGCAACCGGCUAAAACCAGUCAGCAAUUUAUUUCAUUUGACAUACCCUUCCCCCAUUACAUAAACAUCAACAUUCACAAAUAAGUUAGAGUUGCCCAAAAAAAAAAAAAAAAAAAAUUAGAGAUUCGUAUUUUUCAAGUAAUUUCUUUCCUUUCUUCAUCGACAGCAACCUGAGUUCGAACUCCGGUGGAUGCAACAUAAAGAACAUGAUAUGUAUGUAGUUUGGUCUCACUUGUGUGUAGUUGCCUUAAUAAUAUUGUCACCACCCAUAUUAAGAAUUGCGAUCCAUAUAUAAGAUAAAUUAAAAAACUGAACCGACUUCAACCAAAAUUUGUGAUAACACUCUCGGCUCUUUAAACAAUGGUGUAUACAUACAAUAGUCAAAUGACUUUGUUGGUUAUUAUGUUUGCAAUUAAGCUUUACUUGUUUCUCUUUAAUUUAAGUUCCUAUGAUUAAAACAGAGUAGCUUCAUUGCUUUGUCAAAGAAACAACAGUAAUGGCUUCUUUGUUUUUUCUUCUUUCUUUUAUUUUACUAUGGGGCAUAUCUAUGCCUUUAUCUCAAAAACCUAUUAAGUAUUUAAGUUCGUCGUUGAUCUCUUUGGUUUAUAUUUCCUCACCCCUCACACAAUACUCGUGAAUACGAUAUAUUCUUCAUCCAAAACCAUAAGAUUGAAUACAAAUUGUUGAUAUUUAAUUUGUUAUCUUUCAAUUUUUUACUUUAUUUAUACAUUAUAAUAUAGUUUAUAUCACCGAUUAGCAAUGUUUGUAGAACUUGAAUAAAUAGAUUUCCUCUACACUUGAUAGAUAUAUAUUAACCCUAUGUUGAGAUCUUGUAGCAAACACAUGAAUCGUUUUUUUUAUUUCUAUUAAAACUUACAAACCAGUCAAAGAUAACUAACAUCUUCAAUAUAUGUCAAUAGCCAAUCAAUAUGCGUGUGUGUGACUGUCAAAACCUUACACAUAGAAACCAAAUUUCAUCACUAUGUUGAGAGUUGUCGACCAAAUUUUGUAUUUUGAGCUAUUAAUCUUGUGUUAGUAAAAUUUUUUAUUUUCUAUCAUCUCAAACUAUUUCACAAAUUUUAAAUGAUAUAAUUUUUGCUAUGUUUAAGCAUGUAAUUUUUUCCUUAUAUGUGUGACACAUUUGUUUACAGUAGUUGGAAUCAAACUUGACAUCCAUUUCUAAUAAAGUCAUAAUAUUCUAUCUCACUCUUCAUAGAUUUUUUUCUUCUUCUAGUGAGGAGGACGUAUCUAGAAAAAAUAGGACCCGCCUAUAAAUGAAAAACAAAUGCUUUGUCUUCAAAGUUAUGAAUAUGUGUCUUCUAAGUGUUUCUUGGUUUUAUGUGUCUUCAAAGUUGUGAAUAGGUGUAGAUUCGUUUUUUUCUUCUGUUCUCUUCCGAUCUUGUUUUCUUAAUCUUUACACUCGAUAAAUUUAUAUUUGAAUUCUCGUUAGAACAAUUUACGAAAAAAGAAAAGAACCACACCUAGCACAAAAUUGUUCUGGUCAGAAAUGUGAACUACUACUGUUCCACUUUAGUUCAGUUUGUUCAAGAAUAAAAAGUCAAACCUAAGUUUGAUGAUUUUCUGAUGUGUUUACAAAAUGGUUAGAGAAACACUCUUCAAAGUUGAAACUAGUGUAACUAAUAGGAGACUUAACUCAUCCUUAAUUACGAAUUAAACACUCUCUUUUUUUCUUCCAUGAACUCCUAAUUAGCUCUUAUUGUUUAAUGUUUAAUAGGCUCUAGCAUAUCUAUUUAAAUAAACUUAUCUUUGUUCAGUAAAGAAAACACCAAAAGCUGUACAACACACACAAAUAGUAUAAUUCUAAAGUUUAAAACAGUAAAUAUAUCACUAAUCCUCAGUUAAUUUGUAAGUUUUUAACCAUGAUAAUAAAACAAAAACAAGAAGCACGUUUAACUUUAACCGGAAACUGGCAUUACCGGUAUCAAAUUGCCGAGAAAGAUGGAAGGAAUAAUAAUAAAAAACUUAUAAUGUUCCUUUGUUGCCACUAACCCACAGGCUUACGUCCCAUCACCAUUCCCGUUUUUUUUUUUUUCCUUUCUUCUCCUAAUCGCCGACGAUAGUCUCUUUCGUCCGGCGAAAGCUAGUUUUGUCUCUUCAAAUCCCCAUAGAGCAACUUAACUCUUCAUCGCCAUGUUUCCACUGAAUCUCGUUUUUCUCCGUAGUGAUCAAGCUAUUCUUUAGAUUAUUCCUUGUCCAUCUUCGUGUUUUGAUCGAUUUCAGAAUCUGAAAUCUCCGUCUGUUGCUGUCUCUGAUUUUUCCAUACCCUUGUAGAUUUUCAAAGAUGAAAUGUGAUUUCUGAUCUCUGUUCAUUUCAAAUCGACGGCGAUCGUUGAAUUUAUUGGUCGGAUUAGUUUGAUGAAUGUGUGUGUGUAAAGGGGUUGACGAAAUAGCUGUUGUGCUUGUAUAAAAAUCUCAGAGUUUGUUUGCUUUGCUUUUUUUUCUUCUUCUUUGGUUGAAUUUUUGAGAUUGAUGCUGGAUCUCAAUCUCGACGUCGACUCGACCGAGUCUACUCAGAACGGACGAGAUUCGGUUACUGUUAAAGGGGUUUCUUUGAAUCAGAUGGAUGAAUCGGUGACGUCGAACUCUUCCGUUGUUAAUGCUGAGGCAUCUAGCUGCAUCGAUGGUGAAGAAGAGCUGUGUUCCACUAGAACCGUCAAGUUUCAAUUUGAAAUACUGAAAGGUGGAGGAGAAGAAGAUGAAGGCGAAGAUGAUGAUAAUGAUGACAGAAGUGCCCUGAUGAUGACUAAGGAUUUUUUCCCUGUUCCUAGAGACGGCAUUAAUUUUAUGGAUUCGAGCGCACAAAGCUCCAGGAGCACCGUUGAUAUUUCCUUCCAGAGAGGGAAACAAGGCGGAGACUUUGUUGGCAGCGGAAGCGGCGGUGGCGACGCUGCACGGGUGAUGCAGCCACCCUCACAGCCGGUGAAGAAAAGCAGGAGAGGUCCUAGGUCUAAGAGUUCGCAGUAUAGAGGUGUCACUUUCUACCGGAGGACCGGGAGAUGGGAAUCGCAUAUCUGGUAAAAUUUACUUAGAUGACUCUCUUUGGUCAGACUUUGGAAGAACUGGGUUUAUCUUUCAGGUCCUAAGCUCUGGGCUUUGUAGAUUUUGUAUUAAUCUGCCCUUUUGUCAAUUUUCUGGUGAUUGCAGGGAUUGCGGCAAACAAGUUUAUUUAGGUAUGGAUUCUAUUGGCUCUACCACCGUGAGCUGUUUUUUUUGCUGUGUUCUUAGCUCUCUAAUAAAAGCUUUACCUUUUUGAAUUUAAUAGGUGGAUUUGAUACUGCCCAUGCUGCAGCUAGGUAAUCUCUUUGGAAAUUGUGUUCUUUUUUAUGAUCUAAUUGAUCCUUCAACUGUCAUUCGUUGUGAUAUAUUAGUUUUAUAAGCUCAACAUUGGUUCGUGUAGGGCUUAUGAUCGAGCUGCUGUCAAGUUCCGGGGUCUGGAGGCUGACAUCAAUUUCAUUAUCAGCGAUUAUGAAGAGGAUCUCAAGCAGGUUUUGAUUAUGGAUAUAGAAAAUAUGAUGAAGACAUGUAUGCUUUGAUCUGUGCUUAUCUUGUUUUCAAACUUUACAGAUGGCAAACCUUUCCAAAGAGGAAGUUGUGCAAGUACUUCGGCGGCAGAGCUCUGGUUUCUCAAGGAAUAAUUCAAGAUAUCAAGGAGUUGCUUUGCAAAAGAUUGGCGGGUGGGGAGCUCAAAUGGAGCAAUUUCAUGGAAACAUGUAAUAAACUUUUCCUGCUAUCUAAUUUUGGGUUUCUACACAUGCAAUGUGCUCUGUGUUUUUGUCUAAAUGUGGUUGUCAUUCAUUACUAAAAAAAAGAGUGAAGGGACUCAGAUGAAGUUUUUGGUUAUUUAUCGUUGAUGUGAAAAAGUUUCCGUUAGAACUAUUAGUAGGAAAAACCCAUUUGUGAUUAUGAGUUAAUAUCUAGAGAUUCUUUCUAUCUUGGGAUGAUUGUCAUAUGAGUAUAAGCUGCAUGCUGUUUGUGAUUGUAGUAAAUUACAGUAUGCAUCAAAUCUUCUAUCCUGAAUUUGUAUCUAUUAGAAAAAUGUGCAAGACUAAUUGUUCAGAUUCUUAUGGAAUUAGGGCUUGUGACAAGGCAGCUAUACAAUGGAAUGGAAGGCAAGCUGCUUCCUUCAUUGAGCCUCAUGGAUCCCGGAUGAUUCCCGAGGCAGGUAAUGGAAUUGAUGCUCGGUUCAUUGUUUAUUAAGCUUUUGCUGCCAUCCUUGAUAUCUCUGCUCUCAAUAUGUGAAAAGCUACUACAAACUCGUCUGUUUUCUGAUUUCAUUAUUCAGCUAAUGUUAAGCUUGACCUCAACUUGGGAAUUUCUCUUUCACUGGGAGAUGGUCCAAAACAAAAAGAUAGGACACACCGGCUUCACCAUGUCCCUAACAGUAUCAUAUGUGGAAGAAACACCAAGGUGCAAUUUUCCCUCUAGUGCACCAAAUAUUAUUUACUUUACUUUCAUAUGCAUUUUGCUGCAAUUAGUCAAGUUUUUCUUUGUCAAUCUGUCAUUGCAUAUGUGGAACUCAAAGCUACUAAUUUCCCUAGCUCAAGCCAUCAUAGUUCUUCACUGAUUCAUAAUUUUCUUGCUCUUCUAUGUUGUAUUAUAUUCACAGAUGGAGAACCACAUGGCUGCAGCGUCAUGUGAUACGCCUUUCAAUUUCUUGAAGAGGGGUUCAGACCAUCUUAAUAACCGGCAAGCCCUUCCUUCUGCAUUCUUUUCACCCAUGGUAAAUUUAAAUACCAUAGCAUACAUCUCUUUAUAUCUAACCGUUUUUCAUUACCACACAUUUAUAACUUUCACAAUCUUCUUCUGUCCAGAACUAGAACACCAGAAGAAAUAGAAAGACAAGUUUAAAACUUUCUCAAACUUUACUUGACCUAGGAGUAAUUUGUGUAAUAAGUACAAUUAGAUUUUCAGAAGUGGCACCGUUACGAUAUUUGAUCAGUUGAGUAAUAAGUGAGUUCAAUUAGAUUUCCAGACUUGGUGAUAUCCUUUAAAAACAGUUCUAUGUUGUUGCUUGUUGUUUCUGUAUUGAAUAUCUGCGCAUCAUUAAACCGGAAAACUUGAAGAUUUCAGUGAAUAAUCUUCUGUGCGCUAAAAUUUCAAUUCUUGUCUCCAGGAAAGAACACCCGAGAAAGGUCCAAUGUUACGUUCUCAUCAAAGCUUCCCAGCCAGGACAUGGCAAGGGCAUGAUCAGUCCAGUGGUGGGACCGCUGUAGCAGCUACAGCACCGCAACUGUUCUCAAAUGCAGCAUCAUCAGGAUUCUCACUCUCAGAUACACGCCCACCUUCAUCGCCAGCUACUCCUCAAUCUUCUCAGCCCUUCGUCAAUCUGAAUCAUCCCGGUCUCUAUGUUAUCCACCCAUCUGAUUACACAACUCAGCACCACCACCACAAUCUCAUGAACCGCUCACAACCACCACCAUAGCUUCCUCCUUCCUACAUCUAAUCAAGGUAAGACUUUCUGGGAAAUAACUUCAUUCAACUCAUCUUUUUGGCUCAGCGCAUAAGCUGCAGUAUGAUCCUCGUGUUCAAUACGUUAAUCUUACUAUUCACAUGAACAUAGCCAAAUUUUAAUGUAAGACCCCUAGAAUUCGAGAUGCUUGUACUAGUAUGAUUCUUGAUGGAAACAUGAGAAAAGAAUGAGAAAUUCUUAGUGAAUAGAAGACGAAGACAGAGUUUCCAAGUUUUCUAGCAUUAUCCUCCUCCUGUUUUCAGCUUCUUUGUCAAUCCUAAGCACAUAUUUUGGGCAAUAGUGUUCUUACGGUCCUAUAUAACUACUGGUAAUUACAUUCUUCUUACGUGAACGUGCAGGUUCUAGACAACCCUGAAGUUGGAAUAACUUGGAUCCAACCGUGGAAGGCCAGCCAAUACGACGAUGUCUCUUAAAAUCUAUAUUGCACUUAUUGUCACUGUGUGGUUAUCUUUCUGCUUAUAAUUUGUAACAUAAACUGAGGGAUAAUACCAAAAUAGAAACCCUAUCCCAUUUGUAAUUUACUAUAUUGUCUCUGAGAUUAAUCCAUACAAUGUAAGUACAAUGCAUUUUAUUUGUAUGAAGCUACUGGGAUACUUAUCACUACUUGGUGCAGCCACACAGAACAAGAGGAGAUAGAUUUGUAUAAUCCAUAACACAAGACAUAGUAUAGAUCUGAUAAGAUUAAAAAAAUAGUCUCUUACAUGAAUUCAAUACACCACAGUAGUCUUAAUUUAUCUUUCAAACUCAAAUACGCAGAUAACUAAAGAUAGGUACAUGUAUGAUCAUCCACGAAUAAUGUGGAUCUUCAUUGUUUGAACCAUGUUGUUGUCACCAGUCUUCUCCAUCUCGCAUAUCAUCUUAUCCGUUGUCUUCACUUUAUUUCUUCUGAUGAUACUGCCAAAUCCCUUGACAAACACACUGCCAUUUGUCUGAAUCUUGAUCAGCUUCUCCAAUGUCCCAAAUUUUUUCACAAGUGGAUCGACGAGAGUGAUACUCUCAGGAAAGUGCAAACCAUAGUCGUUUAUAACUCGAGCCGGUAUGAGCUGCAUUAUGAAAGGAACAUCAACAAAACAAGGUAUAAACUGAUUGCUAUAUAUGUAAUAGCAUUCACAUAAAAACUCAUAACACAAUGAUGCUAAAUGUACCAGUUGGCUUUUCUUUUUCGGAUUCAGUCUCAAAGUAAAAGACGGAUUCUCGGGAUCAUCCAGAUGAUUGCGAUCAUCUUCAGAAGCAUGAUCACCAAGUUUAAAAGCCUCAACAUCAACAUCAUUUUCCUCAGUAGCAGCAUCAUUAACAACAUAUAUAUCAGUCUCAUCACCAUCAUUAUCUUCUUCCUCAAGAGCAGCAUCACUAUCAUAAUCUUCAACAUAGUUAUAAUCAGAAUCUUCAGAAUCAUCAUCCAGAGCUGAAACGUCAUCGUCAUCACUAUCCUGAGUUCCUUCUUCAAUAUCAGACUCCACUAUGAGCUCCUCGCUUUGCUCUGAACAAUGUCUGAGCCUUUUACACAUCGUCUCACGCUCGUAGAUACAGAAGUUGAAGAGCUGAGAGCCAUCGAACUCAAACCCCAAGAAAUCUCCACCCUUCAGAUCUUCGUCCUUAACUAUCAUCUUCCACCCAUCAACCAACACAAAUCUCUCAACUUCACCAGAGCAUUUCCUAAACUGCAAUGUCCAUAAGCUCCCAGAAAUGCUUCUAACAGUUACGGUUUCAGGGAAAGGCUCUGGUAAAAAUCUGGUGAAAGAAAUGGGUAUUUCCUGAAAACCAUGUAAAAGUCUCAACCAUAAAGAAAUCUAUAGAUGAACAUCUAAGAAAAACCCAUAAACCAAAACCAAAAACAGAGUGAAGAGAAGAGUAUCAAAGACUCUAUCCAGACUCUAUACAGAUAGUAAGUGUUUUCUUACCAGAUCAUCUCCUGAAUCAUCAGGUAAAUAAACUUUAAAGAACUUUGGAAGACAAUCUUCCAAAUAUUUUCCUGUUCCAAAGCAAGAAAAAAUCAGAAACAGAGGAUACAUUGUGUAGUUAUAGAAUCAAGAACCAAAAAAAAAGUGUAAAGAAGAAACCUUUGUUCAUCUUCACUUGACUUCUUUGUGUCUACCUUUCUCUGGAACCCUAAUUUUCUGAUCGAGUAGAUAAUUUAGGAAAGUUCUUCCAACCCCAGUUUUCUCAGAUCGCAAGGUUUGGUUUGAGUGGCUUUUAGACUUUUGUAGCAAAAACUCGGAAAACAGAGGUUUCUCUCUGUUUCUAUACUCUUGCUUCAAAUGGAAAACACUACAAGAAACGACUGCGUUUUCUAAAAGAAAAUUCGGUGUAGAACAAAAGCAUUCGCCAAAGCCCACAUAAAUAAAUGGGCCUAAAUUUUGGUCCAUUCUUGGUUUUUGCUUGAUUCAUGAAUUGCUUGCUUACCUUCACAGAUGGAGAACCACAUGGCUGCAGCAACAUGUGACACGCCUUUUCAUUUAUUUCCAUUACCUUCUGCAUUUUUUUCACCCAUGGUGAAUAAUAUCACACAUCUUUUUAUAUCCAUCCAACUGUUUUGUCACUGGGCUCACAUUUUUCACAGGCCCAAUCUUGUGCACCUUCUUUCCAGAACUAGAACACCAUUAGAAAUAACAAGACAACUUUUAACUUGGAAUAUCUGCAGCAUUAAACUGGAAAACGAGAAUAGUUUAGUGAAUAAAUCUUCUACGCUAUAAGUUUAAGUUUUCUGUCUCCAGGAAUAAACACAAGGUCUUAUGUCACGUUAUCAUCAAAUCAUCACAGCCAGGAUAUAGCAAAUGCAAGAUCAGUCCAGUGGCACCAUUGCAGCUACAGCGUCACUUUUCUUCUCAAAGGCAGCAAUCUUCAGGAUUCUCAUUCUCAUCGGAAGCUACACACUUGCCUUCAUUCACAGCUACUUGCUAUCAUUCUUAGCGCUUCUUCAGUUUGAAUAUAUCUGCCCCCAUCUGAUUAAGCAUCUCUUCAGCAUCACCACCAUUGCAUGAAACCACCAACGAGCUCCACCAUUACCUCCUUUGCCAAACUUCAAGGUAACACUUUCUAGGAAACCGUAACAUUCAAUUUAUCUGUACCUCAGCACUACAUUUUCCCCUCGCGAUGAGUACACUUUGAUAACAUUCUACAUUCUAAGUUAUAAAAAGAAGAAAACCCUGAUUUUUGAUGGAAAACGCCCAUAGUUUGUGGUACUAUUUCCUCAUGAUUCUUAAUGGAUAAACUUGAAAGCAGAAAGAGAAAUGUUUAGUGAAUAGAAGCAGGCUUAGGUUUGUAGCAUUACUAUCCUUGUGUCUUCCCCUUCUCUGUCAACCGUUUUCUUAAGGUCAUAUAAUGCUAGGAGUAAUAACAUUCUUCUUACAUGAACUUGCAGGUUCUUAAAAAUCCCUGAAGUUGGACAUAACUUGGAACCUUUUCGUGGAAGGCCAAUAUCAUGAUUUCUUCCAAAUCUAUUGCAACAUUUUUUUAUUUUUUUUGGUUCUCUUUCUUAUUUUGAUUUGUAAGUUUAUAAAAAAAAGUGGUACCAACAACAAAAUACAAUCCUAAACACAUUUGUCACUUCUGUAGUGUCAUUUGAUUUACUCCAACCCAAAGGGCGACCUUUGUCCUCCGAACAAUGUAAGUACCAUUUGUCUGAAGAGUUUUUUCGACCCUAGUCAUUGUAGACAACAAGACAACAUGAUUUGCUUAGAAGACAUCAACAUAAAUUUUGUUGCAGGAAAAAGCAGGGAGAUUAUGAGAUUCAGGAACUCUUUAUAAAAAAGUCUUGAUUUACUUUAACAUCUCUCUCGACCAAAUCCUUAGUUAUAUAUAUAAACCAAAUCCUAAGAUAGACGUUUUAGCAUUGCUAACACAAUAAAACCAACUCACAGCUACGACACAUAAGACUCAUAAAAGCUUAAUGAGGUGAAGAGAUCAUCCUCUGAUAACGUUGACCUUGAUGGUGUGAACCACAUUAGCACCGGUCCUCUUAACCUCGCAUAUCAUUUGAUCAGUCGUCUUCACUUUGUUCCUUCUGAAGACACUUCCAAAUCCUUUGACAAAGAUGCAGCCAUUCACUUGAAUCUUGAUUUCUUUCUCCAAUGCUCCCAAUUUGUCCACGACUGUUAUACGUUCGGGGAAGGUUAAGUCAAAGUCUCUUAUGACAUGAGCCGGUAUGUGCUACAUAAAUAAACAAACAUCGUGAAACAUAUUGAUAUAUUCCUAUUGAUGCAUUCACAUAAAACACCAUUACCCAAAGAUUCUUUAAACAUUCAGUUUUUUGCUUACCAGUUGGCUUUUCCUGUUUGGAUUGAGUGUCACAGUGAACUGUGGGUUCCUGUGAUCAUCCUUGUCCUCAUCCUCAACAUCAUCAUCAUGCUCAUUCUCCGCAUCAUCCUCAGGCUCAGGCUCAACAUCCUCAUCCUCAGCAUCAUCAUCAUCCUCAACAGAAGCAUGAUGAUAAUCAGAAUCAGAAUCAUCAGUAUCAUCAUCAUGCAAAACGAUAACAUCAUUGCUAGUCCUAGUUUCUUCUUCACCAUCAGAUUCCAAGUUUUGCUCUGAACUUCUCUUAACCCUCUUACACAUGGUCUCAUGCUCGUAGAUAGAGAAAUUAAAACACCGAGAACCAUCAAACUCAAAUGCCAAGAGAUCUCCACCGUUCAGAUCUUCGUCUUUUACUAUCUUCUUCCAACCAUUAACCAAAACAAAUCUCUCAACCUCACCACCACAUUUCCUCAACACCAUAUUCCAAAUCUUUCCGUAGGUACUUCUAAUAGUAACAGUUUUAGGCAGAGGAUUUGGUAAACAGCAGUUGAAAGAAAUGGGUAGCACCUGAAACGUAUUUACAAGUUUCAAGCAAACCAGAAACCAGAAAAACCAAAAAACAGUGAAGAGAAGUGUGUUUGAUUACCAGAUCAUCUCCGGAUUCACCAGGAACGUAAGCUUUAAAGAACUUUGAAGUAGACCCAUUCGAAGAAUUUCCUGAUCCAAAAGAACAAAAGGAAGAACAUAAAUUUCUACAGCACAUUACAAUGGAAGAAUCCGAAACAGAGAAGGUUGGAAACCUUGGUUCAUUGUCGUCAACUUCUUGUUUUUCUUGGACACUCUCCGUAAACCCUAAAAUUUAUCUGAAAUAAAAAGUUGGAGCUGUUUUCUCCAGAUCUAAGCUUUUUCAGAUGUGUUUUGAUCUAAAGGUUUUGGCCUUUUGUAGCUAAAACUUGCAAAAACAGAGUGUUCUCUCUGUUUCGAUGCUUAUUGCUUCAAAUGGAAAACAGACCAUUAAUAGUACUCUUCUUAUUCAAAAAAAAUCGUUAAGAGAGCCGAAGUAUCAUCGCCAAGGCCCAAUAAAAAUAUAAAUGGGCUUAAAGUUCGAUCCAAUCUAUAUUGCUUAAAUGACUACAUAUAUAGUCCUAAGCAAAGAGCCACAAAGUCACAAACAAUAAUCGCCGAGGGGCCUUUUUUUUGUAGUCACGUGCAGUGCCACAACCAACCACAAUAGUUGUAGAGCUUUUGUAUUUCCUAUUUUACGGAUAUCCCUACUAUAGUAAAAGAGAAGUAUAAAAGAGAUUCGGGUCGGGUUUUUCAAAAAAUUCCGGGUUAAAUUUUCAAUCGGAUACUUGCCAAAUUUUUUGUUAAAUAUUUUUCAAAUAUUUCAAUAAUAUACACCAGAUUCCUAUCAUUUAGGAAACUAUAUUAAUGCUAAAUAAAAAUAUGUCUUAUAAGGAAAAUUUGUUUAUGAAUAUAAAGAUCUCAAUCUUUUAAAAAUAUUCUAAUUAUUAUAUUAAUUUCUUAUAUGAAAAAACAAAAAAAAAUUAUAAUUUUUUAUAAGUUUAAAUAUUUGAUAUAUAGAAAAAUAUAAUUUAAAAAUAUUUGGUAUAACAAAUAUAAAAAUGCAUCUAAAAUACAUAAAAAUGGUAAUAUAAUUAAUAAAAAUGUUAAUUAGUUUGAAUUAGUUAAAUGUUUCGAAAAAUAAAAUUUGAAUAUAUAUGGCUAUAAAAAAGAAAGAUUUUAUUAAAGAUUUUAUAAAAAACGAAAGACUUUAUAUAUAUUAAAUCUUUAUUAUUAUUUUUUAUAUUUCCUAAUAUGUUAAAUGAAAGAUUUAAUCAGAAUAAAAAAAUAGUAUAUGAAAAGAGGUUUCAAAAUUAUUCCAAUCUUUAUCAAUUUGAAUUACCUAUAAAAAAAGAAUAAUAUUUUAUCAAUAGCAUAACUAAUGCAAAAUUAUAGAGAUCCAUAUAUAUAUCUAGAAAUGGUUAUAUUUGAAUUUUGAAAAAAAAGAAAGAAAUUUGACAAUCAUUAAUAUAUUUCAAUGAGUAAUACGAAAUAUUUUGGAUACAAAAAAAAUAAUUAAAAUUUUAGGAUAAUUAUUGUAAUUAACUAAAAAUACUUUAAUAACGAUAUUUUAUCUUUAUAAUUAUUAAUCAUCGAAUCACUACUAAUACAAAAUCAGUCAUAAAGAAUAUAUUCCAUAAGUUAGUUUAAAUAAAUUACCUUAAAUUCUGAAUUUUCCUUAAAAUGUUCUAAAUAUUUUAAGGAAAAUGAAUAACAAGAAUAUUAUGGUCUCUUAUUCAAUAUUAAGUAUAUUAAUAUUUUUAUUUUAUUUUUAUAGGAUACAAGUAUAUACAAAUCUUUCAAACUCAUAUAUUCUUGUGUGAUACAUGUAUAUACAUGAUUUUCAUAAUUUUUCAAUAUCAUAUAUUUUCAUGAUUUUUUUUAAAAUACACGGGUUUUUGCUGAUUGGUUCGUCACCACAUACAUUGUGAGUAUACAAUUUGUUUAAUAAACGUUCUUUUAUUUAGUUUAUAAAAAUAUUAUAUUUAAUUUCCGAAAACACACUUUUCUCAAAGAAUUGAAACCAAAUAUACAUUUCGAAAUAAUAAUUGUUGAUACUAAAAUGAGCGAAAUAAUAACACAUACGACAAAACACGUUAAAAUAAAAUAAACCUGAAAAUAUUCUUUCGCGCUAUAGCGCGGAUCUGAACCUAGCAUACGUGACAAAGUACACAUCCAUGAUAGUACAUAUUCUCAUACUUGCCACAUUCAACACCAACAAUCCAUUUUAACAGUUAAAAGUUUACGUAAUUCGGAAAAAGUAAAAACCCACACUUUUCCCCCGCGGUGUAGCGCGGGUCCGGGCCUAGUGUAUAUGAAACUCAAAUCUUUUUGUGAAGUGGUUAGAGGCAACGCAAGCAUGAAGCAGGAAAAGGAAUGAAGUUGAUUUUUCCCAAACUGAGCGUAGAUCCACAACACAGUGGAAUUGCCCAAACAUGGAGUUAAUUUUGCAUAAAAUCUCUUUAGGUAACGUAAUGGUCUAUGGUACUAAGAUGUGCAAUGUGGUCUUGGGAUUGGUUGAAUUUUCUAUCUGUUAUGACAUAAAUUCUUGCUAAACUGUUGGAGAUCUCUUACUUUCCAUUCAGUAAGAGUUGAGAUAGUCAUAAAUAUCAAUUUCCAAAAAUGUACUAUGUUUCAGCAGAACUGCAAGGCCUUCAUUGCAUUAUAUGAUUUUGUUCCUCUCACUUGUUAACCUUUAACUUCCUUUGAAAACAGCGCUUCUUAGUUUUUAUGUUGUGAUAUCAAAACAGAAAGUUCAGUUCUUGUCUCCAUGAAAGAACAACAGAGAAAGGACUUUGGUUGUGAUAUCUGCAUCAUUAAACCCCAGAGUUUGUAUUAGUAUUAUCUCAAAUCUCAGCAUGGAGUCAGGAAAUAGUCUUGUCCAAUAUACUUGAAGAAGGAUGCUGAGAUAUGUUAGAAUAUAAGAAGAAAGGAAGCGUUUACAAGUUUUGUAACAUUGAUUUCCUUGUGUAUUCUGCUCUUCUGUUGAUAGAUUUCUUAAGGUCCUAUAAAACUAGAAGUAACAACGUUUUUCUUACAUGAACUUCCAGGAGUGGAAACCAUGGUCUAAGAAUUUGGACCCAAACAUGGAAGGCCGAUUCUAAUGAUUUCUCCCAAAAUGUAAGGAUAUUCGAAUUGUUUUGUUUUCUUUCUUUUUUUUACCUGUAAACUGGAUCCAACAAGCAACAAUAAAAGUCAAACCCGUUAUUCACUAUUGUCUUUUUAGAUUUCAUUCAACCUUACACUAAUACAAAGUAUGACCUCGUUUGAACAAUGCACUUGAUUUUUGCACUUCAUAUUACAAACACACAAUCAAGAUCUAGAAGUACAUUUGCUUAUACAAUCAACAUUGCUUAUUAUGUUCAGAGAAUACCAGUAAGAUGCAUAAGUGCAAGUUCUCUACUCAGCUCAUAUAAGAACUCUAUACCAUAGAUAAUGUCUUAAUGUUAACGCAUUGAUGAGCUUUAUCAAGAGAUCAUCCUCUUAUAACAUGGACCUUGAAUUCGCGAACCAAACCAUCCAUCUCUUUUUCUAACUCACAAAUCACUUUAUCAGUCAACUUCACAUUGUUCCUUCUGAUUAUACUACCGAACCUCCUGAUUCUCUGGCCUUCAAUUCUCCUCUUCAAUUUACCAAACUUUUGCUCGAGUGGAUCAAUCAGAUUUAUGAACUCAGAGAAGUGUAAGCCAUUAUUAGCUAUGACUUUAGUUGGUAUGCGCUGCAUUACAACAAAAACAUCAUAAAACAGAUCUGGUACAUGAUUUUAAAUUGAUGGUUAAUGGAAAUGCAAAAAGACAUGAAAUUUUUACAAGUCUUACCAGAUUUUCACGUUGCAUAUUCUUCUUGUUCACUGUAAAGAAAGGGUUCAUGUGAUUGUCCAGAUAUUGUCUGUCAUGUUCUCCAGAAGAACCUAUCAAAAUUUAAACACAACAAUAUUAAAAGACAGCGAUGCUCAGUCAACUUUACAAGACAGAACUUUCUAUCAUACUUUUCUCUUUUCUCUCCGUUUGAAGUCCUCUCCUUCUUUCAUCCUCUUCCUCAGCAUAAUUAUCGUCGCCAUAAUCUUGAUCAUCAUCAUCAUCCUCAAUAACUAUGAUAUCUUCACCAGAUGUAUCUUCCUCACCAUAAUCUUGAACAUCAUUAGUAUCAUCAUUAUCAGCAUAAUCAAGAACUGUAGUAUCUUCACUAUAUGUAUCUUCCUCAUUACAAUCUUGAACAUCACUAAUUUCCUCAUCAAGAACUAUGAUAUUUUCACUAGAUCUAUCUUCGUCACCAUAAUAUUGAUCAUCAAUAACACCAUCAUUCAGAACUGUGAUAUCAUCAUCACUGCAUUUAUCAUCUUCGCCAUCAGAUACAUGUUCGAUCUCUUUGAUUUGCUCUGAACUUCUAAGCUUUUUACACGUUUCAUGGCCAAAGAUACAGAAAUUGAAACACCGAGAGCCAUCAAACUCAAACUCCAAGAACUCUCCACCUUUCAAACCUACGUUCUUUACAAUCUUCUUCCACCCAUGAACCAUAACUAAUCUCUCAAUAUCACCACAACACUUCCUAAACGCCAUUUUCCAAAUGUUCCCACAAAUACUUCUCACAAUUACAUUUUUAGGCAACGAGCUUGGUAAAAAGGUGUUGAAAGAGAUGGGUAAUUCCUGAAAUGGAUUUAAAGUUUCAAUGAACUAGAAAUCCCAAGAAAACAAAACCAUAAACAGAGUGAAGAGAAGUGUGUGUUUUACCAGAUCAUCUCCAGAUUCAUCAGGUAAGUACACUUUGAAGAACUUUGGAAGACGAUCAUCUACAGAAUUUUCUGUUCCAUAGAAAAAAAAAAGUCAGAACAUAUGGUACAUUGUGUAAUUGUAGAAUCAAUAACAAAGAAGAGUCUAUAAAGGAGAGACCUUCAUUCAUCGUCAUCUCUUUUCUCACUCCCGCUCUUUGGAACCCUAACUCUUUUAAUGGAAGUGAAGGUGAAAAUGAGGUUUUUCAAUAUAGAAAAAUAGUAAAGCUUGUUUAAAAGAUCCUCCGAUCUUAUGGUUUGCUCGAGAGAUUUUGCCCUUUUUAGCAAAAACAGAGAGUGUCCUGUCCUGGUAACGUUUAUACUUUAUUGCUUCAAAUGGAAAAAUAAAGACAUUAAAGUUACACUAACGAUGCAGUCUGUUUUAAAUCAAACCAAAAAGUUCAAAUACUUGCACAUUGGUUAGUUCCUAAUUAUUGAGAUAAGGUCAAUCCCCAAAAACUUGAAAUGGGCUUUAAAUCACGGCCCAACAUAUUUGAAUUAAAUGACAAUAUUAACCUGAGAUUAUAGAGUAACGUUGGUCCGAUCUUCUUUUCAAUUUUCAAGUUUUUUCAACCUCUCUUCCCGCUUACGAAGCCGGAAUAUUCCUUUCUACAUCGGCCGAACGAUUUCCAAUUGCCGACUUGGGACAUUGGCGUGAAAGUCCCGACGUGAUUCGCUCAGUGUAAUUAAGGGGAAACCCUUAGCUAAGCUAUACGAUUUCGGAUUUAUCACUUGUCAGAUCUCAGAAACUGCUAGAAAGCGAAGGAGGCUAGAAAUGGACAAGGAUCUCUUAGAUAUCUCUGGAGGAGACGACGAAGACAACUGGCUUCUGAAUAAUACUCCGAAGAAAGUUAAUUCGAGCCGAGGAAAGAGUUAUUUGAAUUGCUCCCCUCUCCAAAUCCCUAGAUCGAGUCGUAUCGUUCCUACUCGGCCUCCUUUUUCCCCAAUUGGUAAGCGCUUCCAUUUCUGGAUCCGAGCUUCCUCCUGAUAAAUUCAUUAAGAGUAUUUGAACAUUUGAAUCAGCAAUGUUUGAGCCCUUUGUUUGAAAAUGGGAAUUUAUAUAUUUUAAAUACUAGUUGAAUUAGCAUUGUUUUGAAUCUUUGUUAGAGUGUUUGAACAUUUCUCCGAUUUGUUAGAGUGUAUUUUGCGGAUACAUAAAAGGUGGAUUCUUUUUGCAGGAAGAGUAACAGGCAACAACAUGGAGCAGCCAUGCCCUUCUGUUGAUACAGAUAGUAUCGGAAAGGAGAAUUCUAAAGUCGAAUUGCCCAAACUGAGUGUGGAGCGACAACAGAUGAAGAAGAAGAAAAAGAAUGCAGGAUUUAAUUUGCGCAAAAGCUUAGCAUGGGAUAGAGCGUUUUCAACGGAAGAAGGUGAAUUUUUUUAUGGAUUUGUUUUCCCAUUGUCCUGUUUGUCGUAAAGGUCAAAGGUAAUGUACUAAGAUGUGUGAUAUGGCCAUGAACCAGGUGUUUUGGAUUCAUCUGAGCUAUCUAAAAUAACUGGAACUGCUUGUCAUAUUGGUGGAGAUCGGUUACCAGCCAUUCCGGAAGAGUUCAGAGAUUCCGUGUCUGCUUCCAAGUGUACUAGUGUUUCACCAGGACUACAAGCACUUGAAGAAAACUUAUUUGACGAUUUGCCAGUGAAUAGUAAAAACAGAGAGAAGAAGUUUGUGAAUGGCAUACUGCCGAAGUACGCAUCACCAUCUAAAUCCCAAUCUUCCAUGGUGAGUUUAGUGGACCUAGAUUUUAUGGAGCUAGUGAGGGUGAUCAGUCAUUUCUUACAAUGUUCCUUUCAUAGCCAAAAAUUUCCUUGAAGGCGCAUUCUAUCUAACAUUGAAUGUCUGCCUUAUAGGCCCAGAAAAAAGUUAUCUCAGCUCAGGAUUUGAGGAGUGGUUCCAAGCGCAGUGGCUGUCCGCGGCCUCCUCCUUUAUCUUCAUAUCCUUUUCUUACUUAAGAGUACCAAGUGUUUAGGCAUCGUAGGUUGCUUCUAUGCUUUCUUGUUUUUGUGCUUUUUGCUUGUUAACCUUAACUUCCUUGAACCCUGAAAAGACCUGCAAAUGUGCAUACAACAACAUCACGUAGCAGGGAUCUGAAUAUAUCUAAAGUUCCUACCACCAAAUCUGACCCAAUUACAGUUGCAAACAGUUUGAAAAGGACUACUCCAAGUCCAAGCAAAGCGCAAAAUAGUCAACCUACGCAAUUAAGUACGUCCACAUUCAGUUAGCAAAUGGAACAUCUGCAUCUUAUAACCUUUUUGGCUUUCUUAAUUUUCACAAAAAUGCUGUUGCAACAUCUUGUUUAUAUAUUGGUACAUGGUCACAUUACCUUGGUUUUCUCUUCUGAUAUGACAGAGAACUCUCAGAGGAGCUUAGGAUCUGGAAGCUCCUGUAAAAACACUUCAAGCACCAAGAGUAAAACAAAAUCCAGUCUCGCGAGUAAAUCUUCAAUUCCUAAGCCCUCUCUUAAGCAAGCUAGAAAAAAUAUGGUAAAGCUAUGCUUCCCUCUGCAAACCAAUAUAGCAAAUACUUUAUGCACUGGAAAUUUGCAGCAAAUGCUUUCUUUCCCUUUUUUCUUCCGACUGAGAGUAACGUAUUGCAGUUUCUUGAACUCCAGAUCAGCAAAAGAUCAGAAAUUCCUUCAGUAUCCAACUCACAGCAUUCUGUUGUUGGAAAGUCCAGUGUUGGCCCUAUGACUACAUCAAAUGUGGUUAUGCUUGGUCAUGCAUCGACAGACUCUAAUGUAAUUACUCUGGGCACCUCGUUAGCUCAAAGUUCUUGCAAUAAAGUUGGAAACACGCAGCCCGCAGUUUCACGACUGGGAAAACCAUCAGGCUUAAGAGUGCCAAAACCCUCAAUUGGCUAUUUCAGUCAGGUAUAUUACUGAAUUAUAACGUGUCAUAACUAGUUUUUGUGCUUGUAAAUCUCUCAUACUUAAUAUUCCUGAUUUUUGCAGUCCGACUCUCAACCGUCGCACAGUGCAGGAGACAAACAUAGUCAGCUAGCCAGAUCUGAUAUUUGUUCAGCCUCUCAAUUUUCCUUGAUUCCUACCUUCAAGAAACCCCAAGUUGCUGAAAAGAUGCCCGGUGUCAACUCCAAGGCAGCAACUGGAAACUUCGGCAGUGCAAGUUCAACUGCAAGAUUCUCUGCUCAAUCUAUAUUUCUCAAACCUUCACAAGAAAAGAUGAAAGUGGACUUGAAAAGCACUGAGGAAGUAGAAUCCAAAGCGUUGAGUUAUUCAUGGAGUUCUCAGAUGAAAGAAAACCUGGAGCACCAAUGUUCCGUUCAAGGUGAUACUGGAAACUUAGUUCUGGACGAUACAUCUGAGAAGAUUUCUACUGCAAAGUGUGAAGAAUUCCAUAGUAACAGUGAGAUGUCGCACUCAGGCUGCAAAAAUAAUGUGCAUGGUGGUUAUAAUAGGGAUGAGAAAAGGAAGUCUUGCUGCUCAGAAAAAGAAUACUGUGCUUCACCGCUGAAAGAUUCAAUGGAUUCACCGAUGCAGGGUCCUCCAUGCGAUGAGUUAACACUGUUUAAUAACUACUCACAGUUGAAAGUCAGCAAUCAGGGGGAAGAAGAUAUGUUUUCCACCAAUGAUUUUAGUGGAGAUUUUGAUACCCUGGCUGUACAUGGACAACCUCUAAAUGAAUGCGUGCACCCUGGAAAUGAAGAGGAGAUUAGUCCUUGCCCUUCUGGAGAAAAAGAUGCGUUAAUUGUUUAUUCUACUGAAAAUGUAGCAAAGCAGCCUGAGGUUUUGAAUUCUUUCACUGCAGACCCAACUUUCAAUGGGGAUUUUGAUUCAAUUAAGGGUGAUGUAGAUGAUCCAUCUUCUUCAGUAAAUCAGUUAGGUAACACUGAAUAUGUUUCCCUACCUUUGCGGCCUGCUGAAGCACCAGAUUGUGUUCAAUCACCAUGCAACCAUCUUGAGGAAAAUGCUGUGUCGAACUCUAUUUUGUGUGAUCAUAACAUGGUGUGUAAUGGUCAAGCUGUACUAGAAAUGGAGGUAAGAAGUGAAAAAAGCAAUAUCACAGAGACAAACUGUGAAGCUGAUUUCGUUGGUCCAUUUUCCGAAUGCCAAGACUUGUUUAGAGAAUCUGAAGAACAGCAUUUGUCGAGCCAUUCAAUCUUUGAAAUGAAAGAGGGUGGUCAUGAGAUAGAUGUCUUGACCAGGGACGAAAGAGCUAAUGAGUCUGAUAUGCAGAUAGAAUGCUUUACUGGUUCUUCUGAUGCUGACAACAUGGAACAAGUGCAAUUACUAAUGCCUUCUUCCGUUGAAGUUAGCAAGGAGGUUCAACCUCUGGAAUUAUGUCAUGAGCCCUUCCCUGAGAAAUCAACUUCUGAAAAGCAGAAGCAAUACAGUUGUUCUAGUAGUGGAAUUGCAUCUGAUGUAAAUGUUGGUAGUGUAAUGAAACAAGCUGAUCAACUUGGAACAUUAGUUGGUUGUUCUCCAGAAAAAGAUGCAUCUGCUGCUGUUUUCUCCUGUUCCAAUGAGGAGCUUGAAGAUAAUUCAGAGCUGGAGGAUAUGGAUUUGGUUACAGACUCAGAUUUCUCGGAUGAGGAACUUGAGGAUAAUUUGGAGCGGACAGAGGUGGAUGUGAUUACUAAUUCAGAGCUUAUUAGUCACAUUGAUGAGUUUUCAGUCAAGGGCAUUCUUAAGCAAGAAUUUCCCGUAGUAGAAGAUAUCCAUACUGCAUCAGGCCUGUGUGGAAAAACUAAAAUUCCACUGAGUGAAUCCAUCAGUUCCUCGAAUUCUAUAUCUGGAGAUCCUGAGUGUCUGAAUGAGGGCACAUUUUUUUCCAGAAUACCUGAAGAGAUGUCAAAAGAGGAUUCAAAUUCUGGAAGCAUUGAGCAUAACUAUGUUGUAAAAGCUAAAUUCCAGAUAGAUGCUGAAAAGGAUUUCAGUGCACAGGUUACUGGUCGAAAUUCCAUCCCCCAUGAAGGAGAGGAAGUUAAAGUUGUAAAAAGCUCUCUUGAUCUUGUAGCAUUUGCGCCCAGAGAGGAAGAUUCUGGAACUCCAGUAGCCAUGAAAGAAGCUUUCUCAGUGAGAGAUGAUAUUCAAAUUAACGAGUUCAAUGUACUCAGCGAUGACAUUUUGACAUUAGAAAGCAAGGCAUCAGAAGGCCAGGAUAAGAUGAUACCACUGUAAGUAAUUUAGCCUCCGCUAGUAAACAUUUUCUGUUCCUCCAGUGCAGUUCAUUUUAAGAAUUGGCUGAUAAUUCAUUGUUUUAAUAGGGAUGCUAAACUUGAGAAGAAACCUGAUCCUAUAACUGUAAAGCCUCCAAAUGCCGUUCCAUUUUCUGACGAGUGGUUAGCUGCAAUUGAAGCUGCUGGGGAGGUAUAUAGUUCUCAAAUAUAUGAAUUAAACCAUGAUGAUGAACUGACGACCCACUUUCUGUUAUCAAAUAUUAUAUAUAAUUAUUUUGGCAAUGCCUCAGCAGAACUCUUCUGUUAAAUAUGCAGGAAAUCUUAACACUGAAAAGUGGACGUGUGCAACAUUCACCAACAGAGAAAUCUGCUCCUGAACCAGGUCCAUGGUCACCGGUAUAAUCCUCUCUCCCUCUCAAAUUACCAUUCGGUGUUGAUAAAAGGAAACAAGUUGAAACAUUGGGACUUUCAGAACAUCUGGACUUGAUAAGUUUGAUUGAUUUUAUACCAGUGCUAUAGAUAACAGCACUACAUAGAAUUCAACUCCUAAUUAUCUUUCAUAACUGACCAACUUAUUAAAUAGCUUAAUUCAAAGGAUAAGCAGAUGUGCUAAAGUUAGUUCGUGAAAACUAACUCGAGGAAACCAUUUUUUCUUUUGUGAUGGCCAGGUCAAGAAGAAGAGUAAUCAAGUUGUAGGGCCAUUUGACUGUACAAAGUAUAAUAACAAAGGUCUUCCUCCUGCUUUUGACUGAAAAACUAGGUUUCAUCUUCCUUAACCAUUUUCUUAGACCCUUUCAUCACUAGAAAACUUUGUUAAACACACUCAGAUUUUGUAUACUUGAGAAAUAAAAUAUGUAGAAAGCACUUGUUGUUGAGGCAUGAAUCGCUUCCACAAGAGCUAUAUCUUCUGAUCACAAAUUUGUGAUAUUCAUGAGGUUAAACCUAUAAUGGAAGUAUUUGACACGAUUUGAGACGAAUACAAGUGAAGAUGUCGUACAUUUUCUAUUCAAUUCCAUGACAUUUACAAAGAUGGAACCAAAUUUAUGGUUUGCUAGAGACUUAAGAGUCCGAUCAGGCUAAUUCAUCAUCAUGGACCAUGACGGUUUUGCCAUUGCAUGCAUCAUCCCUAAUUGUUAUCUUUGUGUCUGGCUUCUUCAAUAUUCCAAUAAAAUUAUCAUGUUCUUCGAUCUUCUCAUUUGAAGAUAAUUAACAUAAUCAACCCAAUUAAAUCUUCAAGUAAGAGGAUGAAUAUUCUUAAGUGUAAAUUGAUGGUAACCUCAAGAACAUAACAUGGCUAUAACAAUCCUUUUAUUAUUGUAAACAUGAAUUCCUAAAGGAUUAAGAUUUCUUCAGUUCCAACUUGAACAUGAAUAAGAUUUAAGAAGCUCUCAAACAUCAACAGUGAGUUUGGCGUCAAGGUGAGUGAAUUCUUGGAAGAAAGCUUUAAAGUGUUCAUAUGAAUGCUCCACGUCAUCUGCAGCACACAUCUCACGGAUGCUAUGCAUCGACAGCUGAGGAGCUCCAACAUCAACAGUCCUUAUCCCCACACUGCUUGCUAGGAUUGGACCAAUGGUAGAUCCACAAGCCAUAUCAUUACGUACCACAAAAUCCUGCAGUUUUUAUGCCCAUAUACAUUAGUUUUGUUUUGGCCUACAUGCCCAUAUCUAUAAACCUGUAGCAAGUUAGAAAAUUUUCUGGAUUACGCUCAGGCAAAUCAUACCUGAACAGGAAGAUUAUGCUUCUCUGCUAUCUCUCUGAAUACGAAAGAAGUUAGGGCAUUGGUUGCAUAACGUUGAUUUGCAUUGUGCUUGAUGACAAGUCCUCCAUGCAUCUUCGGCUGAUGAUUCUCGUCGUGUUUGUCCUAUAAAAUUAAAUCACAAUGCAAUGAUGGAUAAACAUCAGCUUAUGUGCAUAAAAUAUAGAAAUUUGUAUAGAAGUAUUGCCAAAUGAUGAAAUGAUUACCAUAAAGUUUGGAUGUAAAGCAUGUGCCAUGUCAGCUGAUACUAGCAAACUUUUUUGAAUUGCUUUCUUAAGCACCUGUAACAGUUAAAUAAUAGUGAACUAUAAUGAGCAACAAGAAACAAAAAGUAUAUCACAAGACCAAUUUAAUGUUUAUCACUUAAAUGGGUUGCUACCUUAGUGUCAGAACUGAAGCAACUUGUGAUGUGUGACAUAGCAUCAAUCAUGACAGGGGAUCCAGCUCCUUGCGCGGAAUUGGAACCAACUUCUUCGUGAUCAAAUAGUGCCACCAUUCUUAUUCCGCUUUCUUCCCCUAAGUCACUUUCAGAAGACGUUGCAUCUAUAAGUGCCUGUGUACAAAGUUCAAACAUAUAGUUCAGCAUCAGAUUAAAAUAAGAAAUAUGCAAUUGCAGACAGAUUAAUUGAGCACCCAAAUCAACUGACAUUUGUUCAUCAAUGUUUUCAGUAGCAACAUGGCUAAAGUUAGAUGUUGAAUCCCAUUCAAAGAGAGGGACAAAUUGUUAGAGAUGCUUUAGUUGCACAAAAACAAGGGGGAAAAACAAAAGAGAUGCUCACUUUGAUGUGAAAUGUGACCCAUAUCAAAACAUACACUCAACGGAGUUAACAUACUUGUACAGAAACUUCUACUAGGUGGCCAAUAAGUUAAAUUGGGCCUUAAUUCAUGUCUUUAAAUGUGAAGAACAUGGAGAGAGUGGAGGCCAACUAAGGCACAGUUAAGAUCAGGAAAUAUGCACAACGGACUCAUAUAUUCCUCUAAAAGUAAAAGUGAAAGACGUACCUUCAAAGAGCAAAAUGACAUACAGAGAUUAUCUAGCCUUCCAGAGAAAAUAAAUUCUUUUGCUGCACCAGCUAGAAUGCUUGGCUGAGUGUCACAUGCUUGCAGCUCAAAAUCGCAUAUUUCCUCAGGUUUACAACCCAGCGCAUUUGCAAUAAUCUAAGAAUUUGAAAGAGAAAAAAAAGGACUACUUGGUUAUUAAACCAGAAGAAGAUCUAACAUUCACAAUGAAAACUAUAAAUCUCAUUGUUCAACUAGACCUCCAUUAGAAGUGGGUGAUGCUUUGAUUUUGAACUAGUUUGGGUACACUUCUUUCCUCCAUCAAGUUCACCACCUUCAGCUGGCAUUUUGUUGAGCUCCGCCUUCAAAGAUAUAAUUCACACAAUUUAAAUAAAAUGCAAAGAGGCAAGAAUUCACGUAUGCUGCAAAUCUGACAACCAUGGUUUGACAUCAUAGAUAAAACAACCAAAAGUUAAAGGUUUCACAAAGAUGGGUUCUGGUAUCAGCAAAUGACUAAUGUGCAAACAAAGGUUUUAGCAAUACUGAAUGGAAAAAAAUGAAACAGCGGAACUAAGAAAGAAAUAAGUGAAGAUGGCUUCCAUGUCCUGUAACAAUUGUCUAAUUUAAGUAAAGUUCCGAACAACAUAGCAAGCACUGAAAGAGCACCUUGAUAGCUGUUGCCAGUACUGGAACGAGGUGUGUCUGAGUGUUUGGCUUAAAACCUUCACUGUUCACGUUCCUGUCAGCAAGGCAUAAGGCAACAAAAAGUCUUAUUUUAACUUCUCUACAAAAAGGAGUGAGAAACAUAUAGUCUUCUGCUUAUCGCAAACACAGUUGAAAAGAGUCUAAGAAGUAUUCCACUGGAAAGCGGUGAUUCAAAGGGAAACCUGUCCAAGUGGAUGGCCAAGGUAGGAAUCCUCAUAAUAGGAUCCUGAAUCCUGACAAGGCGAUGAGAAUAUGAGACAGAACCAGCUUUCUCCUCUUUAACGAUAACACGUCCUGCAACUGUCAAGUCACGAUCAAACCAGGUAUACCACAGGCCACCUCCAUAAGUUUGAACACCAACCUCCAAGUACCCAGCUUUGCUAAUCUGUCAAACACUUUCUUGUCAAAAAACAAAGAAUACUUUAAAAGGGGAAAAUUGAAAAUCCAAAGAAUCCAAACGGGCACCUACCUUUGAUACAGGCUUCAAUUUGAGACAAGGGCUAUCAGUGUGAGCUCCUAUGAUAUGGAACCCGUUUCCAGCUACGUAUCUGUUAAGAAAAUGCAAAAGAUUCUCGCUUUAAGUUGCAGCUAAACUGAGCUCAGAAGAAAAAUAACAAUUUUUUUUUUGAGAAUGGUUGCAAUCUCAGGCUAAUAGAUAGUAGAGAAGAAGAGAGAUGGUACUUUUGACCAAUGGCAAAAGCAACGAUAGUGGAGUAGUUUCUGGUGAAGAAGUAUUUUUGGCCAGCUUGGAGUUUCCAGUCAUCUCUCUCAAAAACCUGCUCAUACCCAGCUUCUACAAGCCGCUUCUUUGACUCGUCUACAAAAAUCAAUCAAAAUAUCAGAACUGAAACAGCGACUUUAGUAAUUUAAUCAGAAAAUCAAUUGAUUGUGUAAAGCUUUGGUGGUGAGAGGAGAGGGGGGAAUAAAAAGAGAAUAUUUGAAAAAGGAAAAGGGAUGAUGAGGUUACCGACGGCAUGAAAAGCGGUGGGGGAAGCAUUGAGAAAGGAGAGAAAAUCAGAGACGAGGCAGCUCUUCUUAUCCAUGGUCACUCUUUUAUUAUGGAUCUGAUUUCAGCAGAGGAGAGGAGCUUCGAGAGAGCAGACCCGAUCGAGUUUUUUUCUUUUGUGUGUGUGUGUUAAGGAUCUCGAGCUAAAAAGAAAUAUUAGUACAGUUAAGAUUCUCACGCUGAAUAUUUUUAGCGGGUUUAAAGGUUUUAUUUUUAUGAACAAAAACAAAGGAAAAUAAGAAUUUUCACUUUUUUGUCCAAAAAAAAAAAAGAAAGAAUUUUCACUUUAGUUUUUUUUUUGUUUAGUUAUAACUUACAAGUUUGUGCUUUUUAUCCUUAUCUAAUAAAAUUUGGAGUGAGUAUAGUGAGUUAGUGACAAUGUUUGAAAUAGCUACAAAGUUAAAGAACAAAAUAUAGUCAACACUAUAAGUAAAAGUUGCUUCUUCUUACUUAUGUCUAUCGAUCUAUUUCGUCAUUUCUCCUAUCCCACCGUUAGGGAUAAGUGAGUAAUAGUUAAGGCAAUCAAGGCCAUGGUAUAGUGGUAAUGGUUGUGCCAUGAGGUCUCUUCAACUGUCUCUCUACAUAACAACAACAAAGGAAACGUUUCGGAUGCUACGACCAAAGUAAAAGGGUAAAUUAUUUGUCAAAAGUUGUAAAUUAAUAAUCAUCCCACUAAGUUUCAUUUUUUUCUUAUAUAUAAAAAAAUAUAUAUUUAUAAUAUGUCACAUUAGCCAUCAUCUCCAUUAUUUUUUUUAUUUGCAAAAUAAAAAUUAACUUAAUUAAUCAACCAAAAAUGUGACUAAUGAUGUUGUCAUUUAUUUUGUUUACCUAAAUAAAUUAAUUAAAAAUGUAGUCAUAUAGCUAUAAAAUAAAUACCUUUCCUUUAAUUUGUUGGUUAGUUUUGGUAAUAACAUUAAACAAAAACCAAAACUAGAAGAUUUUAUGUGGUUGGGUAAUGUAAAUAACCGGCCAAAAUCAAUAAGGUCACAAAAACCGAACCGGACUAAAACAGUAAUAAAAAUGGAAAUCGAAGGGCAAUAAAUUGUAGAAAGCCUUUUUAAAAUUAUUAUAAUAACAAGACAGCAACGUGAAUCUGGCAGACAAAAACAAUUAUAUAUAUAUAUAUAUAUCAAGAGGGUUAAAAAAGCCAUCGCCUCUAAAAAUCACAGCCAUCCAUAUCUCUCUCUCUCUCUCUCUCGUUCGAGCUUCCUCCUUUUUUCCUCAUCUCAAAUCUUCUUCUUCAUCUCCCUCCCCAGCAAUCUCUAUCGAUCCUUCUCGAAUCGUAUGUCUUCUCUUCUUUACAUCUUAUUCGUAAUCUCCCUUCCCUUCUUCCGUUUAGUUUGAGAAUUUGCUGAAUCUCAAAACCCUAAUUCUGUGCUCCCAGGUUUUUUUAAAAACAAUUAAUGGGAUCAUCGGUUUAUUAGCUUAGAUCGUAUAUUCUGAUUGAGAUUUUGGAUUUUAUUCGUGAUUUUUUCAUUUUGUUGUCUGUGAUUGUUUUAUAACGAUUGGUUUUCACAUUUUUCCGUUGACGCGUCUGUAAUUGAAUCGUCACGGCGCAUGCACAGAUCGAUUCUGGUUUAGUUCUUCAUUGUAGAUUUUUUUUUUUUUUUUUCAUUUCUGAUUGUUAUAUUCUAGUAUUCGAUCUGAAAUUUUUAAAAUUUAACAGUAAAUUAUAUAUUUUUAAGUUGACGUUUGAUAACGUUGAUGAGAUGAGUGAACAUAGGUUUAUAAGAUUUGAUUGCGAAUAUGCUGAAUGUUCAUUGACUUUCUUCUGAUGAUUAAUCAAGUUUCCCGCAAAAAAAAAAUUUUAAAAGUUUUUCUUCUGUUGUUCAUUUCUGUGAAAGCAACGAACAACCUACAUGUAGUUUCAAACAAUGCAGGAAAUAUCAAACUUUUGGCCUAUUUAGUCUGUGGUUACGGUGCAGUUUGGCUUUUACUUGUAUUUUAUCUGAUUGCUUAUGAAUCUACAGAAACCUUGUGGGUGGCCUUUACUAUGUUGAAUAAUGUAUCCCAUUUCUCUUGUAGGCCAACAUGAGUGACCAUGGAGAGAAGACCUGUCCACUCUGUGCUGAAGAGAUGGACCUGACUGAUCAACAAUUGAAGCCUUGCAAAUGCGGCUAUCAGGUCUUGCAUUCUACCUUUAUUUUUCUGUAAAGUGUAUUUGACAUGUUACUACUUUGUCUCGAAACCGUGUAUUAUAGUAGGGAGAACAGUUUUGCUUAUUGGAAGGUUCCUAAGUUACAAUAUGCUUUUCGUGGCUUAUCUCAAAGUUGCUGCUACUGUUUAUCAGUGUAGCACAAAAAUAGAAUAUAUGUGACAAGAAUUAUCUCAGUGGUGGAAUUUUGCACAUCUUGUGCUAAGCCCCAUUGACCAUUGAUCUUUGUUCUGUUAACAUUUUUAUGAUUUGUGAUUCAGAUAUGUGUUUGGUGCUGGCAUCACAUAGUGGACAUGGCGGAGAAAGAUCAAAUAGAAGGGCGUUGUCCAGCUUGUCGCACUCCAUAUGACAAAGAAAAGAUUGUAGGGAUGACUGUCAAUUGUGACAGGUUGUACUAUGAUACAUUAUCUUUUUGGCGAAUUAAAUUUUUAAUCUGGGAAAAUAUUUUUUGGUUUCUUUUGCUGAUGGCUUUUGUCUAUCACCCCUUUCACAGUCUAGCCUCGGAAGGCAACAUGGCGCACAAGAAGAUCCAAAAGUCUAAAUCAAAACCUUCUGAGGGAAGAAAGCAACUCACCAGUGUGCGAGUGAUUCAAAGGAAUCUUGUUUACAUUGUUGGGUUACCCCUUGAUCUAGCAGAUGAAGAUGUAUGUGAAUUUUCAUCCAAACCUCUAAUAUUCGUUACUGUGGAUUGCCCUUUAACUAUCGGUCCAUUUUUCUUUCAGCUACUCCAACAUAAAGAAUAUUUUGGUCAGUAUGGAAUUGUUCUAAAGGUUUCCAUGUCCCGAACAGCAUCUGGUGUCAUCCAACAAUUCCCAAACAAUACAUGCAGUGUGUGCGUUUCUGUUUAUACUUCUCUUGUCGAACAAAUUUUCCUCUUAGCGUUAACUUCUUUGGCUUUUUCUAUAAAUUUUUGUUGUCUGAUAACAAUUUCUCGUGUCCCAGAUAUAUUACUUAUGGAAAAGAGGAAGAGGCUGUUCGCUGCAUUCAGGCUGUUCAUGGGUUCACCUUGGAUGGUAAAUUACUGAAGUAAGUUUUAAUUAGCUUUUUCUGAAACUAUCUGAAAGCAUUUACCUAAUGAUCAAAUUUGAUGCUCAGUCACUCUAAAUAUUUUGCAGGGCAUGUUUUGGGACAACAAAGUAUUGUCAUGCAUGGCUGAGAAAUGUGGUAUGUCUCCAAUGGAUUUACGUUCUGGUUGCUGACUCCCUGAGUUGUUCUUUUGGUUACCUCCUUUUAGAUAAAUGUUGAAAUUCUUCUUUGGAGUGAUGAAUUGCAUGUUUUUAUUUUAGGCAUGUGUCAAUCCUGAUUGUCUCUAUUUGCACGAGGUUGGUUCUCAAGAGGAUAGUUUCACAAAAGAUGAAAUCAUAUCAGCUUAUACAAGGUAAUUUUUACAAUCUAAAAUUUUGAUAUUCGCACUUGCAUUCAUGAUUGUUCUGUUUCCUGGAUCCAUAUUCCUUAAGUAUAUGUAAAAGAUAUGAUGGUUGGUCUAGUAUUUUUGGAUGAUUAGUUAAGUCUUAUAGUAAUUUUGAAGGAGUAGAGUUCAACAAAUCACUGGAGCAACAAAUAUUCAGCAGUACCGUUCAGGGAACAUACUACCUCCACCAAUGGAUGCUUAUUGCAGUGACAUUUCUUCUGCAAAAGCAGUUGUAAAGGUUCCUUCAACUGUAAGUUCAGUUCAAUCUCAACUAUUACUUGAGAGUGCUAUUUGGUUUGAGUCAUGUGUUCCAAGAAUAUAUUUUCUCAACUUCUGAUCAGAUUAAUCAUACAAUUUCCUAGGAUUUUAGCCUCUAAAAAAAUUCUCGAAAGCCUCAAAUAGUUAAAACCAACCUCCAAAGUUGUAGCAUGAGUAGCUUAUGAAAAUUCUUUUAGUUUACUGAGCUUAUUAUUUGAUGUCUCGCUAUAUUUUUAUAUGAGCAGAAUGCAGCAAGUGUUCCCAAGUAUUCUCCUCCUAGUGGGAGUGGGAGCGGGAGCUCUAGCAGAUCAACAGCUCUUCCUGCUGCAGCGUCAUGGUAAGUUUCCACUGGAUACUUUUUAUGUAAAGACUUUCUGACUGGUUAUUCUGAUCAAAUAGGGAUUUCUAUUUCAGGGGGACACAUAUUGCAAACCAGCAGCAUUUAGCUACUUCGGCUACCUCAAAUGGUUCUUCUGAUAUACAAAGAUCAACAUCAGUAAAUGGAAACUUGGCGUUUUCAGCUGUUGUUGCAAAUGCAGCUCAUGGGCCUGUAUCCUCUAGUCACAUUCUUAAAAGACCAUCUCGCAAAGAAGAAAGCCAAAUAGUUGUGGAAAAAAGCAAACCUAGCAUAUUUAAGUCUUCGCAGCAUAAUGUUGUGGUUGACUCCGGGUCCAAGAUAACUACCUUACCUGAUAGAGAUCCUACUAGCAAUCAGUUAUCCAGUUCGGUAGACUCUUCCUACGGUGGAGGGGACAUUGACAAGCCAUCAGCUACUGUGAACUCAUUCGAUGAUGCGAAUGAAGCUUUGAAUGAAGCUGUAGAAGAUGGCCCUAUUGUAAGCAACUUGUCGGACGAUGUUGCACGCAUGGGAAUUGAUAUGAAUCGUAGGAAUGAACAUCCUAAUAGUACAAUGGCGAUUGGUAGUCAGUGUGAUCAAGGUUCUAUUAGACAACCUGGUCAUGAGGUAUCAAAGUUGCCACAGUUAGAGCAAUGUAGGAUGGAUAGUUCUAUAAACACUGAUAAGAAUGCUAUCCUGUCAGAGGACAGGGUCCCCCUCACUAGGCCAGAUCUGCAAUUGCAGGUGCAAGGUAGCUCAAAAUUAGAAGUGGAGGAUAGAACACUAUUGGGUAGCCAACAGCAUCACCUUGAAGAGGAUACAAGCCGCUCGCGGUUUAUAUCUAAUUUGCCAAGUUCCAUCUUAGAUACAAAUCAUAUGGCUUCUCGUUCUUCCCUGCCUUGUGAAAAUUUAGGUUUGUCAGGUGUGAACGACUCAAAUUUGAGGUCCUCAUUGGAUAGAGGUAGUGAUAGAUUGCAUCUUCCAAAUGGACAUCUUCCAAAUGGAUUUGGUGAUAAAUCCAUGACCAAUGUGGGACACUCUCUGUUUCCUAAUGAAGGCAGGAAUAAAAUUAACACUGUGGAGCACUCUCUGUUUGCUAAUGAAGGCAGGAACAAAUUCAACAGUGCAGAGGAUGCUAUAAUUUCAAACAUUUUGUCACUCGAUUUUGAUCCAUGGGACGAAUCCUUGACUUGUCCCCACAAUUUGGCAGAGUUGCUUGGUGAAGUUGAUCAGCGAUCUAGUACUCUUAAACCCUCAAACCUCCUGAAGCAACAUAACGGCCAGUCUAGAUUUUCUUUUGCACGGUACGAUGAAUCUAAUAAUCAAGCAUAUGACAGCGAGAACCAUAAUAUUUAUGGGCUGUUGUCAAAAAAUCAACCUAUUCAGGAGUCUGUAGGGAGCCGAGAUAUUUACCGAGGUAAUCUCGGUAGUCUAAAUGGAUUCACUUCAAAUUACUCUGGUGGAUUGGAUAACUUUGCUGCUAGUCCUUUAUUCUCUUCGCACAAGAAUCCUGGUUAGUAUGCGUAGCUUUCUGACUUUUCUUGUUUGGAUAUUUUUUUUGCUUUAUUUCCAACAUUUGUUUCCUGCUUACUUGCAGUUUCACGUCCCCAAGUUUCUGCUCCUCCAGGAUUUUCUGCUCCGAACAGGUUACCGCCUCCUGGGUUCUCUUCACAUGAUAGGGUGGGCUUAUCUUCUGAUACUGUGCCAGGUAUUUUUUUUCCUUCUAUUAUUAUGGAGUAGAGUAGAGUGUGGUUGAUGCUAGCGACUUUAACUAUUGUGUACUUGUAUCAUAGGAACUCGUUUUCUUGACUCUACUUCCUUGCUGAGGAAUGCAUAUCAAGUACAACCUUCAGUUGGUAAUUCGAGUGGUGGAAGUGAUAUUGAAUUUGUGGAUCCUGCAAUUUUAGCUGUUGGAAGAGGGAUGGUAAAUGCAGACUUGGAUAUGAGAUCAGGAUUCUCAUCACAACUGAAUUCUUUUGAAAAUGAAACAGGACUGCAGAUGUUGAGACAGCAGUCAUUGUCUGCUGCACAACAACAAGUCAAUGGGUUUCAUCAUGAUCUCAGAAACAUAUCUCCUUCACUUACCGAUCCUUAUGGAUAUAGCUCAAGGCUAAUGGAUCAAACACAGGGAAGUAGCUUGUCACCUUUCUCACAGCACUCAAGACAACAACCAUCUUCAAAUUCAACCUUGUCUAAUGGUCACUGGGAUAAGUGGAAUGAAGGCCAAAGUGUAAACUCUCUAGGCAUGGCAGAGCUUCUUAGGAAUGAACGGCUGGGGUUUAAUGGGAGCCUAUACAACAACGGAUACGAAGAACCCAAAUUCCGGAUUCCAAGUCCUGGAGAUGUGUAUAAUAGGACAUAUGGGAUGUGAUUCGGGCAUGAGGGGAGGUUUCAGCUUUGUUGGAUUUUCUCUGGUUGUUCCCAAGUGCUGGGAAAGUCAUACUCAAAAACUGCUCCGACUGCUCACAUAUAGAAUUGAGUUCUCAUCAAAGAUGCAGGGCCCUAACAUAGAUUCCCUAAGAGCAUAUUGAACUUGAAAGGUACUGACUGAGUCAUUUUAAUCUUUAAAGUGUCAUAUUGGUUUAUCCAUUCGUUUUGGCAGUAUAUGCUGAGUACUAGAUAUGUUUUCUUUUUUGCAGAGAGCAGUGAUGUUAAUGUUUGGAUUGCCUUGGAUAGAUUUUGAUUUCUGCUGAUUGGUUUGGUCGGUUUUCUGGCAAAUUUUGAGGUUUCAACGGUAACAGAGGUCGAAGUCGUGCCUCUGAUUUUUUUGUUCUUAUAUAAAAUUGUAAAUGAAUUUAGUUACAGAAAACAGUAUAGCUUUUUGAAGUAUUCUAUAUAAACAUCAGAUCUUUCUUUUUGUUCUUGACUUCUGUUAAUGUUGUCUUCUGUAUAUAAAGGAGUAGAAAAAAGACCGAACAACAAUUCUAACAUAACUCAAAAAGUACACGAAUAAAACAACAAGCCUUAGUUUUGUAGUAUUAUUCUCCUCGUGUCAUAUACAAGAGUGGAGAAGCCUUAUUCUUAGACUAACCAGCUUUCUCAACAGUUUGAAUAUCUCAAGUGAUUUGUGUAAAUGGGAUUGAAUAUAUGCAACACAAGUGCUUCUCUGGUUUCUAAGCUUUUUGUUCCAUUCUCAUCAGGUUGAUGAUACCUGAAGUACAUCCACAAAACGAUUACGAAACUAAUAAGAGGGCUAAUCAUAAAUUCCCUAAAAGAUUCAUUUUGCACAUUUUGUGUCUGGUUUAAGCAUCUGGCAAGGAUCAAGCAGUGGCUUACACAAAACUGUAACUGUGGAUUCUCUUUGUGAAGGAUAUAAUAAAACGCCACGCCACGAUCGUGUAGAGUAGAAAAGUAGUAAUUUCAAAUUGUUGUACACUAUUAACUAUUAAGGAGCAUAUGCAUAUAAAUCUCAGAGAGUAAAAAUAGUAGACUCAAACCCAAUUCCACACUAGUAGUAAUCUAUUGUUAAAAAAUAUCUGAAACGAGAUCUGAGAAGAAGCAAGGAUUUUUAAUUCUGAUGUUGAUCCACUCGGAGUUACUCUCUGUGCGGGUCUGAAAAAGCUCAGUUGAGGUCCCAAGAACUUGACGGCCACAACACAAUCCUAUACCAUAGAUGAUAGAACUCUCAUUAACUUACCUUUUUACAUUUCCUAAUUUAAAACUUAAAUAAAUAAUGCAAUAAUAUAUUCUGAUUCGAAAUUUUAUUAUUUUCCUAUGGGUUGCAUUCUCUAUAUAACUUUUUUCAUUCGAUUGUCAUUCACCUUCCUUUUUUUUUCAUAGAAUAAGCAUCUUUUUGGCAGUAGUGUUGGGGAUUUGAAGUUAGAUUAGUACUAACUCUGUUUUGUUGUAACUUUUUAAUGUCAUUCCAGGAGUCAGGUUGUGAUCACCACCUUUAUUACUAAAAAAAACCUUUCUUACCAGAGUCAUAUUCCUGAAGAUUCCUCUGAUCCUCAUCUCCUAUUUUGGUUUGUUUUAUGCUUUUAGCUUCCUGUAGCUCUAGAGCUCUCCAUUUAUGUUUGUUUUGUUUUCGGAAAUAACAACACUAGAAGAAAUUGAUGUAAUGGCCAUUUUACGUUAUUGUUAACACUUGUUAUAUAAAUAAAUAAAACUCCAACCUUGCUUUUCAAAAAACCUUUCUUAUAAGAGUCAUGCAAAUACCUUAAACACCCGAACAAUUUAACUAUCGUUUUGAGACAUAAACACAGAGUAAAUAUAUUAUAGUCAGCAACGAAGCUUUAAUGAUUCCAAGAUGUUUGCAAUGUUGUUUCCGUGAGACCUACGCAAGAGAUGGAUGAAAGGCAUGAGCUUCUCCACCAAACGCCAAAACAGGUCCAUCCUAGACAUCUUCGUGGUCAUUAUCAGUGCCUUCAACACCACGAAACUCCCAAACUCAUUCCUCCCCAGCCUCAUCAACCUGUCUCCCUCGCACUGCAAAAGCUCCACAACCACCACUACCAUUGAUGACUCCUCCGCCUUCAGAAGCUUCUCCAUGAUGUAGCUUCCGUACUUCUUGAACGAGAGAUCAAUGCAAUGCCCACGGAGACUUACCGCGAUGUUGCGUAUGCUACGAGAGUCAAACAGUGUAAGCACAUGUUGGACCACAAAGUUCCCUGAAGCGUGGUUGCUUAGGCGGAGAGCGUUGUAUGCGACCAAGUCUAGUAUCUGAUUUCUGUAGUAAGGAUCAUCCGCAUCGGUUAUGAUAUCGUUGAGUGCGAUGCAGCCGUGUUGGUCACACGCUAGGUCGAGAGCGUGGUGGAGAAUGUGUUCAUACAUUGCCUUUUUCUUCUCCUCUUCGAAAACGAUCAUGGCUCGUAUCGUCACGUAGGAUGCGUAUUUGUCAGACGUGAUGUGCAAGAAACGGCGCAAGAUAGCGGCGCAGAAGAGGGCGUCCAAGUCAUCUGAUAUCCCGAGGAGCUUCUGCACGCGUUUCGAGCCGUUCUUGUUUGUGACGAUGGCCAUGAAGUAAUCGGAGUCUGACGUCAGCAACGACGCCAUCCUCUGAAGCUCUGUUUUGUCUAGCGUUGAGAUCGUCUCCUUGAAGUAGGACAGACCUUCGCAGCUAGUCAUUAGGCUGAACAUGGCCGCGUGCAAGUUAGUGGCGGACGAGGCGUGUGGGGGGAAUCCAGGAGGAGGGAUGGAACCGGAGACUCCAUUAGGGUAUGGUAAAGCAUCGAACAUGGUCGACAUCGAAAAGGUAUCAUCGUUGACAGCCAUUGAUGAUGUACAGACGUACAAGGGUUUCGUUAUGAUUUGUGAGAUCUUGAAGAAGUAUGAUCAGAGACUUGUGGAUGAUGAUGAGACUAGUGUUGGAUCUGUGGUGAUCAUGUAAAUUAGUAUUUAUAGAAGAAGAAGCUAACAAAGUUAGGCUCUUUGUUUGUUUUCCUUUUCCUAGUCUGAUUUACAUUAUUUUUCUCUACUAGAAAAAGGAAACUUAUUUUGUAGAAAAAAUGGAAAACAAUUAGAAUUUUGUACAAUCUACAACGUUAUACAAAAAGGUUGAAUUAAUUAAUAUAUUUAACCACGAAAAUCAAAUUAAAUUUGUUUCUUUUGUAAAAAAAUUGAAAAACGUACUGAAGAUGCAGUAAUUAGGAUCCAUGCCUCUGCAUAGAGAGGUAAUAAAUGUAGCUUUUGCAUUCACUUAAGAAAAGAAAGUAGCAAAGUAAAAAAGAGAAGAAACAGAGAGAAUGUAUAAUUCAUGCUUCUGCAUUCUUCAACAAGACAUUAUUCUUCAUGUUUCAUGGAUUCUCAUUAUCACUUCCGUCUGGUGGUCCAUGGAUCUUAAACCUGCAUUUGAAUGAAACCAUGUUUGAUAAUUGACAGAAUGAGAAAGAUUUAAAAGUAAGAUUUUCUUAGUGCAAAAACAAUAUGGAUGCAUCACCUAUUUAUGAAGAAGUUUCCUUCACUGUACAUAUCUGACUCAUCUUUGCCUUUCUGUGUGAAACAAAAAGAAACCACAAUGAGAAACACUGAUUUCUCAAACCAAAAACCAGUUCAUGGUUGGUGUCAAAGAAUUUGAUGGAAAGAGUCAUUUCAUACGUAGCACGAGCCAAGAUGAGAGCCACAUCCGAUACAGAACACUGGACGCAUUGUAUUGUCAGCUUUGCCAUCUACAAUGAUGGUCACUUUAGCAGGUUCGAUCACCACAUUGAAGCUAUACCACCAAAAGUGUUGUUAGUUUUAGUAAAUUAAUAAUAACGUAACGUGGGUUUCGAAGCAUUAUUUUUACCAUUUCAUGAAGAAAUAAACUUUCCUAAGGUUGGCAGGAUAUUCAAUGAACGGUAUCUGCAAACACACACAAAUUCUCAGUGUUGGUUGAAAAAGUAAACUUUGUAUAAUCAGAUUUGUUGAGUUUCACCAAUUCUCCAUAAGCAAGAAACAAACAAAUAAACCUGAGUUUGAUGAGAAAGAAGCAGAGGAGAAAUCAAACCGUUUUGAGUGGAAGCUCGUCGUAAACAAAGAAUUCAACUUGGCAGUGCUUGCAUUUAUACACAGAUCCCUCAAGGUCUAUCUUGAAUAACCUUCCCAUUUAUUUCUCUCGAACAAAUCCGUCACCUGAAAAGAUUCAAACCUGAUGAUCUCAAUAUGAUCUACGAUGCCAUAAACAAUACUAUACUCCAAGAACACCAAGAUCUUCAGAUGGAGUCGGUAGAAAGAUACAAAAACACCAACGCCGCAAUUUUCAAGAAAUCAGGAAACGAUUAUCAAGAAUUCUUUCCAUAACUAGUCAAAUAUAUCAUAUCGCUUCAAAAUCCACAAGAUAAUGGAAGAAAAUAACCAGCAAAAACUACUUAAGCAUACUUCUCAAGUAUAUAAGAAAAUGCAGCAGAAAGAACAUUCUAAGAUUACGAGAAAAUCCAUGUCUUACGUACGUAAGACAAAUGAGGAAGGACCGCCAAAGAAAAAGCAGAGGAACUAGAGUUUUCGAAUUUUCUCACGAAUCGGUUAUGUACUGUAUGUGAAAUUAAAAAUUUGGUAUACAUUUGGGUUAGGCCUUAGGGAGUAAACCGGGAAUUGUCGAGUUGAAGAGAACCGGAGCUAUAUCUGUAGAAAUUACUCCUUUGGGCUAUUGGGUUUGUUAUUGGAUCACACGAACUUCAUGAAUUUUAUUUCCUUGUAAAACAAUAAAUUACUAAACCAAGGCACACCACAAGUACAACAAAUUUUCCGGUAAUUAGUACAACAUCGUCGAAUAAGUAGUGCAUACUGCAAUGACUAUGAUCGUAGCUGCUACUCCAGCUGCCUCCACACCCGUAGCAAAAAACAUUUCCACACCUGAGAGGUUUACAUAGCACGAAGCAAAACAUUCAAAUUCGACACACAAUAGAGAGAAAACAAAAACAGGAAAACUUCUUAUAUAUUUCCCUUCUUUUGAUGGCAAUAUUGCUGUUUUUUAAAACCAGUUCUUGAAACAGGACGGUAAAAAGAAAAUAUCGAAGAGAACUGUAUCGAGCGAGAGUUUAUAUAUAUAUACCUGCAAACCAUGUAGUUGCAUCCAAAAGAACGUUCAACCAUGUGUAGCCACAUUGACGCCACUUUUUAUAUUUAGCUAGAGAUAUUAGCUUUUCAUCAUCAUUCUGAGGAUGCAGUAUCCUGUACUCGGUGCAGGAUAGCGUAUUGUGCCAUGGAACUCUGCAGUCGAUACAGAAAGAACCACCACAUUUGAAGCAUGCCCUACGUCGACAUUCAGAAGAUGCAGAAAACUCGGUUUUGGACAUAACAUACGAACAGCUUUGGUGUGGACAAUAAACUCUGUGUCCAAUAGGAAUUGAAUUCUCUCUAAUUAUCUGAGUCCACAUAAAACUCUGCAUUUUAGUCAAGAUCCCGCGAAAUCUAACCAGAGACAGCUGAGACCUGCAGCGAUGCUGAGGACAAUCUGGUAUCUCUCGAUCAAGAAGCUUCACCUCUAUAUGUGAUUUCGCACAAGUUAAGCAAAAUCUAUGACCGUAUUCACAAGCUGAAAACAUGAGAUGAGAGGGGAAGUGGUCGAAACAGAUAAUGCAAGUCUCAGCAGCAACGAGUCUGGAGACGAAUUUAACAUCUUCUUCAAGCAUCAUGACGAGAUUGCUAGACCUGAACAGCUUUCUGAUAAGUUUCACAUCAUCCAUUAGCAAAGCAAUCUUUUUCUCCUCGGGUUCAGAUAUUUCCAAUAGCUACAAAAUUAAUGCCAAGAUCCACGUUACAUCAAACAUACACGACAUGAGAGAUUUAUGUAAGCAAAAGAAUCUUACGUAUUCGAAAAUGGGAUGACGAGGGCGGCAGUAUAUAGAGAUGCGAGUGAUCCCCAGAAACGUGGCUUCGGUUAAACCAAGCAUCAAAGCUCUAAUAUCAGCUUCCAUGGAAGUCAUGUAGGGAAGAAGAUUCUGUAGCGGUGGAUUAGUAGUCUUAAACACCAUAUUAUCCUCUGGGUCGCAGAUUAUAACCUCCACUCUAGUAGUUUUAACAUGCCUUUCUCUCUCUACCAAACUGUUGAAGUAAAGCUUGUGAAAUUGAGGUUCUUCCGGGGUUUUCACGGCGGCAAAGUCCAUUGAAUAAGCAGCAGCCGUCUGAUGGGAUUGGUGUGACACUGAGAUUUAUCAUGAUCCAUAUAUAGUUGUACCAUCUGAAUCCUUCGGAAGAAUCUGGCCAGAGCACCAAAUCAAUUCUACAGAUUAGAUUCUCGAACCUCCGCGAUCCUCGUCAAGAAAUAUUCCGAGAAAAUCGAGGGGAAAAUAAUAAGCGAAAAUAAUCAAGGUUACCUGAAACUUCGAGCUCUUUCAACCAUGUUCUACGUCGUCGACCGUGGAAGUUUUACUUAAUCACAGCGGGUAACGACGGAGGUCCUUCUCCGGCCGUUGAUGAUUGCUUUUUGCGACGGCGGUGGUGGGAAAUCGUAAUAUUCAAUGGAUUACAAGGGUAUAAUCGUCAUUUUGGGAAUCGCUUAUAAUCUUAUUCCGUGAAAAUACUCAUACGACCGAACUUUCGGCCCACGUAAGUUGGGUUUAUGGGCCCAAUAAGUCACAAUUGUCUUAAAUACUGUAAUGUAUUCCCCGUUUCUUUUCAUUUCUUUUCUCCUCUUCUUCUUAUGGAGUACUCUCGCGAUGAACCUAUCUAAGGUUUUCUAAAGAAAUUCAGAUUCCAGUUCUGUCGAGCGGUGGAUUGGUGGAAAACGAAGCUGUAAAUCGCGUAUACAUAUCAAUCGAAUCAAGGUAAUUUUCUUAAUUUUACGUGCUUUUUCCUGAUCAAAACCAGAAAAUAUUAUGAAUGAAUGAAUGAAUCUUUAAGAAGUUUCUCUCCGCUGUUAGAGCCUGAGUUUCUUUAUCUCGAGUCAGUAUUUGGAAUCUAUAUUUGAGGAACCACUGGUUUAGUUGGACGUAUACAUGUUUGGAACAGUUUGAUCCUUGUUUUGUGGAUGUUUAUUAAGAAACGAUUUUUGUUGGAUUCAAACUGUUCGAUAAAAUGCCUCAACGAGAAUUUUGGUUCUAUAGCGAUCUUUGAUGUAUAAACUAAGUGUGAUUUUAUUUUCUUGAGCAUAUGGUUUGAUUCAGUUAGGUGUUAGUUGUAUACUGUCAACAACUUUAGUUUUUGAAGUUUGAUUUGAUUGAAUCAAACUGAUGAUGUUUGAAUGAAUAUUCUCUGGACAUUGUCCGGUGUUCAUCAUUAGCUUUUUUUUUCUAGUUAACCUUUUAUGCUUGAUAUGAAGACCUCAUGUUAGAAUGAACAAGAAGCAAUACGUUCUGGCUUGUAAUUAGAAUGAACAAGAAGCAAUUUAUAGCUUAAGCUAUGACGAGGUUGGUUUGCUCAUUGACAAAGCAAAUCAGCUUAUUGAAACUUACGCUCAUAAUAAUAUUUACUUUUCUGUGUUUUACUUUCUGGAACAUGGUAUUCAUUUUUUCACAUUUUCAUAAUUGGCUUUAACAAAUUGUAUUUAUGUAUAUUUCAGAGUUUACAGAUUCUUCAGUGUAGCCAUUUGAAGCUUAUCAGUGUACGCUAUGGGAGAUAUUUCUGGUGAUGACAAGAUCCUUAGCUAUGACGAUGUUGUCCUUAGGAGAUCCGAUUUGGACAUCCUAAAUGGACACAAUUUUCUGAAUGAUCGUGUUAUCGAGUUCUACCUAAGCUACUUAUCCUCAGUUCACAGUACCCCUACCAUCUCACUAAUCCCUCCUUCCAUUGCCUUCUGGAUCUCCAACUGCCCUGACGCUGAAUCCCUCAAAGAUUUCAUGAAACCCCUCAAGUGUGGCGACAAAGACCUCCUGAUAUUCCCUGUUAACGACAAUCUAAAUGUGGAGGAAGCUGAAGGCGGAUUACAUUGGAGCUUGCUAGUGUACUACAAAGAUGCCAACACGUUUUUCCAUCAUGAUAGCUUAAUGGGAGUGAAUAAAUGGAGCGCUAAACAACUCUUCGAGGCGGUUUCUCCAUUUGUGUCUGAUGGUGAUGCGGUAUACAGAGAAUAUAAUGAGACACCGCAGCAAAAGAAUGGGUACGAUUGUGGUGUUUACCUUCUUGCAAUAGCUCGGGUUGUAUGCGAAUGGUUUACCUCUGAGGGAAUGAAGAAGCGGGAUGAGCUGUGGUUUACUGAUGUGAAGGAGGCUGUACCAGAUGUGGUGAACCAUUUGAGAGAAGAAAUACUGGAGCUGAUCAAAAGGUUGAUGUCUGAGAGUGUUUGUAAAUGAGAAAUGUCGUUAGAUUAUGGUUGGAUAAUCCGGUUUGAUGGAUGAUUUUAACUGUUUACCGGAGCUAAAACAUUUGAUACAUCAUUUUCACCGGUUAUGGAAACCAUCUGUUCUGCUCUCUACUUUUGAGUAUUAAACCAGUAAGGUCAAAACAAGGAUAUAUAUAUAAGCCCAUUGAUAUAGUGAGUGUAGGCCCAAUUUCAUAGAGCGUUAUGAAGUUAAUUUAUAUAGGCCCACUGUGUGAAUCGAAACUCAAUCACGCGAACCAGUGACGCGCUUCUACGUCAUGGCAUCAUUUUGAUGACAACAUUGCUAAACAUAUAUACGAAAAAUAAUCUUUAACAUGAUCGAUUUUUUAAAAAAUUUCAGUAGAUUUGCUGAAAAGAAAGAAAAAAACCAUAGUGACAAACAAGUUUUUUCUUCUAAAACUACUAUAUGAAUUUCCAAUAAUCAAGAACUCAUGUUGGAUAUAUGUAAUUAAAUACUAAAUAUUUGUUAACAGAAUUAUAUAAAUCAGUUAUGAGAAUGGUUACUGGAUCGAGCGGUUAAAACCAUUUGUGGACCGAACCAUUAUUUAUUUACCAUUCACUAAUUAUAUUUGUAGUAGUGCGAUUUCAAAGAAAAACAAAAGAAAAUCACUACAAACCAAAUGCGGAUUGUUUUUAUAUACGAAUAGAGUUGGUUUGCCGCAAUUUGUUGUCCAUCUCAAAAUAGAAUAGACUAAAAUUGCACACAGAUUUGUUUAUUUCGACCAUCGUAACCAUAACACCUUUGAUAGAUGGUUAAAGAUAUUUUUUUUUAAAAAAAAAAACAUUUUCCAAAAGUGAAGUAGAUGUGUUUGCAUUAGAUCACAUAAUGAAUGAAUGAAUACAAAGAAAAACAAAUAAGAUAGUGAAAAAAACGAAUCCAUUUGUUUAUGAAAUCGAGAAACAUUUUCACAAAAGUGGAAACAAACAAACAAAAGGAAGGAAGAGAGGGAGAGAGGUGCUGGUGUGGGAAUCUACACUUUUAGAUGCUUUGCUUGAAGAUGGAGGCAAGAAUAUUAUUAGGUUCCUUUUGGCACUUGCCCCUCAAAUCUCUUUUCUAAUCCGAUCCUAAUUACAUCUUCUUUUAAUGUUUCUUUUUUUAGUUUUUAAUUUUUAUACAAUACACGUCUCUAGUUAGUGUACUCAACUAUACGUUAAACAUAAUCAUGCAAUUUUUUGAAGUAAAACAACUAGAAACACUAACCAGAAACGUGUGUUGAUCUUAAUUACUAGAUAUAUUAUAAACAAAUAAUUGGAAAGCAUAACUGCGUGAUUCAUAUUCAUAAUGAACAUUGUAUUUUUUUUUUUGUGAUAAUUGAGAUUAUAAAUAAUAAUAAAUAAAUAAAGAAACGAAAACAUAAUCUUUACUAGUAGAUAAAUAUGGACUAAAUACUAUACAAGCAAACUAGAGUAAGAUUGGUUUCAGUACUGUUUUUGUCAGAGAUAAUUUCGAAACAGAUAGAUUUGGUUAUGUUAUUACGUUUUUUAUGAUGAGUGUGGGAGAGCUAUCCCCUCCUACGUACGUAGUUUCAAAUUGAAAAAUAUAUUACUGGAGUGAGUGAGACAGCACAUGCCAAGCAACAACAACGACAAACAAAAAUAAAACCUAUAUUUAGAGAUAUUCAGGCUCAGGCUGCUGCUGCGACGACCACUUGCUCUCCUCAGCUUCUUUAUACAAUCACUAUAUUUAUCAUUCCUUUCAUUCGUAAGUCUUUACCUCGAUUUCCUCUAAAACCUGUAUUCCUUUGUCAUGCCGCCACGUGUCAUUCUCAAACCCGACAACAUUGGUCCAGCUCUUACCGCCGGCCAAUCACUCUGUCGCUGUCCCCUCCACCCUAAAUUUACUUUACUUUACUUGUUCUGUUUUUUUCUUUCUUAUUUCUUUACAACAUUAUGUUUAUAUAUUUCGGGAAACUAAAUUAGGGUUUCUUUCUUAUUUUGCUUUCAUAUGUAUGUUAUUUCUGUAUUGAUACGAUUUGGGUGUGGUUGGUUCUUUACGUAUGUUAGUGUUAAAAUUUGGUAGUGGAUCUAUAUAGUAAUCUAUAUAUGCUUAAUUCCGGUAUUUACAAAUUUGUAACCAUAAUUUUAAUAAUGAGAUAUAUAUGGACCAACUUUGAUGCAGUAGUCAUCAAUUGCUUAGACCGUCAACGAAGCACCAACGGUACGAUCAUGAUCUCUUUAAGGGAUAUUAAUAACUAAUGAGCGCGCACAAGAUUUAAAAUGAUCACAUCUCGAUGACUUACGCUUAGUUAUUCGCUUCGAAUCUUAUUAUAAACCAAAGUUUUUGAUUAAUGAUAAUCCCAAUAAUUAGUAUUCAAACAUAUAUACAUAUGACACAUUCACUAAUCUUAUGUGUAUUGAGAGUCAUUAGGAAAGGAAUAAAAACAGUGUUACUUUGGGGGGGGGGGGUUACUAUCAGGAUAUUUAAAUAUUACAAAUAACGAUCGCUUUAUAAAAAACUGCGAUAAAUUAGGAGUACAUCGAUCAUGUCGAGAUAGAUUGCAAUAUAUGAUCAUAUAUAUAGAAAUAUGAGAGUGCUAGCUCUCUUAUCAAUACGAUCUAGCUUUAACUUCUUUUUAUUGCCCAUGAAAUUCUCUAGUUUUGUCACUCUUGUCUAAUUGAGAGACACUAUCUAAAGCAACUGAACAUGUUGCAACUUUGACUGGUCAACCCCAAAACUCUUAUCUAUGUCUUUUUUUUCUUUUCUUUCCCAAUUAUGUUUUCCUGUGGUGCCCUCCACUUCCAGUUAUUAAUACAUAUAUAUAGAAAUAUUAUAACGUGUUCGAUUCCUGAAUUGUUGAUUUAGUAAGGAAGAAUCAUGUUAUGUCACUCUCAUAUUCCUGUUUCUCCACAGCUUUCCAACACAUGUAUAGUAUGUUUAUACUGAAAAUAAUCGAUUACACUUUCAAUAAAUUAAAUAUAACUUCAUAAUUGUAAAACGACUUAAAAACUGAAAUAGGUGAAAAUAUGUGUGUUUAACAUAUGCCAAAUACUGGAAAUAAUUAAAGAAAUAAAAAGAGUGGAAAAUCUUUAAUUGAUUAAAAAGGUGUGUGUGAACUGUUUGUGGUGGUAUAAUUCUAUUUUAUAUGAAUACGAGAUUAAUAAACUUCAAAUCAAAAUUUUCUAAGGAUAUUAUUGGUCAUCAUUAGUUUGAUAUAAAAAUUUGGGAGCCACAAGUAGGUAGGGUCCAAAGGGGAAUUAUAAUGAUCAUCAGUUUUGAUUUGGAGACCAAUGAUUGUUUGUUUAAUUUGUGAAUGAAUGGAUCACCACUCCUGGAUCACGGAAACAAACAGGUUCGUAAGAAAAUGAUUUUUCAAUCCUAUUAUAUACUAUAUAGUAAAUAUAGUUUAGUAAGUGUGGGAGUUAUUGAGUUAUCGAAUUAAUCUACAACCAAAUUAAUUAGGUACGUAUCACUAGAAAACUAUCAAACAUUAGUUUAUGAUGAUAGUUUGAGACUAUGAGAGUUAGUCAUUAUAUCAAUAUCACAUGACACAAGGUUCAAAAAAUCGUAUAUAAUAUAGUAUAAGAUUCUAUAAGAUGAAAAAGCAAUUUAAUUAUAUAUAGUAGUAUAUGAUCAUCUUACAUUAUAAUGUGUGGAUAUGGUCCUUAGACCAAAUCUCGGUCUUCAUAGAAGUGUCUUUCCCGAAAACCGAUGUGUGAUUUGUGUCUCUAUGAACUUUAAAAUCCCCAUCGGAUAAUGCAAGCCACAUCAUGAUGAUGGACUACACAUUGUCCGGCCAAUUUCUUUGCUUUUUCAUAUAACAUGUGUGUGUGUGUUCUAUUUACAUAUCUUAUUGUGCAUAUAUGUAGAAAGCAAUGUACCUAGAAUUAAAUAUUCAAUUUAGAAAGAAAAAUAUUUCAAAGAAAUCAACAUUAGUUAAUGAUGAUAUAUAGUUGCUCCAGAUUGAAAAUCAUUAGUUAAAAACACACAUACAUAUAUAUUUUUAAAAAUACAUAAGUACUUGUCUUCAAGAAAUCAUUGAAAAUUAUGCUCAACAAAUUGCAGAAGUUAUAAAAGCAUAAAAGCAGAAAUUUGGAAGGAGAGAAAAAAAACUGUGGCCAAUAUGUUUUGACAGAAAUAGAAACAUUAGUAGCCUAUCAAAAUUUAUAUGAGUUUUUUUUUUUUUAAGAAAGGAAAAAGAGUUAAGGCAAUGAGAGUGGAGGACAAAUUUAAUGCAAUUUACUAAUUAAUAUCCGAUAGAAGAAGAAAAAAGGCUAAAGAAAUCAUUUAAACGUUUUACAAUUCACAUAAUCCUAUCAAACCACAUGCUAAAAAACCAACUAACAUUAAUAUAAAAGUUCAGUAUUUGUAAAUGUCUUUGCUUUUUCUAUACAUAGGAAUUAGUUAGUUAUAAUGUACUCAUCAUGAUAUAUAUGACUGAACACUGAUCGAAAUAGAAAUUUGUUGAGUCCUCGAGCUAGCUAGUACGAACUACGAAAGGUCACAAUUUGAAACGGUACGUAGUGUCCAUUAAGGAAGAAACGAGACACUGCGAAUGAGGAUGGGAACCGGACCCGCGUGGCGACAACUCAACGGGCCAUUUGGGGACACACAGAAAUGACAACGAAGUUGAGUGCGACGUCGAUCGAACACUACUUACUAAUACUAUCUCUUCUCUCAUUGCAUCCAUCAUCGUACGAAGUUUACUAUUCAUUUCUUGUCUCAAAUAGAUCCCAUUUCACAUUGUUUAUUGAUAUAGGGACGAUAUCGAUUGCAACUCAUCAUCAUUGGGUGUAUAUUUUGACCGCAAAUAGAAAUUGACCGAUACACUAUUACUGUGGAGUUUGGUGAUUAUUUCGGACUAUUGUGGACUUAUUCACUUUUAUGAGUUUUUUUUUUUUUUUUUUUUUUUUUUUUUUUUUUUUUAUAGUUCCCAAGUUUUUCAUGUGGCUAUAAUUAAUUACUUCAAUUGUAACACUACAAUUUGAUCUUCGUAUUAAUUAUAUUAAUAUAUAUAGGCAAAAGAUAUAAUUAAUUAGGAGAAUUUAUACAUAGUAGUAAUUAAAAUGUAAGGUCCUUUUCAAAUUUCAGAUAUCAAAAUCAUCCAAAACAUUAGUUUAUGCGACCAAAAGAAUAAUCUUUUUUGAAGUAGCUAUAUACAUAUAACAAAGCCUUAAUUAAAACACUAGCUAGCUAUACGAAGAGAUAAAGACAUAUUAUUAGUCUAUAGUUUAUACAGUGGCACAUGCCUUUAUAUAUCGAUGCUUCCUUACUAUACUAUACUAAUUAUGUACAAACAUGUAUUUUCUAAUAUGCAUACGUAGAAAUUUUGUUUACAUUAUAAAAAUGAAUAAACGGCGGCUUUAUGUCUGUCUGUUCCAAAUCACGUUCCGAAUUGGUUCACAUUCUUCUUCUUCUUCAUACCAUUACCAUUUUAAAAAUAUAUAUAAAUAUGAGAUCGAGGUCACAACUCACAACAACAAUUGUGUGUGUCUCUAUCUCCUCGCAUACAUUCCCAUGUAUAUAUAAAUACAUAUGCUUGGCUUUUCCUUUUGCUUCACUUUUACUCAUAUCCAAAAAUUCUCUCUCUCUCUCUCUCUCUGAUCUCAACAAACAAUCUCCUAUACAUAUAAACACUCCAUCACACUCGUUACAAUCAGCUUUCUCAGAUUCACCUCUUAUGGAUCAUUUGCUACAGCAUCAGGUAAAAACUAUACAGUUUAAGAACAUCUUUGAUGGGUUUUGCUUGUCUGUAUAUAUAUAUGAUUAGAAUCUUGAUGUGUGUGUGUGUUUUCUUUCUUUCUUAUGAAAGGAUGUUUUUGGGAACUAUAACAAAGCAAGAGAAGCCAUGGGAGUAUCAUCAUAUCCAUCGAACCCGACACAACUAGAUCAGGAUCAGAAAAAACGUUCUCAUCAGGCGACUGAGGCGGCAGCCACAAGGCCACAGCCACCGGAGCUAGCUCUGAGAUGUCCACGCUGUGACUCAACAAACACAAAGUUUUGUUACUACAACAACUACAGCCUCACUCAGCCUCGCUACUUCUGCAAAUCAUGCCGGAGAUAUUGGACCAAAGGCGGAACCCUAAGGAAUAUCCCCGUUGGCGGAGGCUGCCGCAAAAACAAACGGUCCACAUCUUCGGCUACAAGAAGCCUCAGAACCACCCCAGAACCGGCGUCCUACGACGAGAAAGCAUUCUCUGCGGCGAGUUUCGGUGGGUAUAGUACCAAUGAACAGAACGAUCUCAGCUUAGCCUUUGCCUUGCUGAACAAACAACCUCCGGGAAGCUCUGCACAGCUAGGGUUUCCUUCGGAAUUCAGCAGCUCUCAUCAGUCUGACAUGGAGAGUAGUGUGUUUGGGACAAGCCAACAAAAAGGGAACGCUAGUUAUGCGUUUGGAAACGGGAGCAGCGGUUUGGAUAUUGGGAUGGGUACUGAUCCAAGCAAGGUCUUGUGGGGAUUCCCGUGGCAGCUGAGUGGAGAGAGCUUUGGAAUGAUGAACAUAGGAGCAGGUGGUGGUGGUCAUGUAGAUCAGAUUGACUCAGGGAGAGAGAUUUGGACUAAUAUGAACUAUAUUAAUUCUGGUGCUUUAAUGUAGUUCAACUUAAAACCCCAAUUUUAUUUGGGUUUUGAUUUAGGGUUUGAAUUUCAUGUUUUUUAUUGGGAGAAAAAGGGGGGUACGUAGCUGUAUUAUGAAAUGUUUAAGGGAAGUAUAGAAAGAUAUAUAUUAAUUAGGGCUUCUUCAAGAGUUUUAAACUUGCCAAAUGGGGUUAAUUGGGGUAGUUUUUUGUUUUUGUAUUUCAAUUUCUGUUUAAAAUUGUCGAGUUUCUUUAUUUGUAUGUUCACUUCACUAUCUUCUGAAUGAAACAUUUCCUUUGUUGUUUAUAACUUUGAAUUUCAUCUUUCCCCUAAAUUACGUUCCGUUUUUGGAUUUUUACUACUUACUAUAAUGGAAGUGUGAGUUCAAACCCUAAUUUCACUCGCUGAAACCUAAUCAUUAAUUAGUUUCUCCUAAAAAAAAAUCCGACAUCUAGACGCUUCUUAAUGGAUCAGUCAAUGAAGUUGAUGUUUAUACUUAAUUGAUUUAGUGACGUAAAGAAUCAAUGUUAGUAAUGUAUAAUAUAAUUUCAAUUUGAGUAUUUGUAUAAUGUGGACUAGUUAAUACUAUAUCAAGUACUCUAAUCGAUUCUGACUAGAAUUUAAAUAUGUAUAUUGAAUUUACUGGUUGAAAAUAUAAGACCAGAAAUGAUGAUGACUCUAGCAAAGAUGAAAGAUCUCACCUAACCUAAUUUUGCUUACAUAUGCCAACUAUACACACUUGUGAGAAUGUUUUAAAUAUUUUAUAUGUUUGUUGGUUGGUAGUUUAGUUUAGUUAUUUCUUUAUAGAAACACGUGUUUAUGUAUAUAUACAAACAUACCCUAAAUAACAAAACCUAAGUUAAUGAAUAAAAUUCGCCAGUAAUAUAUGCUUAUGUAUUGAAGCUAAUUACCCGAGCAAGUAAUACUAUGAAGUGUAAUAUAUAUGUUUAUACUGACAUCAUCAUACAAAAAUCCACAUAUAAAUAUGAAGUGUGCAUAUAUAUAUAUAUAUAUAUAUAUAAGUUUAGUUAAAAUGAACAGUAAAGAAAAAGAUAAAACAAGUAUAGAAUAAAACUUUCUAUAUAUAGAAUGCUAUCUCUCUCUAUAUAUAUAUAUAUAUAUAUCUUUAUUUUUUAAAAUUUAACAUUUUUGUGCUGUUAAAAGAGAAAAGAAUGCAAGUUUUUGUUUGCCAAACUCUGAAAAUUAAAUGUUUGAUUUUCCAUUGUCAACAAUUUUUGUGACAUUCUUUUUUGUUUCUUGCAUACAUUUAUUUUCUAUUACAAAGGAUGAAGGAACGUACACGUCGUACAGUAUUAGAAAAAUCAGAAACGACAGGUGAAGGACCCAUUGGGCCCAUUAGGCCAAGGCCCAGUGAUGAUUCUAAUACAGCUAAGUGCACCAGAGGCUUUCAUGUUUUUGACAUUAACAGACACCAACUGGUUUCAAAAUGACAUGCUUUUAGUUUAUAUUUCGAACAAGUAUCUUUUCCAGAGCAUAGUUCUCAAACUACUAUUUCACAUCAUUACCGGAGGCACAUGAGUUGCUCUUAUAAUCCAACUCCAAACCGACGGUACCUGAGAAGCAAAAAUCAAGAGGGGCAAAGCAAGAGUCAGUUUCUUUGGAGAAAUUAGAACACCAGAUACAAAAAAAAAAAAACAAAGAUACUAACUUUAGAAGAGAGACCUAAUUAUAUUUGUCAUUCUCCAUCUAUUUCUGAGGCUUCUUCCACAAAACACCAAUUUUCUUGAGCACAUUCCCAUUUUUCUUCUUUAUCAAUUCAUCGUCAAUAUCCUCAGAGUAAGGGGAGUUCGUUUGGUUAUUGUUCUCCGCGAAUUUCUCAUUGUUUCCAGCAGAGAGCAUGGCAGUAGCUGCUUCAGCAGCUUUUCUCCAUUGGUUUGAUUGAACUUUAAGCUUCCUGAGUUCCGUUUCCAUUUCUGAGUUCGAAGCUUGAGUAGCCUCUAGUUGCUCUGUAACUAUAACUGCUCUUUUGCUACUCUUGUCAGCCUCUUCCAUUGCAAUCCCUAGCUUCAUGAACACGUCUUGAACAUCUGUCUCUCUCUUCUGGAUAUCUGACUUCAAUGUCUCAUUCUCAUCUGAAAUGAUCUGGAGUUCUGUCUCUUUAUCCAUCAAAUCCGCCUUUGAAUUCUCAAUUGCUUCCCUUAGUUUCUUCAGCUCAGCUUCAAUAUCUAUUUCCUUCUGGUUCUUCAUCAGUUUCAGGCAUAGGUUAUCUCUCUCCUCUGAAAUAAACUGCAAUUCUGUUUCCUUGUCCAUCAACCUCGCCUUUAGCUCGUCUGUCUCAGAUUUAGCUAUCUUUAGCUCAGAUUGGAGUUCAGCUUGUAUCCGUAACCAAGAAGAAGCCUCCACGUUCCCCUCUUGGUCUUUCUGGUCAGAAUCUUCUAGAGCCGCUCUCAGUCGCUCUACCUCACAUCUUAAGGAAGAUACUUCUUCUUCCAUCUCAUUUGAUUCCCCACGUUUUAAACUUCCAUAGUCUUUGAGCAGGGUUUCGUGGUUUUCCAAAUCCUCUGGAUUGGUCUGAAGUUUAUUCACAAGAGCUUCAAGCCAUGCCAUCCUUGAUUUUGACUGUUCAAGCUCCACCGCCAUCUUCUUGUAACUCUCAACUGCUUUUGUGCCAUCUAACUUCAGUUCUUCGACUGCCUUUUUCGCAUUCUCCAAUUGCCUAAGAGUUUCAGUGGCUAAAGCCUCGGUCUCAGCUUCUGAUACCUCACAGUCCUUCAGUUGGUUCCUGAAAUCUUCGACAAGGAAAAACGUGUCCAUUAGGUCUCCUCUCAAUAGUUGUACCUCCGAGUUAUGCAACUCAGCUUGUUUCACAUGACCAGCUUCAGAAGUAGCCAGCAUCUCAAUGUGAAGCUUGAGUUCUCGAAUCUCAUGAGCAACAGCAGCCAAUCCUGCUCUUUCACCAGCAGUAGCACUAAACUCCAAACCACACUCCUGAGAGAUACCUUGAUGAACAAGAGAACAUGUUUUAUCAGUUUCUUCUUCCGAGGCUGAAACUUCCAAAAACUGAUUCUGGUUCUCCUCAAGCUUAGAGGAAACUUCUUGCAGCUGUUUCCUGGACUUAUCUGCUUCUUGCUCUGCUUGCUUCUUUGAUGUUUCAGAUACUGAGACUUGAUCUUUCGCCUUCUUUAACUCCUCCUGAAGAUGUGAUACUAGCGACUCUAACUCCUUUAUUAUACUUGGCCUCUUCUUCUGUUAGCCAUGAAACAUAUCACAGUGUUACACUAAUCUCAAGAAUAAGAAUAAGCAGAAAAUUCAGUUAAAAAUUAGUUACACUAUCAUCUCUCAACUACCCAAAUUAAAUGUUCCACCUAAUUCUAUAUCCCAUAGGCCCCCAUAUCAAAUGUAUCCUAAAUUUUCCAUCAUCAAAAUCAAUACAGAAACAUGUUAUGUCGGAAAGGCUUAUUUUGGAUCAUGCAAAUAAAAGGGAUUUAUGAAAUCGAACGUUCAAUUGACCCCAACAAUGAAUAAAACAAAAGAAGGAUUUUUUCAAGACCCUUAUUACAUCUGAUUCAGCUUAUUACAUGAAGCUCAUACCUCAGAGACAGGGCUUCGUGGAGACCUACGAUCCGGAACUUUUGGACUUUUAUCCUUUGGUGUUCUGUUAUUAACUGAGACAGGAGGUGAAGAGGAAUCAGACUCUAGCGCUGCUAUCUUCAGUGGCCGAGCAGCUCGAGAAGAUACCUUCUUAGGAACACCUGGAGAUCCAUUUCUGCCCCAAAACCCAAAGAUAAAUUAAAUUGUAAAUCAAGAAGAUACCACACUCCAGAGCUGCAAGCAAAUGAGCCAGAGAACAAAAAGAACUUCAACUAAUAGAAACAGAUCAUAACUGUCGUAACUUGUUGCUACAUAGAUUGGGUCUUCUUCUUCAUGACGAGACUACAGUAAAUUCGUGAUAAAAUGGAAACAAAUAUGUUCUGAGGACCACAAGAAUGUAACCUUCAAGAUUCCCCGUUGAAAAAGUGCAAAAACUCUCACAAAACAGGAGAAGAAUCAGCUAUAAAUGCAAAGAACCAUUCAAAGACAAAAACCAAUAUCUACCUUGCCUUUUGGGACUGCAUAAUGUAAUCUUAUCACUCCAAGGCACAGGAUGAAUAAAACCUUGUUUACAGAAUUGAUAUUGUCAGCCUCCUCUUUACUUCUUCAAUGUCGCCUGACCCACCAAGAAUUGUAUAGAGCUCAUGAAUAUUUAAUGCAGAAGGAUGGAGACAUAUUUAAAAAUCCAAUGGCAGAGAAUAAACAUGAUAGGAGUUAUUACAGUGAAAAGAUAAGCGUAAGAAAAAUAUUUCUUUUCGUCGAUUAUCAAGUCUACUAACAGAAAAUAAGUAAAACAUAACUGUAUGUUAUGCAUCUUAAAGAAAAUAAAUUUCCAAUUGAUACAUAAAAUUCAAACUAGUACUGAGUUAAGCGGGAAUGGUUCUUCAAGGGUUUUUCAAAUUACUCACAGAGGUAACAAUUGGUUUUGAAUUUGUGGUUUCAUCUUCACGACUAAGUUCGGGACUCCACCUACUUACUGUCUGUUCCUCCACUGUGAAGUCCUCCAAACACGCAGGUAGAUUCAAUCCCUCUCCUUUGAAAUUACCAUUGACGUAGAGAGUCAACAACGUUUUGGCAACACUUCCGCUUAACCGAACAGCACAAUGGAUAUCAGACCACACUCUUAGUCGAUCACUAUCACCAGACUGAACCAAAACCGAGUAUUCAGAGUGGACAAGAGAUGGAUGGUGACGGUAUGCCACGAAAUCCACACCGUAUUGCAACCCUGAUCUCAAAACCCAGUUCUUCGAUCGUAGAUGUGAAUAAGCUUUGUAAAACAUUGGGAAGUUUGGUCUUUUUGAUUUCAUAUACAUCCAUGUGUCUACUUCAUUCUCCAAGCAACGACCUUGAAGAGAGAUUUUGAUGCAUUUGAGAGUGUGGAACAAAAAGAAAGCUUCUUCAAAAGAUAACUGAAUCCAUUUCUUCACUUUUUCUGCAGAUAGAACGAGUCUGCCAAAACAACAACGGUCGAGAAGCUCAGCUUGCUCUGGCUCAACCGCUAGAAGAACAUUGCAACUCGAGAGGGUACCCGAGGACUCUGUUUUGGCUAGAGAAAGCUGGAGCUCUAAUACGGAAUUUGAAAUAGGUUCGGCGAGAGCUUUUGCUUCAGCACCUUUCCAUUUCCAUCUCGGCGCCAUGGAAUCGAACUGCAUAUUAUAGCAUCAAAAAUCAAACCUUUUGACCAUAUAGAAACAAAAAAGCAUAAUAUGUUGAAUAAAGGAUAUUGUAAAUGAUUUUUAGUUUAUUACUAACUACAACUCUUUUAGUCUAGGAACUCGUAAAAACAUCGUAUAAACGCAUUUUAAAGUAGGAACUGGGUUGAACAAAACUAAGAACGUUUGAUAUUUAUCCCUUUUUGAUUCAAAGAUGAAUCGGCCAAGUGAUUUAUAAAAAAAGUAAUCACGUUAUUUUUAAGAUGAUGCAUUCUACAGAAGCAAGCAAUCACAAUGUCGUUGAACUUGUCCUGACAUGAUAGUAACCACGAAUGGAGGAUAAAACUAGAAAGGGAUAUAGGCAGAAACGAAACCUGAAGUUUAGAUUUUGAAGAAGAAACAGAGAGAAUCGAGGAAUUAGGCAGCAGAGUUAACAAUGGAGAAGUAUGCUUCAAGGAUCCAGUGGAGAGCUAUGAAGUAGCGGAAAAAAGUAAUCCCAUAGAAAAUUAGAUUAUUGUUGAGUUCGACUUAACUGUGGAAAAAUCGAGAAGGACAGUGGAGAAAGACUAACUAACGUAGAGAUGAUGAAGACCCACCACGAAGAAUUUCCGAACUUGAGAUUUAAGAAUGGGAGCGGGAUUCGGAUCUCUUGAAGAACGAAACGAGACCGUCGAGACUCGAGCAGCAGAGAUUGUCGUGUCUCGAAAUCCAAAACGAUUUUAGCAAAACAAAAAACCUUAUAAAAACAAAAUUAUCAAUGGGUCUAAUUGGGCUGUCUAGAGUUGCAUCCGUUUAGGCCCGUGAAAUAGAUCCGAGAGCCUUGCAAAGGGAGUCAACGGUUUCUCAAAUCACUAAGGCCGAAGAAGCUAACAAAGAGACUUGCGGUAUGAUCAUCUAUUUCGACAAAAUUGACUCUGUUCUGAUGUUCUGCUUUAACUUGUGUGAGAAACAAACCACAUAUCGAGGUGAAGCUGCAUGUCAUCGAAUGAUACCGGAUUGUCCUCAGCAUCACUACAAGCCCUCAGGCCUCAGGUAUCUAUUGUAAUAGUUGUUGCAUGCUUUUUGACUCCAAAGCUGACUUUGAUGUGGAAACAGAUAAUAAGAGACGGGGAAGCCUUUCGAGUGAAACUAAUACUAAUAACUCAAAACAUUAUAUUGAUACAUUCAACAACUUUCGAGCUGCAACUCAUAUUUAUUAAGAUUAAAGACAAAUUCACCACGAAGUAAACUCUGAUAAAAUUUCUGAUGUCCACACUUAUUCAUCUUUUACGAAGAAAAAAUAAAAACUAAAUGAGUUAAAUACAGAUAUAUAUAUUUUUUUUUUAUGUAACAAAAUUCUCAUAAUAAUAUAUUUUUCAUUCAUUUUCUUGAUAUUGUCUUUGAUUGAUUUAAGAUUUAAUUUGAUCUUUAUGGAUUCGUUUUUCUACUCAAAUACUCAGCUUUUUUUACCAAAAAAAAAAAAAAUACUCCAAGCUGACUGAAGGAUAAUAGAUGGACAUCAAUCUAUAUUUACCUUUUUAUUCUCUGGGUCAUAUCAAAUAAUUAACGGGAAAAAUGUCUUUAAAAUCAUCAACUUUCAAAUUGUGGCCAUUAUAAUCAUCAACUUCUUCUCUGGCCAUUUAAAGCAUAUANNNNNNNNNNNNNNNNNNNNNNNNNNNNNNNNNNNNNNNNNNNNNNNNNNNNNNNNNNNNNNNNNNNNNNNNNNNNNNNNNNNNNNNNNNNNNNNNNNNNNNNNNNNNNNNNNNNNNNNNNNNNNNNNNNNNNNNNNNNNNNNNNNNNNNNNNNNNNNNNNNNNNNNNNNNNNNNNNNNNNNNNNNNNNNNNNNNNNNNNNNNNNNNNNNNNNNNNNNNNNNNNNNNNNNNNNNNNNNNNNNNNNNNNNNNNNNNNNNNNNNNNNNNNNNNNNNNNNNNNNNNNNNNNNNNNNNNNNNNNNNNNNNNNNNNNNNNNNNNNNNNNNNNNNNNNNNNNNNNNNNNNNNNNNNNNNNNNNNNNNNNNNNNNNNNNNNNNNNNNNNNNNNNNNNNNNNNNNNNNNNNNNNNNNNNNNNNNNNNNNNNNNNNNNNNNNNNNNNNNNNNNNNNNNNNNNNNNNNNNNNNNNNNNNNNNNNNNNNNNNNNNNNNNNNNNNNNNNNNNNNNNNNNNNNNNNNNNNNNNNNNNNNNNNNNNNNNNNNNNNNNNNNNNNNNNNNNNNNNNNNNNNNNNNNNNNNNNNNNNNNNNNNNNNNNNNNNNNNNNNNNNNNNNNNNNNNNNNNNNNNNNNNNNNNNNNNNNNNNNNNNNNNNNNNNNNNNNNNNNNNNNNNNNNNNNNNNNNNNNNNNNNNNNNNNNNNNNNNNNNNNNNNNNNNNNNNNNNNNNNNNNNNNNNNNNNNNNNNNNNNNNNNNNNNNNNNNNNNNNNNNNNNNNNNNNNNNNNNNNNNNNNNNNNNNNNNNNNNNNNNNNNNNNNNNNNNNNNNNNNNNNNNNNNNNNNNNNNNNNNNNNNNNNNNNNNNNNNNNNNNNNNNNNNNNNNNNNNNNNNNNNNNNNNNNNNNNNNNNNNNNNNNNNNNNNNNNNNNNNNNNNNNNNNNNNNNNNNNNNNNNNNNNNNNNNNNNNNNNNNNNNNNNNNNNNNNNNNNNNNNNNNNNNNNNNNNNNNNNNNNNNNNNNNNNNNNNNNNNNNNNNNNNNNNNNNNNNNNNNNNNNNNNNNNNNNNNNNNNNNNNNNNNNNNNNNNNNNNNNNNNNNNNNNNNNNNNNNNNNNNNNNNNNNNNNNNNNNNNNNNNNNNNNNNNNNNNNNNNNNNNNNNNNNNNNNNNNNNNNNNNNNNNNNNNNNNNNNNNNNNNNNNNNNNNNNNNNNNNNNNNNNNNNNNNNNNNNNNNNNNNNNNNNNNNNNNNNNNNNNNNNNNNNNNNNNNNNNNNNNNNNNNNNNNNNNNNNNNNNNNNNNNNNNNNNNNNNNNNNNNNNNNNNNNNNNNNNNNNNNNNNNNNNNNNNNNNNNNNNNNNNNNNNNNNNNNNNNNNNNNNNNNNNNNNNNNNNNNNNNNNNNNNNNNNNNNNNNNNNNNNNNNNNNNNNNNNNNNNNNNNNNNNNNNNNNNNNNNNNNNNNNNNNNNNNNNNNNNNNNNNNNNNNNNNNNNNNNNNNNNNNNNNNNNNNNNNNNNNNNNNNNNNNNNNNNNNNNNNNNNNNNNNNNNNNNNNNNNNNNNNNNNNNNNNNNNNNNNNNNNNNNNNNNNNNNNNNNNNNNNNNNNNNNNNNNNNNNNNNNNNNNNNNNNNNNNNNNNNNNNNNNNNNNNNNNNNNNNNNNNNNNNNNNNNNNNNNNNNNNNNNNNNNNNNNNNNNNNNNNNNNNNNNNNNNNNNNNNNNNNNNNNNNNNNNNNNNNNNNNNNNNNNNNNNNNNNNNNNNNNNNNNNNNNNNNNNNNNNNNNNNNNNNNNNNNNNNNNNNNNNNNNNNNNNNNNNNNNNNNNNNNNNNNNNNNNNNNNNNNNNNNNNNNNNNNNNNNNNNNNNNNNNNNNNNNNNNNNNNNNNNNNNNNNNNNNNNNNNNNNNNNNNNNNNNNNNNNNNNNNNNNNNNNNNNNNNNNNNNNNNNNNNNNNNNNNNNNNNNNNNNNNNNNNNNNNNNNNNNNNNNNNNNNNNNNNNNNNNNNNNNNNNNNNNNNNNNNNNNNNNNNNNNNNNNNNNNNNNNNNNNNNNNNNNNNNNNNNNNNNNNNNNNNNNNNNNNNNNNNNNNNNNNNNNNNNNNNNNNNNNNNNNNNNNNNNNNNNNNNNNNNNNNNNNNNNNNNNNNNNNNNNNNNNNNNNNNNNNNNNNNNNNNNNNNNNNNNNNNNNNNNNNNNNNNNNNNNNNNNNNNNNNNNNNNNNNNNNNNNNNNNNNNNNNNNNNNNNNNNNNNNNNNNNNNNNNNNNNNNNNNNNNNNNNNNNNNNNNNNNNNNNNNNNNNNNNNNNNNNNNNNNNNNNNNNNNNNNNNNNNNNNNNNNNNNNNNNNNNNNNNNNNNNNNNNNNNNNNNNNNNNNNNNNNNNNNNNNNNNNNNNNNNNNNNNNNNNNNNNNNNNNNNNNNNNNNNNNNNNNNNNNNNNNNNNNNNNNNNNNNNNNNNNNNNNNNNNNNNNNNNNNNNNNNNNNNNNNNNNNNNNNNNNNNNNNNNNNNNNNNNNNNNNNNNNNNNNNNNNNNNNNNNNNNNNNNNNNNNNNNNNNNNNNNNNNNNNNNNNNNNNNNNNNNNNNNNNNNNNNNNNNNNNNNNNNNNNNNNNNNNNNNNNNNNNNNNNNNNNNNNNNNNNNNNNNNNNNNNNNNNNNNNNNNNNNNNNNNNNNNNNNNNNNNNNNNNNNNNNNNNNNNNNNNNNNNNNNNNNNNNNNNNNNNNNNNNNNNNNNNNNNNNNNNNNNNNNNNNNNNNNNNNNNNNNNNNNNNNNNNNNNNNNNNNNNNNNNNNNNNNNNNNNNNNNNNNNNNNNNNNNNNNNNNNNNNNNNNNNNNNNNNNNNNNNNNNNNNNNNNNNNNNNNNNNNNNNNNNNNNNNNNNNNNNNNNNNNNNNNNNNNNNNNNNNNNNNNNNNNNNNNNNNNNNNNNNNNNNNNNNNNNNNNNNNNNNNNNNNNNNNNNNNNNNNNNNNNNNNNNNNNNNNNNNNNNNNNNNNNNNNNNNNNNNNNNNNNNNNNNNNNNNNNNNNNNNNNNNNNNNNNNNNNNNNNNNNNNNNNNNNNNNNNNNNNNNNNNNNNNNNNNNNNNNNNNNNNNNNNNNNNNNNNNNNNNNNNNNNNNNNNNNNNNNNNNNNNNNNNNNNNNNNNNNNNNNNNNNNNNNNNNNNNNNNNNNNNNNNNNNNNNNNNNNNNNNNNNNNNNNNNNNNNNNNNNNNNNNNNNNNNNNNNNNNNNNNNNNNNNNNNNNNNNNNNNNNNNNNNNNNNNNNNNNNNNNNNNNNNNNNNNNNNNNNNNNNNNNNNNNNNNNNNNNNNNNNNNNNNNNNNNNNNNNNNNNNNNNNNNNNNNNNNNNNNNNNNNNNNNNNNNNNNNNNNNNNNNNNNNNNNNNNNNNNNNNNNNNNNNNNNNNNNNNNNNNNNNNNNNNNNNNNNNNNNNNNNNNNNNNNNNNNNNNNNNNNNNNNNNNNNNNNNNNNNNNNNNNNNNNNNNNNNNNNNNNNNNNNNNNNNNNNNNNNNNNNNNNNNNNNNNNNNNNNNNNNNNNNNNNNNNNNNNNNNNNNNNNNNNNNNNNNNNNNNNNNNNNNNNNNNNNNNNNNNNNNNNNNNNNNNNNNNNNNNNNNNNNNNNNNNNNNNNNNNNNNNNNNNNNNNNNNNNNNNNNNNNNNNNNNNNNNNNNNNNNNNNNNNNNNNNNNNNNNNNNNNNNNNNNNNNNNNNNNNNNNNNNNNNNNNNNNNNNNNNNNNNNNNNNNNNNNNNNNNNNNNNNNNNNNNNNNNNNNNNNNNNNNNNNNNNNNNNNNNNNNNNNNNNNNNNNNNNNNNNNNNNNNNNNNNNNNNNNNNNNNNNNNNNNNNNNNNNNNNNNNNNNNNNNNNNNNNNNNNNNNNNNNNNNNNNNNNNNNNNNNNNNNNNNNNNNNNNNNNNNNNNNNNNNNNNNNNNNNNNNNNNNNNNNNNNNNNNNNNNNNNNNNNNNNNNNNNNNNNNNNNNNNNNNNNNNNNNNNNNNNNNNNNNNNNNNNNNNNNNNNNNNNNNNNNNNNNNNNNNNNNNNNNNNNNNNNNNNNNNNNNNNNNNNNNNNNNNNNNNNNNNNNNNNNNNNNNNNNNNNNNNNNNNNNNNNNNNNNNNNNNNNNNNNNNNNNNNNNNNNNNNNNNNNNNNNNNNNNNNNNNNNNNNNNNNNNNNNNNNNNNNNNNNNNNNNNNNNNNNNNNNNNNNNNNNNNNNNNNNNNNNNNNNNNNNNNNNNNNNNNNNNNNNNNNNNNNNNNNNNNNNNNNNNNNNNNNNNNNNNNNNNNNNNNNNNNNNNNNNNNNNNNNNNNNNNNNNNNNNNNNNNNNNNNNNNNNNNNNNNNNNNNNNNNNNNNNNNNNNNNNNNNNNNNNNNNNNNNNNNNNNNNNNNNNNNNNNNNNNNNNNNNNNNNNNNNNNNNNNNNNNNNNNNNNNNNNNNNNNNNNNNNNNNNNNNNNNNNNNNNNNNNNNNNNNNNNNNNNNNNNNNNNNNNNNNNNNNNNNNNNNNNNNNNNNNNNNNNNNNNNNNNNNNNNNNNNNNNNNNNNNNNNNNNNNNNNNNNNNNNNNNNNNNNNNNNNNNNNNNNNNNNNNNNNNNNNNNNNNNNNNNNNNNNNNNNNNNNNNNNNNNNNNNNNNNNNNNNNNNNNNNNNNNNNNNNNNNNNNNNNNNNNNNNNNNNNNNNNNNNNNNNNNNNNNNNNNNNNNNNNNNNNNNNNNNNNNNNNNNNNNNNNNNNNNNNNNNNNNNNNNNNNNNNNNNNNNNNNNNNNNNNNNNNNNNNNNNNNNNNNNNNNNNNNNNNNNNNNNNNNNNNNNNNNNNNNNNNNNNNNNNNNNNNNNNNNNNNNNNNNNNNNNNNNNNNNNNNNNNNNNNNNNNNNNNNNNNNNNNNNNNNNNNNNNNNNNNNNNNNNNNNNNNNNNNNNNNNNNNNNNNNNNNNNNNNNNNNNNNNNNNNNNNNNNNNNNNNNNNNNNNNNNNNNNNNNNNNNNNNNNNNNNNNNNNNNNNNNNNNNNNNNNNNNNNNNNNNNNNNNNNNNNNNNNNNNNNNNNNNNNNNNNNNNNNNNNNNNNNNNNNNNNNNNNNNNNNNNNNNNNNNNNNNNNNNNNNNNNNNNNNNNNNNNNNNNNNNNNNNNNNNNNNNNNNNNNNNNNNNNNNNNNNNNNNNNNNNNNNNNNNNNNNNNNNNNNNNNNNNNNNNNNNNNNNNNNNNNNNNNNNNNNNNNNNNNNNNNNNNNNNNNNNNNNNNNNNNNNNNNNNNNNNNNNNNNNNNNNNNNNNNNNNNNNNNNNNNNNNNNNNNNNNNNNNNNNNNNNNNNNNNNNNNNNNNNNNNNNNNNNNNNNNNNNNNNNNNNNNNNNNNNNNNNNNNNNNNNNNNNNNNNNNNNNNNNNNNNNNNNNNNNNNNNNNNNNNNNNNNNNNNNNNNNNNNNNNNNNNNNNNNNNNNNNNNNNNNNNNNNNNNNNNNNNNNNNNNNNNNNNNNNNNNNNNNNNNNNNNNNNNNNNNNNNNNNNNNNNNNNNNNNNNNNNNNNNNNNNNNNNNNNNNNNNNNNNNNNNNNNNNNNNNNNNNNNNNNNNNNNNNNNNNNNNNNNNNNNNNNNNNNNNNNNNNNNNNNNNNNNNNNNNNNNNNNNNNNNNNNNNNNNNNNNNNNNNNNNNNNNNNNNNNNNNNNNNNNNNNNNNNNNNNNNNNNNNNNNNNNNNNNNNNNNNNNNNNNNNNNNNNNNNNNNNNNNNNNNNNNNNNNNNNNNNNNNNNNNNNNNNNNNNNNNNNNNNNNNNNNNNNNNNNNNNNNNNNNNNNNNNNNNNNNNNNNNNNNNNNNNNNNNNNNNNNNNNNNNNNNNNNNNNNNNNNNNNNNNNNNNNNNNNNNNNNNNNNNNNNNNNNNNNNNNNNNNNNNNNNNNNNNNNNNNNNNNNNNNNNNNNNNNNNNNNNNNNNNNNNNNNNNNNNNNNNNNNNNNNNNNNNNNNNNNNNNNNNNNNNNNNNNNNNNNNNNNNNNNNNNNNNNNNNNNNNNNNNNNNNNNNNNNNNNNNNNNNNNNNNNNNNNNNNNNNNNNNNNNNNNNNNNNNNNNNNNNNNNNNNNNNNNNNNNNNNNNNNNNNNNNNNNNNNNNNNNNNNNNNNNNNNNNNNNNNNNNNNNNNNNNNNNNNNNNNNNNNNNNNNNNNNNNNNNNNNNNNNNNNNNNNNNNNNNNNNNNNNNNNNNNNNNNNNNNNNNNNNNNNNNNNNNNNNNNNNNNNNNNNNNNNNNNNNNNNNNNNNNNNNNNNNNNNNNNNNNNNNNNNNNNNNNNNNNNNNNNNNNNNNNNNNNNNNNNNNNNNNNNNNNNNNNNNNNNNNNNNNNNNNNNNNNNNNNNNNNNNNNNNNNNNNNNNNNNNNNNNNNNNNNNNNNNNNNNNNNNNNNNNNNNNNNNNNNNNNNNNNNNNNNNNNNNNNNNNNNNNNNNNNNNNNNNNNNNNNNNNNNNNNNNNNNNNNNNNNNNNNNNNNNNNNNNNNNNNNNNNNNNNNNNNNNNNNNNNNNNNNNNNNNNNNNNNNNNNNNNNNNNNNNNNNNNNNNNNNNNNNNNNNNNNNNNNNNNNNNNNNNNNNNNNNNNNNNNNNNNNNNNNNNNNNNNNNNNNNNNNNNNNNNNNNNNNNNNNNNNNNNNNNNNNNNNNNNNNNNNNNNNNNNNNNNNNNNNNNNNNNNNNNNNNNNNNNNNNNNNNNNNNNNNNNNNNNNNNNNNNNNNNNNNNNNNNNNNNNNNNNNNNNNNNNNNNNNNNNNNNNNNNNNNNNNNNNNNNNNNNNNNNNNNNNNNNNNNNNNNNNNNNNNNNNNNNNNNNNNNNNNNNNNNNNNNNNNNNNNNNNNNNNNNNNNNNNNNNNNNNNNNNNNNNNNNNNNNNNNNNNNNNNNNNNNNNNNNNNNNNNNNNNNNNNNNNNNNNNNNNNNNNNNNNNNNNNNNNNNNNNNNNNNNNNNNNNNNNNNNNNNNNNNNNNNNNNNNNNNNNNNNNNNNNNNNNNNNNNNNNNNNNNNNNNNNNNNNNNNNNNNNNNNNNNNNNNNNNNNNNNNNNNNNNNNNNNNNNNNNNNNNNNNNNNNNNNNNNNNNNNNNNNNNNNNNNNNNNNNNNNNNNNNNNNNNNNNNNNNNNNNNNNNNNNNNNNNNNNNNNNNNNNNNNNNNNNNNNNNNNNNNNNNNNNNNNNNNNNNNNNNNNNNNNNNNNNNNNNNNNNNNNNNNNNNNNNNNNNNNNNNNNNNNNNNNNNNNNNNNNNNNNNNNNNNNNNNNNNNNNNNNNNNNNNNNNNNNNNNNNNNNNNNNNNNNNNNNNNNNNNNNNNNNNNNNNNNNNNNNNNNNNNNNNNNNNNNNNNNNNNNNNNNNNNNNNNNNNNNNNNNNNNNNNNNNNNNNNNNNNNNNNNNNNNNNNNNNNNNNNNNNNNNNNNNNNNNNNNNNNNNNNNNNNNNNNNNNNNNNNNNNNNNNNNNNNNNNNNNNNNNNNNNNNNNNNNNNNNNNNNNNNNNNNNNNNNNNNNNNNNNNNNNNNNNNNNNNNNNNNNNNNNNNNNNNNNNNNNNNNNNNNNNNNNNNNNNNNNNNNNNNNNNNNNNNNNNNNNNNNNNNNNNNNNNNNNNNNNNNNNNNNNNNNNNNNNNNNNNNNNNNNNNNNNNNNNNNNNNNNNNNNNNNNNNNNNNNNNNNNNNNNNNNNNNNNNNNNNNNNNNNNNNNNNNNNNNNNNNNNNNNNNNNNNNNNNNNNNNNNNNNNNNNNNNNNNNNNNNNNNNNNNNNNNNNNNNNNNNNNNNNNNNNNNNNNNNNNNNNNNNNNNNNNNNNNNNNNNNNNNNNNNNNNNNNNNNNNNNNNNNNNNNNNNNNNNNNNNNNNNNNNNNNNNNNNNNNNNNNNNNNNNNNNNNNNNNNNNNNNNNNNNNNNNNNNNNNNNNNNNNNNNNNNNNNNNNNNNNNNNNNNNNNNNNNNNNNNNNNNNNNNNNNNNNNNNNNNNNNNNNNNNNNNNNNNNNNNNNNNNNNNNNNNNNNNNNNNNNNNNNNNNNNNNNNNNNNNNNNNNNNNNNNNNNNNNNNNNNNNNNNNNNNNNNNNNNNNNNNNNNNNNNNNNNNNNNNNNNNNNNNNNNNNNNNNNNNNNNNNNNNNNNNNNNNNNNNNNNNNNNNNNNNNNNNNNNNNNNNNNNNNNNNNNNNNNNNNNNNNNNNNNNNNNNNNNNNNNNNNNNNNNNNNNNNNNNNNNNNNNNNNNNNNNNNNNNNNNNNNNNNNNNNNNNNNNNNNNNNNNNNNNNNNNNNNNNNNNNNNNNNNNNNNNNNNNNNNNNNNNNNNNNNNNNNNNNNNNNNNNNNNNNNNNNNNNNNNNNNNNNNNNNNNNNNNNNNNNNNNNNNNNNNNNNNNNNNNNNNNNNNNNNNNNNNNNNNNNNNNNNNNNNNNNNNNNNNNNNNNNNNNNNNNNNNNNNNNNNNNNNNNNNNNNNNNNNNNNNNNNNNNNNNNNNNNNNNNNNNNNNNNNNNNNNNNNNNNNNNNNNNNNNNNNNNNNNNNNNNNNNNNNNNNNNNNNNNNNNNNNNNNNNNNNNNNNNNNNNNNNNNNNNNNNNNNNNNNNNNNNNNNNNNNNNNNNNNNNNNNNNNNNNNNNNNNNNNNNNNNNNNNNNNNNNNNNNNNNNNNNNNNNNNNNNNNNNNNNNNNNNNNNNNNNNNNNNNNNNNNNNNNNNNNNNNNNNNNNNNNNNNNNNNNNNNNNNNNNNNNNNNNNNNNNNNNNNNNNNNNNNNNNNNNNNNNNNNNNNNNNNNNNNNNNNNNNNNNNNNNNNNNNNNNNNNNNNNNNNNNNNNNNNNNNNNNNNNNNNNNNNNNNNNNNNNNNNNNNNNNNNNNNNNNNNNNNNNNNNNNNNNNNNNNNNNNNNNNNNNNNNNNNNNNNNNNNNNNNNNNNNNNNNNNNNNNNNNNNNNNNNNNNNNNNNNNNNNNNNNNNNNNNNNNNNNNNNNNNNNNNNNNNNNNNNNNNNNNNNNNNNNNNNNNNNNNNNNNNNNNNNNNNNNNNNNNNNNNNNNNNNNNNNNNNNNNNNNNNNNNNNNNNNNNNNNNNNNNNNNNNNNNNNNNNNNNNNNNNNNNNNNNNNNNNNNNNNNNNNNNNNNNNNNNNNNNNNNNNNNNNNNNNNNNNNNNNNNNNNNNNNNNNNNNNNNNNNNNNNNNNNNNNNNNNNNNNNNNNNNNNNNNNNNNNNNNNNNNNNNNNNNNNNNNNNNNNNNNNNNNNNNNNNNNNNNNNNNNNNNNNNNNNNNNNNNNNNNNNNNNNNNNNNNNNNNNNNNNNNNNNNNNNNNNNNNNNNNNNNNNNNNNNNNNNNNNNNNNNNNNNNNNNNNNNNNNNNNNNNNNNNNNNNNNNNNNNNNNNNNNNNNNNNNNNNNNNNNNNNNNNNNNNNNNNNNNNNNNNNNNNNNNNNNNNNNNNNNNNNNNNNNNNNNNNNNNNNNNNNNNNNNNNNNNNNNNNNNNNNNNNNNNNNNNNNNNNNNNNNNNNNNNNNNNNNNNNNNNNNNNNNNNNNNNNNNNNNNNNNNNNNNNNNNNNNNNNNNNNNNNNNNNNNNNNNNNNNNNNNNNNNNNNNNNNNNNNNNNNNNNNNNNNNNNNNNNNNNNNNNNNNNNNNNNNNNNNNNNNNNNNNNNNNNNNNNNNNNNNNNNNNNNNNNNNNNNNNNNNNNNNNNNNNNNNNNNNNNNNNNNNNNNNNNNNNNNNNNNNNNNNNNNNNNNNNNNNNNNNNNNNNNNNNNNNNNNNNNNNNNNNNNNNNNNNNNNNNNNNNNNNNNNNNNNNNNNNNNNNNNNNNNNNNNNNNNNNNNNNNNNNNNNNNNNNNNNNNNNNNNNNNNNNNNNNNNNNNNNNNNNNNNNNNNNNNNNNNNNNNNNNNNNNNNNNNNNNNNNNNNNNNNNNNNNNNNNNNNNNNNNNNNNNNNNNNNNNNNNNNNNNNNNNNNNNNNNNNNNNNNNNNNNNNNNNNNNNNNNNNNNNNNNNNNNNNNNNNNNNNNNNNNNNNNNNNNNNNNNNNNNNNNNNNNNNNNNNNNNNNNNNNNNNNNNNNNNNNNNNNNNNNNNNNNNNNNNNNNNNNNNNNNNNNNNNNNNNNNNNNNNNNNNNNNNNGUAUAUGUAGCUCCAAGAGAUGUUGAAGAUCCAGAUGGUUUGCUAGCUUUGGAGAAGACUUUCAAUUCUCCUGAAGACUUUAAGCUUACAGUUUUGAGGUACUCUUUGAAGACAAGGUAUGAUAUUAAGCUCUAUAGGUCUCAAGCGCUAAGGGUUGGUGCAAAGUGCUGCUAUGUUGAUGAAGAUGGGCUUAAAUGUCCUUGGAGAGUGUAUUGUUCAUAUGAAAGGAGCAAACAUAAGAUGCAGAUCAAGGUUUAUAUCAAUGAGCAUAGAUGUGUGAGGUCUGGGUAUACAAAGAUGUUGNNNNNNNNNNNNNNNNNNNNNNNNNNNNNNNNNNNNNNNNNNNNNNNNNNNNNNNNNNNNNNNNNNNNNNNNNNNNNNNNNNNNNNNNNNNNNNNNNNNNNNNNNNNNNNNNNNNNNNNNNNNNCAAAGGCGAAGACCAAGGUGUUACGUGCUAGGAAGGCUAGCCAUGAAUCACAGUUUGCUCGAAUAUGGGAUUAUCAAGCUGAGGUUUUACAGCAGAAUCCGGACUCAGAGUUUGAGAUCGAGACGAUACCAGGGCCAGUCAUUGGAAGCAAACAGAGGUUUUAUCGUCUCUAUAUUUGUUUCAAUUCACAGAAAGAGAGUUGGAAAAAAACGUGUAGGCCCAUCAUAGGAUUAGAUGGAGCUUUUCUGAAAUAGGAUAUAAAAGGUCAUCUUCUAGCUGCAGUUGGAAGAGAUGGGGAUAAUAGGAUAGUUCCUAUUGCUUGGGCUGUUGUAGAAAUAGAGAAUGAUGAUAACUGGGAAUGGUUUGUGAAGAAUAUUUCUAGAAGUUUGGGACUUGAUACAAUGACAGAUAUAGCUAUCAUUUCAGAUAAACAACAGGUUUGUGUAAUUUCAUACUUUUGAUUUUCUGUAUGUUGGUAGUCUCUUUGAUGAAUAUGACAUUAUGAUUGUUUUGCAGGGCCUAGUGAAAGCUAUACAUGGUGUACUUCCACAUGCUGAACAUCGACAGUGUGCUAAACAUAUUAUGGAAAACUGGAAAAGGGACAGCCAUGAUCAAGAACUUCAACGCUUGUUUUGGAGGAUAGCUAGGAGUUAUACAACUGGACAGUUCAAUGAUCGAAUGGAAGCACUCAAAAAGUACAACCCGCAAGCUUUUAUAUCUCUUCAAGAUACUAAUCCUACAACAUGGUCCAGAGCUUUCUUUAGGAUUGGUACUUGCUGCAAUGACAACCUCAACAACCUCAGUGAGUCUUUUAAUAGGACUAUUCGACAAGCAAGGAGAAAGCCUUUGUUAGAUUUGCUAGAGGAUAUUAGAAGGCAAUGCAUGGUGAGAAAUGCAAAGAGGUAUAUCAUUGCUGAAAGGUUGAAGACACGGUUCACAAAGAGAGCUCACGCUGAAAUUGAAAAGAUGAUCGCUGGGACACAAAACUGCACAAGAUACAUGGCCAGAAACAAUUUGCAUGAGGUAGACGAGAAUGAUGUUACUUACCGAGUUGAUAUGAAUAACAAUACUUGUGGUUGCAGAAAGUGGCAAAUGGUUGGAAUCCCAUGUAUUCAUGCUGCAAGUGUGAUCAUUGGAAGAAAGGAGAAAGUUGAGAACUAUGUCAGUGAGUAUUACACAAAGAAAAGGUGGAAAGAGACCUAUAAAGAUGGUAUUAAGCCUGUCCAAGGGAUGUCUUUGUGGCCUAGAUUGAAUAGGUUGCCUGUCCUGCCACCACCAUGGAGAAGAGGUAAUCCGGGAAGACCAUCUAACUAUGCUAGGAGAAAAGGAAGAAAUGAAUCUUCAUCUUCUUCAAAUAACAAGAUGUCAAGGGCUAAGAGGGUGAUGACUUGUUCUAACUGCAAAGAGGAAGGACACAAUAAGCAAGCUUGCAAAAAUCCACCUGCUGCGACUCAACCAAAGAGACCAAGAGGUCGACCACGAAAAUAUCAAGAACCACAAGCUUCACAACCUCCUCACGGAUCACAAGGGUUAGGUGCUUCACAACCUCCUCACGGAUCACAAGGGUUAGGUGCUUCACAACCUCCUCACGGAUCACAAGGGUUAGGUGCUUCACAAGGGCAAGGUUCACAACCUCCUCAAGCACAUGGAUCACAACCUCCUCAAGCACAUGGAUCACAAAGGCAAGCACAUGGAUCACAAAGGCAAGCACAUGGAUCACAAAGGCUAGCUCACGGAUCACAAAGGCAAGCUCACGGAUCUCAACCCCAAGGNNNNNNNNNNNNNNNNNNNNNNNNNNNNNNNNNNNNNNNNNNNNNNNNNNNNNNNNNNNNNNNNNNNNNNNNNNNNNNNNNNNNNNNNNNNNNNNNNNNNNNNNNNNNNNNNNNNNNNNNNNNNNNNNNNNNNNNNNNNNNNNNNNNNNNNNNNNNNNNNNNNNNNNNNNNNNNNNNNNNNNNNNNNNNNNNNNNNNNNNNNNNNNNNNNNNNNNNNNNNNNNNNNNNNNNNNNNNNNNNNNNNNNNNNNNNNNNNNNNNNNNNNNNNNNNNNNNNNNNNNNNNNNNNNNNNNNNNNNNNNNNNNNNNNNNNNNNNNNNNNNNNNNNNNNNNNNNNNNNNNNNNNNNNNNNNNNNNNNNNNNNNNNNNNNNNNNNNNNNNNNNNNNNNNNNNNNNNNNNNNNNNNNNNNNNNNNNNNNNNNNNNNNNNNNNNNNNNNNNNNNNNNNNNNNNNNNNNNNNNNNNNNNNNNNNNNNNNNNNNNNNNNNNNNNNNNNNNNNNNNNNNNNNNNNNNNNNNNNNNNNNNNNNNNNNNNNNNNNNNNNNNNNNNNNNNNNNNNNNNNNNNNNNNNNNNNNNNNNNNNNNNNNNNNNNNNNNNNNNNNNNNNNNNNNNNNNNNNNNNNNNNNNNNNNNNNNNNNNNNNNNNNNNNNNNNNNNNNNNNNNNNNNNNNNNNNNNNNNNNNNNNNNNNNNNNNNNNNNNNNNNNNNNNNNNNNNNNNNNNNNNNNNNNNNNNNNNNNNNNNNNNNNNNNNNNNNNNNNNNNNUGGACGAAAAUAUAGAGAAGAAGAUGGAGGAGUUGAUUGCCCAGAUUCUGUAGAAGAUAGAGAAGAAGAUAGAGAAGAAGAUGGAGAAGAAGGUAGAGAAGAAGAUGGAGAAGACAAAUGAGAUUUUAGGGAUUUGAUUCUCAAUUUGGGGAUUUUACUAUCGAUUAAUUAGUUUCGUUUAAGUGAAAAACGAUGUCGUUUUGACUAACAGAAAUCGAUUAACGUCGGCUAAACGUCAGUUAACUAGUCUGUUAAAGGAUUUGACGACGUGUUGGUUUUGGCUCGGUCAACAGCAGUUUAUGAUUUACAACAAAGUCAACAUGACAUAGAUGCUUUAAAUGGCCAGAGAAGAAGUUGAUGAUUAUAAUGGCCACAAUUUGAAAGUUGAUGAUUUUAAAGACAUUUUUCCCAAUAAUUAACUGUUCUUUUACUUAUUUUGACCAAGUUCAAAAAGGAAAGUAAGAAGCGUCUCAUGUAAGCCAUUGGCAAGUUACGUUUUUACCCUUUUCUCCACACACGUGUGAUGCGACAUGCGAAGGGGUCUCUCUGUAAAAGGGACGAUCAUCGUAAAGCAAACAAACCCAAUCGUCGUCGUCACUCACUCACCCCAACAGAGUAACUAUUGAUUUUAUCGCUGCCGUGAGACCAAAAACAUGAAUUUCUUGCCUCACGAUUCCGAUUCCGAGUUUGCGUUCCGGUUACAGAUGGAGGAAGCACUCGCGGCUUCUCUCUCUUCCCGAUCUCGUACUCCUCAACGACCACCGUCGCCGCCUCCGGUUGUUGCUAGGUGUGGUAUCGCUAUCGUCGUUGAAGACGAUAUGAACCAACCUAAACCGGCUGAGAAAAGUAGAGGUUACGGUUUCGAUUUUAGGAGAGCCGUCGGCGAAGGAAGCUCUAAAGGAAAUGGCAAAACCCACGACACUGUCACUGGUGUACGUACGGAUGUACGAAACCCUAACAUUGGAGUCGGUAACACCCGAAACACUUCGGGAAACUUACCCUCGCAGGGCCAAUCAGUCGGAGAGGGUAGCUCGAGGGUUCACGCUGCUGCUGGAAAAUUCAACGGAAAUGUACUGUACAGGCUUUACUUUAAGGGUUUAGUUAGCGAAGAAAGCGGCAAGGGGAAGAUGACGGACGUCUUGGCUGGAUUUGGGGUUGCUAUUUGUGACCAGAGUGAUAAUUUGUUGUUCGAGAUGAAGGGACCAUUGGUUGACCAUGGCGUGAGUCGUCAGGGAGCGGAGCUCAAGGCAUUGAUACAAGGACUAACCAAAGCUUUGACGUUGGGGAUCAAACAUAUCGCCUUUUGUUGCGAUACUUAUCCUAUUUUCCAAUACGUAAGUUUCCCUUCCAUGGCUAUUCAUUGUUACGAUUCACUCUCUCACAAUCUUUUUGUUGCUGAAUCCGAAUUCAAAGCUAUGUUUGUUUUCUUCUGUUUUCUCGGGGCAUUGACUACUAGGAUAGGAACUUGUUGCUUGAAUUUUAAUGAGAUUAGCUUAUUUGGUCUGGAAUCUUUAAAGUGUAGUGAAUGUUUGUGUCUCUGUUGGGAGUUUUCAUAUGUAGAUUAGGAUGAGUAGAAAGGAAAACAAAAUUCACGGUUAAGAAUAUGAUAAGAUGGAGUUGCUAACUCUAACAUACCAUAUCGUGGCCAUUUUGUAAGCCACUAUCAUAUGUCUUCAGUUUGGCAUUGUAUAGAUAUGAUCGCGCUAAUGGUUUACUAGUUAUGAGAUGGUAGACUCUGACUUCUAUGGUUAUAUGCUUGUGUUUUUCUGAGAUCGUUUAGCUUGUGUUCUAGCUCUUCUUGUCAUUAUCUUACAUAAGAUUGUAUUUUUACUUGAAUGUAGGCCAGGGGAAGGUAUGUGGCUAAGCAAAAGAAGAUUUCCCUGUUGUUAAAUGAUCUACAAAGCAUCAUGCAACGCUUUUCAUCUAGUCAGCCUGUUCUGGUGGCCGGAAACAAUGUGAAAUUUGCCUAUAAACUUGCAAGGGAAUCAAUACUUUCUAAGGUCACCCCUCAUGCAGAACCUCGCCAGGCAAAAGCAGCUCGGAAAGAGGAGUGUGCUAUCUGUUUCAACGACAUCUAUGCUGAGCGCAUGUUUGCUGUUGACAAAUGCUGUCACCGCUUUUGCCUUCAAUGUGUGAAACAACAUGUAGAGGUGAAGCUGCUGCAUGGAAUGGUUCCGAGGUGUCCUCACGAUGGCUGCAAGUCUGAGCUGGUAAUUGAUGCCUGUGGCAAGCUUUUGACUCAAAAACUGAGCAAAAUGUGGCAACAAAGACUCAAAGAGAAUUCAAUACCUGUCACGGAGAGAGUUUACUGCCCUUACCCAAGGUGCUCGGCUUUGAUGUCCAAAACCAAGAUUUCUGAAGCUGCCAAGACCUUACUGUCUGUUUAUCCCAAAUCUGGAGUUAGGAGAUGUGUUGAAUGUCGUGGCCUCUUCUGUGUGGACUGUAAAGUUCCAUGGCAUGGCAAUCUGUCCUGCACGGAGUAUAAGAAAUUGCAUCCUAACCCUCCAGCAGAUGAUGUGAAGCUAAAGUCUCUCGCAAAUAAUAAGAUGUGGCGCCAAUGUGGCAAGUGCCAACACAUGAUUGAACUUACACAAGGAUGCAAUCACAUAACUUGCAGGUAUCUAUCUAUUCCUCUACGCUUUUUCAAAUAAGACCAUGUAAUCUAAAGCACAUGUUAUAAAUUGCAAUGUUUAACUAUUCAACGUUCCUCUUUGGUAUUCUCCUUAGAUGUGGACAUGAGUUUUGUUACAAUUGCGGAGGUGGAUGGAACCUAGAAAUGGGGACUUGUUUAAAUCACUGCCCAACCUGGGACGAAGCAUACAUCAGACGUCAAGAUCCAGCGCGUGAAAAUGUGGCUCCUAACAACUACUUUGAUGAUGAUGAUGAUGAUGAUGAUGAUUAUGAGGAUGGUUACGAAUAUGAUGACUUCCACCACCUUGUUGGACUUGCGCAUGCUAUGGAUAAUCUUAAGCCUGAGGAGCCCUUCGACCCCUUCUUCGACUUGCCAGAUGGUAAUGUGACUUCCGGAUCUCUCUAAAACCUUUAAAUCUCAUAGACUUGAUACAAAAAGUACUCUCUGCUAAUCCUGUAGGUGUGAUAUUUACCCCCGAUAUGCUAUCUCCCAAGACUCGUCGCCAAUUGUACAUGUCGGAUGAUGAUUCAGAUGAUAAUGUUCCUGCAAAUGAGUUUGACGAAUACUUUGGAAAGUAUGGAAAGUACAGUACAGUAUACGACUCCGACGGCCUUGAAAUUGAGGACUUCACGAACCCUUUCCAUCCUGACUAUCUUUAGUUUGGCACCAAAGAUGGCAUCUUUCUUUUUUAUAUUCCAGGUCCAAACUCUUUGCUAUAUGCUCUCUCCUCUUGAAACUUUUUGAGGUGCAUGUUUCUUCUAUGACUUGUUAUGUAUGACAGUAUGUAUGAGUUUGGGUUAUCUUGGAAUUUGUAGACAACUUGGGUUUCAAGUUAGGGCAAUUUUUUCUCUUUUUUUUGACGUCUUUUGGUGAGUUUGGUUUCGGCUUGCGCAUCUUUAUGUUUCCCUUCAAUGAGAUUGAUAGCGAGCUGAAUUACAAAUUUACACGCCAUAUCUUACGGACACAAAGAUCAUUAAAAUCAAAUUUGUAAUUUCAAUGAUGGAUCGUGUGAAUCGUGAUCGACUUCAAAAUUUUGUAAUUGAUUAUCGAUUGUUUAUUACCAAACUCAACGACGUAAUUAGUGUAGUCAGAAAUUAGUAAUUUAGUAGAGCCUUACGAAUGGGCCGGGAUCGGGCCAGACAAAACCCAGUUUACAUCGCCCACCCACCCACUUAGGCGAAAUCGACACUUUUCUUUCUUUCUUUCUCUCAGUUUGUCAAUUGUCAUCACUCAUCACUGUAUCGGAAUCUCCAGCCGGCCGGAGAUAUAAGUCGCCGUCUUUUUCUCUCCCGGUCACGAAAGAUCCAACAUUGGCGCUGUUUCUACGAUUAACACAGAUAAAUUCACUGUAUGAUGAGUCCCUAUCUAUUGGGAUAUGCGGCAAUGCAAACGUCUCGCAGUCAAGAAGCUAAGACGGAGAUUAAAAUGUGCUUUGACGUUUUGCUUGAGCUUUCUAUAGCCUGCAGGUUCCUACUUUCCUAGUAUACUAGUGUCAUAUUGAACCAUUUAUAAAUGUCUCAAGUCAAAUUCUAUAUUGUUCUGUGAUGAGACGGAUAAUAAAUCUGGUUAUAAUACUGCUCCUUAAUAUAGAGUUUCAUCUCUAGACUAUUAUUUCAUGAAGAUGAUCAUGUUAACUUACAUAGUUACAUACAUACUACUCAACAAUAGAGAAUGAAUAAAUGUUUAGAAAACCCCUCUGGGUUGUACUAAGCAAGCCUCUUGUGUUAUUCUAACUAUGUUUUUUUCUGUAGAUGUACAAAACAUAAACUUGUGGAAGACUACAGUGACCCUUCAAUUUCUUAUAUGACUUGGACUGAAAAUGAUGGACUACUUACCUUGGAAACAUCUUAGAUUGCAAGGAAAUUUUAAUGAAAUUCUAUUUGUGCAUCUUCUUUUUAAAUGCUUGUCCUUUGAACCUAGGAAUGUUAUGAAUUUGAUAGGAGAAUCUAAUAAUAGCAUUUGUCUCCCUGCAGCAUAUUCUGAAUAACCAUUCAGGAAAGAUGGUGGAAAUUUCCUUCAAGCGUGUGGAUACGAUACUCUGACUUUGUUAAGGGUAAGUAUGAGCCAUGAGGUGGUCAUUAUUCAAUAAAGUUGACCUUGACAUAAUAUAUAAUAUACAUUACUGUAUUUUAAAAGUGAUCCAUCUUAUAGUAUCCUAUAUUAUCUUAACGCCAAUAAGUAUUUUGAGCCCCAUAUUUUUAAUUUAUACCGUGAAACACGAUAGAAGUGUUAUCCGUUAAAUUAACACUUAGUUUAAUGAUUGACAAAAAAAAGAAAGACAACCUUUGAAGUCAUAUCCAAAUGAUCCACUGCUUCUGCCAACUGGAGACUUUGUUUUUAUCAAUAGAUUUGUUUUGCACCGUCUCGCCCUUCCUUUUCAAUGAUCAGUCUUUUGGUAUUUUCCUCUUUAAAUAACUGUAUUAAAGACCAAUCCUUUUUCAUCUCUUUUCUCUUGUCUCAUGGAAAUAUUAUUUUUGCUGUCUUCGACUUUGACAGGUGUUCGAAAGUCUUACCAACGGAAAAAGUAACACACCAUAAAGAUUCCAAAGCAGUCGUAAUAUUUUGACUAUUGAAGUCGUAUUCAAUGGGUCUACCAACCAAAGGGAAAGAGAGAUUAUUGUUAAGCAUUUGAGAGCAGAUAGAUAGAGAGUAAACAAAAACAAAAGAGAAACGAUAACUCUCUCUCUGUUUGUUUUAUCACCAAUGAUUCGAGGACUGCUUCUGGGGAUCAUCUGGGUGAUAUUUUUUGUUUGCUCAUCAUUUCAACAAGAGACGACGUUUGUUUACAACAACUUUGGCCAAGCUGAUGAUCAUCUUUAUUUUGACGGCAGUGCAAGAAUCAUUCCCAAUGGUGGUGGCAUCCUGCAACUGACAAAUGCAACGAAUAGUCAAAUAGGUCAUGCGUUCUCCAAGAAGCCUAUUGAGUUCAAAUCAGGUGAAUCAGUCUCGUUCUCGACACAUUUUGUGUGUGCACUGCUCCCUGCAGGUGAUCCGAGUGGCCAUGGCAUUACCUUUUUUGUGUCUAAUUCCACUGAUUUCAAAGGUGCAGAGGCAACUCGAUAUUUCGGGAUUUUCAACAAAAAUGGAUCUACUUCCACACGUGUGUUGGCUGUUGAGCUUGAUAUUUCUGUAGCUUCAGAGUUGUUUGACAUCAGCGAUAAUCAUGUUGGGAUUGAUGUGAACAGCCCUGUGUCUGUGGAAUCUGCCAACGCUUCUUAUUUUUCAGACAAAGAAGGGAAGAAGAUAGACAUAAAACUCUUGAGUGGGGAUCCUAUCCAGGUUUGGGUGGAUUAUGCAGGAUCAACUCUGAACGUUUCAUUGGCCCCUCUUAAAAACAAGAAACCAAGCCGACCUCUUUUGUCAUCAACAUCCAUCAUUCUUACUAAUAUUUUGCAAGGUAGGAGAAUGUUUGUCGGGUUUUCUGGUUCAACCGGGUCUAGCAUGAGUUACCAGUACAUACUCGGGUGGAGUUUCAGCAAAAGCAUGGCGUCUCUCCCCAUCAUUGACAUCUCAAAACUUCCCAAAAUUCCUCACACUAGGCUCACUAGCACUAAGCAUAACUCUUCAUCUCUUGUGCUCGAUAUUCUGCUUGGUUUAAUAGCUUUCAUAGUUUUGGGGAUUCUUGUUGCAGCUUAUUUGUAUAGGAGAAACUUGUACUCUGAAGUAAGAGAGGAAUGGGAAAAGGAGUAUGGUCCACUCAGGUAUUCCUACAAAUCUCUAUACAAAGCAACAAAAGGGUUCAAUAGGAAUGAAUUUCUUGGGAGAGGAGGUUUUGGUGAAGUCUACAAAGGAACUCUCCCUCGGAACAGAGAACUGAGAGAAGUAGCUGUGAAGCGAGUAUCACAUGAUGGUGAGCACGGUAUGAAGCAAUUUGUUGCUGAGAUCGUGAGCAUGAGGAGUUUAAAACACCGGAGCUUGGUUCCACUUCUUGGGUAUUGCAGGAGAAAACAUGAGUUAUUACUGGUCUCUGAGUACAUGCCAAAUGGUAGUCUUGACCAUUACUUGUUUAAUCAUGAUAGGCUGUCUCUCCCCUGGUGGAGAAGACUUUUGAUCCUCCAAGACAUCGCAUCAGCUCUUAGUUACUUGCAUACAGAAGCUGACCAAGUUGUUGUACACAGAGAUAUCAAAGCUGCAAAUGUUAUGUUGGACGCAGAGUUCAAUGGGAGGUUGGGAGAUUUUGGUAUGUCUAGGUUAUAUGACAGAGGGGCUGAUCCAAGCACAACAGCUGCUGUGGGAACUGUUGGUUACAUGGCACCUGAGCUUACAACAAUGGGAGCUUCCACCGGAACAGAUGUGUAUGCGUUUGGUGUUUUCUUGCUUGAAGUAACAUGUGGGAGGAGACCUGUGGAACCUGGAUUGCCUGCUGCAAAACGUUUUCUGAUUAAAUGGGUUAGUGAAUGCUGGAAAAGGUCUUCUUUGGUUGAUGCUAGAGAUCCAAGGUUGACAGAAUUUUCACCCCAGGAAGUCGAGAAGGUUCUGAAACUCGGUUUGCUAUGUGCAAACCUUGCUCCAGAUUCAAGACCGACCAUGGAACAAGUGGUGCAAUACUUAAAUGGGAACCUAGCUAUGCCUGAGUUUUGGCCCAACUCUCCAGGUAUUGGAGUUCUUUCUCCAAUGGGGCUUUCACCAGCACAACUCAUGAUCCCUUCACUAUCACUGUCGUCUUCUUCUUCCAACAACUCUAUGUUUAUUACUCACUCGGUCCUCUACGGGAGUGGACGAUGAAAGUGUCUAACAACUUCCCUCUUCUUAGCCUCUUUGAUAUUUGACUGAUUUUCAACCAGGUUCACCCGAUUUUGUUUUAUGUACAUACUCACACUAUGUUCAUUCUUGACAGUCUCCAUCAAGCUUGGCUUAUAGAAAGGUUAAAAAAGACUGAUAUUUAGUGUAAAAUCUUGAAGUUACUAUACUAAACAUUUGUAAAGCAUGUUGUUUAUCAGCUUUUGAUUCAACGACAACCAGUGAUCUAGUGUUCUGUAAAGAGAAUGCUGCUAUAUGAUCAUUUUAUGAAAUUGUUUCUUUACAGGGUUAGAUUAUUUUAGAAAUCUGACAGAUAUCAAAGACACAACAGUUUAGUUUUCAGCUAACCUUGUUCAUGCUAGAUCUCAGGUAUCUGCAUUAUAUUUUCGCAAAUCAGACAUCCUAUGAGAUGUUUCAGUCCAUUUAAGUAGGCUCUCGACUUGUAAAGAGUUGAAAUACUCAGAGAUAGUGACAGUUCAACAUUCUAUAUUUGUUUACGACAAGUAGGACUUGGUAUGACAAUUAGUGAGAAGCUCGCUUUUGAAUACUGUUAAAUUACACGGAAAAUUCUGUUAAGUGGAAUUCAUGUAUUCUUUUAACAAAGAAGACCAAAAAUGUGACAGCUAUGAUUUUGUUUAAGUCAACUAUCUUGAAUUGGAAAAUGCGAAAUUUUCUUCUUGUGAAGCAAUGAUCCGACCUUGUUUCGCAGAUGGGGAGAAUAGUUCUUUGCCAUACCAUUGACUUAGAGACAAGAUUUUUCCCGGAAUAGCAAACACUUUGCUGCACUAAAAAUGGCUCCAGGAUUGGAUCUGAUCUGGAUGGUGAUCUCCUUUCUUCUUCUGAUUCACCUGUCAAGUGAACAAGAAACUGGGUUUAUCUUCAACAGUUUUCGCCAGGGAGAUCUUCAUGUUGAUGGGGUUGCUCAAAUCCUUCCCGGUGGACUUUUGCGGCUGACUGACACUUCAGAGCAGAAAAUGGGUCAUGCUUUCUUCAGGCAGCCUUUUGUGUUCAAUUCAUCUGAAUCUCUCUCGUUCUCAACGCAUUUCGUGUGUGCAAUGGUGCGUAAACCAGAGGUUACUGGAGGAAAUGGGAUUGCUUUCUUUCUAUCUCCUUCCAUGGAUCUUUCAAACGCAGAUGCAACUCAGUAUUUGGGUCUUUUUAACACCACAACCAACAGAUCUCCCUCAUCUCAUAUCUUUGCUAUUGAGCUUGAUACCGUUCAAAGUGCAGAGUUCGAUGACAUCAAUAAUAAUCAUGUUGGCAUCGAUGUUAACAGCCUGACCUCUGUUGACUCUUCUCCAGCAUCUUACUUUUCAGACAACGGUCUGAACAAAAGCAUAAAUCUGUUGAGUGGAGAUUCCAUACAAGUCUGGGUGGACUUUGAUGGAACUGUACUAAACGUUUCACUGGCGCCUCUUGGGAUUCAGAAGCCAAGUCAGAGUCUUUUAUCAAGAUCCAUGAAUCUUUCAGAGGUUCUCAAGGAUAGAAUGUUUGUCGGAUUAUCUGCAGCAACAGGACAGUUGGCAAAUAACCAUUACAUCCUUGGUUGGAGUUUCAGCAGAAGCAAGGCGUUAUUGCAAAGCCUAGACAUCUCAAAACUUCCACAAGUUCCUCAUCCUAAGAAAAAACCUUCUAUCGUGCUGAUUCUUCUGUUGACUAUACUUGUAAUCAUACUCUUGACCCUUCUGGUAGGAUAUUAUCUAUAUAGGAGAAACAAGUAUGCAGAAGUAAGAGAGGAAUGGGAGAAAGAGUAUGGUCCACACCGAUACUCUUACAAAUCCAUGUACAAAGCAACAAAAGGGUUCCACAAAGAUGGUUUUCUCGGAAAAGGAGGAUUUGGAGAAGUCUACAAAGGAACUCUGCCUGGUGAUGGAGACAUAGCCGUGAAAAGAUUCUCCCAUGAUGGAGAACGAGGGAUGAAGCAAUUCGUAGCUGAAAUCGCAAGCAUGGGUUGUUUGGAUCACAGGAACUUGGUUCCACUCUUCGGGUAUUGCAGGCGAAAAGGCGAGUUUCUUCUAGUAUCCAAGUACAUGCCUAAUGGAAGUCUUGACCAGUUCUUGUUUCAUAACAGAGAACCAUCUCUUACUUGGUCCAAAAGGCUUACGAUUCUACGGGACAUAGCUUCAGCACUCCAAUACUUGCACACAGAAGCCACACAAGUUGUUCUACACCGAGAUAUCAAAGCUUCUAACGUAAUGUUAGACAGAGAUUUCACUGGAAAGCUGGGAGAUUUUGGUAUGGCUAGGUUUCAUGACCAUGGAGCUAAUCCAAUAACAACAGGAGCCGUAGGCACUGUAGGGUACAUGGCACCUGAGCUAACAUCAAUGGGAGCUUCAACUAAAACCGAUGUAUACGCAUUUGGUGCACUGAUCCUCGAAGUAAUUUGCGGGAGAAGACCUGUAGAACCUAAUCUGCCGGUUGAGAAACAAUUUCUGGUGAAAUGGGUUUGUGAUUGCUGGAAAAAGAAAGCUUUGAUGACUGCUCGAGAUCCCAAAUUGAGUGGAGACUCAAGGUCUCAAAUCGAGAUGGUGUUGAAAUUAGGGCUGCUAUGCACAAAUCUUGUGCCGGAAUCGAGACCUGACAUGAGAGAAGUGAUGCAGUACCUUGACGGACAGGUUUCGUUGCCGGAUUUCUCACCAGAUUCACCGGGAAUCGGGAUUCUCACUCCGGUUUUGGUAGGAGGAAGCUCCGCCGUGUUAUCUAACAAUUAUUCUUCUCCGGCGACGGAGUUUAUCACUCACUCGAUCCAAUACGGAGUUGGACGAUGAAGACUUAACAAUUUCAAGAUUGAAGGCCAACGUUAUUCACAAAAGUUGAUAUGGCCGAGUUGGUCUAAGGCGCCAGAUUAAGGUUCUGGUCCGAAAGGGCGUGGGUUCAAAUCCCACUGUCAACAUUUCUCUUUUUUUUUUUUUAAAUGUCAGAAAAAUAUUGAAAAACUCGAAACAGGUAUGUAAUAUUAAAAUUAUGAAUACACCCUUACUAAUUUUCUAAUUUACAAAACGAAGGUUUCUCAAUUUCGGCGAAAUGGUUUUGAUGUCCAUUACAUCUAUUUUGGUUCAUCAUCUUGUCUAGCUAGAUACAGUACGCUUUCUCUGUCUUUCUUACUGUCGCAGUCUCCUCAGUCCCCUUUUGCUUCUUUUUUCUCGUAUCGCUCCAAAUUGCUGUACUGUACUCUUCUUCAUUCAAUGUAAAUGUAGAAGCUUCUUCUUCCUCAGAGAGCAAUGGCUGUAAUUGGCAUCAAUACCAUUUCGCUCUACGAACUCGAAUCCGCCGUCUCUGCUCUCCGUACGUCUCCUAUCAUUUUAUGAUUUUGGUUCAUUUUUCCAGAUAUUUCUCCGAAAAGUUUUCAAUUUUCCAAGUAAAGAUUUAGCCUUUUCAAUUUUUUGUCUCUAUGAUUACAUGAGUUUUCUCAUCGUGGAACUUUUACUUUUACCUUCUUGGCAUUUGAUGGGUAAACAUGAUUCCAGGAAUUUACUGGUUUUGAGCUAUUCUUUGCUACGAAAAUAGCUUCGCAACAACCAGGCUUUAUGUUUCAGUCAGAUACAGGUAAAAUGUUUUCAUUUAGUCUCGAUAAUUUCAUGUGUUCUUCUAAAGUUAACAAUAAGCUGGGUUUAUUGAUUAUCUUGUGUAUACUGACGAAACUAAAGCAUGAGAGAAGGUUCUUCCUGGUGGUAAAGACUUGUAUUCUUAAUGAUAUUGCUUUGGCUUUCAGCUGUGCACACAGGAGCUCACUAAGUUGUUAUUGUAUCAGGUAUUUUGAUGUUAUGCUAGAUGCUGAAGUAAAGAGAAGGUUAAGGAAUUUUUUAAUGGUUAGGCUUCGCGGCCUCAGUGAGAACUUUAGACCACAUCUGUCAAGAGCUUGCAAACAUGGUAGCUCGCUGAGCAACCGACAUGUAUGCCUUUUGCUGCCUUUGUAAAGUGUGAUUGAACUCAACUAACCUUUGGGAAGAAACCUGUGUGAAUGCCAGUCGGUAGACGGUUUAUAAAUGCUGGAAAAUGGUUUAGAUCCGAGUUUCACAGUUGAAUUCUCAGUUGAGGAAGUCGAGAUGGCUCUGAAACUAGGGUUGCUUUGCAAAAAUGGUGUUCCAAAACUAAGAGACUCCAUGGAAGAAGUGGUGCGGACUUUUGGAAUCUUCUUUGUUCGGCAGUUAUCCAGAAAACGUUAAAGCUAUACAAGGUGGAGGUACUUGACCAUUGAUCUUUUAGCUUUUCACUUUACAUUAAUGGCUUUUCACCAAGAUACUAUUUCCUGCUGCCACCAAAUAGAGCUUCUUAUGUAGGUAGCUAGUAAUUAAGUUCAUAAGUAUCGUACCUCUUCGGAAUUUAGGUUGUCUAAGAGAACUAGUCAAUUCUAAUAUUGUGCUGUUCUUGGUGUGGUUUACUACUGUGACAUAACCAAGCUAUAAAAGAAGUUGCUCUAUGCAAUUCCUGCUGCCAUUUGCAGAUUUUGAUUAGCAGAAGACUUUAUUAUUGUAUAGUGGCUGUUUUUUUCUUGUCUCUAAUCUUAGCUUUAGUGAUUUGAUCUCUUGUAUAUGUGAGGAUGUAUUCUCUUGCACCUGUAGAGCUGAAUUCGGAAGGUAGGACCUAACUAUAUUUUCUAAACAAGAGAUCAAAUCACCUGUAGAGCUGAAUUAGGAAGUCCUCAGAGGUCAGGCUAACAAGGUAGGACCUAACUAUAUUUUCUAAAGAAAAUUCGUAGUUGUCAUGAAUAGGACAGGCUUUCCUAGGCUUCUUCCGUUUGGUCGGGCUCAUUAUUGUGUCGGUAUCAUACAAACCUUGGGAUUUUUAUUCAUUUGACGUCUGAAAGGUGAAGGGCAUGUUUAAAAUAUGUCUUUUUCUCAUAAUAUAUUUUUUUGUCUGCUUCCUUAGAAGAUGGCUUCUAGUAGAAUCAGAAGAAAAAUCUAAUGCAAGUGGGAGCGUGAUCUACUCCUAGACACAUUUUAAAUUCAUUUAUAAACGUUGGUUACGUAUAUUAUUGUUUCAGGGUUACCCCGAGGAGCAGUUGCGUUGUCUAUUUAGAUUGAAGUUGAGAUCAUAUAAGUUAAAAUAUUGUCUGAAGCAUAUUUUGAAAAGCGUGAAGCUUUCAUUGUUAAUUUUUAUUGUUCAACCUUUUUUAGAAAAUAUCGUGUUAGUGGAGUACAGUUUGUAAAGCGAGGUGAUUCCCUUGAUUAAAUAAACUAAUAUUAGAAAGUUUGAUAGGCUUGGAUCACUAAAACAGAAGCUCACAUACUUUGUUUUGUUCAUUUUUUUUCUUCAGCUUGCAUCGUAUUGAGUUGAGAGAAUACCUGCACAUCAGAUCCAGACUCUCUGGUUCAUCAUCUGGGAUGGCUCGUUGGUUGCUUCAGAUCCUGAUAAUCUCUUCUCUUCAUCUGAUUUCUCUAUCAAGUCAACAAGAGACAAGGUUUGUCUAUGAAAGCUUUCUCGACCAAGAAAAUCUUUAUAUUGAUAAAUCGGCUGUAGUACUUCCCAGUGGAUUAUUGCGGUUGACGAACGCUUCGGAGCAUCAGAUUGGUCAUGCUUUCCACAAGAAACCACUUGAGUUCAGUCCAACCGGGCCACUCUCUUUCUCAACACACUUUGUGUGUGCUCUGGUGCCUAAGCCAGGUGUUGAAGGUGGCCAUGGUAUUGCCUUUGUAUUAUCUCCUUCUAUGGAUUUCACGCACGCAGAGUCAACUAGAUACUUGGGGAUUUUCAAUGCUUCAACAAGUGGAUCUUCCUCUUAUCACGUGCUUGCUGUUGAGCUUGACACUAUUUGGAACCCAGAUUUCAAAGAUAUCGACCACAAUCAUGUGGGGAUUGAUGUGAACAGUCCUAUAUCUGUCGCAAUUGCUUCGGCAUCUUACUAUUCCGACAUGAAAGGGAGUAACAAAAGCAUAAUCCUUAGAAGCGGAAAACCAGUACAGGUCUGGGUGGAUUAUGAAGGCACUUUGCUCAAUGUUACGAUUGCUCCGCUUAAAUUGCAGAAGCCAAGUCGACCUCUUUUGUCACACCCCAUCAACCUUUCAGAAAUCUUUCCGAAAAGAUCAAGACUGUUUGUUGGGUUCUCUGCAUCAACAGGGACAGCGAUCAGUGAUCAAUAUAUUCUUGGGUGGAGUUUUAGCACAAGCAGAGGAUCGCUGCAGCGACUCAAUAUCUCAAACCUUCCUGGUGUUCCUCAUCCACAUAAGAAACUACCGAAACUUUAUAUCAUCCUGCCUGUUUGUUUGGCUAUUGUGCUGUUGGCUGCGCUUGCAGGACUUUAUUUCCGCAGGAGAAAGAAGUAUUCAGAAGUAUCGGAAACAUGGGAAAAGGAGUUUGAUGCACAUCGGUUCUCUUACAGGUCCUUGUACAAAGCAACAAAGGGGUUCAGCAAAGAUGAAUUUCUCGGAAAAGGAGGUUUUGGAGAAGUUUAUAGAGGAAAUCUCCCACAAGGCAGAGAUAUAGCCGUGAAGAGAGUUUCCCAUAAUGGUGAUGAAGGUGUGAAGCAAUUUGUGGCUGAAGUCGUGAGUAUGAGAUGUCUGAAACACAGGAAUCUUGUACCACUUUUUGGGUAUUGCAGAAGAAAACGAGAACUUCUUCUUGUCUCAGAGUAUAUGCCGAACGGUAGUCUUGACGAGCAUCUGUUUGAUGACCAGAAGCCGGUUCUUUCUUGGUCACAAAGACUCGUGGUUGUUAAGGGUAUUGCUUCUGCUCUCUGGUACUUGCAUACAGGUGCUGACCAAGUUGUUCUGCACCGAGAUGUCAAAGCUUCCAACAUUAUGUUAGACACGGAGUACAAUGGAAGGUUAGGGGAUUUUGGCAUGGCCAGGUUUCACGAGCAUGGAGGCAGUGCAGCUACAACAGCAGCCGUGGGCACUGUAGGGUACAUGGCACCAGAGCUAAUCACAAUGGGAGCUUCCACUGGAACUGAUGUUUAUGCAUUUGGUGUUUUCAUGCUUGAAGUAACCUGUGGGAGGAGACCCGUGGAACCGCAGUUGCAAGUUGAGAAACGACAUAUGAUCAAAUGGGUUUGUGAGUGCUGGAAAAAGGAUUCUUUGCUUGAUGCUACCGACCCAAGAUUGGGAGGUGAAUACAUAGCCGAAGAAGUCGAGAUGGUUAUGAAACUCGGUCUGCUCUGUUCAAAUAUAGUGCCAGAAUCCAGACCUACAAUGGAACAAGUGGUUCUGUACCUCAACAAAAACCUACCUUUGCCAGAGUUCUCACCAUAUACUUUGGGGAUUGGCACAUUUGCUCCUGUUCUGGUUGAUGCAUCCUCCCUUGUAGUCUCUUCCGCGUCAUGGAGUUGGUCAGCCCCCUCAAUGUCUUCUUCCUCAACAAACCACUCACCUUAUGCUUGUCAGUCAACCGAUCAGCCAUGGGGACAGACAUUGGACACUACAAACUCUAUUCACAUAGUUGCAGAACCAGAGAAGCCUAAGACUAUCGCACCCGCUGUCAAAACGGUCACAUUGUCUGGAGAAAAUCUUUAGUCCAAUCAUUCCAGCAUCGGCAGUGAGAGGUAAUUCCUGAUGUACAUAUCAACAAGAAGAUCUCAUUAGCUCUCAAUAUUGUUUUAUCUGUCUCACUUGUCCCAACAAAAUCAGUUUGUUCUUUGGAAAUACUUAUCUGAUUAAUGAGAUUAUACAUUUUUCAUAUUAUAACUUGUAGACUUGUAGUCCUCUCUCUGUUACCAAAUCCUCAGGUAUUACUCCUCAAUGUGCUCUGAUAUAUGAUUUGGUCAGAUACUAAAGGGUCUCUGCUAGAAAGUUGUUUGAGUUAUAGACUGGAAUAAACCAAACUGAUUGGUUCCAAUACAAGUAUACAAGAAGUAAACAAAACUAAUUUUUAAAAACCAAAAUGUAUCUUAACUGUUGAACGUGAUUACAAUGCUAUUCAGUAGUGCUGAUUCAAGCACGUAACCCGUCUUUCUCCCUCAAUUUCGCGCUCUCUGUUUUGUCCUGAAUAAGCUUGAGAAAUUUUGUGAUGAUGAAGGUCUACCAAAAAGUCAGGUCAUUCUCCAAAACCAUCCUCUAAAAAAUGUGUUCCUCUCUGUGCGGUGUACCGCCAUACUGAAAAUAAAUUGGUCAUAUCACUGACCCCCUUAGAGAAUUAUUGGCCUGAAGUAACUGGUGAAGGCAACAGGAUCAAGGAAACAUCGUGACAUAUUAGAUCUUCAACUACACAAGGUGCACUUAUUUGAACAAUAGUCUUAUUAUAUGAUUUUUCAUCUUCUCCUAGAUGAUUUUGAUCUAUUUCCAAGAUGAUUGUGUGUUUCACAUGAAAAUUUAUGUCAAUUAAUUUGGUAAGACUUGAAGCUAUAAACCAUAUUCGUCAUCUAGAGACCAUUCAUAGCUGUCUUAACUUUGCCAAGCUUUAUUAGCCUUGUUCCUUUUAGUCUGGCUCAUACUUUUGCUGGGGAAAAAAACAUGGCUUUUAGUUGAAUUGUCUUUUUAGAACAGAUCUUAAUGGGUUUUUUUGGGUCAAAGCCUAAGAUGACUUUAAGUUGAAGAAGUAGGAGUAAAAUCUAAUGAAAGCUAGUGAGCAUCUAGUCCAAGAUAUAAGCUAUAGUGUUUAAUUUUUGUUUGACCCGUUAUUACCGUUUGUAAGUGUACCACCACAUGCAGCAUUUCAUAGUUUCAUUGAGUUGAACUUGGGUCACCUUUUGUUUUUUGCUCAACUUGGUUAAAUCAUGUUAAAAUAUUGUUUCAAAUGAAGCUUUAGUGUUAAUUUAUCUAAUACUGUAACAUUAGUAGAGUCCAGCUUGUAAAGGAAAAAAAACGGCGACUGCAUCUGAUGCUAAUGUUCCCUUGGAUAAACAAACAUUACUUUAAACUUUUAGAUUACUAAUACAUAAACAUCUUUCAUUUGUUCCUUUUUUUUUGUUCAGCUUGUGAGGUUAUGAUGAAUAUGCACCGUUUUGAGUUGAGAGAAAAUCUGCAAAUCAGAUCCAGACUCUCUUAUUCAUCAUCAGAAAUGACUCGUGGAUUGUUUCAGAUCGUGAUGAUGAUCUCUUCUUUUUGUCUAAUUAAACUAUCAAGUCAGCAAGAGACAAGGUUUGUCUAUGAAACUUUUCGUGGCCAAGACAAUCUUUAUCUUGAUGGAUCUGCGACACUACUUCCCAAUGGAAUAUUGCAGCUUACAAAUGCUUUACAUCAUCAAAUUGGUCAUGUUUUCUACAAGGAUUCAAUUGGUCUCAGUUCCUCUAAACCACUCUCCUUCUCAACACACUUCGUUUGCGCUCUGGUGCCUCAGCCAGGAGUUGAAGGUGGUCAUGGCAUGGCCUUUGUAGUAUCUCCUUCUAUGGAUUUCUCGCAUGGAGAACCAGCUAGAUACUUGGGGAUUUUCAACGUAUCAAAAAAUGGAUCUCCUUCUUCUCAUGUGCUUGCUGUUGAGCUUGACACUAUUUGGAAUCCAGAUUUUGAAGAUAUUGACCACAAUCAUGUGGGGAUUGAUGUGAACAUUCCUCUGUCGGUUGGAACAGCUUCAGCAUCUUACUAUUCCGACAUAAAGCGGCGGAACGAAAGCAUAAACCUUUUGAGUGGAAAACCAAUACAGGUUUGGGUUGAUUAUGAUGGCACUAUGCUCAAUGUUUCGAUGGCUCCUUGUGAAGCCCUGAAGCCAAGUCGGCCUCUUUUGUCUCAACACAUCAAUCUUUCAGAUAUUUUCCCCAACAGAAGACUUUUUGUUGGGUUCUCUGCAGCAACAGGGACAGCUAUCAGUUAUCAGUAUAUUCUUUCUUGGAGUUUUAGCACAAGCAGAGGAUCACUGCAGCGACUUGACAUCUCAAGACUCCCUGAAGUUCCUCAUCCUAGAGCUGAACAUAAGAACUUAACUCCACUGUUUAUUGUCCUGCUUUGUUUUCUUGCUAUCAUUGGCUUGUCUACCCUUUUUGGAAUCUAUUGUUUUAAGAAGUGCAAGUAUGCAGAAGUAACCGAGGCAUGGGAAAAGGAAUUUGGUGCACAUCGAUUCUCUUACAAAUACUUGUACAAAGCAACAAAAGGGUUUAACAAGGAUGGAUUUCUUGGUAAAGGAGGUUUUGGAGAAGUCUACAGAGGAAAUCUCUUUUUAAGCAGAGAAAUAGCUGUGAAGAGAAUGACACAUAACGGUGAUCAAGGUGUGAAGCAAUUUGUGGCAGAAGUGGUGAGCAUGAGAUGUCUGAAACACAGGAAUCUUGUUCCACUUCUUGGAUAUUGCAGGAGAAAGCAUGAGUUUCUUCUUGUCUCCGAUUACAUGACCAAUGGUAGUCUGGACGAGCAUUUGUUUGAUGACCAGAAACCGGUACUUUCUUGGCCACAAAGACUGGUGAUUAUUAAGGGUAUUGCAUCUGCUCUCUGUUACCUUCAUACAGGUGCUGACCAAGUUGUUCUGCACCGAGAUAUCAAAGCUUCAAACAUUAUGUUGGAUGCUGAUUUCAACGGAAGGUUAGGGGAUUUUGGCAUGGCCAGCUUUCAUGACCAUGGAGGCAUCUCAGACUCAACAUGCGCCGUUGGGACUAUCGGGUACAUGGCUCCAGAGGUACUUUAUAUGGGAGCUUCAACUAGAACGGAUGUGUAUGCCUUUGGUGUAUUCAUGGUUGAAGUAACAUGUGGGAGGAGACCUGUGGAACCACAGCUGCAACUUGAGAAACGAAUUCUGAUCGAAUGGGUUUGUGAGUGCUGGAAAAGGGAUUCUUUGCUUGAUGCUAUCGACCCCCGGUUAUCGCGUGGAACAUUCGUAUCCGAGGAAGUCGAGAUGGUUAUGAAACUCGGUUUGCUCUGCUCAAAUACUGUGCCAGAAUCCAGACCUACAAUGGAACAAGUUGUCCUAUACUUAAACAAGAACCUACCUUUGCCAGAUUUCUCACCAUAUACUGUGGGGAUUAGCAAUCAUUCUUCGGUUCUGAUUGAUGUAGCCUCCCUUGUAGCUUCAAGGAACUGGUCACCUGCUUCCUCAGCCAAUAACUCACCUUAAUACAGAUCAGCCAUGGGGAAACACACUGGAUACUAAGAACUCUGAUCACCCCAAUGUACACAGUAGAAAAAGCAGUUAUAUUAUUAGCUCUCAAGAUUGUUUUAUCUGUCUCACUUAUCCCAAUCAAUGAAUUUUUCUGUUGAAAAUGUUGUAAAUGAAUUCUCCCAACCAAUAAAAGAAACUAACUCUUAUCAAUUUCUCAGAAAAUUAGUACUGUAAUCAUCCAUAACUGUAUCUUCUUGUUUUGCUGAAGAUUUUUGAACGUAUGUUUAAUGGUCCAACCUCUUAGUUAUGGUUUGUUCUGAUGAAACCAUCUUCAUUUCAUGAGUCAUCUCUUCCUUUCGUCCUUCGUUGACUUCAAAAUGCUUUGAUGAUGAAACUUAUUUAAACAUGUGGAUAAUUGUAUAUAAUAUUCUUCCUACCAAAAAAAAAUAAAAAUUCAACUGUUUUCGUCAAUGUGAAUGAUGUACACUAUUAUCAUAUAAAGCAACUUAAAUGUGACUAAUACACAUGGUUAUAAAAUACAAAGAAGAUAAUAUAGUUUUCUUACUCUGUCAACAUCCAAAACAAUAGUAUUUUGAGGCGCUAUUAUGACAACUACGUUGGGUUGUAUUUUAAAAUUAGACAUGCACUUUAACAUGGAGAUAAAUUUGGCUUCAUUCUCCAAGCCAUGUGUGUAUUAUGCCAUCUGAGUUAGACAUUUUUAGAACCAGACAAGAGACCAUAUUAUUAUUGUAUGAACAACAGCACAGAAAUACAGGUUUGGGGUUACUGUCACGGAUACAUUUAAAAGUACUGUAUUUUCAUUUUUGUGUAUUCAACUCAGGAGAUGCCUAUAGGAAAUAUACUUUCUGAAGAGAAUUGACUUUGUAAUAUAGAAACUUUGGUUUGAAAAGUUUCACCUAUAUUUGUAUAUUGAAACCCAUAAACGAAACCAGACCUCUCUGUUUCAUAAGCAAUGGCUACUGAAAAAUUACAUCUGAUCUUACUGAUCUUCUUUAAUCAUCUGAUUUGCUUAUAUAGUCAACAAGGAGAAGCUGGGUUCUUCUACAAUGGUUUUGGCCAAGCUCAAGCUGAUCUUCAUCUAGAUGGAGCUGCGAGAAUCCUCUCCCCAGAUGGAUUGUUGCAGCUGACAAAUGCCUCUACACAGCAAAUGGGCCAUGCUUUCUUCAAGAAACCAUUCAAGUUUGAUUCAUCUGAGAAUAAACUCUCUUUCUCGACUCAUUUUGUGUGCGCGCUUGUGCCUAAACCAGGAGCUGAUGGUGGCCAUGGAAUUGCAUUUGUUGUAUCUUCUACCAUAGAUUUCACACAAGCAGAUCCAACUCAGUACUUGGGACUUUUCAACAUCUCAACAAACGGAUCUCCUUCUUCUCAGCUUCUAGCUAUUGAGCUUGAUACAGUUGAGAGCGCAGAGUUUGAUGAUAUCGACAAGAAUCAUGUCGGUAUAGACAUCAACAGCAUGAAUUCUGUAGAGUCUGCUUCAGCUUCUUACUUUUCAAACGCCGAAGGGAAGAAUCAUAGCAUCAAGCUCUUAAGUGGAUACCCUUUACAAGUCUGGGUUGAUUAUGAGGGAUCUUUACUCAAUGUCACAGUGGCUCCUCUAAGAAUCCAGAAACCAAACCAUCCUCUUUUGUCAAGAUCCAUCAACCUUACUGAAAUCUUCCCGGGCCAAAGACUGUUUUUCGGAUUUUCUGCCGCAACAGGGUCAUUAGUCAGUUACCAAUAUAUAUUAGGAUGGAGUUUCAGCAGAAGCAGAAUGUUGUUGCAGGGACUGGACUUCUCAAAAAUUCCUCAGAUUCCUCAUCCAAGAGCUAGGAAGGAGGAAGCAUCUCCGCUGCUUAUCACUCUACUCUUGUUACUAGUACUCAUAAUGUUGGCUGUUCUUGGAGGAAUUUACUUAUACAGGAAAAAGAAGUAUGCAGAAAUCAGAGAAGCAUGGGAAAAAGAAUACGGUCCACACCGGUUUUCUUAUAAAUCUCUAUACAAAGCAACAAAAGGGUUUGACAAUGACGGUCGUUUAGGUAAAGGCGGUUUUGGAGAAGUCAACAGAGGAACUCUGCCUCACGUUGGAGAUAUAGCGGUAAAAAGAGUGUGCCACGAUGCGAAGCAAGGCAUGAAACAGUUUGUUGCUGAAGUAGUGACUAUGGGAAGUUUAAAGCACCGGAACUUGGUUCCUCUUCUCGGGUAUUGCAGGAGGAAGGGAGAGCUUCUACUAGUCUCUGAGUAUAUGUCUAAUGGCAGUCUUGAUCAAUACUUGUUUCAAAGAAAAACUCCGGCUCUUUCAUGGCCGCAAAGGCUAGUCAUUUUGAAAGAUAUAGCCUCUGCUCUAAAUUACCUACAUACAGGAGCUAAUCAAGUCGUGUUACACCGAGAUAUAAAAGCUUCUAAUAUCAUGUUAGAUUCUGAUUUCAACGGAAGGUUGGGAGACUUUGGAAUGGCGAGGUUUGAAGAUUAUGGAGAUAGCUUACCGGCAACAGCAGCAGUAGGAACAAUGGGUUACAUGGCACCUGAGCUAACAACAAUGGGAACUUCUACAAGAACCGAUGUUUAUGCAUUUGGCGCUUUCAUGCUUGAAGUAACUUGUGGAAGGAGACCAUUAGAUCCCAAGAUUCCAGCUGAGACACGGCAUUUGAUCAAAUGGGUUUGUGACUGCUGGAGGAGGGAUUCUAUAGUUGAUGCUAUCGACACAGGAUUGGGAGGUGAUUACUCAGAAGAAGAAACCGAAAUGGUUCUGAAACUUGGAUUGCUCUGCACAAACGUUGUUGCAGAAUCCAGACCAACCAUGGAACAAGUGAUACAAUACAUAAACCAGAAUCUCCCAUUGCCAAGUUUCUCCCCAGAUUCUCCAGGAAUUGGAGUUCCUACUCCAGUUUUGCUGGAAUCACUCUUCAAUUCAAGGAGCUCAUUAGCACCCUCGACCUCUCCUCCAUCCCCCCAUAACUCUAUGUUUGUUACUCAUACAAUCACAUACGGAGAUGGAAGGUGAGAACCUAAGAACUAUUUUGGUUCUUCAAUAUACUAUGGUUUUAGACAAAUGGGUCUUUGUAUAUUGGUUUAGUUACGUUCGCAAUGUGUUUUAGAGGUUUGGAUGUGAAUCUGUAAUUAAAAAAAACAUAAGGUUUGUAGCAAUCAAAUUCAUUAAACUACUGAAACGUACAAUGAAAAACUCAUAAAAACUUGUAAGCACUACAAGUAUCAGACCAGCUGAAGUUUGGGAAAAAAACAAACAAACAAAUAAAAAACAGAACAUAGAACAGAGUCAUAGUUUAAGAAGCAACAGGUGAUCCAUUAGUGAGAAGUUUGGUGUUAUUUCUUCCUUGUUCAAUCUCCUUGAGAAGUUCCAAAGGCGUUGCAGAAGAUCCAUCCUUUGGACUUCUAGGACCAUCAGCACCAAUCACAAUCCUAAUCUCGUACUCAUCCACAUCACCUUUCUUCAGAACCUGGAGAGACGAAAGAGGAGAUGAACAAGUAGAAGUAGUUGUGGUGGUGGCGACAUUCGUGUGAUGAAGCUUUUUAGAUUUUGGUAACUGAACAAUCCACAUGAGAUUGUAACCUUCGGUCUUAUGCAGCAAUAUUACAACACAAGUGACCAGAAGCUGGAUAAUCCAAGGCAAGGUUAUGAGUAAUGUUCCGGUAAUGGAAAAGAAUUUGAUGUAACCAAAUUUUUGUUUUUUGGUGUUGGAGAGACUGAACAAGAGGAUUCCAGUGAGAGUGAUCCAGAGUGAGUGAAUGAGGAUUGAUGUAAGGGUGAAACCUGUUUUUUCCAUUUUUUCUCUUUCGUUUUUGUUUCCUCAGAGAAAAAUUCUAAACUUCGAAGUUAAAAGUUAAAACAUUACGAAAAUCAGAAAAGGCUGUUAGAGGAUUUACAGUAGGUUGUUAGAUAUUCUGGUUGGGGUUUUAAAUCAAAUAUUUUGGAAACAAAAAUAAAAUAAGUGUUAAAUUGAUAACACAAAUAAAGAAAACUUACAAUUUGCUGCUACUCCGAAGAACUUGGCUGCAACAUUUCAAGAGUUGGUAAUAUUGCAGUAGCUUCACCGUCGAGAACAACAAGUUCUUUGUGGUUCUUGAAGCAUUUAGUUGAGAAUUUGACACUAACAUGACGAAAUGAGGAUCAAGUUAUGACAGCGGAACAGAUCAACAGAUGUUCUUUUUUUUUUUUUUUUAUUCCAAUGGGUUUAGAUUAGCUUACAUGUACUUAUUUUUGGUUUCUCUUAAAGCUGUGGCUUGAACCAGUCCGAGAAUUUCAUCCCCUACGUAAACCGGUGACCGAAAAUGCAGACUUUGAGAUACAUAUACUGCUCCAGGCUGCAAAAAGGCCAAAUUAGAGUUAGUCAUGUUUCUGUAAAGUCAGGUAUAAGGACAGGUCAAAGGUAAAUAUGACUGCAAAUUAAAACUAGAGAACUUACGAAAUGGGCAGAGAUGAUACGAGGAAACAUGGAAGAAACAAGCAUCCCGUGGACAAGGCGAUUCUCGAAUCCGGCUUUACGGGCAGAUUCUGGAUCGAAAUGGAGAGGGUUGCAGUCAUGGCUCACCUCAGCAUAGGCCUUAACAUCUUCACUUGAGAAUACUCUUGUUUCUCUAAACACAUCUCCCACUUUAACUAGUGUCUUUGAAGUAACUGACGAGAAACACCUUGAAACAAGAAGAUGUGUAGGGAGAAACGUUCUCGUCAGCAUUUGUUUCACCUGAAGAAGGGGGACUAAUCAAACUGAAGAUCUGCCAAAACAAACAAAAAAACCUUGAGUUAUAUUAAUUUGCCUUUUUUAUUAUUCUCAUUGAGUCAUUUUGUCGAACAGCUUAUAGACACACCGUUGAAAGUCAAAAGAUUCAAACUUUGCCAAUUUAAUUGCCCAGUUGCUCACAGCGUAUGAUCAGAUGGUUAUCUUAUCAAACACGCUCAAAUAUUUCAAGGUGAAGACGUUUGAUCUGAGGGGAGCAGAGACAAGCGAGAUGGGAAGAAAAGGCAUAUUUGCUAAUGAAUCAAAAUUCAUCUUGUAGGCUAAUCAGUUGGGUCAUAAAUUAACACAUAAGCAAGUUGCUUGAUUUCUACGGAAGUAUGACAUAAUUUCAUGGGCUAUUUUGCAAUUUACCCUAUAAAAGUUCAUGAAAGUAUGACAUCACAGUACAGGUCAACAUUCCAAGCAUACAAGACAAAUACAAUCCACUCAAAAUACACCACGUGGACCGAUAACGUUUCCGUCUGUAUCUCUCUCGCUUCCGUCUUCUACUCUUCUUCUUCUACUUCUCACUCACCAUCUCUGAAGCUAAACUCACUGAAGCAGACACUAGCGUUGAGAAAAAGAACCAAACAAAAAAGUAAACAACGAGAGAGAGAGAAAAAAAGCUAUGUCUGUGAGAACAAUCCUAUCAUCAUUAGUUCUUGUGAUUCUCAUCGCCGCAUCGACGGCGGCGGAAAUCGGAUUCGAUGAGUUAAACCCGAUCCGGAUGGUCUCCGACGGUCUUCGGGAGGUAGAAGAAUCUGUUUCCCAGAUUUUAGGCCAAUCUCGUCACGUUCUCUCUUUUGCUCGCUUCACCCACCGGUAAGUCCUUAUCCCUUUACACCACUUAGCCACUGAGGCCUUGGCCAUUGACUUUGAGUCCAUUGGUUUUGAUAAUCGUGUUUUUUUGGUGAUGGAUGAAGGUAUGGGAAAAGGUAUCAGAACGUCGAGGAGAUGAAGCUUCGAUUCUCUAUUUUUAAGGAGAAUCUUGAUUUGAUCAGAUCCACUAACAACAAAGGCUUAUCUUACAAACUCGCUGUUAAUCGUAACUCUCUUUUUUUAAUCUUUCUUCUCUUUAAUUUGCUGUUUUAUUCUUCUCGUAUGAGCCUUUUUUAUUACUAGAACAAAGUCAACAAGUUCUGGACUCUUUAACGAACUGACAUAUGUUUAAGAGCUUUGUAAAAGGAAACGUGGAAACUAACUUGUUCUGUCUUGGAAUCUUCCAAUUUAAUAUUUUAGCUUCUUUUUUUUUUCUUUUUCUUUUAGUUCACGUGAUUCAAGAUUGUUAUUGGUCUUAGAUAUUUGCAGACUUUAUGGGUAUUUGAACUCUGUAUGAGAGACUAGUUUGCGUGAAUAUUUAGCAUCCUAGGUAUUGUUCUGUUUUCUUAUGAUUUAGCUGUCCUGAUUCAAGAUUGUUCGUGUUUAGAUAGACAUUGCUAGUGGUUUGAGACUAAAUAUUCUGUGUCUCUUGAAUCUACGCAGAAUUUGCUGAUUUGACCUGGCAAGAGUUUGAAAGGAACAAGCUUGGUGCUGCUCAGAACUGCUCUGCCACUUUAAAGGGCAGCCACAAACUCACAGAAGCAGCUCUUCCGGAAACGGUGAGUGCAUGACACAAUCUUUCUACACUAAACCAUCUAUUUCCUGUUUUUAGCUUUAAAGAUAUGUGUUUAGCUGCUGCAGAACCUCUUUUUUGGUUCUGAUUCCUCAAGUUGUGUAAGUGCAGAAAGACUGGAGAGAAGAUGGUAUUGUUAGCCCGGUCAAAGACCAAGGAGGUUGUGGAUCUUGCUGGACAUUCAGGUAAAACCAAUGAUUAGGAUACUAAUAUCUCCUGAGUUUUUGGUGGGAUCCCGUGAUGUAUAAUUAAAAGGUCAAGAUUGAAUGUCAUAUAAUCGAUAUUUGUACUGCAGCACAACUGGAGCUCUUGAGGCAGCUUAUCAUCAGGCAUUUGGGAAAGGAAUAUCUCUCUCUGAGCAACAGCUUGUAGAUUGUGCUGGAGCUUUCAAUAAUUAUGGCUGCAAUGGUGGUCUUCCUUCUCAAGCCUUUGAAUACAUUAAAUCCAACGGUGGCCUCGACACAGAGGAAGCUUAUCCUUACACCGGGAAAGAUGGAACCUGCAAAUUUUCAGCAGAAAACAUCGGUGUACAAGUCCUCAAUUCAGUCAACAUUACUCUGGUAAGCAUCUUUUAUGGAUUUUGUAUUUCACUUGCUUGAAAAUAUAUAUUCUAUAAUCUGUAAUGAUGAUUAAAACAACAACAACAGGGGGCUGAAGAGGAACUGAAGCAUGCGGUUGGAUUGAUACGGCCAGUAAGCAUAGCAUUCGAGGUUGUGAACUCCUUCCGACUGUACAAGAGUGGAGUUUACACUAGUAGUGACUGUGGAAGUACUCCAAUGGUAAGACUUUCUUCUUUAAACUGCUACAAAGACUUUCAUGUGUUUCAUAUAAAAUCAUCUUAGGCACUUAGCUUAGUGUUCAAUUCGGUUUUUCAUAAUGUGGCAAUAGGAUGUGAACCACGCGGUUUUGGCCGUUGGUUAUGGAGUUGAAGACGGUGUACCAUAUUGGCUUAUAAAGAACUCGUGGGGAGCGGAUUGGGGUGACAAAGGGUACUUCAAGAUGGAGAUGGGGAAGAACAUGUGCGGUAAGUUCUUCAACCAUCAUGAAACCAUAACAUCAUUAUCAUAUGCGAUACUCAGAUCUUUACAUUUGCUCUCUCUCAGUCCGUUGUUAAUUCGUUAUUGAACUGCAGGUAUUGCUACAUGUGCAUCGUACCCCGUUGUGGCUUGAGAUUGAUCAGCGAAUGUGGUUUGGUCGAUUAUUAAACUACGAAAUGGUGGCAUAUUUAUUGGCUUAAUAGGUUACUCUAAAGUUGGGACUUGGGAGUGCAUAUUGUUUAUGCUUGUAACAUAAGGGUCUGUUCAUAUGUACAAAACAAUGCAAAAACCAUAGACGAUAAAUUUUAUAAUACAUGCAUGUUGAAUUCAGAACAUAUAUUGAUUAAGACCAAAGUCGCUUUGUUCUUGUUCCUAACGAUAAUUUUGAAUAUAUACCUACAGCUUGCAAGUUAUGGUCUUUGAGAAACACCAAUACGUACUUAAUUGCUUUUGGUGAUCAGUAGUGGUCACAUGGAUAAUGGAUCUUCUCAUCAUAGAAUGCUUAGUUAGUUUUGAAGAAAUCUCUAGACCAGUUGAACUAACAACACGCCAAACUGCUAAUAAAGUUACAAAGUUAAGCAAAUCUUCCACACAAACUUUGUCUAGUAUAUGGACAUCAAUUCACAAAAAGCAUAAUAGCACUAAGAUAAUUGAUAUGGUUCUCUCAUUCUCUGGUUCACCAUUCCCAAACCCAAUGGUUGGUUUUUUUUUACUUACAAUUAAUCUUUCUAGUUUCGACCAAUUGGUUUUGAAACUUUGAAUAUUUUUUACAUGGCCACGAAAGAAGAGAAGACCACACGUUGCUUCCGCUUAAAAACAUGGCCGAGUCACCCUCCGAGUCAACCUCCGCGAGUGCUACUAUUUCAAGCCCUCAAACUCAGCAUGACUUCCCCGAGAUCCCAAUCGAGAUCGUUAGUGAAGAAGAAAUGGCUAUCCUCGAUGCAGCUCUUGCAGCCACCCGCUCCAUCCUCCCUUCUGCGCUCCGUUCGGCUUCCCCGUCGCGGGUGAUCGCCGGCGGAAGCCCAAAGAACAUCCGUUCGAUUACUCUCUUCUCCAAGAGGAAAUUCUCGGCGGCUUGUUCGGAUAUCGAAGAGUCUUAUUUGCAUCGAUUUAGGAGAAAUCAAGCUUUAGGUGUCACGGAUCUCACCAGCACUGUACGUUUAUCUUACGAUUAAAUGGAGAUAUAAUUCAUUGGAAGAAGAUCUUUGAAAACGGUAUUGAACUCUUAUUUGUUUUAGGAAUGGUGUGAGAAACAAAUGGAGAAUGUUCUCUGUUUUGGCAGGAGAAAGGUUAAUAAAGCCAUGAAAGCUGGUCAGGCUCGUCAUUUGCAGCUUGAAGAAGAGGUACACUAUUCUAUAUGAUAGAUCUUUAGGCUUAUUCAUGUCUGGCUCAUUGCUUCUAACUCAUCUACUACUUACAAUGAAUACUAACUUACACAUCUCUUGAUUUGGUAUUCUUGUUUAUCCAAGUGAAAGUGAUUAACUUUACUGUUAAGAGCUCUACAUCUUUUCUUAUGAAGAAUUUGAUGAAAGAUCUAGCUUUUGUUCUGUUUAUAAAUGGCUAGGUAGUUAAAAAGGUGAGAGUAAGAGUUGAAUCAAAUGAAGAUAAGUGGGCAUUGAAGCUGUUGAAUUCCAUCGCGGGUGUUAAUCAGUUCUUGUUUGAAGGACGAACUCGUGAAUUGCUACUGUGAGUUCCUACUACACCUCUAUUUUUCCAUUCUAGUUUAUGUCCUUCCAUAAUAUUUUCAUAGCUUUUACCUUUUGCUAACAAGAUAAUCUUGUUAGUUGUAUAAAUCAAAUGAAACUUUUAAUUGUUUGCGUUUUGCUUAUUAUGGAGUUGGGUGUCAUUGAUUUUCAUCUUCUUUUGAUCCAAGUUUGUAACUUUGCGUAUAUCUAAUUUGCUCACUGGAUUUGUUUCAGUCUCAUGAUCGUUCUAUUGUUACUUACACCUACUUUCUUGUGUACCCAGUUCUUGGUAAUGUAUUUAUGACAAUUGAUUCAAUCAUGCUCUAUAUCAUCAGCUUAGGUUUUGUUGGAGGUCAAUGGAUUGUGGGAAUUAUUGACGAGCUUAGAAAGGCGUAUGCAGAAGAGUCUUCUGAUAGCGGACCAAUAUUGAUAGAUACAAAGACUCGACUCCGUGAUACACUCCCAGCUGAGCCACAAAGGAGGAAUGGAAGGUAAGUGCUUGUAAGUGUUGAAGAAAACGUUCUCAACUUCAGUUUUCAUAGGGAGUUUUAUGCUAAUUGUACUUAAAUUAAUAAUAUUUGAUAGGCUUCAGCUAAUGCUUUAUAAGCUUCUAUGGGACACGAUUGUGAAAGAGGGGUUCCCGAAAGAAUCCUUUUUCGACUACUUCUCUUUGAAUCGCCAUUGUGUCUUAUCCCAGGAUGUGCGAGAUAACAUUGCUAAUGCAGGUAUCAAAGCUCAGGUAUGCUAAUCUUUGACUCUACACAAUACAUCUUUCCCCAAGCCAAAGUUAACUGUGUUUAUGAAGAGAGAAUUACUCACUUCCAAAUAAGUUUAUUAAUGUUUUUUGCUCGGUGCAGACACUUGAAGAGAUAGUUAUGUACUAUGAAAAUACUUUUAAGAUGCUUCCGACAGCAAACGAUCAAUUACUACUAAAGUAAGUAGAAUAUGACUUGCUAUUAAUCUUACCAAACACAUUGAUAUAUCUCUGAUGAUCUGACUGUAGCUAAAAUGGGAAACUUGACCCCAGGUACGAGUUUCAGAAGGACCAAUCUAUAAUAGCUGAGAUUAGAUUCCACCAUGAUCAUGAGUGGGUGAUGAGCAAAUAUAGAGAAAUCAUUGAGUUCUGGAGAAAUGAACGAGAAUCUGAGUACACUCCUGAAGAAGAGCGCUGGAAAUGUCGAUAUUGCCAAUUCGCCAAGUCUUGCCCUGGAAACCCGAGCUUCGAAUAUUCUCCUCCGAGCUCGCCACCAAGAGAGGCUUCUCCUCCUUUAGCAAGCUAAAGAAAAGAUGAAAGGUUGAUUCUUUCAACCGAAAGCUACAAACGAAUGUUUGUUUUGUCAUUUGCAUAUUUUGCUUUCCUCUUUCUUUUUAGUCCUUGCAUAGUGAUUAAUUGAUUAAACCGUGAUUCGGUUAGGCGUGCCAAAAUUGAUUUGUACUGGGAUGCCGCAAUUUGAUUAUGCCGUAUUGUGUAUACGUUCUGUAUAUAUUAAUUUAAUUCGUCAAAUAGAAAAAUGUUUGUUGUAUUAUCACAGUUUUUGAAAAUUGAAAGAUGUAACAUGUACAAAACACGUCUCUUUUGCAAACUUAUCUGAAUGAGAGGAUUAGUGGUCAAUGCACUAUUAUAGUCGGAUUGUUUACUAUUAAAUAUCCAGCCUAGCUCUAUUAUAGUGGUCAAUGCACUAUUAUAGUCGGAUGUUCUCUAUUAAAUGUAACAUAAGUUUCAAGAAAUACGAUUUUGCAUCUUACUGGUUUCUCCGUUAUUUUUUUCAAAUUUUAUCAUUUAUAGUAUGAGCGAGCUAUUAAUUUUAGUAUUAACCUUAUACAGUAACAAAAUCCAGUCAAAUAUUUUAUAUUUAAUUCCUUAAUCAGAAUAGAUUUGUUUCCGUAAACGAAUAUUAUCAAAUGCAGUGUUAAUUUCUAUUGAGAUAUGGUACUGCAUGUUGUGUAUAAAACUACAGAGGGUCGUUAUAUUAUUCCAAGGGAAACAAAACUAGAGUUAAAAAUGUCUCCUACCAGUAUUAGAAUGGCUCUUGUGGUGGUGAAUCUUUUACAUCUUCUUCUGUUCUCAGUAGCUCUUGUUCGUUCGGAUCGAAGUACAAUGCCUCUCAGAUCUUUCAAGGUCAGUUUCCCCAACAAAAACUUGAGUCCCACGCUCCCUCCUAUUGUUGUGAUCUAUUUAAUUGAUUCCACAUCAUCUUUUACUAUCUUAGACCAAGUUCAACAUAUUUUCGCUUAUUUUUGUUUAUAAAAUAAAACUAAUCUCAUGUCUUCUUUUUUUUUUUAACCGUAGAUAAGUGGAAAUGUAACAUACGAUUGCAUAGAUAUUGAUAAGCAACCAGGACUUGAUCAUCCCUUGCUAAAAAAUCACAAAAUCCAGGUGCAUAGUUUCAGAAAUUAGCCUCCUAAUACAUACAUAUAUGUUUUUUUAUAUAUAAAUAAAACGUGAUUAUGAAUUUAACUAUACAUUUUUUCUUUCGAGAAGAUGAAACCAUCAGUUUCAAUACAUGAAAUAAAGAAUCAAACUCAGAUCAACAAAACAUAUAAGGAGAAAAUCAAAUGUCCAUAUGGAACUGUUCCUAUAGUGAGACGUACAAACGAAUUCAUCACCAACGCUCAACUCUUAGCCGAUAAGUAUUUCCAUCCGCUAUCACCGGAUAGCUCUGGAACACAUGUAAACCAUUCUUUUUUGUUCUCAUAAUAUAUCAAUGCCUUUGAUCUAAUAAAUAUCUCUAUGUAUAUUACAAGUAUCAAUGUAUAAUGGCAGAUUGCUGGAAUAAAGCAACACGGUGGUCCAUAUCAUGGUAUAUCAGCUAGGUUUAAUGCAUAUAAACUAGACAUAGGAGAAGACCAAGCCUCGUAUAGUCAAAUGUAUAUAGGCAAUGGAUAUUAUGGUGAAUUUAAUUUCAUCUCAGCUGGGUUGAUGGUAGGUUUUACAUUAUUUUUUUCUUAAUUUGUUUCAUUCUCUGAGUAGUCUUACAGUUUUGCAAAUCAUUUCUUACAGACAAAUCCAAGCAUUUUUGGUGAUAGUCGUCUUUGGUCAUAUGGAUACUGGAAGGUGUGCUUGUGUACAAUAUAUAUUUGACAAAAUUCUUAAACCAAAGAACAUGUAACUUAUGGAAUAUGAUUUUGAUAGGGUAAAUAUGCAAAAGGAUGUUACAAUACGGUAUGUCCAGGAUUUGUUCAAGUAUCUAAUGUGGUUCCCAUAGUCAAACCCUUUGACCUUAAACCAGGGGAACAAGCAGCAUUGGAGUGGUCCAUCGCAAGGGUAUUUCCUAAUUUCUUUCACAAUUUUUUCGUUUUUUUUUUCAUAAUAUGGUUUUACAAACUAUUCGUUUGUUUCAUUUUCUUUAAAAAUAACUUAAUAAACAAUUUUUAUAUUGAAAAUUUAUUUUAACAAAUUUUUAUACUGCACAUUUAUUUUAACAAAUUAUUUUUUUGUUCUUUUAAUGUACACCAAAAGGAUAAACAAACAGGAAAUUGGUGGAUUAUUCAGACUGGAAAACCUAAUGCAUAUAUUGGUUAUUGGCCAAAAGAGCUAUUUCACCUUAUGUAUGAUGGUGCAAGUAUGGUUGGAGUUGGAGGUGUAUCUCAGGCUUUAAAAUCUGGUUUCAGCCCUCCAAUGGGUAACGGCAAGUUCCCGAAAAGAGGUAUUCUGACAUCAGCAUUGUUUUCAAAUGUUGAUGUCUUGAAUUCUAUGUAUGAGAAGCGUAGAAUCAAUGUUGAUGUACCUGUAGAAAAGUUGCUAGAUAGUGUCAAUUGUUAUGGGAUAAGAAUUGGUAACAGAGUUAAAUUUUGGACUACUCCACUCGGAUACUUUUUCAAUUAUGGAGGUCCGGGAGGAACCUCUUGUGGAGUUUGAUAUAUGCCAGUGUAAUCUUUAAGCUUAAUAAAUCUUAUCUUAAUUAAUAAUAUAUGCUAAUGUACUAAUUAGCAAUUAAAAAAAAGAUAUAUAUUUGCAUUUUCCAGCAUAUGAAGCAUAAUUGAGAAACACACCUUGAACUAGUUUUUAGAGAUCAUAUAAUGCCAGUGGAUAGAUGAAAACCCAAACCAGAAAUACAACAAUCAAGAAAAAUUGAGGAGCGUUAUUAGCAAACACGCGUGAGAUGAAUAACCUAAAGACCUAUAUUGUCCAAUCAAUGUGGAUAUUAUAGAUAUAUUGUAUUCAAGUCCUAUCAACUACAGAGUUGGCAUCUCAAAACCCAGUUAGGAGAUGCAUGCGCUCGUGGGUGCUUCCAAGAUUUUACUAUCGACAGCGCAUUACACAAGAUGAUGUUGUAAAAACCAUAUGCCAAAGUUUAUUACAUUGUGGAAUAGAAUCAAGAACCAAUUUCCUAAACUUGUUUAGGUCUUAAAAAACACAGCUAAAUAAAGAUUUAUAAGAUAAAGAAAAAAAAAAACGGAUGAUCCAGGUCAUUCAAAAGCCCAUGAAUUCUCCCUACGAAUUUGUUCUUUCUCCUCUGGUGUCAAAUCAUCAUUGACCUUGAAGAAUGAACGUAACUCAUCUUCAGAUUUAUAUGGGAUCAUGUCAGCGACUGUUUUGCAAGUGAGCUGACACAGGCUUUUGAUGUUUAGGUCAUACGCAGCCAUGAGAAGAUCGUAGAGUUUGGUCUGAUCAUUGAACUUCAUGAACUCAGUGUCCCACUCCUUGAGUUCUUCUUCGUCGGAAGCACCAUCGACAUGUUUUGAGCAAUACUCUAUCACCAAGGCGAGGGUCAUGCUCUUCACGUUUGGAAGCGGGACGACUACGUUGUCGGAGCGAUCGUCUUUAACAAGAUCUGCUAUCUUCUGUGACUGAAGUGCGACCGCUUCUCUGACCUCAAAAGUUACGCCUUCGGUGCUCGUCAACGUAAUCCUCUUUUGCGACAUUGUGCAACAGAUUAGGGAUGGAGAGAAUUAACGAGAGCGAUUGAAUAAUAGUAAUUUAGGUAAAGAAGUGAUGAUGAUCAAUUUAAUUAUAUUUAUAAGUCCUAAUUUUGAGAGUCGGUUGAUUGUUAUUUUCCCUUUCAGAAAAGAACAAAAAGUUAAUUACUUAAUUCCAAUAGAGUAAACCAAGCUAAACCGAUUCUCAAAUGGUUUAGAAUUUUUAAAAAUAAUUUGUCAUCUCAAUUGUGGUUUGACUAAAACUUAUUCUCGACAUGUAAAAGUUGUAUGCAUGUACUAGAGAAGAUUUGAUUAAGCAAACUAAAUAUUUGUAGUGCAAAAUUUGAAACCUAAUUAGUAGUGUGGUAGGUUGUUUUUAUAUGUCAACACAUGGCCACAUAAUGAUGACAUGCACGUACCUUUGAUUCAACGUUUUGGAGCAAAUUUAUCUAUAGUCAUCUCUCAUUAAUCCUCCGUUAAUAGUUCAAAUAUAAUUAAAUUUAUUUUUAAUAAUAGCAAAAACCAACUUAUUAUAGAUUUGUUUGAAUUAAAAAUGGUUACUGUAUUAUGAUUCUACAAAUUUUAUUUUGUAAUCCAUAUUUGUUUAUGAAAAAUCUAAGUACCAAAGUUGACAAAAAAAAAAAAAUCUAACUACCAAAUUUAACAAUAGCUCCAUUAUGUAAAUAUGCAUUUAAAUAAAUGUUUUUUCCAAUGAUUUAGCUGUGAUUUCUAUGAUAUAAUGAUCAAAUCUAUAAUUUUAUCGAAGCCAACUUAUGACGGCUAGGGUUUUUUAUUCUCUUAUAAUGGUCACAAAAAUAAAAUCACCAAUUUUAGAUUUUUUUCAAACUAAUCAUCACACGAAAAUAAGAUUUAUACAAUUUCACAUUGGAAAAAUCGAAAGUAAAAAAAACAUAUACAAUUUAUAACUUGAAAGAGAAUUACACAUUUUUACUUUGUUUAUCACAAAAGAAAAAGAAAGAAAAAACAAAUUAGAAAAGGCCCAAAACGCAUAAGGGCAUAUUGGUAAAAGUAGAACCACAAGGGGAUGGGAAAACCCUAGACCUCGUAGCUAUAAGUACCCCUGAGUCGUCCAGUUUUAGGGUGCGCUCUCACAUUUCUCACUUACGUAGCCGCAAGACUCCUCUUCCAGAUACUUACUUGCAGGUGAGACUCCUCUCUUUAGGUUUUCGAUCUUCGUCUUCUUUAUGCUGUUUAGGCUUUAGAUCUUCAUCUUCUCUAUGCUGUUUAGCUUUAGAUUCUUCUCAUAAGCUCUGUUUUUAGAUUCAUGUCUUUUAGCUGUAUGUUCACUGUGAUAAUCGCUGCCUUUUGAUAUUCGAGUUUAGGAUCGGUUUUAUUCGUAGAUCUGUCUUACCUCCUUUUAGUCUGUUGGAGAAUCUUCUGGUUUGCUGAUAACUUCAACUUUUUUAUAUAAUCUAGGCGAUCUGCCAUAUCACUGUUCGUUUCGUUACUUGAAUCGAUUUUAGAUGUUCUAGUUUAUUCUGAUGCCUUUGGUUGAUGAUGUAUACUUAGAUGAUGAUAUUGAUUCUCGUUUCAAUAGAUCUGUUUGUUUUUGAUUUAUACAGAUGAGGUGUGGUGGCUUGUUAGAUGAAUAUGUUGUGAAUUUUUAGAUGUUGACUUGUAUUUUUUGGUUCUGACCUUCUGUUCUUUCUUGGUUUUGCUUUACAGCUAUGGGUAAAGAAAAGUUUCACAUCAACAUUGUGGUCAUUGGCCAUGUCGACUCUGGCAAAUCGACCACAACUGGUCACUUGAUCUACAAGCUUGGUGGUAUUGACAAGCGUGUGAUUGAGAGGUUCGAGAAGGAAGCUGCUGAGAUGAACAAGAGGUCCUUCAAGUACGCAUGGGUGUUGGACAAACUUAAGGCCGAGCGUGAGCGUGGUAUCACCAUCGAUAUUGCUCUAUGGAAGUUCGAGACCACCAAGUAUUACUGUACAGUCAUUGAUGCCCCUGGCCAUCGUGAUUUCAUCAAGAACAUGAUUACUGGUACCUCCCAGGCUGAUUGUGCUGUCCUUAUCAUUGACUCCACCACUGGUGGUUUUGAAGCUGGUAUCUCCAAGGAUGGUCAGACCCGUGAGCACGCUCUUCUUGCUUUCACCCUUGGUGUCAAGCAGAUGAUUUGCUGUUGUAACAAGGUAAAUUUUUUGCCUGUUUUUAAUAUUAAUGUUCUGUUGUUGAUAGUCUUUUUUUAUUUAUACUAACAGAUGUCCUUUUAUCUAUGCUUCUUUUUUACAGAUGGAUGCCACCACCCCCAAAUACUCCAAGGCCAGGUACGAUGAAAUUAUCAAGGAGGUGUCUUCAUACCUGAAGAAGGUCGGAUACAACCCUGACAAAAUCCCAUUCGUGCCCAUCUCUGGAUUCGAGGGAGACAACAUGAUUGAGAGGUCCACCAACCUUGACUGGUACAAGGGACCAACUCUUCUUGAGGCUCUUGACCAGAUCAACGAGCCCAAGAGGCCAUCAGACAAGCCCCUUCGUCUUCCCCUUCAGGAUGUUUACAAGAUUGGUGGUAUUGGAACGGUGCCAGUUGGACGUGUUGAGACUGGGUUGAUCAAGCCUGGUAUGGUUGUGACAUUUGCUCCCACAGGGUUGACCACUGAGGUCAAGUCUGUUGAGAUGCAUCACGAGUCUCUUCUUGAGGCACUUCCUGGUGACAAUGUUGGAUUCAAUGUUAAGAAUGUUGCUGUGAAGGAUCUCAAGAGAGGAUACGUUGCCUCAAACUCCAAGGAUGACCCAGCUAAGGGUGCUGCUAACUUCACCUCCCAGGUCAUCAUCAUGAACCACCCUGGUCAGAUCGGAAACGGUUAUGCCCCAGUUCUCGAUUGCCACACAUCUCACAUUGCAGUCAAGUUCUCUGAGAUCUUGACCAAGAUUGACAGGCGUUCUGGUAAGGAGAUCGAGAAGGAGCCCAAGUUUUUGAAGAAUGGUGACGCUGGUAUGGUUAAGAUGACUCCAACCAAGCCCAUGGUUGUUGAGACUUUCUCCGAGUACCCACCAUUGGGACGUUUCGCUGUUAGGGACAUGAGGCAGACCGUUGCUGUUGGUGUUAUCAAGAGCGUGGACAAGAAGGACCCAACUGGAGCCAAGGUCACCAAGGCUGCAGUCAAGAAGGGAGCCAAAUGAUGAGACUCUCGUUAAAUGGUUUCUUUUGGUUUUAAAACUUUGAUGGCGUUUGAGCCGUUUUCUCUCUCUUUAUUUCUGUGACUUUCUUCUUUCUUCCUCCUUUUUGGAUCUCUGAGACUUUUAUUAUGGUUUUAAAUUAUGCAUUUUCGGAUAAUUUUGCUUAAAAGUUAUUUAGGAUUUGUGUUACAAAUUAACUCGUCUCUUUGCUUUAUAUUACUUUUAAGACGAUAACUCUUAAUCAACUCCUAAAAGUAACAAAUAUGAGUUAUUUAAGAGUUGUCUUGCAAGUUAACAGCUUUGUAUAAGUUAAGAGCUGUAGAACGCAGCUUUAUUCCGACAUAUGGUUUGCUACUCCUUCCUUCUUAGAUAGGAAUGAAACCGAACAAGCAGUUGAAACUGUAGAAAUUACAAACGAAAACGCUCGGAACUAAAACCCAAAAUAUAUGGAUAAGGCCAAAAGGAGCAGCUUAAAACAUCACACCAACGACAAAUAAACGUGUCAACAACAACAAUGAAAAUCAUCAUGGAUCUGCAGUUUUACAAGAAACAUAACUCAGUGGGAUCUAAAUAAAAAGCAUUUUUGGGAUUUCUUUUUUUUUUUUAAUACUAAGCAGCAUUAGCUGUGUGGGAAGAAAAGCUCCACGAGCCUAGAUCUUGUAAUAAAGCAAAACACACUAAGCAGCUUUAGCUGUGUGAGAAGAAAAGCUCCACAAGCCAAGAUCUUGUAAUAAAUCAACUAGAUCUCUAACGUCUUUAUCCUCUCUCAUCCCUUGAAGCUGCUCUGCACCUUCUUCACCGUGGUUUAGGCACGCAUCUCUACCUUCUGAUCUCCUUCUCCUCUGUAUCACCUUCCUUCUCUUGUCAUGAUCUGCCAUUCUAUAUCACAGAGACAGAAACAGAAAGAGAGAGAGAGUGAGAAAGAGAAGAGUCAACUAAACAGAGAAGAUCUCAACAUAGAUUUAAGAUAUGGAAACAGAGGCAUAUAUUACUCUCUGGGGAGGCUUAAUUGCUGAGUGAUCCCAGGGAUGCAGAGUGGAAACCCAUAGUUCCCACUAAGAGUUGUUGACAGCAUUUCUCUCUUUCCUUGAGAGUAAAAUUUGGAUCUUUGUUUUCAAGAAAAUCCAAGGAAGAAUAAAAAGAGAGACAAAGAUCUUGAGAAUUGGGAAUGGGUUAAAGAGGGUAUAGAUAUAUACUAGUACUAUGUAAUUAAUAAUUCCCUUUCUAUUAAGUAAAAUAUAUGAGAGUUAGAUUUUUUGUCCUGUGGUGUGUGUUGUGCAUUUGAUACUUGGGAGUUGGGAGAGACCGAGAGAGUAGAGUAGUAGGUAAAAUAGGUAUGGUCUCUUCCUAUUCUCCCAUCAAUAUGCAUUAAUCAACUUUAAAGAAACCAAGAGCAAAAAUUUUAGGAUCUUGUAGAAAAUAAUGAAAAAUAUAAAAAAAGAUAGGUUUCAUUUACCUUUUUCCUCAGCAUGAUAAUAAAGACAACUCUUAUUAUACUUAUAGUUUUGGAUUCUUCCUCUUCUUUCUUUUCUUUUCUUUUCUUUCUCUCGUUUGGAUUGAUAAAAGCAUUGACGAGGACAAUAAGGCUUUUCCAGCGAGAAUAUAAAUGCAGCCUCACCUGUACAAUCAUAUCAACUUUGUAAACCAACUUGUUCAAUAAAAAGUAAUUCUACCUAAGCUUCUCUGUUAACCAGAGUCUUAGAAACAGUAACAUCACUUUUUCAUCAUUUAUUACACAGACAACACAACAUCAAGCAGAUUCAGACAAGGGCAUGUAAUAGAAAUUUAAAAUGAUGAUUAGAACAAGUCUUGCAAUGGUCUACAGAAACCUAACAUAGUUACCCUUUAAUCAAAAUACAAACCUGCAAAUCAAUAUGUGUGUUUGUUGACACUUAUGCUUAUGAAAUUAGAGCUUUUAGAAUCCUAGUCGGUAUGGAUAAGUGUCACAAGAAUCCACUUGCUUGAGUGGAGCUACAAAAGUGACAAUGUAGGAGCUGUUCAUGGUACAUAGUACCAACAUUAUACAAGGACUAGUUAUGUGGAUAUGUAGUUUCUUUUUAGAUUUGCCAUGGGACCUUGAUGACGUGUGCCUUACCCCAUUGUCACUGAACUGAACAAAAUUGCCACCAUUGUCACUGAACAUGUACAUAUGUAACAUCUGAGAAUAGAUGCAAAAAUCAAAGAGCUCAAAUCAACUACAGAACCUACACAAAACAAAACAAUAUAUUCAAAUGUAAAAUCUAGGAGAUGAAGGUAAUGCCAAAUCACUGGAGAUGACGUUAACACGAUGAUCUCACUUGAGAUAAUAAUCUUGAAAACCAUUUGAUUGCAGCCACAUAGAAAACGGCAAACUAAAUGACAAUAAAGGGCAACGAUAGUGACUGUAUAAAUUAAGUCCACUCUUCUUAGGCACUUAUGUUAAUAUAUAUAUAUAAGGAUGAGAUGAAUCUAAUACAAUGAUUACAGAACCAUCAUAUGAGUGGUCUUGCUUCUUCUAUGGUUUUUGAAACUGCAAACAAAGAUUCGCUUCGCAGGAGAGAUAGCGCCAUCGCCUAAGUUUAACUAGCGGUGACGGUAUCUCUCCUACGUAGCAAUCCUUAUAUAUGCAUCUUUAUGCAGAGAGAUGCAGCUCCAAGUUUAAAGGUAUUUCGGCUAUUCUACUAUUAUUACUUGCUUUCUAACAAAUGAUGCAUACACCAUUUCAAGUCCUAGUUUUGUUUCUGCAUCUAUCUUUGCACUUACAUUGACUGCAAAACAUUGCUCACUAGAGGACCUUAGUUUUAGCCUCUAGAUUGUCUUCUCAAACCUACAAUGAUUGAUAAUCUGUUCCAAGACAGGUUCUUGCUCUUUGCUUAAAAAAUGUUUUGGUCUUUUAUAGAAGUUUUCUCGGCGAGAAGCUGAAACGAUUAGCCAGUACAUCCUCAGCCUGAAAAUUUAAGGAAAAGCUAAUCAAUUUAUGUGUUGUUUUGCAGAAUUUGGGUUGAUUCUCACUCACAAGUGUCUUGUUUUCUUUGUUUUCAUGCUUUGGUUGUAUUCUCAUAUAUAUAUAUGGCUUUCCAUUUCUAAUCAACAAAUGGACUUGGAUGAGGAACGGACCAUCUUUUAUAUACAGAAAGAAGAAUACUUAUAUAAUUAAAUGUGUGCAAUAUUGUUUUUUAAAGUAAAUAUAUGUCCACGAAUCAAUUUGCUUAUACGAAACCACACGUACGUACAAUUUGGAGGAUAAGACAUGAUUUUCCUAUAAAGGAGAAGCGUGAAUCGAUUUCUAAAACCAAUGUUACAAAUCAAGACGACAAGCCCAACAACAAGCCCAACAACAUUCAAAUGAUUCAGCCUACCAAGCCCACCAUUCAACGGUCAUCUCUGCAAGCUCUGCAAUCUCUGCAAUUGACAAAAGACAAAAACAAACAAAUUGCAGAAGAAGCUUCAGGAAACAGUACGAUCAAUGUGAUAGAGACAAGGAACAGAUUUGAUGCUCUUAGCCCUCUACAAGGUGAUGACAUGUGUCAAGGGAACUAGGGUUUUACCAAAGUAUAAAUAAGAGGCUCAGCCUCAUGUAAUCAAUUAAGAGAGUAUCAAAUUAUAAAAACAAAAAAACUUUCUUCACUGUCUUUCAUUUCCCACAUGUUAUUCUGCAUGUUUUACGGACCAUCGUCUCGCAAUUGAGUAUGAAUAUAUAUACUUAUCUGGUCUACCAAGCAAUCCACAGAUUUACCCGUCCAGUUGAAUUCGUAGUUAAACUAUGAUCCAAAUAUAAUAUAUGAGUUCUCAGUAGAAAAAGAAAAUAACUUUUUAAACAUGAGAUAUGUUUUCGAAUUCUUCAACUUAGAACAGUUGGAACUUGGAAUCAAAUAAUAAUAAUCUACACAAUGUACAAUAUAUUAGAAAUGUGACCAAAUUCAUCCUAAAAACUAGUUCAAAGGUUAAGAAUUAUCAUAUUGUCCAAGGAUCUUUAUUCGAAUCGAAGUAGGUCGAUUUUUUAGAUUGUAAUACAAUACCACAGAAUAAUAUGAAAAAGUUGUUUGACAAGUAAAAAAUUGGUCGCUACUCAAGUGACUGAAUAUAAUAUAAACUAUAUAAAAACUAAAUUUAAAAAGAAAAAUUACCAUUAAAAAUUACCAUUAUAUAUAUAUAUAUUCUUCUUUUUUAUGUGAUCAAAUUUUUUUGGUAACUCAAAUUUUAUGACCUAAUAAAUUAGAUUGUGACAACACCCUAAAUUAGAACGAUGGCAAUACUUUUUUGGUUAUAGAAUAAAUACGAACAAUAAUUAAUAGUCCACUAGCAAACAGAUUUUUGAUAAUAGCUAACCGAUCCGGUCCGGUCCGGUCCGGUUAGUCCAAGAGCUGACGUGGGAUUCGAUUAAAAAAAUUACAAGACAGGGCGUUACGGUCGUAAAAAACAUAAGUACAUAACAUAUGAAAGUGGUGGUGAGAACCGAAAGUCAAAAAACACGUCUUAAGAUAUUGGUGGUGGUGGGGGAGAGACGGUGCACGUGACCGCACAGGAACUAAACCCGGACGUAUUGCCCGUCAUUAAACCGGAUUUGAUAAUCGGCGACUGGUCCGGCUGCCCUUCUUUUGUUUUCGUCUCGGCGGAUCAAACUUUUUUGUUCCUCCGUCUCGAGUUUGUGUUGUCUUUUGGACACCUAAAAAAAAAAACAAAUCUUAUCGAAGCUGUGAAAACCCUAGUUUCAAAUUCGUCUCUUUUAACCUAUCAAUUUUGGCAUAUGUCAUGAUGCAGUAUCCGAUUUCUUGGUUUGUGUUUCCCGUUUUUUUUUUUGUUUUGUUUGGGUUUGGGAAUUGAAUUUGAAGGGUUUUUUUCUUCGUUUUGAGUAAUUCUCUCUUGUGUUUAUUGAUGUUGCUUUAGAUCGGCUGCUGUAUGGAGACUGUUUGCUGUGAAUUGGUACUUAUAUUUGGAGUCUACGUUCCUGUGUUUUGAAACUGAGCUUUUUGCUUCUUCUUUGUUUGUCUGGAGCUUGAAGACAUGGAUUUGGAAGCUAGCUGUAAGGUAUUAUUGACUUGAGAGAUCUGUGCUUGUUUCGGCUGCUUGUGUUUUUUUUCAUUAUCUGUCUUGAUUGCAACUUGUUUAUGAAUGUCUUGAUUGUUUUUUUUUUUCAUAGAGUGGAUGUUUCAAAAAACUUUGCUUUUUAUUUAUUUAUUUACAACUUUUUUCAUCUUCUGGAUUUUAUUUCUGUGAGAAAAUAAAACGAUGCUUUAUUUCAUAAGGGUUUUGGAUUCGUGGUUCAUGUUUUAUGGAUUUGGUAUUGCUCUAGUAGUUAGUAGGCUCAAUGUUGAGUUUCUUCUGUGUUGCAGGAUAAGCUUUCAUAUUUUCGGAUAAAAGAGCUCAAGGAUGUGCUGACUAAGCUGGGACUUUCGAAACAGGGAAAGAAGCAGGUUAAUAUAUUUCUGCUGAUCUUUGGUUUGUUGUAAUUAUGGUUUGUGAUUGUUUUCAAUGGUCCUCGCGCAGAUGAUGAUGUUCAGAUGGUUAUAAUUGGACCUCUAGUAUGUAUUUGGUGAUAAAUUUUGUUUUGUCAUGAACUAUACAGCAAUUGCUAAAAUGAAUCUACGGUCUAUAUACCUUGCAAUCUGUUUCAUUUGAAGCUAGCUGCUUUCUUUCACCAACUUGUGUUAGGUAUAGAUAUGCAUUAGUCUUCUGUGAGCAUUUGUAAUUUUAGAUAUUCACUAAGCUUAUGCUCACAGGUUACACUGAUUUAUACUCGGGUUACCAACUUGGAUUAUUGGCAUUGUGAAAGAUGUGUUUUUUUUUACCAUGUUUUUUCUUUUUUUCUUGUGCAGGAACUUGUUGACCGGAUUUUGACCCUUCUUUCUGAUGAACAAGGUUAGUUAAAGCACUUGUUUUUUAUUCCUGUCUUGGUGUAUAUAAUAAUAUAAAAUCACCUCUCGCUCUACCAUUUGUUCUGAUAAGCUUCUGUCUUUAUUCCGUAAUAACAGCUGCAAGGUUGUGGUCUAAAAAGAAUACAGUGCCAAGGGAAGAAGUUGCGAAACUAGUGGACGAUACAUAUAGGUGAGUACUCUAAUUCAAAACAGAUCUCUUAUGAAAUGCCAUGCUUUUGCUGUCUGAUUCUUUGUUACCGUAAUGUUUUCUUUUUGUGCUCCACAGGAAAAUGCAAGUGUCUGGGGCAAGUGAUUUAGCAUCAAAAGGACAAGUAAGUUCAGAUACCAAUAUUCUGAAAGUUAAGGGGGAGCCUGAAGAUCCCUUUCAACCAGAAAUGAAAGUUCGAUGUGUUUGUGGAAAUUCACUUGAGACAGACUCAAUGAUACAGGUAACCUGGGAGAAACAUUUUGUGUCUAUUCGUGUUGCAACUGGCUGUAGAACAAUUCUUGGUACAUUGUGGCCGAUGAUGUUAUGUAUUUUUUAUUGAUUCCAUUUGUGAAGUUGGGUGAUAGUUUCUGGUAAAAAUUAUAUUUUUUUCCCUGGUUUCAGUGCGAGGAUCCAAGAUGCCAUGUUUGGCAGCAUGUUGGCUGUGUUAUUGUCCCAGAUAAGCCUAUGGAUGGAAAUCCACCACUUCCUGAAUCAUUUUACUGUGAAAUCUGCCGACUUACUCGAGCUGACCCGUAAGUUUUUAAGGAUUUUAGUUUUCUUGUCUAAGUGAAAGUUUGAGUUGUAAUUAAUUAUCAUCUGAGCUCCUCCCCUACUGCAUGAUAAUUCUUCUUCCUAGAAGUAAAAAGAAUGACAUAUUGACAUGCUUUUGUUCUGGUUUCUUUAUCUCCUUGCAUUUGAUUGCUGUUCUUCUUCUAGUACUGUUUCACUUUUCAUAGUAGUUACGGUUUUCUUGUAAAUUUCUAUUUUUAUAUUAGCACUCAUUGGUUAUCCAUGAGAAUUGUUAUUUAUGGUUUUCCUACAUGGUCUUCAUUGUGCAGGUUCUGGGUUACCGUGGCACAUCCGCUCUCUCCAGUGAGGCUGACUGCAACGACCAUCCCAUCUGAUGCGUAAGACUCUUAUUUUACUUUUGCUAUUUUUCUGAAUUUGUGUACUUUUAAUGCCAUUCUUUAAGGUUACAAUCUGUUGGCAGUGUUUACAUUAGAAAGCUAAAGCAUUGUGUGAAUAAGUACUUUUUAUUUUCUUUUGUAUCCUUUCUUUGGGAAGUAGUUAUAGUGGUGGAUUAAGUCUCUAUCAAAGUCCUGCUAAUCACUUGAAAUUCAACUCGGAACUGGUGUAAGACAUUCAUCUAGUAUCUAGAGAACAAAAAUCACAAUUAUUUCCUAGCUAAAUGCACAACACCUGCUCAAGAAAUACCUUUGCUGGCUUCUGUUUGUUCUAAUACUCCGUUCCAAAAAAUUUCAGUACAAACACAAUGCAGAGUGUUGAGAGAACAUUUCAAAUCACAAGGGCAGAUAAGGACUUGCUAGCCAAACAAGAGUACGAUGUUCAGGUUGGGUUUUGUAAAGUACGUUAAGUAUGUAUAGCUGUAUCGUUGUAUGUGUUUCUAACUGGAAUUCGUUUUUGUAGGCUUGGUGUAUGCUCUUAAAUGACAAAGUUAUCUUUAGGAUGCAAUGGCCUCAGUAUGCUGAUCUGCAGGUCAAUGGUAUGACAGUGGCAUCUUCAGAGUUUUUAACAGGGAUUGGGUUUUUUGUACAUAUAGUCAUAAUUCCUAUGGGCCCAUCACAUUCACAUUGGCUUAAAUUUUUAUGUUAUUCUGAAUUUUCGAUUAUAUCAAUAAGACUGCUUUAUCUUCUGAUAUGGGAUUGAUAUAUAGCCUAUCAUUUUGUAGGCCUUCCUGUACGUGCAAUAAACCGACCUGGGUCACAGCUAUUGGGAGUCAACGGCCGCGAUGAUGGACCUAUUGUGUGUUUUUUAUCCCUUUUCCAUAGUAAAUUUUCACUUAAUUAUAGGAUUCGAUCUAUCAUACAUUGAAAAUCUUGCAAUCUGUGGUAAAAUUUGUAAAUAUCUCAUUAUUACUAUUUUGGCAGAUCACACAGUGUAUUAGGGAUGGAGUUAACAGGAUUUCAUUGAGUGGAGGUGAUGUUCGGAUCUUUUGUUUUGGAGUUAGACUUGUGAAGCGCAGGACUCUACAACAGGUACUGAUAACAAAUAGUGCAGAAGAAACAUUCAAAGAUUUGGUCGGUUUAUGGGGGGCAAUAGUUAUAAGUGUCCAAAUAAAAUAGAAAAUGAUCUUUUGAACACAAAAUGAAAGAAAGAAUUUUCACUUGGCAUCCAAAAAUGUAAUCUGUGGGAGUUACAUGUGGUUACACACUUACAUUUAGCUAUUCUCCCGUUUUGGCAGCUUCAAAUUUUAGAGACCUAUAUGUGCGUUCUUGAUUUCACUCACUGAGCUGGGCUUGUAUGAUUCUUGGUAUACCACAGUACAAGAGAAACUUUGUAGGAUUGCAGUUGGUUGCUUAGUGUAGUCUGUCCUCAUGCUGCGAAUUUUAUUUCUUUUUGAAUCACUAUAUUUAUUUUGCUAGUUCUUUAAUGAUUUCUGGUUCCUAUAUAUUUACUCAUUUUUGCUUCUAGGUUCUAAAUUUGAUUCCAGAAGAGACUAAAGGGGAGACUUUUGAAGAUGCUCUUGCACGAGUCCGCCGAUGCAUUGGAGGUGGAGGUGGAGAUGAUAAUGCUGACAGUGAUAGUGAUAUUGAAGUUGUUGCUGAUUUCUUCGGUGUCAAUCUUCGGUGUCCUGUAAGUUACUUAUAGCUCAUAGCUCAGAUUUUUAUACUUAUCAUCUUUCUAGUUUUAUCUGGCAGACUAAACUUGUAUCGUCUUUUCUGCUUGUGUCAUUAGAUGAGUGGUUCUAGGAUAAAAGUUGCUGGGAGAUUUUUACCAUGUGUGCACAUGGGCUGUUUUGACCUUGACGUAUUUGUGGAGUUGAAUCAACGUUCCAGAAAGGUAGUGCCCUAUUUGUUUGUCUAGGUAGUAAGUUAUUUCUCCUUUUUCCUAUCUGACUUUAGUUGUUCUGUGGUUUGUUAACAUGCAGUGGCAGUGCCCUAUUUGUUUGAAGAACUACUCAGUGGAGCAUGUAAUUGUGGAUCCUUAUUUUAACCGUAUCACAUCUAAGGUAUACUAAUGGGAAUAUUAUAAUUCUUGAAUCUUUGUAUCUAUGCUUUUAUUCAAUUAUUGUCUUCCUGCACUACAGAUGAAGCAUUGUGAUGAAGAGGUGACUGAAAUUGAAGUGAAACCUGAUGGUUCUUGGCGUGUAAAGUCCAAAAGAGAGAGUGAGCGUAGGGAACUGGGGGAACUCUCACAGUGGCACGCACCUGAUGGUAAUCUUUGUCCCUCUGCUGAUGAGGUUAAACGGAAGAUGGAAAUGUUACCGGUUAAACAAGAAGGUGUCUCAGAUGGCCCUGCCCCUCUUAAACUUGGAAUAAGGAAGAACCGCAAUGGCAUUUGGGAAGUUAGCAAACCUAAUGCAAAUGGAUUAUCUUCCAGUAAUAGGCAUGAUAAGGUUGGGUAUCAGGAGAAGAAUAUUAUACCAAUGAGUAGUAGUGCUACUGGAAGUGGUAGGGAUGGUGAUGAUGCAAGUGUGAACCAGGAUGCAAUUGGAACCUUUGACUUUGUAGCCAACGGCAUGGAACUUGAUUCCAUUUCCAUGAACGUUGAUUCGGGUUAUAACUUUCCUGACAGAAACCAAUCUGGAGAUGGUAUGAAUAAUGAAGUCAUCGUUCUAAGUGAUUCGGAUGAAGAAAAUGAUUUAGUAAUCACUCCGGGACCUGCAUACAGUGGUUGUCGAACAGAUGGUGGGCUGAAUUUUCCACUUAACCCUUCUGGAAUAAUUAACUCAUAUAAUGACGACCCACACAGCAUAGCUGGGGCAAGUUCACGCUUAGGUCUUUUCAAUGACGAUGACGAAUUUGAUACUCCCCUUUGGUCAUUUCCUUCUGAAACUCCAGAAGCCCCUGGCUUCCAACUAUUUAGAUCUGAUACUGAUGUCUCAGAAGGUUUAGUUGGCUUGCAUCAUCACGGUCCACUAAGCUGUGCUCCUGAAAUAAAUGGGGGUUACCCGAUGGCUCCUGAGACAUCAAUGGCAUCUGUUCCUGUGGUUCCUGGCUCGGCUGGACGAUCUGAAACAAACGACGGCCUAGUUGACAAUCCUCUUGCAUUUGGUAGAGACGAUCCCUCACUUCAAAUUUUUUUGCCAACAAAACCAGGUGCUUCUGCUCAGUCGGGUUUAAAAAACCAAGCUGAUAUGUCGAAUGGUAUCCGCAGUGAAGACUGGAUCUCGCUUAGGCUAGGCGAUAGCGUUACUGGGAAUCAUGGAGAGCCUGCAACUGUAAAUGGGAUUAACUCAAGCCAGCAGAUGUCUACAAGGGAAGGUUCUUUGGAGACUACUACAGUGACCGGUUCGUUCCCUGUCUGAGACUAAGUAUUUACUUUCCUGAAAACAUCGAAGGGACCUAUGAAUGUGGACCGGUUCAUGGUGUCGUAUUUACAUUUUCUUCACUUUACUAAGCUGCUAGGUCUUGUAAACAACUGAAGAAGAAAGAUGUGUUUAGUUUAUAAAUGUAGCUUAUUUUGUCUUUUGACUAUGCUUCUAUAUAUCCAAAGUUUAUGUGGUACUACAAUAACUGACUAUUACUGGGUAUUUGCAGCUUCGUUGCUUCUGGGUAUGAAUGACAGUAGACAAGACAAGGCAAAAAAGCAAAGAUCAGAUAAUCCAUUUUCAUUUCCUCGGCAGAAGCGUUCUGUAAGACCUCGGAUGUACCUCUCCAUUGACUCGGAUUCUGAGUGAAAAUAUUCUUCCUGUUUUGUUCUGUUCCUGUUCUGUCUCGUCUGGGGAUGAUUCGGUGUUCCUUUGGAUUAUUAACGCUAUGCACAGAACAAUGAACAGGAUCAUCAGACAGCACACCGGAGUUUGCCAAGAUUUGCAAGAUUCUCUGUACAGGCAAGAAUUGAACCGGUAUUGAUGUUUUCUCUUGUAUGAUGUUGUUGACUCUCUUCAGUAUCGGUUCAGAAUCUUGGCCUUGUCUACCUUACACUGCAGGAUGUAUUUUGCAAAGCAAAGCACUACUGGCUGAUUUAGAUACACUAAUAGGCAAGAUAAGUUGGCACAGGUGGUUCCGGUUUAAUUGGUAAUUUUGUAUACUCGAAUAGGUUUUUUUCUUUUUAAUUGUGGACGAUGAUAAUAUUACUCGGAAGCCAGGAGCCAUAGAGAGAUAUAGCAUUGUAAAUUAUGUGCUCCAAUUUUUAUUUAUUUAUUAUUAUAAAAAAAAUGCAGCUCUUUAAAUCCUCCAUUGUAGAUUGUGCUCAAUGCAUCGUUGUUCAUCUUGGAGACACGUGCAACUAUGCCUUUGGUUUUGUUUACUCUGCAUAAUUUUUUCCUGGUGGAUCAGUGUUUAAACCCCGGAUAGCUAAACAUUGUAUACAAUAUGAUUAGACCAUUCAAUUAGCAUUGUAAUAUUUUAUUAAGUAAGGAAUAUCUAUUCUAAAUAUAAAAAUUGCAAGAUAUUAUUCUGUCAUAAUAUUGGUAGUAACACAACGAUGGUACUAGACCCACUAGAAAAUACAUCAGACCUAAGCAAUCCUAGUAUGCCAGUAUAACCCCUUUAGGAUUAUAUCAGACUCAAUUUUCUAAAACAGAUAUUAGACAAGACUAAUAUCUUAGCAUAUAUAUACUACACACAGUAUAUACUAAGAGAAAAUUAAUAUAUAUAUAUAUAUCUAAUAUUUUGUAUAUGCUAAGAAAAAAAUGAUUCUCAAGAGAUAUAUAUUGUUAAUAUGUUCUUGAUAAAUUCUUAAAACUAAUCAUAUAUUUAUAGCAAAAUAACAAUCACUAAUUAUAUAAUAGUUUAAUAUGUUUUUUUUAGAGCAAGUUUGUAAAUAUUUCCUAAAAUCCUUAAUCAAUUUGAAAUAGUCAGGUAUUUAUUACCUAGUCAAAGAGUUUCAUGAACAAGAAUUUUAAGAUAUAUAUAUAUAUAUAUAGUCCAAUCACGUAUUUCCAAAAAGAAAUUCAUAUCUAUUUAUUAUUUUAUUAUAUUAAUAAUUAUCUUACUAUCAUAUUUCUACUUCUUAUUUUUUUUUUUAAAAGAUAUCACUAUCUAAAGCAUAAGUUAGUAAAACCCAUUUGAUAAAACUUUGAACUAAUAAUAAAUAUUGAAUUUUACAAAAUUAUUUGAAGAUCUAGGGACUUGGCGGGUACUAAGUUUAUUACUAUGAUAAGAGUCUUUAGAAAAACACUGACUUUAUACAUACUCCAUCCAUUCCUAAUUGAUAUUUUUCUAGUUUUUUUACACAUAUUUAGAAAAAAACAUAUAAAGUUGAUGAUAAUUAUAUCAUUUUUUGUGAUUCACGGGUUUUUAAAACUCUAAACCAAGAUUAUUUAGUUACUUACCUUGAAAUUUAUAAAUUUUAAUUAAUAAUGCAUUGAUAAGUGAUAACUUAAAACAGUUAUCUUUUUAAAACAUUUUUUUUCUUAGAAAAAUAUCUUUUAGGAAUGGAGAGAGUAAUUUAUAACCAUGCACCCUAUAAAAAUAUCAAAAAAACUUUUACAAAUAUUAUCUUAUACAACUACUAUUUUACUUUUUUGGAUGACAUUUACAUUCUACAUAAAUAAGUUGGAUCGUAUUAUAUUAAUUACUACAUAAUUAAUUUUCUGGAUAUAAACCGAAAUUUAUUUUUAUUGUGUUUUAUUCAUUCAUUUUUUCCUUCAUGAAUCCAUCUGAGAUUGGAGGGUUAUAAAUAUCAAUGAAAAUAAGAUGCCUCCAUUUCAUCAUUAUUAAAAUAUGUCAUUAACAUGAACGGAUAUGUAGCCAAUAGUGAUAAAACACGUGUUUUUUAAAUAGUGUCUAAUGUAACGGCAUAUUUAUGUUAUUAGUAUAUUAGAACUAAUAACGUAUUUGGCAUGGUCACCAUAUUCUAUAUAACGCCCCAAACAAAAUAAUUGAUCUUAAAACUCCCGAUUAUACCGUUUAAUCUCAUGGUAUCCGUUUUGACAAUUUUACUUUUUGUAAUUAACACAAAUAACUAAGUUUUCUAUAUUCACAAAGGAACAUAUUUAGCGAAAAAUUUAGAAACUCAUUUCAUCCUAUAAAUAAUUUGUUGAAUGUUUUUAAUUAAAUCUAUUUUUUUAAAUCUACUCUCUUGAAACAAAACAAAAUAUACUAUUUUGGAUGAUAAUUACAUCUUAUUAAGGUUUUCUUCGUAUAUAUAUUAUUAUUAUUAUUAUAUAUAUACAAAUAUCUAUAUGAAAUACGAUAAAAUGUACAUAGUCAUGUCUGACUCAAUCUUAAAUCCAUCCAAGGGGUGGCCUAGUUAUAACAACUAGAAUCACAUAAACAUUUCAUAAUAUAUAUCUUAAUUAUAUAUUACAAAUCAAUCAAUAAUAACGUAAAAAAUUGUUCAACGAUUAUGAAUGUAUUAAUAAUGUAACGUAAUAUAUUUGUUAUAACAACUGUCAAGAAAAUCAUAUAACUAUUUCGUCGUCCAAAUUUUUGUUAUUGAUAACAAAUCAACUGCCAAUAGCGAGAGAAAACAUGUCAUACUUUAGAUCAUGAUAGUGAUUAAAAUCGCAUGAAUAUGAAAACAUGUCAUUAGUACAUUAAUUUUAUAGUUUAAUGUUUUCAAUAAUUUGUGAAAGUUUGUGUAUCAUAGAGUACCCAUAUUUGAUUUCAGAUUCUGUCACUAACAUGUCAAAAAAAAAUUUAUUUUUUGGAAUAAUCUUUUCCUAUAUUUGUGUUGCUAAAUCUCUAUUUUUCUAAUAGAGUUUUUAUUAGAUAUGUAAAGAUCACAACAAAUUAAAGGUGCAUCUUUCUGGCAGAUUUUGAUUCAUUGUACAAAUGAAAUGACAAUAUAAUAGUCAAAUAAAUUUAAAUUGCAUACCUUAUAUUGACUGAAUAUGAAGAUUAUGAAAUGUUGCAAAAAUGGUAUUACAGAAAUUCAAAUAUAAAUUAUAAGAAACCAAUAUUGAAUUUUGCUCUUAAAAUUAAUCUUGAUUCAGUAAUACCCUAUUAUAAAUAGUUGAACAUUUUCAUGCUGAAAACACCAAUCUAUAAUUUAUCUUCUCAAAUAUCACAAAAGAAAAAGAAAAAAAAGAAAAAAAAAUGGUGAAAAAAAGCAAAGGUCGCCAAAAGAUAGAGAUGGUGAAAAUGAAAAAUGAAAGUAACCUUCAAGUUACAUUUUCGAAAAGAAGAUCUGGACUUUUCAAGAAGGCUAGUGAGCUUUGCACACUUUGUGGUGCAGAAAUCGCCAUAAUUGUGUUCUCACCUGGUCGAAAAGUGUUUUCUUUUGGCCAUCCAAAUGUUGAAUCUGUUAUUGAUCGAUUCUUGAACAAUAACCCCCAGCCUCCUCACCAGCACAACAACAUGCAACUUAGCGAAGUCCAUAGGAACUCUGUUGUUCAGGAUUUGAAUAUCCAUCUUACCCAGGUAAUUCUUUUUUUUUUUUUUUUUUUUAAUGUGCAAUUGUUUUUUCUUUUGCGUGUUUUGUAUACAAUUUUUAUUUCACAUGACAAGUGGGAAGUUAAUUUUAAUUUUAUAAAUUUUGAUUUUAAUCCACAUAAAAUUAUUAUAUAUCUUGUUCCAUAUUUUUAUUUUCAUUUUAUAAAUUUUGAUUUUAAUCCACAUAAAAUGAUUAUAUAUCGUGUUCCAUAUUUUAAUUUUAAUUUUAUAUAUUUUGAUUUUAAUCCACAUAAAAUAGUUAUAUAUCGUUUUUUGUUAAGUAAGAAGUUUUUGUAUGUAGAUAGUCUCUUUGCACAAAACCAUAGCAUAUUGAAUUGAAUAUAUAUAUCUUAGGCAUCUAGCUUGUUCGUGUGGGUACGUAAUCCAAUUUAAAACUUUGGAAAAACUACUUUUGGAGUGGGAUAAUAACACCAGUUGAUAUAUAUUUGCAGCUGUUAAGCCAGCUCGAAGCUGAGAAAAAGAAGACCGAGGAGCUAAAGAAAAUAAGAGAAACCACUAAAGCCCUAGGGCAUUGGUGGGAAGAUCCCAUUGAAGAACUUGCUUUUAAUCAACUCAGAGGAUUCAAAGGUAACCUUGAGAAUUUGAAGAAAAUUGUUACACAUGAAGCUUCCAAAUUUUUUCAGGCAAAUGUCCCAAACUACUACGUCGGAAGCUCUAGUAAUGCUGCUUUUGGGAUGGACGAUGGGAGUCGUAUCAACCCUGAUAUGGACAUGUUUAGUCAAAGAAGAAUGGUGGACAUCAAUGCUUUCAACUACAGCCAGAACUCGAUGCACCCUAGUCAUGCAUUGCCGUUUGGAUACAAUACUCAUGGUGAAAGCUUUGUUUCAGAAUACAACAUGAACUACCGACCAGAGUAUAAUAAUCUGAACCAGAACCAGAGUUUUAAGAGAGAAAACAUCUCUGAAUAUGAAUAUCAUCAUGGCCAAGGACCUCAGGGUCAUCCUCAUCCUCAUCCUCCACACUCUAGGUCUGGUUACUAAUUAUCCUUUGUUAUGUGAUCCAAUUUAAAAGCGUGUUUUUAGGUUAUCGUUUAUUUUUCUUGUUAUGUUGCCUUGUUGCAUUGUUGUUGUUUUCCUUCUUGAAUUAUGUUGUUUCUCCAGAAUUAUGUUGUUGUUAAAUUCUAAAUAAAUUAAUGUUGGAAUCAUUUAUGUCAUUUUUCUUUCGGAAUGCAUUACGCCUCUUAACUUAUGCAUUUUUGUGUAAUUAUUGAUCCUUAAAACAAAAUCAUUGUAACUAUAAUCAGUCCUGUACAUAUCUACUUAGAAAUAAAUUUGCAAUUUCACUCAAAAAAUAAAAAGAAAAAACAAAUCUUGCAAAAAAGCAUAAUGAAAAUUUCUAAGUGCAGUAUUUUAUCAACGAAAAGGUAAUGUACAUACAUCUCAUCUCACAAAUUUUAUUUUUGGUAGAAUACAUCUCACAUAUUUUGGUACAUUGUAACAAAUAAAAUGACAACAUUACAUUAUUCUUUCCUAUUAUUUCAUUCCUUAUAAUGAUAGAUAUUCUUAUUUUUCCUCUUUUUUUUCCUAUUCUUUUCCUUUUAUUUUUUAUGAAAUAUUCUUAAAAAUUAUAAGGAAUUUUUUUUCAAAACAGAUAAUAAUUCUGAUAUAGGAAAAAAUAGAAUAAAAUUGAUUUCAUUGAAACAAUAUAGCAAAAUCAAAAGUUAUUGAAAAUAUAAUAGAUUGAUAUUAACUUACUUUUGAAAAAAAAAAUGUCACAUGAUUUUAUUUAAUUUGUACCAUUUGCUAUAAUAUUUCUUUUUCUUAAGAAAACUAAAAUAUCAUCAAACUACAUCAAUCAAUUCAAAUAAAUCACGGAAAGAAUUCAUUCAUGAAAAAAAUCAUCAUAAGUUGUUAUGAAAAUUUCAAAAGAAAGAAGUAUAUUGCUCUUUUUUUUAAAAUAAAAAAAAACCUUAAAAUCCAAUGCACCACGCUUUACUCGCAAAUUCAAAACCGCAAAUAUAAAACUCAGAAAUCUUUUAGAGUAAAACGGUCCGAAACCAUAGAGACAAUAAGUAUAACACAAACAAAGACGGAGACAGAUUCAAACUUCGUUCAUGUCUAUUGUCAGCAAAACACACUUAAAAGAGCAAAAGGAAAUAAACUUCUUUGUGGGUUGUUUAUAAUCAAACCCUAGUGACUGUAGGAGAAGAAUCAGGCUGGCUCACAGAAGAUGACUUUGAUGCUUCCAUCAUUAGAGCAGCUUGUUCUAAACAACUCUUGUUAUCAUCAUUUGCAUUCUCCACCUCCUCUUUCGUGUACAAGUGUAUCUUCCACACCACAUUGCAGAAAUCACUGGCCAUAGCAAAGAGCCAAUUAGUUAAGCAGCAAACAAGUUGCGGUUGCGUCGCUUUAGAAGAUAGGUCUUAAGAACUUACUGCCAUGGAUCAUCGCCAACGACCAUCAUAUCGUUCUCACUAUCAGUAUAUAAGAUCCUCCAUCCUUUUUCAGGAUCCCUGAGAAGCCCUUCCAUGUUGAACAACCGUUCAAGCUCUGUAAGGAGAUCAUCAUACCCGUUUAGACGGGAUAAAUCAAUAGCUCUCCCCACUUGGCUUCCUUGCUUGUGAACCUUUUGAUAACAUUUCAACACAAGAAUUGAUUAGAAGAGACAUCUAUCAAUGCAGCUUCAACAAGCCAAAGAGAUUUUUAUAGCGAAAUUUUUUUACCUUUGUGCAGAUCCUUUUGCUCGAGCCUUGUGGGUUAGGUGUAGGUGUCUCCACAGGUAAGGAGAAUCCGAAAAGCUUACAUCCUGAUGAAACAUUCAUAUUAAAUUCCCCACCUUUUUGUUUCCCCAUCAUAUCAAUCUUGAAUGGCAAAUCAGCUGUAACAUUAUUCGGUAGACCACUUUCAUUUAGUGCAUCAGACUUUCUAGUCUCUUCACCAAAGUUUAUUGCACGAGAAGGGCGGCCCGAGGAUUGGUUUCCCGCAUUGUAUGGAUUCUGAUAUGGAACAUGAGUGCUCCUAAUCCCAUGUAAAGCUAGUGGAUAGAAACUUGACUUAUUGGCUUGACGAGCAAAGGGAUCGGUAUAUCCAAGAGUAGGCUUUCCUGAAGUAGCAGCUGGAGUGAAACCAGCAAAUUGCGGGAAUGACUUAAGCGAGCAAAUUUCUUGACCUUGCAAGACCCUUGGAAACCUAUCCAGGUCCAUAACGCCUGAACAGGCAGGGUCUAUAGCCGUAGCAUCCACAAACUCACCAAAUCGAUCCUUCACUCUACUAGACAAAAGAACUGGAUUUGCAUGAGACUGCAUCGCAAAAUCCAGGAUCCGGCGGUUCAAAACAUCAAACCCUUGAGAGGGUGAUGCAGAACCUAUAUUUUCUUGACCUUGCAAGACCUUAGAGGGUCUAACCGACUCCUCAAAGUCCAAAAAACCACCCCUUUCUGCAGCAACCAAGAACGAUAGUCAAUAAUAUACUGAAGACAGUUGAGAACUAUUUGCUCCAAAAAGAGAGAGGAGUAUUUAAUAUACCGGUUAUGGGUUUUCUAGGUGGAGUAGUAUCCAGUACACCUGCCCAUGGCCUUUUAGGCCUUGGAGAUGACUGAAUACUCAAGUGUGGGAGAGAAACCGAGGGAUCAAUCUCCCAAGGUGAAACUCUUUCUUGGUGAUCGCUCACAAAAGACUCAUCCCACCUCACCUGCCAAAAAAAAUAUGAAAGAUUAACUAUCCAUCCUUGAAAAUGAAAAGUAUUCUAAACGCUAACUGACAGAUGUUCCAAAUAGAUGAGAGAAGACGCACCAAAAAGCACCUCCAUUUAGAGUUUGGCCACCUAUACGGGUCCAAGUCACAGACUCCAGUCACUACACCAGCACAUCUGCAAGAAAGAUCGAAUUUAGAUUCUCUUCCAAGAAAAUUAGCAGAGGUUACAACAGAAAGAAAGAGAAGCAAGAAAGCAACAAAAACCUUCUCUCAGGAGAAUCGUCCAUUUCAAAUCGCAUUCUGAAUCUUGUGCCUAUGCAAACGGGAUUCCUGAUGGUAGUUACAUACUUCUCAUAAGGAAUCACAAACUCUGCAUGCGUUGCACUGUAUAUGAAUGAACACAUGAAUCAAUAUUAUAGUUCUUCUGUUAUCCUACUGAAGCUAGUUAAGAGUCAUAACUUAUGGCAGUUUUUAUUUUAUGUUUACCGUGGACUAUAAAACACAUGAAACAUGCUUUUUGUAGAUACAGCAUUGGCCACAGGAGACAGGAUGUUUGAGCAUGAAUUCUUCUCAAUGACUGAAUCAGGAAGUCCAUUUCUUGGCCGUGCUGCUCUUCUGAUUCCUAAUCUCAGCUCUCCAUCUUCGUCUCUAUAAACACAUAUGUUAGUUAUGAAUGUAACAUCUUUGGUUCAAGAACUUCAAACCACUAAAAGCAGAGGAAAACACCACCAUUCUACCCCAUUCUUCGUCGUAUAUGGUAAAUUGAUAUCUUAUGCUUACCUCAGAAAGAGAACCGCAUCACCAGAGACGAGAUUCUUUUGACUGACGAAUAUACUCCAACCAGUGGUGAGUAGAUGCCUCCUUGGUUGACCUAUAUAGAAAUAGAACUGAACAUUUAGAGAUCAUUGAAAAAAAAGGAAAGAAAUGAUUAACAGCAAACUCAAACCGAGCCACCUCUAUAGAUAUGGCGAAACUUCCACUCUACUCCAUGGAGGUCCUUUGCAAUGAGUUCUUGAGAUGGCCUUUGUUGUUUGUAAUCCUAACCACCGUGAAAAAUUUGAAAAUAAGGCUAAUAACAAGAAGAUCAAACCUCUCCUCUUAAAAUAUGAAGGAAAUGAGAUAUAGAGAACCAUACAAGAGGAGCGAAACAAUCUUCAGCAGCUCUUCUAGGUACAGAGAAGCCUCCAUGUGUGCUUGUAUCUGAAGCUGUCAAGGUUUUACAGAACAUAUGAGGCGUUCGUUUAACGGUUGAGCUUCCGUUCCGCUCUUCGUCCCCUCCUAACUCCCUGACCUCUUUCCCCUCCGGGUUUAGCAUGGAAAACUAUAGAAAUCAAGAAGUAUCUUCAACAUAUUAACGUCACUGAGAUUAUAAAAGCAAAGAAAAGAACACUAUUCUUCAAUUCUCUAUGGUCCUCUUAAACAAAUAAUAGGCUCGAGUCACUAAGAGGAGAAACAAAAUGAUUCACUAUCUCUUUUACAGUAGCAUCACAAACUUCACAAAUAAUCUGGAAUUACACUGUCAGAUUAAUAAGAAAGAAUGUUUUCUACAAAAUCUAUGAAUUUGCUCCUUCCAAACAUGAAAAUUGAAUUGUAAAAGAACCUAACAGUAGAGUAACAAGAGUACCUCUUGCAGUGGAAGCAGAGUGACUUGAGUGUAGACCUCAUCCGUUUCCUUAUUAGCCUUUUCCCCCAAAGUAGGAACCAAAGUUGCAAACAAUUACCACAAUUAGAAAAAACAGAACUUGUUCAAGAAUAGCAAAGAGAACACAAAAGGAAUGAUUUUUUUUUUUAAUAUGAUAGUGAUACAGACAGACUUACAAGCAAUUGGACAUUAACCACCCUGCAGAAGAUUUGGGGAUUAAGGUCAAAUUUGGGGAUUUCAAGAGGAGAUGGAAAAGAAACCAUAGCAUCUUGCUCCAAAUGACCUUGUGGGAAAUACACAACUACAUUGCCUUUGAUGGGAAGAGAAGUGAGAGGACCCGCACAAGCAUGCCACAGCUCAGAGUAUAUGGAAGAGGCAGAGCCUGUGGAAGAGGAUGACGAUGAUGAUCCGGAAGAGCAUGAAGAAGAAGAUGACGGUGAAAUCCCAAGCCUAGCCUUGUCAAUCCUUACUCCUACAUCAUCAUUCUCCUCUUCCUCCACCUCCGCAAUCUCAGUAUUCAAGUCAAAUUCCAUUGAAAAAAAAAAAGCUUCUUAGAGGAGAGCAAGGAGACAAGAAAAAAAGCACAAACCAAAAGUUUCUAUAUUUAAUCAGAUUACAACAAAACAAGUAAACCCAUUAAAAGGAAAGUUUUGAAAAAUUAUAGCUUGAAGUGACACAGUUCCUCUCCUUUUCAAGUAAAAUUUAACAAAACAGCUAACGGGAGAGGAGAUGAGGAAUAAUAAGUGUGGAAUCACACGAAUCAGAGAAAAAGAGAGAAGAGAGAGAGAGAGAGAGAGAGGAGAGAGAGGAGAGAGAGGAAGAGGAAGGAGGGGAAUCAAAUGAGAACAAGGGUUUCAAAGUAUGAUUCUUCUUCCUCCAUUUGCAGGUACUGAGAAGAGGGAGCAGAAGGAACAGACAUAGAUAAAUUUUUGCAGAUUGGAAAAACGAAAUUAUUAUAAGAAUAAAAUUUAGCAAAAAAGCAAAAAAAAAAACAAUAUAGUGGAGAGAGAAAGAGAGAGAGAGAGAGAGAGAGAGAGAGAGAGAGAGAGAGAGAGGGAGAGAUAAGCGGGGGAGACAAAGCCAAGACAGAACAGAACCCACACCUACACUCUCUCUUUCGCCUCUUUCUUCUUCUUCUUCCUUCUUUUUACUUUUUAUUUUUUAUUUUUUAUUGUUUCCUACUAAAGACUUUAUUAUUAAAAUUAAUAAAUACAACACUAUAUACUUGUGUCAAUAUAUAUACACACGUUUACACGAAAAAGUUUACAUUUUUUUUUACUAAUUAUUUCCUUUUUCGUUAUUUUUUUUUUUGAUAUAGCAGAAAAUGUCAAGAGUUUUGUUAAGUCCUUAACGAAUGGCUAAUUCAAUUCAUUGUCUAAAUAUUUUUUUAUCUAAAUUAGUUGAUGGAUGGAUGUAUAAAUCCUAUGUUUUAAAUACGUCUAGCUAUUGAAAAUUAUUAAUAUGCUUUCUUCUUAUAAAAUUCCGACAUUUUAGUUGAGUUUUUUUUUUUCUUUUCUUGAAGUGCAUAAUCAUAUAAUGGUUCAUUUUUUUUAAUACAAAAAGUUCACUCAAAAUGAACCAUAAAAAACUUCAAAGAAAAUGCAUAUCGAUCUAUUGGACUAUGACAUUACGAAACAACAACGUAAACUUUUCUUUUGCAUUCAACAAAUCACAAACCGUGCGGUGCGUGAGAAUGAGAUGAUCUUUAACAUAUAGAUGGAUUGAGGAAUAUAAAUUGAUUUAAACUUUGUUCUUUUGCAAGCAAACUCUUAUUACAGAAGGAAACAGAGUAUCUCCUUGGAAUCUUUCUUUUUUCUGAUGUUAUGUUUUUUUUUUUUUGUCAUCUGGUAAUAUUAUAUUAUUUUCCAGUGUUUUUUUAUUCGAAACAAAUUUAUUAAUCACCUUCUUUUUUUUUUUUGCAUUGCGUUGCGUUGAUAAGAGCCAACCAACCGGCUAAAGACAGAAGAGUAGGCUCCUUUCGAUUUUGUAACAAAAAGCACUUUUUUUACUCUCACUCUCUCUUUUUCUGAGACAAAUAAUAUGAAAAUCAACAUUUUCUGUCAUUGAUAAACUUAAAGUAUACUAGAAUUUACCAAGUGGUACACCACGGGUCCAUAAUUUAAUAUAUUUUUCAUUUUUGUAAUUGAUUUAUAUAAUUUAGUUUUGUAUAUGUUUAUUUUAUUUAAUUUAAUAUAAUUUUAUAAAUUUGUAUUAUAAGUAAAUUCAUAGAUAAAUGUGGUAAACCCGCGGUAAAUCGCGAGACAAUUUUGUUGUAAAUAAAAAAUUAUAUUUUAACUUAACCCGUAAAAGAUUUUAAAUAUAGACAACCCGCAGAAAAAUAUAAUCAUAUUUAUGUAAACUAAAACCCGUUCAAUCAUAUUAUGUCCAAUAUUAUUAUAUUUUAAAUAUUUGUAGAGUUAAAAUAUUAGUAAUACUUUUAAUUUUUGUAGAGUUUAAAUAUUUUUCAUUAUUUUAAUAUUCUAUAAAAAUUAAAUAAAAUAUCAGAAUUUUCAGCUUUUUAAAGUUUUAAUAUUUAUCACAUUUUAAACUUGUUAAAAAUUAAAAUUUAUAAUAUUCUGAAACUUUUUAAAAUUUUUAUUUUCCUUAAAUAAAGAAUCGGAUUAAGCUAAUAAAAGUUUUAAUUUGGAUACUUGAGAAAUCAAAGUUCAUGCUCAUUUGUAGUUGUAAACAUAUUAAUCUUAUUUAUAAAAGUUUUGAACUAUUAUCUAAAAUUUUAUAUUUUAUGUAGACGUUGUACAUACAUAUAUUCUUUUCUUUAUUGAUUGAGUUAACUACGUCCGUUUUCAAAAAUUUAAAUUGCAAAAUGUUUGGAAAAAAAUUUGUAUUUUUAUUAUAAACAUAUUUUAUGCAAUAAUAUAAAUUUAAAACACAUAAGAUUAUAUAAAUAUAUUGGAGAGAGAUUCGGUUUAUUAGAGAGGGAUUUUAGGAAAUUUUUUUAUGUAAUAAAUAUUUGGUUUCCAAUUUUGGGAUUUGCUUGUGAUUUAAUUACAAAAUUUACUUUUAAGUUUUUUUAUUUAUUCAAAUGGCAAGAGUUUAAUUAUGCAAAUAUUACAAAAUAAAAGGUUAUAAGCCAAAAUAGAUUUUAGUACAAAAUGUACUUCAAAAAUGUUAAGAUAGAUUAUAUAGUACUAUUGCUUAAUUAAAAAAAAAUCAUAUCAGCAUGGCUAGACUGUAAUAAAAAUUUAUAUUCAAUAACCACACCGACUCAUACGGUAAAAUCUACUAAUAUCUUCAAAACGGGAUUUACUAAAUAACUAAAUACAGUAUAGAUAAAUAUAUUUGAUGGUGGCACAUCGUUCUUCAAACAUAACAUGGUUAAGUUGCUCUUUUAUAGUUUUGCUAUUAAUUCAUAAAACAUGAUCAAAGUAUUAUUUAUUAAUCAUAUAUAUAAUAUAAUAUAUGUUUUUUUUUCUUUGUAAGAGUUAUCAUGUUUGAAUUCAUGUGUCGCUUUAACUUAAUAUCAUAGCAUGAUCAGUUUACUAUAUGACGACAGAACUAUUUUUUAGCCACAACAUUAAAAAGAAGAUUGACUAUUCUUUUCACAUAUAUAUCUGAGCAACUUACUUGUUUUCACUCUUAAACAAUCCUAUUAUGAUAAAGAAGAAGAAGAAAGGAAAAACAAUUAUUUUACUUAAAACAUUUAUUAUGAUGGAUCAUAUAUAAAGAAUAGCUAUCUAGCGUUGAUAAAUUUCAUUGGAGAGGAGAAAGAAAAACAAAAACAAAGAGGAUCGGAUGAUGAUGGGAUGGGAGAGGGAGAAAGAAUGAGUGAGUCCCAACAACUAACAAAGACCAUCCCCCUCCUCCUUUAACACCCAACUUGUCUUUUUUUUUUUCAUAUAUAUGCAACUUAAAACUCACUUCUAAAACUAGCUUCAAAUAUUCUCUCUUUUUUCUUCUUCAAGUACUUAAUUAUUAUUAAUCAAUUCUGAUUAGAAGAAAUAUAUCUUGUUUAUUCUGAUAUUGCUCCACAACUCGAAACGUGUAAUCUCUCUUCACGAUUACCAUAUUCUUUUGUCUCCUGAUCAUCACUUUUAAGUCAAAGAUUAUCUUUUUAAUUAGUAUUUAUAUAAUGAAUGGAUCGUAUCCUUUUUCCAUGUUUCUUUCCUAAACAAAAAAAUGAUAUUUACUAAAAAUAUCUUUUUUUUUUUUUGCAACUUUUAGAACCAUUGUUUGAAUACUUUUUAUAGCUAAGCCACAUAAAAUUUGUCACAAUAAAACACACAUAAACGUUCGGAAAAUAUUAGUGGUUCGAAAAUUAUCUAUAUAAACAUAAACUUGUAUGUGAGUUGUGUGAUUUCCUACUGCCCAAAGUAAGAUCCAUUACUUGGAUGCUAUGACCAUCCCACUCAAAGUAAACUUGGGUUAUAUGUUCAUAUAUCCUUAAUUAUAUCGGUCUAGUCUUUUACAUCGCUCUAUUUUACGUUAUCAGCCAUCACGCUCUAUCCUGUUUUGUUCUUUUCUCAAUAUCAUCAAAGAAACGAUUCAUUAAUAAUGAAAAAAGCUCUAUAAACUUUCAAAAUUAGGAUGUCUAUAUCCCUUUAUUUUGUUGAAAUUUCAGUUUCAUGCAGAGAUAACUUUCGAUACCAAUUUAUCAAUUUUCAUUUUUGAACUGAUAGCUACAAUUCGUUGCAUGCAUGUUGAUUAUAACUCUUUUGACCAAGUCGAUUGAAUUUAGUACUAUAUUUAGAAAGAAGAAAAUUAUAUAUUUCCAUCUCAAAGAUUCAGGGUCCUUAUUACCACAAAUUUGUUGCCAUAUAUUUGUACUUAUAUAUAUAUAUAUAUAUAUCUAUAUAUAGAUAUAUAUAUAUUAUUUAUAGUUUACGUCAUUGCGCCAUGUAUCAAAAACUUUUGGAGUAUCUGUGAUUAGUAAUGCAUAUAGUAAAGCCUUUCUCAAAAAUAAAUAAAUAAUGCAUAUAAUUUUUUUAAUAAUAAAUUUUAUAAAUUAAAGAUUAUUUUGGUGCCACAAAUAGAGUUUUUUUUUAUUAGAGAUAGAAGAAGAAAAAAAAAGUUUUAUGUUUUGGCAGAGAAACAAAAUAAUUUCUUUUUUUAAGAAAAAAAAAAGAAAGGGGGAAAAAGACAGAGGUGGGAUAAUUAGGAGAGGUCGUGUCAAACAAAAAAAUUGUCGCGAGAAAACGACAAAGCAACGCCAAUGACUUUAUUAAAGUCACAAGUGUCUGUAUCAAUUCGAUUAAAGACAUGAACUCUCCUCUCUCUCUCUCUCUCUCUCUCCCUCUCUCUUUAUUUUAUUUUAUAAUAAAACCCUAAAUACUAUUUACCUUUUCCUUUUUUACAUGUUUGUAUUUAAUUGCAAUAACCACACUACAGAUAUAUCUAAAUUUUUACCGUUUGUAAAAUGUAGAUUUCACUUUACAUGAUCAGAGCUGAUUAAUUAGUUAGUUUGUAUAUGUAUCCUUGUGGACAUAUAUAAUAUAUUUAAUUCGAUCGGUGUUGGAAUUGGAAUACUUUGAUUUACCUUGCUCUACCGACCCAUGCAUAUAUAUAUAAUGCUGACCAUUUAUUUUACCAUAAGAUUAGAGUUGAAUCGAUCACAAAACACAGCUUUGCUUAUUAGAAUUCAUAUUGUAUAUAUAUAUAUAUAUCAUACAACUUGCAUGUGAUAAGAAAAGAGAGGACCCAUCGAAAAAAAAAAGAGAAUUGUAGAGACAAAUGGUAUCCCAUAAGGAGAAAGCUCUUUGUCAAAAUAUAUUGGAGCCUACAAUUUAAAGUUGGCUCCUAUUUUUAGUUCUCUCUACUACAUAUUAUUUUUUUACUUAAAGGUGAAAAAAACAGACCAAAAAAGCUUAAAUCUUUAAAGUCAUACAUGGCCAAACCAAACUCUAUUCUCAAAUAUCCCUCAUUGCGAACCAUCUCAUAAGUAUAAGUAAAUUAUAUAUAUUGCAUCAUCAUCGUUAGAUAUCUUUCCUGUUAACGAUGAAUUUAUUUUGGCAAGUUAGAUUGCAUGCAUAGAUCAGAAACCAAUUCCUAUUUUGAUUUGGAGUUGAACAUAGUUGAUGUCGUCGUAUUAUCAUUACAAUGGCUAUGACCAUCGCUGUUAGGGUACAAUUAUCUCGUUGAUAUAGAAUUAUGGAAUUUGGGUUUUUUCAUCCUCUUUUGUCUCGUUAAUUCCAACAUGUCGUUGCCUUUAAUAUUAACACUUUUUAUAUACGUUUGCUUUUCAGAUUUCCCUCUUCUAGUUUGACCCCAUCAUCUACAAAGCUUAAACCAUGCAUGAAGUUGUACUGAUUUGUAAUUUUUCUUUCAAUUAAUAUUUUACCAAAAGUGUGCUUAAUCACACAUAAAAUUACAUAGGGAGGGUGUUGUGUAUGAAUUUAGAUUGGGGGCUUGGGAGUGAUUCAAAUUUCCCAUAGGGCAUGCUGUUUCAAUUACUGCCUUAUCUUACCGUAUGUUUGAUGGCUUGGACCAUUCAGUUCGAUCUCAUAAAUGCUUGUUUGGUCCAUUCGACACGGUUCAUAUAGAAUGGUAUACUCAGACGAUUAUUUUGAUUUUUUUGUUUCAAUUAAAUUUCACAUGCUGAGGGGUACGUGUCAGAAUUUAUGUAUCACUCAUAGUCUCAUAACAUAGAAUUUUACAUACGACGGACCAGCUGAAAGGUUCAUCUAUUACUCAUAACAUGACUUUUUUUUUAAUUCAUGCAUGCAUGCGCGCAGAUCAUUUUACUAAGUCAUGAGUAUAUAUUAUUAAACAUAAAACAAUGUUUGCAUCGUAUAUUGUCGGAUAAUAUGUCAUUCGCAAGUUGCAGUCUUUUGUUAUAACAAUGUUUUGUUUGUACGACGUAGUUUUCUUCCUUGUGGUAUUAUGUCUUGACAAGACGAGAACUAAGAUGAUCAUUUUAACCUAUUUUGAAAAAGGCUUCAGAAGAGUUUUCUCAUCAGCGGUUCUUAGUUAAUCGUUUCUUGUUUCAGGCAUUUGAUUUCUUGAAUUUGCGUCAAGACAAGAAGAAGUUCACCGCCAGGAUUUAACGGGUGGAGUCCUUAGCUUGCUUUCCAUCUCCCUCAUCACAAAUUAAAGAAGGUUCGUGAUGAUUGACGAGUGACGAGUAUUCGUUGCAUGUGGCAUUUAAGAACGGUAUCUUAGUGAUGUCGAGUUCCCGUGCGGAUGAAGCCUCUGAGAUAGCAUUCUAAAAAAUGUCAUUGCAUAUGACCAUGCGCAGCGGACACUAAUCCCAAUAUCACAGCAUAUAUAUAUAGCUAAUUAGCUAUGAAAUCUGAAAGCUCACUACAAAUCUCGUAGAAAAAAAAGUUGCGCAAAUCACAACAAAGUCUAGCUAUAUAUUUCCAGCUACAAUAGCCUUCCACACUCUUGCUUUUCAUUAGAGCUGGGACGAUAGUUUACCAUCAUCUUCUGUCAUCCAAACUUACCGAAGCUAUUAAGUAACUUAUAUAUAUAUAUAAGGUAUGUUUCUUUUUAUGCUUCUGCCGGGUUAAUAGAAACUUGUUUCCAAGUCUUCCUAUUGGAUUUAUUUAUGUAAUUAUGAUGAUUGAUUGAUUAUUUCUAUAAAAGGCAACUGUAUUUGUAACAUGAAACAAUACUAUAAGUGUGUUCAACGUUAUUGCUCUCUUGGCCUCACAAGGAAAUUUCAAAAGAUAUAUAUACAAGUUUGGCUUGUAGUAGAGACAUGUUUUGUGUCUUCUACUCUGUACGAUUUGUGCAGGAGUUGAUCGAUUGUAUUAUUAAAUGGACAAAAAAAACCAAAUUCUUGUUUAAUUCUUGAACCUGAACAAAUACUAAUAGGUGCAUAUAUAUGAACCUUAAACAUGUUUUAUUCAAAGUUUAGAGCGAUUUACAUAGAUCUCAUCGAAACAGAAUAAAAAGAGAGAAGUCUAAAGAAACAACACUGAUUGAACAUGCAAAAGAGAAGAUCAAGAUCAAGAUCAAGAUCGGGAUCUAAGAAGCUUGGGAUCCGGAUUUGUGGAGGUAGAGUUUUCCAAAGACGUGAAGAGCGGUGACGAAGCCGAUGAAACAGAGACUCAUGAUCAGAACAACGGUCGGUGAGAUCUUCAAGCCAGGAGCGUCAUCCGUGUAGAACCUCAGCAUGUUGCUCGGUCCUGAUCCACCCGCGGAUCCUCCGCCUGACGACACGCCCCCACCGCCUAGCCUGCGGCGUCGCAUGCCGGCAGUAGCGGCCGCGGAUCCACGUGGAGCGGCCAUACCGGGCCGAGCGGUUGAGGAGGCGGUGGAGGUUGAUUGUUGGGACUGGGAAGAGCCUCUCGCCAUCGUUGUUGACUUGUUGUUACGGUCAAAAGGGAAAGAGACCAAGAGAGAAAAGGUUUAUGGAGUGAUCAAGAAAGGGUAUAAUAGUAAAUAAAGUCACAUCUGGGGGCGAUUACUUUGGUGUAAUAGAGAGACGUGUAGUUUCCUAGUAAGAAAGCUCUCUACUCCAACGACUUUUGUUAAUUACGGACUUAGACCAUGAUUAAUGGUAGUUUCUUAGCUUUUUCUUAGGGAUUUAUAUAAUUAAAAUUAAAUGAUUAAUGGUGAUAAAUGUUAAGAAACGUCUUUUAAGCAAGAGUUAAUCUUAGAGGUAAGAGGCGACAAAUGUUUAAUUUUGAUUGGGUUAAGAAGAAAAGAAAAAAAAAUAUCACACGUUCUCUCUCUUUCUCUCUUUCUCUCUUUCUCUUCUCUUUCUCUCUUUCUCUGUUGCGAAGGAGCUCAUAUCUGUGACGAAGAGAUGCGCAAAUCAGUGACAGAUCUCCGAUUGUAGCUCUCAUAUCCGUACACAACUAGUCUGAAUCCCUCUAUGCUUGUUCAAUUUGAUGUUGAUUGACUGUUGGGAAAUUAGGGUUCGUUGAAUUGGGAAUUUAGGUUUUUUUUUUUUUUUUUUUUUGUAAAACUAUGAUUAAUCACUUGUUUGUCUGUAUAUUUAGCCAUCGAUUGUAACAGGUUUACACCAAUUUAGAAGAAUUGAUCCGAUUGUUUGUGGUGAUUGUUUCGUUUACAUGAAUAACAUGAUUUUUUUUUUAAACAUAAUUUUUUUUUUAAGAACCACAAAUUAAAAACCUACCAAUAAUGACAUCCCAAAACAAAAACCAAAAAUACAACUCUUAUCUCUUAUUUUUCUAUACUUAUUGGUAAAUUAAUUUUAAGAUCAAGAUUUAAGAGUCUACCAUUAAUCAUGCUCUUACGGUAAUGUUAAUUUAUAAGAAUUACUGUAUUAAAAGAGUUUUACUGUAUUAAAAGAGUUUUUUUUUUUUUUUUUUUUUUUUUUUUUCGACAGAAAAAAAAAAAAAAGAGUUUUGCUUCUCAGUUUGGCAGAUUUAAUCGCCAUUAGUGAUCUUUAAAUAUCUCUAAUGACAGUGCAAAUGCAAUUAUUUAUUUAUGGCGCAUAGAGUUAUUGAACGAUCACAUAACUAAAUCCUAAAUAUAUUCAAAUCCAUCGAAGCUUCUUAGAUUGGGGCUUCUCCACGUUCUUUAGCUUUGUUCAAGCUAGUUUCGAUACUAUGGAUUUCACAUUUGGGUUUCUUUUGAUCCAGUUAAUUUCUAUCCAGAAUGGGCUAUUAACAAAAUAGCUGGGCUACUCUUGAUACACCUAUUUCAGUUUCACCAAAUCCUUUAUAAAAUAAAAUCCAUUGAAAAUAGGAAUAGCUAAUUUAAAAUAAAAUCCACACCUACGUUUGCCACAUCGUUGAUACCAAAAAAGAUCAUUUUUUUUCUUGUUACGUGUUUUCUAAGUCAUUAAUUCAAUGUUUUGCAUAGUAUAAUGAGGAAAAGAGGGAAGAAGAUUAAAUUGAUCAAGAAAAAAAAACUUCCAAAAUGUUUAUAAGUCUAUGAUAUAAGUCAUUAAUUCAACAAUGCUUAUUAGUUCAGUAACUCUAUACCACUACAGGUGUAUAUGUAUAUAUUCAAUUAUUAAUUAGAGGUUAAUAAUGUACUUAUGGUGCUGUAAUUAUGUAAUGAUGAUUUGUUUGCCCCAUCAAAUUUGAGUGUUGGCUGUAAAGACAAUCCCCUUUUCUUCUUCAUCUUCUAUUUUCGUUUCAAAAUCUUUCUUUUAUAUAUGCCUUUUUUAUAUGUUGUUGAUGUCAUCUCAUAAUUAUCUUGCUUGUUUUUACUUGUCUUUAUUUCCUUAUUAUCUCAUAAGUCAUAAUUUGAGGGGGGCAAAUAAUGAUCAUGAAGUAAGAAAAAUAAGUAACAUUGAUUUGGCAGAAAAAUGAGUUAUAACUUCUUUAGUUAGACAUAAGUGGUGUGCUCUGUUAGUACAUGAUGUGAUGUCACUUGUCUCACUCGAUCGUAAAUGAUUUGGCUAAACUUUGAUCACCAUUAUGAUCAAAUUUAAAGUUACAUUUUCAUCAUGAUCACAUUAGAUAUUAUUAGAUUUAGAGGGGAAAACGAUCCGUGACAUCCAUCUUGCAAACUCAUAUUAAUUCAUAUAUGUUGUAUCUCUUGUCGUUAUUCACUUUCAACUCCUACACUGUGCUCGUUGUGAUUUUAUAUGAUUGAAUUAUAUGAGUUAACUAGGUUUUAACCCGCGGUACACCGCGGAAUUAUUUUUUUGACAAAAAAAUAUAUAUUUAUGUUAUUUGUUAAUUUAUUACAUUUUAGUGUUUAAGAUUGUGUAACUGUAUUUUUGAUUGUUAUUUUUAUUACUUAACUCAAUGGAUAUUUUUUUAUAACUCGCAGGACUAAAAAAAAUUAUAUUUAAGUUAUAUUUGUUAUUUUUUUUUAACUCGUAAGAUAACCCGUAAGAAAAACAUAAAACUCAAACCCGUUAAAUCAUAUUUAUGUAAAAUAUAAACCCUGAAUGUUUUAUAGAUUUAGAGAGAGAUUUUGGUUUUUGUUUUCCAAAAACUCAUUUUUAAACAAUAAAGAUUUUAAAAUUUUGGAAUCCCUAAAAUUUAGUAAAACUUUUUUUUUUUGUAAUCUUCCAUUCAAGAUUUUGGAUUUUAAGUUUCAUAUUAGGCAUAUUUAUAAUGGUUGCGAACCAUUGUCUAAAAUUUUCUACCCGAUGUGGGACGUUAUACAUAUAUGUUUUUUCUUUUAUCGAUUGAGUAAUAUAAGUCCGUUUUCAAAAAUUCAAAUUGCUACAUAUGCGAAAAAAAUUUUGUAUUUUUAUUAUACUUAUGUUUUAUGUAAUAAUGUAAAUUUUAAAACAAAUAAGAUCAUAUAAAGAUAUUGGAGAGAUAUUCAAUUUAUUAGGGAGACAUUUUAGGAAAUUUUGUUAAAUGUAAUAAAUGUUAGUUUGUAAUUUUGCAAUUCUGGUGUAAUUUAAUUACAAAUUUUAUCUUAAAAGUUUGUUAUUUAUUUAAAUGGCAAGGAUUUAUUAUGCAAAUAAUACAAAAUAAAAGGUUAUUUUCCAAAAUGUACUUCAAAAAUGUUAAUAUAGAUUAAGAACUUUGAGAUAUCCCACAUACAGUAUAUACUAGAUCGAUGGUUAUAAACUAAAAUGGAUCUAGGUUUUAUACCACCCAAAGAGACAAAAUACUUGUUCGGUUUUGUCCCUUUUUUCUGGUUCUAGUUUAUAUGAAUAUUUCUAGAGACAAACAUUUUGGCGAAAAAAAACAAAUUAAACCAAGGGGUUUGAGACCUCUUUGUGAUAAUCUCUGAUGCUCAAUUAAUGGAAAAGAAAUGUUGUGGUCUUAAUUGUUUACUCAACUUUCAAAUAGUAAGAAAGGUCCAAAUUGAAGGUUUAAAGUUGUUCACAUCUCAUGCACACUCGCAAUCAUACAAGAUAGAUUGAAAAAAAAAUCAAUAUUGAUAUAUUACAACAACAAGAAAAACGACGGUCUAACAAUGUCGACUUCAUAAGCUUUCAUAUAGAUUUAAAAGAAAACGUACCACAUACUAUUUAAAAUUUUUAUUUCUUAAGAAAAUAUAAAGACGUGGUAAUCCUACCUUAGUUUUAAGAAAACGAUAUGAAAAAUAAUAUAUUAAAAAUGAAAAACGUUAAUUAAUGUAAAUGUUAAAUUCGAAACCAAAAAAGAUAUCAAAUAGAAUUAUAUAAAAAAAUUGUGUUAAACUUGAAUGAGAAUAUAUGGUCCAGUUUGAGUCCAUCACUGACCGACUUGUAAUAGAACAGUUGUGUGUAAAGAGAGAGAGAGAGAUUCCGUCUGAGCAAGCCUUCGUUUUUGGUGUGAUCCUACAAGACUCUUCACAUGUGAUCAAAACUUCUCCCAUCGCAAUCUCUUUAACAUAAAAAUCCAAAAACAAUAAAAGAUCGUAAUUUUCUUACCCCACGACCAAAUAAAUGAAAGUUGAAUAAUCAUAUAUAUCCCACUUUUCAACCCAUAAGAAAAAUAUCUUGAUUUUGUUCUUAUAAGUCACAAAAGCUAUACUGUCACCCAUAAUUACAUAGAUAUCACUAAUUACAUUUCUUAUACUUGUUUUCUUCUCUCCUUUCUCUCUUUCUCUGUCUUCUUUGUUAUUUUAAGAUUCUUGCUUGUUUAAGUAGAGGACUCUUAAACACAAACUAAAGAGUUUCUUUCUUUUUGUCUUCUUACAUAUAUAUGAAUAAUCAAGACAUGAUGAUUCCACAUAAUGAUGACCGUCUCUCGUUCUCUAGCUUUGUCCAUCCACAAGAGCACAUCACCCCAAAUUCUAACCCUAAUUCUAAGCAUGCCUCCACUAACACACCCAAGAAAAAGAGAAACCUCCCAGGCAAUCCAGGCAUGUGUAUAUAUUUUUCAUUUGUUCUCUUUAAAAUCAAUAUACAUAUAAUCUUGUUCCAAGGGUAGAUAUUUUAUGUUUUCUUGUUUCCUUCUUGAUUAUUAUUGGUUUUAAUUUUGUUUCUUACAACAUGAACAACGACAAAACAGAUCCAGAUGCAGAAGUCAUCGCUCUAUCUCCAAAAUCCCUCAUGGCAACCAAUAGGUUCUUCUGCGAAAUCUGCAGCAAGGGGUUUCAGAGGGAACAGAACCUCCAGCUUCACAAACGAGGCCACAACCUGCCAUGGAAGCUGAAGCAGAGAACAAACAAGAAUCAGGUGAAGAAGAAAGUUUAUAUAUGCCCCGAGAAGAGCUGCGUCCAUCAUGAUCCAACUCGUGCCCUAGGAGACCUCACUGGAAUCAAGAAGCACUUUAGCAGGAAGCAUGGAGAGAAGAAGUGGAAAUGCGACAAGUGUUCCAAGAAGUAUGCUGUGGUAUCCGAUUGGAAAGCUCAUACCAAGAUUUGUGGUAGCAGGGAGUUUAGAUGUGAUUGUGGUACCCUCUUCUCCAGGUCAUUAAUACUCUUUCAGUCUUUCUAUGUCUUGAAUUGAAGUAUUAUCAUUUCCCAAAACUUGCAUCAAACUCUUUUGAAAACGAUAAUCUUUAGGUUUGCAUAUUUAUUUGUUGUCUUUAAUAAAAAAAAAAAAUAUAAACGUAAACAAAAACGCAAAUCUAUACAUAUUUGUAUUUAUGAAACAAACCGGCGGGUCCUAUAACUGGACAUCCUAAACAGGUGCAUGUAUGCAUAAAGCAUGAGACAGCCUUUGUUAUCAAAAGUUAUACUAUAUAUAAAAAGAGAUUCCUUUUGUUUGUACUAUCAAUAGUCAAACCGUGUUUUUUUCUUUCCUUUUUGCAUUUUCAUACACGUAAAUUAAUAACGAACUUUAGAUCUAUAAGUUAUUGGGUACGUUAAGUCUAGUACAUCAUGCUCGUAGCUUUGUCGUUUGGAUACCACUACCGUUAAUUAUUUCAUGGCUUGUCUUUGUCUUGUUCCAGUUUGUAGUUUUAUAUAGACAUCAAUUAUCGAGGAGAAAAAGGCUGCAUGAUUAGAACAUUACGUGGUCAUGUUUUAAUAAUAACCUAAAGUCUUGUGUUUCCACCUUACUAGUUACUAAAUACACCAAUUUGCAUUUAUUUAGUAAAGAUUUUACACAUAUAUAUAUAUAUAUAUAUAUAUAUAUAUCGUUUACAUAGUCAGCUUGCUUUUUUAAUUAAGACUUACACAUAUUAUAUACCUAUAUGAACAUAAUUCCAAUAAUGUAUAAUUUGGUUAUAACUGUAUCAGGAAGGAUAGCUUCAUCUCACAUAGAUCCUUUUGUGACGUCUUAGCUGAAGAAAGUGCUAAAUUUUUCUCAGUUCCAUCACCUUUAGCCGCCAAUUCGACCAUCUCCACAGUUGCUGAUACCAAUAAUCCAGUUCUUAUUCAAUCACUCACAUGUACGGCCGAUCUUAACGUCAACAACAAUCACUCCACCUUGUUGGGAAAAAAGUUCAUCAACUCCGAGCCAAUCCCGCAACGAGCCAAUGCUUUUGCGUUUUCGCCACCACCAACACCUCGUGGUACAUCUGAUAAUUCGGUUCAUAAUCUAUGGAAGUUACAAGAAGAGGAAUGUUCACACCAGUCGUUACUCAAUGGGUAUAUGAACAACAACAAAAACAUUAGCCAUAAAGGAAUAUCCCAAAAUCAAGAAAAUGCGAUCAUCAAGAAGGGAAAUAUCUAUAGCGGCUCAAACUCAAGCGAUGCGAACAUAGCAUCCUUGUUCUCUUAUAAUCAAGAAGCAGGGAACCUGGCUUCAUUGUCGGCAACAACAUUGCUUCAAAAGGUGGCUGAAAUGGGAUCAUCAUCCCGUUCCGACACUGGCACCCUCUUGGGACUAAUGACUUCCUCCAUCUUCAACAAUAGGAUGCCAAACUCCGAUUGUUUAAAGGCGAAGAAUAAGAAAGAAGAGUGGACCAGAGACUUUCUUGGUGUUGGGAAGCCGUGACGACCAACAAGAUCUACUUUAUCACCAUCACUUCCUAUCAAGCGUGCCACUGAAGGUGAGCCAUAUGAUAUAAUUCCCAAGUUGGCCUUAAUUAACCAUUGUAGGCGGGGAAGCAACCGUAGGCAUGGCUUCAGUUUCUAUGUUCGUGUCUUUAUAGUUGUAUUUAAGGAUAUGUGAAUUUUCAGGCUUUCAUUAGGAAAAAUACACAAAAAAAACAAAAAAUCUGAAGCGACAAGUACUCAAAAUCUUUAAUCAACAAUAUGUUACUAAUUGAUUAUGGUUAUAGUACUGUCAGAGCCACCAAUCGCAACUGUUGGAAUAAUGAAUUGGUUAUAUAUAUUAAAUUAAAGAGACGAAUAACAAUAACAUAUGCUGUAAAAUAAAUAUAUUAAUUUUCCAUUACGAUUUUGGAAUCCUUAAUUGCCUACAAAUUAAAGAAACGAAAACCAAAAAAUAUCACACUUAGUGAGGAACAAAAUCAGCCAUCAUCACUGACAACAAACAACAUAGGCACCGGCGUCGGAGACAUGGUUGUCUUGUACAACGAGUGCCUUAAAAACCACGCGGUCAGUCUCGGUGGCCACGCCCUUGACGGCUGUGGUGAGUUCAUACCCAAGUCCACCACCAUCCUAACAGAACCUCCGUCCCUUAGGUGCGAUGCUUGUGGCUGCCACCGCAACUUCCAUCGUCGUAGUUCUUCUGAGGUCUUCAGUCACCACCGGUCACCACCGCUGAAGCCGCUCGCCUCCACUCCGCACUUGCUUCUUUCUCUCAGCUCCGAUUUCUCUGGACCCGGAGACAAAGAUAGGUCGGCGGUGAUGAAGAAGCGUAAGAGGACAAAGUUCACGGCGGAGCAAAAGGAGAAGAUGAGAGGAUUCGCAGAGAGAGCGGGGUGGAAGAUGAACGGCUGGGAUGAGAAGAGGGUGAAAGAGUUUUGUGGCGAAGUUGGAAUAGAGAAACAAGUUCUUAAGGUUUGGAUCCAUAACAAUAAGUACUUAUCCAACGUGAAGAACAGAGACACUACGUCAUCUACGUCCUCUAUGUCUUUGAAGCUGUAAAGAUAUAUAUAUAUAUCUAAACUGUAAUGAGGUUACUGUAGUCUCUUAUGAUCUGACCUGAAGUUUAUCCUAGAAGACUUUUCUUUUGAGUUUGAACUUGUAAUCAGUCGAUGAUCAUGAUUCAUGACUCAUGACCUAUAUAUGGAUAUUUAAAUAUGUAGCAUUUACUUAAAGCUGUCUUGGUUUAAAAGUAUUUACGUUGCUAAUAAUUAUAGUGUAACAAACUAAUAACAAUGCUGUUCCCAACAUGGUUUCUUCAAUUACCAAGAAGUUCCGAGGCUUUUUGACUUGUAAUCUUUUCGUUUUCGGAUUAGCUAGAGAAGUACUAUUUUAGGUCAAUAUAUAUAGGCCCUUCCAUUAAUAAUGGAGACUUGAACUAGUGACAUUGAGCAAUACUCCUUGUUUGGAACAGUAAAAUUCAGGAUGUGAUUCAUUGAUAUGCUACUAUAAACGAAUCUCCUGAGCUUUUUAGGGCCAAGUAGUCUUAAAACUAGUGACAUAUACGUUGUUUAGGAAUAUUAAUUUGUUCAUGUGGACGACGACACUUCUCAUCAUUCUCAUCUCUUAUUUUGUCUUUUUCCGUUUAAGGAUAAAGCUUUUGUAAACAGCCCGUCUCCUAGUUUGUCCUAAUUAAGGAUUAUGCAGAUAUUUUUUUAUAUAUAUAUUGUAAAUCCGUGGCUCUUCACGCACAGCUUGAAGUAUUUGUUGGUCUUUUGAUUCCUUCUCAUCAGAAUUAAGCUCCUAGUUGGGUGUGAUAUUUAAUGAAUGAUCCUUUUGGUGGAGGUGGAAUCAUCAACCUAUGACGUUUUAAGUUUUGAUUCCAAAUUAUAAAGACAUUGUUUUUGUUGGAAAAUUUAAUUGAUUUGUUUUUUUUUUUUUUUUUUUUUUAAUUCUCUGUGCGUGUGUUGAAUAUAGUAUCACAUUACAACAAAUUUAAUCGACCGGACUUUAAUUCUUCUAGAUUUGCAAUGUGGCAUACUGAUUUAUAUUGUCUUAUCUAACUUUGACACCGUUUUCUUUGGCAUGAGUUUUGAUUUCUGAAAUCCUUUUUCUUUCUUGGUUCACCAAUUUUUGGAAUCAAGAUUUUGAAUUUACAUAUUAUGUAAUUAUUGUAUCUAUCUAUAUCAAACAAAGUAUCGGGAUAAUUUUCAUAUUAUCAUAUUUAUGUUGGUUAGGAGCUUUGACUUAGUUUUUAAGAUAUAUAAAAAGUACAAACGAGAUCGUAACACAAGUGUACAAAUUUCACCUCUCACCAAAAUGGAAAUAUAUUUUUUUCAAAAGAUGAAAAUGGAAAUAUUACAAAAAAAAAAAAAACAGAUGAGAGUGUUUGAUUAAUACAAACUCGUAUAGCCCAAGAGACAAAUAUAACCCCAAAAAUCACCCACAUGACACAAAAUCAUGAGUAAUAAUAACACCAUACACAAUUUUUUAUCAUCACAAAUAAAACCAUGCGAACAUUACGCUUAUGAUGCAAAACGACACCGCCUGACACACAGAACCAACGUUACGCGAAGCAAACGAAGCAUCUGCCGGCGAAUCAUCACCGGAACUAUCACUGUCGUCCUUCUUCUUCUUUGAUUUGGUGGCCGACGGAGCCGGAGCCGGAGCUGGAGGACGAGGAUCGAAAACUUGCUGAGGAAGCAAAACCUUAUCGACCUGGUAAACAGCGAGCUGUCCAUCGCUGUAGACAUUUCCGGAGACGGUGGUGUUGGUUACACCGGUCGUGAUAUUUACCGUAUUGCCACUGGUGGUAACGUUGAGAGGAAAAUGUCCUUCGGCGGAGUCACCGGCCUGGGUCCGGAGAGGGUUGCUUAUUGUUUGGAAGUUAGUGGAAGAGACGUAACUUGGUAUGACGUGAAACUGAAUCAGCUCUACUUGUUGCUCGUCGUUUAAGGAGUUUAGGGUUCCGGCUUUGAGGCCGGAGAAUGAGGAAUCGCUAGGUGCAAAGAUAGUGAUGCCGUUGUCGGAGUUGUUUAGUUGGCCGUAGAGUUGGUUAGCAACGCCGGUUGAUUUGAGGAGUCGGAUGAAGACAGUGAACUGUCCUGCUUUUUCUAGGAUUUUAGUGACAUUUGUUGGUCCUGCUGGAGCCGGUGCGGCGGCUGGAGAAGGCUGAGAUAGGGUUCCGGGAGUUGUGGUUAUGAGGAGGAGGAGGACGGUGAAGAGGAGGAUUGUGAGAGACUGUUCCAUGGCGGAUCUUUGUGUGUUUCAAGAGUGUGUUGUUAUUUAUGUUUGUGUGAGAUAUGAGUUUUGUGGUGAUAUGAAGAGUAAGGUUUAUAUUGAAAUGGGGGAAAUUGAUUGGUUAGGAGGUCAACAUUCUUACAACUAAGUUGAUAAUUAAUAAUAAUCAAUGAUGAUUAUUUUCUUCCCCUACACAUCUUAUCAGAUGAAUUGUUUUACCUCUUCGGGCAAAAUUAUUUGAUAUAGACUAUUAAGCUGUUGAUACAAAAAGAGGACAUACAUUUUACUGGUUAUAUAUGUAAAAAGUUAUAAAUUGGUUUUUGUAUCAAAGAAACUAAUAAGAUAAUUAAUCAAGUUCUAAUUGAUUAUUACCUUUUAACAAACAGAGCUAAUAAUUUAAGUGGUAACAAACGUAUGGUUGGCAAUUUGGCAUGACGGUGAUAAUGUAUAUACUUACACAAAAGUGUGUGUGUGCAAAAACAUAAAAGAGGUCAUGAUUACUUAGUUUGUAAUUAUCAAAAUCCUGUGUAUGGAACGGUGGGAGGAAUAAUGGAGAAUGUGGUGUGGUGUGGUGUGGUGUAUGAUAAUGUAAGGAGCAACUUGCAACCUUUGCUUGAAAAUUAAGAAAAAGCAAACAGAAAUUGAUUUGUGGUGGGCUCUCUUUAAUUUUUAGCAUAUUCGCGUAUGUCAACUUCAAUUUUUUUUGGCUAAAAUAAUGUAACCAUAGUACAUUUUGUAUUAGUCAAUAAUUAGAAAAGAGAUAAAACAAUGAUCAAAUGUGUUUUCCACGACACUAUAAGCCCAAAUUAGUAAAUUAUUCGAGUUAAACACUUCGUAUAUUGGGAGGGAGCUAGGGAGAUUUGUGAAGGUGGGUGCGUGUGAAUUCGUUUUUGUAAGUAAGUGUGGGCAUAAUGAAAACAACAUUGUUAUCUUACUAUGAUGUUUAUGCUUUCAUCAGAUUUGAUUUUGAUUGUUCCUCGCAUCUGCUUAAUUACUAUUGUUUCUAGACUACUGUAACUGUGUCUUUUUCUUUUUUAAUUAGUUGCAUUUUAUAUUAUUUAGAAUAAUAUGGCUCACUGGAUUGUAUAUAGUAAUUGUUAAAAAAAAUAUAUAGUUCAAAUACUGUGUUUGUUACAUUAAAAGAAGAAGCAACAAAAAAAAAAUGCAUACUAACUUAAAAUGUCUUAAGCGGAGACAUUAAUUACAAAUUUGAUUAAACCAAGAAGAAAGUUAUCAAAAUCACAAAUCAGCCAAUUUCUCUCGUCCCCUAAAAACCAGGCGUAUCAUAUGCUCAUUCCAUUUGCAUUCCCUCCACAAAGAACAAACUUUUGUUUAUAUUGUCACUAACAACAAAAUUCCCAAUUAAUGUUCUUGAAUAGAUUCUCCCCCUCCCCCAUAAGUUGAUAUGAAUACAGGAGAAGAAGUUGGUGAAUUCACUCAAAUCUUCAGUGCUUUGGUGAGUCUAAUGAGGAAGUUCAUAUUCAGAGUUCUAUGUGCGGGUCCAAUACCUACUCACAUCUCAUUCAUCAUGGAUGGAAACCGCAGGUUCGCCAAGAAAUACAAUCUCACAGGCCUCGACGCAGGACACAGAGCAGGUUUCGUUUCCGUGACAUAUGUUCUUCAGUACUGCAAAGAGAUUGGUGUACCGUACGUUACACUCUACGCUUUUGGUAUUGAUAAUUUCAAGAGAGGACCUGAAGAAGUCAAGUGCAUCAUGGAUCUUAUGCUGGAGAAAGUCGAGCUCACUAUCGACCAAGCUCUUACCGGGAAUUUGAACGGCGUCAGAAUUAUCUUUGCCGGUGAUUUGAAUUCGUUAAACGAGCGUUUUAGAGCUGCGACUCAGAAACUGAUGGAGCUUACGGAGGAGAAUAAAGAUCUUAUUGUUGUCGUUUGCGUUGCUUACAGCACAAGUCAAGAGAUUGUUCAUUCUAUUCGAGAAUCUUGCAUGAGAAAGUGCAAAACUGGAGAUGGUCCUGUAGUUUUGGAGGUGAGUGAUGUUGAAGAGUGUAUGUAUACAUCAGCUGUCCCGGAUCCGGAUCUUGUGAUAAGAACCGGUGGAGGAGAUCGGCUUAGUAACUUCAUGACGUGGCAAACGUCGAGGUCACUUCUUCACAGAACGGAGGCUCUUUGGCCGGAGUUAGGUCUCUGGCAUUUGGUUUGGGCCAUUCUUAAAUUCCAGAGAAUGCAAGGUUACUUGCAAAAGAAGAAAAAGCUCGACUAAAUAGUUUUUAAGUUAAACUUAAAUCCUAGAAUGAACUUUUAACCAUUACGUUUGAUUUACUUGUUUUUCACAGACAAUAAACUUAUGAAUAGAAACGAGAAAGCACCAUAAAAAAUCAUUUUCAUUAUAUAUUGGAUCGGAAUAACAAAUAAGAAGACACAAAACAUCGAUAUAAUUGGUUUUAACAAGGCUAUUAGAGGCUUAAUUUAAACACAAGAUUUGGCAACAAAAGAAGCAAACAAAAUCCAUAAAGUUUUAGUACUUAGCCAAUCCAAGACAAGAUUUUGCUUGGAACCUGCAGACUUUACAGAGAGGUAAGAACAGGGGAGGAGUUUGGUUCUUGUCUUCUCCACCCAUCGCUCCGGUCUUCUUGGAUUGAUUUGAGGCCACAUGUUCCUUUAUUACUCUUUCCAUUUUGAAUCUGCCAUCUAAUAACAUAAAGGCAAUCAGUGAUCUUGGAGAGAAUCAUCUAUAUAAGGUUACUAUAGAUUCAGCUAAAGGUGUACUUCUCUCUUAUUGAGGAGACCUAGCGGUUCUUUCCAUUUGCCAGAUAUCUUGGUUGGUUUGGGAUUUAAGUCAAAAUUUCUUGUAGUGGGUUUUCAGCUUGAAGGUGAAGAAAGUGAGUUGAUGUUACAGACUACAGAUUCAAGGUUCUUUUACUCCAAAUAGCCAGACAUAGGUCCCUGCAACUUUGUUACCGAAAUGUCUUCUGCUUUGAGCCUCUCUAAUGGACCUCUUUAUUAGUCAUCUGGUUCAAAACCAUUACAAUCUUAUUGUGCAGAGAUUAAGUUUCUUGAACUACAUAUCUAACCACUAUCUACUUUUUUUACAAUGUGCAAGACCAAAACAUUUCUCUGUUAUCAUUUAAAGAGUUAGAUAUAUACUUUUAAGAAUAUGGUUUAAAAUGUCUUAAUCUUAACCACAGAGAAAUUGCAUAUUUGAUUAAACCAAGAAGAAAGUCAUGAAUCACUAAUCACCCAAUUUCUCCCUUCCCCUAAAAUUAGCCGAAUCAUAUGCUCACUCCGUUUGCAUUCCCUCAAAAAUAAACUACAUUUCUUCUGUUUAUAUUCAUUCACUCAUUACAAAACCUAAAACCCCCAUGUUCUUGAAUUCUCCCCUCCUGUAACCAUACCCAUAUUAUAAUUAAGUAUGAAUAAUACCACAGAAGAAGUAGGCGAAUUCACUCAAAUCUUCAAUGCUUUAAUGAGUCUAAUGAGGAAAUUUAUAUUCAGAGUUCUACGCGUUGGUCCAAUCCCUACUAACAUUUCAUUCAUCAUGGAUGGAAACCGCAGGUUCGCUAAGAAACGAAAUCUUGAAGGCAUUGACGCAGGACACAGAGCUGGUUUCAUAUCCGUGAAAUAUAUUCUUCAAUACUGCAAAGAGAUUGGUGUACCGUACGUCACACUCUACGCCUUUGGUAUGGAUAAUUUCAAGAGAGGUCCUGAAGAAGUCAAGUGCCUGAUGGAUCUAAUGCUGGAGAAAGUCGAGCUCACAAUCGAUCAAGCUCUUACCGGGAAUAUGAAUGGAGUGAGAAUUAUCUUUGCCGGCGAUUUGAAUUCAUUAAACGAGCGUUUUAGAGCUGCGACGCAGAAACUGAUGGAGCUUACAGAAGAGAAUAGAGAUCUGAUUGUUGUGGUUUGCGUUGCUUACAGCACAAGUCAAGAGAUUGUUCAUUCUGUUCGAGAAUCUUGCCUUAGAAAGACUAAAUUUAGAGAUGAUCCUGUAGUUUUGGAUGUGAGUGAUCUUGAAGACUGUAUGUAUACAUCAGCUGUGCCGGAUCCGGAUCUUGUGAUAAGAACCGGUGGAGGAGACAGGCUGAGUAACUUCAUGACGUGGCAAACCUCUAGGUCACUUCUUCACAGAACGGAGGCUCUUUGGCCGGAGUUAGGGCUUUGGCAUUUGGUUUGGGCCAUUCUAAAAUUCCAGAGAAUGCAAGAUUACUUGCAGAAGAAGAAAAAACUUGAGUGAAUAGUUUCUAAAGUUAAACCCUAAAACGAACUUUAACCCUUAUACUUGUUUUACAUGUUUCUUUCCGUGCAAGAAACGUCGAAACUAAAAACCCGAAGAAAAUCCUUUUUAUUAUGUAUCGGAUCCAAAUAGCAAACACAAAGACAUAGAACAUCGAUGAUAAUCUUUCGAUUUAACGAUGCUAAAACACUACAAUUAGGGGCUUAAUUUAAACACAAUUUGGCAAACAAAAAACAAACAUAUCCUUUUUUAAGGUUUUAGUACUUAGCCACUCCGGGACCAGGUUUUGCUUGGAACCUACAAACAUUACAGAGAGGUGAGAACAGAGAAGGAGUUUGGUACUUGUCUUCUCCACCCAUCAUCGGCAUCGGGACUCCGGUCUUAACCGGACUAAUGUAUCCAGGUCUGUAUGUUUUACCCAACACGCCCUCGACGAGAUCACUCAGGUCAAAAAACUUAAACUGAGUCUCUAGAUGAGCAAAAACAUCAUCUUUAGGAAUCUGAUAGUUAUGAACUCUGUCUUCUUCUUUCCCGAUUGGUCUAACCUUAAUAUCCAUCUGAACAAUCCCAGAUACCGUAACUCUCACGUUAUUCCUCUCAUCUGUUCUCUCAACAACAACUUCCCUUUCUUCAAGAUUUAUUCUCCACUCUGCUUCACCUUCUGUCGGAACUUCAACUUCUUCUCCGUUCCAUCUCACCACGAGAGAGUCUACAGAAUCGUCCCAAGAAGAAACCUUCUUGGCGGCGAUGACGAGGUUAUGACUAUCGAACAUCACUGAGAAGGCUUGAACCCAUGUGAAGUCUCUGGUUCUACCAGCAGGUCUUGUACCAAUGAAAUGUGCAUUGAUUUGAAGAUUAUCGUCAGAAACGAUGGCGAAGUUCCCGUCUUUGUUUCCGUGGAAGUAGAACAUCACACCGUCUCCUCCAACAAAUCUCGGGUCGUAACACAAAGAUCCAUAUCCGUUGCAGUUUGCUAUUCUCCCUAUUCAAGAACACAAUGCAAACCAAGAUUAAUACGCGUGUUACGUUAGGAAUUAUAUAAAAGAAAACUACAUUAUGGAGCUUUGAAAAUGUUCCAAGAUAUAUGUUGAGGUUGGAGCUUACAUUUGCAGGUGACUUCACAUUUGCUGCUACAAUCAAUGAAACAAGCUUUUUCCUUCUUGUUCAUCUUUGGUUUCCUCUCGGGGCAUUCCUUAGGACAAGUGAGGAUCUUUUGGUUACAAGAUCCUCUCGCCAAGCAUUGAACUCGCUCUUGGCCCGUGCCAAGUGGAUACAAAACCUUGUAGUUGGUUGAAGCUGCGUCAUAAGCACCCUUCUUCACUUUCUCCGUUGCAGAAACCGCCAAAACAGAGACAAGAACGAUAAUAGUCACAAGGACCCGCGACAUUUUCUUUUAUGUUUUGAAAAGAAACAGUCCUCCUUUGUCGUUAUAUCUCUUAGGAUCUUGAUAUGAGAGCAGUGGAGGGGAGUGUGUACUUAUAGAUCAGAGAGGCUAGAAGUAAGCAGCAGAGAGCGGCUUAAUUAACGGUCCAGAUUUGAUCAAAGAUCACAUGAAGAAUCGAAGACCGUGUAAGAAACAGCUUCGACUUUUGUUUAUUAAUUCCUCUAAUUAGGAGAACAGCCACUAGAUUCGAAUUCAAGCUAUAGAAAAUUAUGUAUUAAUUUCUUAGAAGGGAAAAGUCAGCCUAUAGAAUUCUUAAGUACAAACUGUCAUAUAAAUCAUUAAUAAACACAAGAGGUCGGCGCUAACAAUCUUAAGAUCGAUCAUGCGCUACAUCAUUAUGGAAAUAACAAAGCUUGACCAAUCCCAUAAGAAUUUCAAGACUAUUAUCUAAACAAUUGCUAUAUAUUUAACUUCAGAAAGAUACUUAUAGAGUUAAACAUGUUUCAGCUAGUUGAUAUAGGACAUUAUUAAAAGUAAUAUUAACAUUACCAAUAUGGAGUUCAACUUUUUCACAUUAUCUCUGCUCGCCGUGGACAAUGUUUACCCACAAUCUAUAUAUAUAUUCGUCAAUUUUAAGGCUAAAAAUGGGAACCCAUCGAUCACGGAUCUUAAUUCUUAAUUUAUAACGAAAAAUCAAACCACGAGUGAUUGCACUAACUAAUCAUCAUUGUGGAGUUGACAAUUUAUCUAUUAAUUCCAUAUACUUGUAAAAUUAUGAUUGUAUAGAAUUGAAGCCAUGUAAUCAUGUGAUGGGUAAAGAUAAUUUAAUUUCCUUGGAUCACAUGAACUAUGCCUAGAAUUUUGCAAACUUUUCUUUUGCGCACUACCUUAUUUGAUUAUUUAAAUAUGAGUUUCUUGGCUAUUGGCUUAUAAAGUUUAAGAGAAAAGAGUGCUCCAGAAGCAUCUCCAGCUUGUUCUUGAGAACCCCCAAAAAAGCACUUGCCUUCAAAGUGAGGAAGAUACAAAUAAAACGGGAACCAAGAAACUUAAUGUCAGAUUCAAAUUCAUGAAUUUACACACACAAACAAUUUUCUUUUUAAUUGUUAGAUAAACGUACUACUAAUACGUAUACAAAAUACAACAAACGAGCAAGGAAAAAAUAAGAAAUUAAGGGUUUGCUUCUGGCGCAAGAAACGUCUUACAUUUCUUAAACCCUCAAAAACAUCACAAACGGGCCAAAUAUUAUCUUUUUGGCUCUUAUUACAUUACCUUUUAUGAAUAUAAAAUAUUUCCAGAAACAAAACAGUUACCAAUACGAAUUUUUCAUGAAUUUAUUUAAAAAUCAUAGAUGUUUCCAUUAGAUAUCAGCAGAAAGUGAUUCUUCUUGAGGUUUGAACCUGCAGAGUCUGCAAGUCGGCGAGAACAGAGAAGGCGUUUGGUAUUUGUCUUCUCCCCCCAUCACAGGCAUUGGAACUCCAGUCUUGGCAGAGCUGACGUAAUCAGGACGGUAGGUUUUCCCCAACACACCCUCAACGAGCUCACUUAGGUCUAAGAAUUUGAACUGAGUCUCGAGAUGGGCAAAAGCGUCAUCCUGUGGCAACUGGUAGUUGUGAACUCUGUUCUCUUCUUUCCCUAUCGCUCUCACUUUGAUGUCCAUCUGAACGAGUCCAGAGACAAGUAAUCUGACGCUGUUCCUCUCGUCGGUUCUUUCAAUGAUGAUCUCUCUUUUUUGUCCUGAAAUUUCCCUCCAUUCGGACUGCUCGUCUUCAGGGAGUGUGAUGAGUUCUCCAUCGUAUCUGAUGGUAAAGGCGUCAGAUGUUUCAUCCCAUUGAUUCACUCUGUUGGCUGUGAUCACGAGCUUGUGGUUUUCGAACAUGACAUUUAGGGCUUGAACCCAUGUGAAGUCUCUGGUUCUUCCAACUGGUCUUGUCCCGAUGAAGUGAGCGUUGAUCUGGAGUUUGUCGUCUGAAACGAUGGCAAAGUUUCCACCUUUGGAUCCGUGGAAAUAGAACAUCACACCGUCUCCUCCCACAAAUCGAGGGUCGUAACAGAGAGAUCCGUAGCCAUUGCAGUUCGUUUUUCUCCCUGUAAGAAAGAAAGAAGCCAGUAUUAUGCCAAGUUACUUGAGUUAGAAGCAUACCAAUUCCUUGUACCACAAAUAAUCAAUGUUAAUUAGAAUCCGGAUAGCAUACUACUUUGCGAGAAGUAAACUGAUUAAUCUAAAACAAAGGAGACCGAGUGAAAAGAAUGUGCUUACAUUUGCAUGUAGCUUCACAUUUGCUAGUGCAGUCAAUGAAGCAACCUUUGGUGUUCUUGUUCUUCUUGGGCUUCCUCGUGGGACAUUCACCUGGACAAACAAGAGUCUUGUAAUAACAUGCUCCCCUAGCCUGGCACAUCGCCUGCUCUUGUCCUGUAGGCAAUGGUGUUAGUACCCUGUAUCUUGCAGCUGCUUCACUCUGCUCCUUGUCCUUCUUCUCCUUCUCUUUCCUCUCUUUUUCCUUCUUCUCUUUUUCCUUCCUUUCCUUGUCCUUCUUUGCCUUCUCCUCCUUAUCCUUCUUGUCCUUAUCCUUCUUGUCCUUCUUCUCCUUUUCCUUAUCUUUCUUCUCCUGUUCCUUGUCCUUUGGACCGUUACCGUUACCUUUGCCUUUGCCAUAAUCUCCUCCGCCUUUACCCUUGUCUACCUGUCCCUCGUUCCCCUUGCCGUUAUUACCAUUGCCUUUGCCGCCAUCGCUCGCUGCAAUGACAAUAUCGGUCAAGAGAAGCAAUGCAAAGAGCGCGACAAGCACAUAUGACUGUCUGCGCUCCAUUUCUCAAGUUCAAGCCUUCUCUUCUUCUUUUUCUUUCUGCUUGUUGUUCUUCUUCUUUGGUUUCUCAAAAUGUUUCUGUGUGUUUUUGGUGUGGUGAAAUGUUGUUGCAGAAAGAGGGAUUAUAUAGCGUGGAGAAAGAAGUAAGUUGACUUAAUAAAACCUCAUAUGAUAAUAUCCCUUGCUUCAUCUUUAGAAAGAAGCCGACUCUUUGAGUUCAUCUCAAGUCGUCUCCAUUAAUUUCUUAACAAAAAACAUAGCUUGAUUAAGCUUCAACAUCAAGACUUUUAGCUAAAAAUAAUUGUUUAACUAGAAUUAGCUGUACAUAUAACAUCAGUUCACAUUAUUUUUUACCCUCUUUUUUACUUAUCUAUAACCAAAACUCUUCACCGUUUUCAUAGUGACUUGCUAAUAUUAUUUAAUUUAGAUUACUAUGUAUAGAACUCUGAAUUAUUCUUUUAGGCUUUUCAGUCCCAAAGUUUGUUCUUGAUCCCUUUCUCUGCAAGGAAGCGAGUAGUGAAUACGUGAGGGUGCCUUAAAUGAAGAAGAAAGCCCUCAUGUCUAAUGUGUGCAUUUUAAGAAACUUUUUUGACUUUUCAUUGGCCCAAAGCCGCCCACUAUUGCAAGAUUGCACCUUUUCGAGAAAGCAAAGAAAAGUCAAACUUGGCCAAAGUCAGCUGACCGGUUAAUAAUUAACCGGCUCAAUCAUCCUCAUAACUAGGAACAACACCAUACCAAGUUACACUACCUAAGUUUGUUCUGUCCUGUCCUGUGGCCAUACUGAUCUCAUUCUUCUAAAUCUCAAUUCUUAGCCAAACGCCCUUCCACAAUUCACAAGGCACAUACCAAACUGAACCAGGAAAUCUGUUUGAGAUUCAACAGUACACAAAGUUAAAUCAAGAAACAGUUACAUGAAUCCAUUAAGGAGUCAUGUGAAACUUUCUUUGUGUACAAAUUGCAAACUAGCUUGCAAAAUUACCAAAACAUCUUUAAAAGAAAAAGAAUCUGACACUUUCUAAAGGUUUAUUUCAAGAGAAGUAAGUGGACUUCUCUCUAUUCAAUUAUUGAAAUAUAGGAAGAUCAGGCUUAGCUUGCUCCGGACCGGCGCUUAUUUCUCCAACAGAUACAAUAGUGCUAAUACUGCUUGAAGAAGCUCCGUGUUCAAUCUCGUUCGUCAUCUUAAUGAAAUAACUGUGCCUGGAAAAUGAAACCAGAAAGAGUAAGAUCCGCAGAGCAUAUAGAACACUACUGAAGAUAUCAAAAGACCAAGAAAAAAGUUAACUAAUUACCAUCGCGUGUCUGCAGUUAGCUCGGGAUGAAAAGCUGUUGCUAACAAGUUUCCUUGCUUCACAGCAACAAUCACUUUUGUUUCAGGAAGAGCAUCUUCCUGAUUUAUCCCCGAAAAUAUGAAACCAACAAGAAGGAAUCCAUUCAUUUGCUCACAAAAAGGUAAUAAUCUGUUCACAAGCAUUGGUGCAAAAUUACACAAACCUCUUGGAUUUGUACGGUAGAGCUUGAAUACAAGACCUUGUUUGAUGGGACGGGAUAAUCUGCCAGGACUUCGACGUCAGGACCCACAUCGAGAACAGCUGGAGCACGUAUGAACACUCCCCGAUAUGUCUCUGACCCACCUUCUUUAGAUGUUAGUUGAGGUACUGAGAUAUCAGCUUCAAAACUUUGAAUCUACACAUGGAAAACAAAUAUAAGAACAAUCAACAAGUUUCACAUGGUUAAGAUCAUAUUUGAUGGUAGUAGUGAUUUCAUGUGAAAUAAGUCAAUCAGAGACCUACAAUUCUUUUAACUCCAAUGGAACUCUGAUGAAAAGACCGAGUUUUUACUACAACUCAUCAAGGCUCAUGCCGAUUUACUUUUUCCACAUUUAACAAGUAGUAUUGAUUUACAUAUCCUAUAUACACAUCUCUUAACAUGAAACUUGGAACCUCGGAAAAAGAGAUACCUGGCUGCCAAAGAAGUUCCGAUGCACGGUGCAAUCAAGGCCACCGACUAAUUCCUGACCUCCCUCUUUCUGACCUGAAAAUUGUAAACAUCAUCAAGUUUAACGUUUGUAACUUUUCAGCAACACCAAUGACAGGAAGAUGAAUUAAAGAAGUACUCACCAACGGCUCUAUCUGCCAAGAAUAUAAGUCCCGCGCAUGUCCCCCAAACCGGUUUCCCCGUCUUAACAAAGUCACGUAGAGCUGGGAACUUCAAAAGAGCAAAUGCAAGAAAAUUAGAACAGAGAAGGGACUUAUGCACUAUCCAUCGUCACCACUAAAACUGUAUAAGCAAGCAAAUCAAAUCUGAACAAGGGGCUUAGUUGAAAUAAACGUAAAUGACAGCUCCCCCCUUUCAUGAUUCUAUACUCAUCUUACAUACAGCUUUGACCAGUUCUGUUAAAGAUAGGAAAUUUCAUCAAUAUUGAUCAAAAAUCAAAGAGUGGUUUAGGUCGACAAUGCUUAAUGUUUUCACUUUUCAGGUACAAAACAUCAAACAGAGAAACAGAGAAACCACAAACAUUACUUAUGUACUUAUACCAAAGUUGCUCCUCUUUCAAUCCCAAAGCCAAUCUCGUUGGACAAUACAAACUGAAUUAUUCAGGAAUGAGAGACGAGACGAGUGACUAAAUUGAUCUCUUUAAAUCUGAAAUUCUGGAAACUCUUAUAACUUAAUAAAAAAAAUCCAAAAUUCUGGAAAUUCUCAAGUAGUAGUUGAUGAAUGACACCAGAUUCGUUUCAAGCACACAUGAAAAAAAAAGAACCUUUCCUAGAUUCUCUAAGUGGGUCCUCGCCAACAAAAAACACAAUAUAAAAAUUAUGAUUCUACAAAGAGAGAGAGAGAGAGAGAACCAAGUUGUGAUACUCGGCGAGUUUGGCCAUAGUGGUGCUCUCGCCGCCAGGAAUGAUGAGAGAAGAAACGGUGAGAAGCUGGUCAGCCUUCCUAAUUUCAACGCCUUGGACACCGAGCCGCCGCAGAGCCGCGAUGUGCUCAUUGAAAGAACCUUGCAAAGCUAAAACUCCGACGGUCAUCGCGGCGGCGUGAAGAGAGAGAGAGAGGGAGAGAAAGUGUCAGAUGAUAAACACCAAAACUGCGUGUUAAUGGACCAAAACCAAAGGACACUCACAAAACUCUGUAGGCUGCGAGUGGCGACAAUUUCUUUUACACCUUUUGUUUUGUGUUUUUUUCGUUGCCCACGAUUUAGAAUCAUAAUCAGAUAUUUUCUUCUAUUGACAAAAAAAAACAUUAAAAACAAAAAUACUACGAAUUUAAUAACUGUUGUCAACGCAAGUACAAUAGAACUGUCCGUAGUAGAUCAUUGUCUAAUUUUUAGGUUACUGGGUAACAGUGUGAUGUUUUGUAAUUUUAUUGUUAGAGAGAAACUAAAAAUGAAAUUAGUUUAAGAUGGUUUGUCACAUUAGCUGGUAAUGAUCUAAUAUAUAAAAAGAAUAGUCUUAAAAAAAAAUAUAAACCCCAAAAAAAAAAAAACCGAAAAUCUCGAUUCGAAGGCUUCGAAGCUCUCUUUACCUUUAUGUGAUUGGGUGUGUGCGUAAUCUCACGCACGCGACGUUGAGAGAGAGAGAGACAUUUACUUGCGAUCUUAUUGCUUUCCUCUGCUCCGAUCGAAUUCAAUAUCAGCUUCGAUGUAUGUUUCUCUCUUUCACCUUCAAUUACUGUUAUUUUCUUUUUUCUCGAUUAGCCGAAUACUGGGGAUCUUCUCAUAAUUUUUUUUCAUUGCAUCGAAAUUAGGGUUAUUUUUUCUUUGUUUUCCAAAGUUUAAGGAGAUUAUGGUUUGUGAAUUUGAAAGCCACCCUCUUGAGGGUUCUUGAGUUUGUGGUACAAAAUUUGGUUGUUUGCAUUGUUUGAUGUCAUUUUGAGAGUUGACGACUAUGAUUGAAAAAAGUGUACACCUUUACCCCUGAAUCAUAUUGUAAUCCACAAUGUGAUGUAAUAGAUUUCAUGUUUAUUGACUUAUCAUCCCAAGUUUUUUUUUUUAAUGUAGUGGUUGCUAUCAGCGAAAUUUGAAUGAGAAUUUGACCCCUUUUUAAAAAUUUUAUUUUUGCAGAACACUCGGAUUCAUCUUGACUUUAUUGAAGCUGUGUAGCUCUUAAUAAUUGGGGGCCUAUGCGCUCAACGCGUUGCUGCUCGUGAAGAAAGAAGCUAGGAAAUUUUGAUAAGUAUAACUUAUUUAUAAGGUUUCAGUCUUAGGCAUGUCUCGUUUCGAUUGCUGUGGCUGUGAUAUCUCAACUUGUUGUGUUCAUCUCGCUGAAUGGCAUCCUUUGGAAUAGUCAGGUUCUUCGGGCUGCAAGCCUUCUUAACCCCUUUUAUCGCGGGGUAAGAUUUGGAUUUGUACCGACGUUUUCGUUUUUGAUUAUUCGGAUGCUCAAUUCAGGAUAUUUAUUUUGAUAUCACCUUUUUUUUGUGCAGGUUCUCUUCAGUUAACUUAGGCACUAUAUCUUUCAGCAUUCAUUCAUACUUUGAGGAGUAGGUCAUGUUUCGUGAUAGUUUUUUGUUUGCCCGUACUAUGGGUUGCUUUGGAUGCUUUGGCGCUUCUGGUAGUAGAACCCGACAAUCGCCUAAGCCCUACGACGAUGAUACAUACUCUUGUGAUAGCGAUGUUACUACCACUGCGAGAGGAGAAGAAGAAGAGGAUGAAGAAGAAGUAGAGCAGAAGAGCCGCUCUAAACGAUCUGAGGAAAUUUUGACUUAUAGAUUAGAUAAUGGAUUCAUCUGCAGGCACAUUCCAGUGAGAGAAACUAAUGAACUUAUCCGUGGAGAGGUAAUUUGCGUCGUCUUGUGCCUAUCUCGCAUGUUAAUGCUUCUCAGAAUGUCUCAUGGUGUGUCUAGACAAAUUUAGUUGUUGUUUGAUAUUUAGGAUGAAAAUGGUGACAAGACAAUCAAUGAGUACGUUCGUGUGUGUAAAAUUGGAUCUGGUAGCUAUGGUAAAGUGGUAAGUGUCAUCUACACAAUACUAUCCAAUCCUUUAAAUGUAUCCUCCAAAAGCAUCCCGGGUUUUGGAUUCCAUAACAUUAUUUUUUUGGAUUCUCAACAGGUUUUAUAUCGAAGCACUAUAGACGGCCAGUUUUAUGCUAUCAAAGUAAGCCCUUAUUUCUUUCCCUCAUUGCCUCGUGAAAAACCUUGUCCUUAUUGUUGAGCUGAUGUUAAUCAUUUGAAUUAUACAAGUUAAUUUGCUUAAUUGAUCACUUAUAUAUAUGGCUUGUAGCUCUCUGACAUAUUAUGAUUUAAUACUUGGAUUUCCAGGCAUUUCAUAAGUCGCAUUUAUUAAGGCUAAGGGUUGCACCUUCAGAGACUGCUAUGAGUGAUGUUCUUCGUGAGGUACACUGAGUUUUUUGCAUUUCAGAACAGCAUUUCUAUUGGUUCAUUUUAAAGAAGUUGUGUUUACGCUCAUUUAUCUCAUCACUUCAGGUUAUGAUUAUGAAAAUUCUGGAGCAUCCUAACAUUGUUAACCUCAUUGAGGUUAUAGAUGACCCUGAAACUGAUCAUUUUUACAUGGGUAAUCUCUUUUUUCUUCUCUACUGUUUAGAUUUAUACUCACCAUGGAAAGAGCCUUUUACCUUAUAAAUGUUUGUCUUUCUGGUUUCUCCUAGUUCUCGAAUACGUUGAUGGAAAAUGGGUGUAUGAUGGCUCUGGACCGCCGGGUGCUCUCGGGGAGAAAACUGCUAGAAAGUAUUUGCGUGAUAUUGUUACUGGCCUGAUGUAUCUUCAUGCUCAUGUAUGGUCUUCCUUGAUUAGCGUGUUUCUCUUACUUCAUGUUUCGUCACCUAAUACUGUCUUGAUACUGUUUCUAUGGGGACCAAACAGGAUGUAAUUCAUGGGGACAUUAAACCCGACAAUUUGCUGGUUACUAGUAGUGGUACUGUGAAGAUAGGAGAUUUCAGUGUUAGCCAAGUAUUCAAGGUAACAAAGCGAUAACUGAAUCACUGGUCUUCAUUAAUUCUUAUAGCUAUCUUCUUACCUGAGUGUUACCAUCAAUUCUUUGUUGUUACAGGAUGAUGAUGAUCAACUGCGUCGAUCUCCCGGGACUCCAGUCUUCACUGCUCCAGAAUGUUGUUUAGGUUAGUUUGCAUUCUAAUCUCUGUAAGCUUGGUCCUAGUUCAUUAGUCUAUAUAGAGAAUGAGCAAAAAUCUUUUUUUCCUUUCUUGGAUCGAAUGCAGUGUCAGGUGUAACAUAUAGUGGCAGAGCUGCGGAUACAUGGGCAGUUGGAGUUACUUUGUAUUGUAUGAUAUUGGGACAAUACCCAUUUCUUGCUGAUACUCUUCAGGACACCUACGACAAGGUAGGUUCUGCAUCUGAUCAGUCCUUCCCUUGGAUCUUGAAAAUCUUAUAACUUCCCAUUGUUUAUAAUCCUGUUAUCGCCUACAGAUUGUUAACAACCCUUUGAUAAUCCCGGAUGGACUGAAUCCUCUUCUCAGAGAUUUGAUUGAAGGUCUCCUUUGCAAAGGUGAGUUAUUUCCAUUCGUUCAGUGUAGAAUAAAUAGUGCAAACUAAAGAACUAAGUCUCAAAUGUAUAUCAAUGGCGGUUUUUGCAGAUCCGAGCCAGAGGUUGACACUAAAGAAUGUGUCCGAGCAUCCAUGGGUAGUUGGAGAAGAUGGGCUUGUCCCUGAGUAUUUGUGUUGGUGCAAACGCAAUGCUGCCUUAAUGAUUAAAGAUGAAGAAGAAGAAGCUAAUGGGAUCUCUGAAACUUCGGAUCCUUAACUUAAAAAAUCGGAAGCUUUUGAUCGCUUCAAGAAUAGAUGCACCAACUUAACCAGACAAGUUUGACCUCGCUUGGGGUCAUUGUUUUUCUUUUUCUUUAAUGACUAGAUAAUUGUAUGUUAUUGUGCAUUGUUUAUAAGUUUUAAACUAAAUUCGAUUUUGAUCUUGAUUUUGGCUUUGAUUUUUCUUUUUUUGUUGACGUGGGGAAGUUGCCCUCCAAAUUCGUUAUCACUUAUAAGGGGAUCGAUCUCCUCCAACCGAAGUUUACGAAUUUUAUAAUUGCUUUUGAUAUGGUUGUUAUACUUUUGCCAUUCUUAUAAGAGAUGGCUAAUCCUACCUAUUCAUAAUUUAUUUUCAAAUGAUCUUCUAUGACAUACUUUACUAUACAUACAUACAGAUAACAUGUAUGCAAUUAGAAGUACCAUUAUGUUUUGUAAAUUUUGUUAAAUUUUAUCAAAGAUAGGUAAGUGGAUGCAGUCAUGCACUAUACGUCAGAGCAAUAAAUAUAUUUAAGUCAUUUUCAUAUUUUUUCCCCAAAUAACAUAAGUAGCUAGGAUGUCAUGUCAUAAAUGAUAAUAACCAUGUACUUAUUAAUUGUGUAAUUUAAAUGAUAAUAUGCAUGUAGAGAAGAAAUCUAACAUUUAUAAGGUAAUGCAGUAGUAAAAAUACUAUUUUGAGUCUUGAGUGUAUAUAUAAAAGCAACCAUCGGGUCUUAGUUUAUUCAUGCAUUGCAUUGGAUCGAAAAUAGUUGAUAUCAACUUUUUUAGCGAAAAAAAGAACUCAUCAGAAAAUUUGGUCAUCGAAUAUUUCAAUGUCUUCCUCUUCUCGUUAUUGUUUCUCUCUUUAUUACCAGAGUGCAAUCAACUCGUGAGAUCUCUCUUUUAACCAAAAAAAAAAAAAAACUCGUGAGAUAAUCUCUUUCCUCUCUUUAUUGUUGAUUUGUUUCUGUAUUUAUAUAUGAAAAUAUGAUUGCAAAUUGCAAUGUUUAAUUUGUUGAUUACUAGAAACAAAAAUAUCAUAAGUACAGUGUGUAUGUGUGGUAAUAUGAUUUGAUUAAACAAGGGCGAUUAUGGAUUCGUCACAAGAUUGCCUUAUGGCACACCAUCCUUAGGGCGAUUGUGGAUUUGUCACAAGAUUGUCUUAUUCGCUCUAAGGUACAUAUUUUGUGUGUGUUUUAUAUGGAGACGAGCGUGUAUGCUGUUGCAUCCCAAUGUAAUUGACUUGAUUGAUAUAUCGUUAUGUUAAUAAUGUACUAUUUCUUUAUAUUUUCAUCGGUUAGAUGUCUCGAGCCAAAUUCUAUAGAAUGUUAGCUUAUAAUAUUAAGAGUAAAAUCAAAAGAACUUAUAUAAAAGGAUAAUUUUUGUCGUUGUCAAAUCUCAAAACUAAAAGUCUUGUGCAUGCAUGUAUCGUGUAUGCAUAUUCUUCUUCUUCUAAAAUUAUGUACAAGCAUGUAUUUUCUAAUAUGCAUACGUAGAAAUUUUCUUCACAUAAGUUCUUUAAGUUACUUGUGAAUUCCCAAAGGAAUCAAUCAUCUAACUUGUUGUUAUGAAAGUAUCGCAACUAAAAAGCUCAUAAAUCUUUGCUAGAUCUUUUAUUUUUUUGGGAAAUAAAGUUUAAGUUGACACCAGUGGAUCAAUAAUUACGUUAAACUAAACAUGGUAAACAAAAUUUAACAUAUGUAUAUUUAAUAUGUUGGACAAACAAAGUCUUCUGAAUUAGGCAUCUAAUUUGGGGGUCAAAAUUGUUAAAUCUAUAAAGUUUAGGGUUAGAAUGAAAGAAAUUAAAACAAUGCUAUGUGUUAUUAAUUUUUAAUUUUUAAUUAGGAAAGAGACAGACAUCAAUACAUAAGCUUCUUGUCUCUUGUUUGGCUUCUCUCACACUUCGAUUAUAUAACCCUACCCUUCUCCUUCUCUUCUUUUCCAUUUUUUUCUUUCAGCUGUUCCAGUCCACUCUCUCUCUCCUCCUCCUCCUCCUUCUCUCUCUCUAUCUACCUUUUGACUCGCCGGCGAAAUAUUCAACGGGUGAUUAUAUUACCCGAUACAUCGCAAGAUCUAAUUUUACCAUUGGAGGUUUUUGGGGGUAAGCAUAUCAUAUGGAUUAGUCUUCUCUUCUUCGUUUUUUUUUUUAAUUGUAUGAUUUGUUCGUCCUCUUCUUCUGCUCUGUAUGAUCGAUCCUCAAAUUGGAUCUGGGAUGCAUUCUCAAAUUUCAGAUUUUUAUUGGGAUUUCUAAUUGUCGGAUUCGGAUCUGCUUUUCUCUUGUUCAUUGUUUGACUUUGGCUUUGAUUUGAGGAACGAUCUCUUGUUAAUCCGAAACGAUUCUAUUUGGAUCGGAGUUAUAAAGACUCGAUUUUUGACAUGUUCUAUCAAUUUUUCUUCAGUUGGUUUGAUUGAUUUGAGUUUUUUUUUUUUCUUGCAGAUUCGGACAUUGUGUAAUAUAACUACAGAUUAUAUUUGGGUUUUUGCACCGGGGCAAGACGGUUAUUCCAACUUUGGAAACUUACUGGUUUGGGUUUCAAAGAGUUUGAGGAUGUUGUUGUGUGAUAAAGUUUAGAUUUGUUUGAAGAUUUGAUGGACAAACUAACUAGUAAUAAGGAGAUGCAGAUUAUUUUGGAGCAACAAUCGAAAUCUGUAUCUGGAUACUGGGUCAAGAGUUGCCCAAUUAAGCGAGACUCGUUUUUGAUGAUUGGAGAAGAAGACAGGAUUUGUUGUUUGUAUUGAAAUAGGUUUCUUUGUUUUUGGGUUUGGGUUGGAUUCUUUGUAUUGAAAUAGAUUGUUAACUUUAAUGGCUGAAGAACAUUCGAAUAAGAGAAGAGAAGUCUCUGCUUCUGCUUCUGCUUCUGCUUCUGCUUCUGCUUCUGCUUCUGCUUCUGCUUCUGUAGUAGUGAAUUCGAGGGUUGGAGAGGAACAAGAUGAUCAGCGCCUCAGGUUGGGAUCAAGUGACUCGCUUCUCCCUGGUCUUAUUGAUGAUGUUGCUCUAAAUUGUCUUGCUUGGGUUCCGAGGUCAGACUAUCCUUCCUUGUCUUGUGUAAACAAAAAGUACAAUAAGUUGAUCAACGGUGGGCAGUUGUUUGGUUUGAGGAAGGAACUAGGGAUUGUGGAGUAUCUUGUUUUCAUGGUUUGUGACCCCAGAGGUUGGUUGAUGUUUUCUCCUAUGAAAAAGAAAUGGAUGGUGUUACCUAAGAUGCCCUGUGACGAGUGCUUCAACCAUGCUGAUAAAGAGUCUUUGGCUGUGGACGACGAGCUUCUGGUUUUCGGGAGAGAGUUGUUUCAGUUUGCUAUUUGGAAAUACAGUUUGAGGUCUCGGUGUUGGGUCAAAUGCGAAGGAAUGCAUCGUCCUCGCUGCUUGUUUGCAUCUGGAAGCCUUGGCGGCAUCGCUAUAGUUGCAGGUGGAACAGAUAUGAAUGGCAAUAUACUAGCAUCAGCUGAGCUUUAUGAUUCUUCUUCAGGGAGAUGGGAAAUGCUUCCCAAUAUGCAUUCUCCUCGAAGACUAUGCUCCGGAUUCUUCAUGGACGGUAAAUUCUAUGUGCUUGGAGGCAUGACCAGCCCUAAUGUAUCGGUUACUUGUGGGGAGGAAUUUGAUCUCGAGACAAGGAAAUGGAGGAAGAUAGAAGGAAUGUAUCCGAAUGUGAACCGAGCAGCGCAGGCUCCACCUCUUGUUGUGGUGGUUAAUAACGAGCUAUUCACACUCGAGUACUUGACGAGUAUGGUGAAGAAGUAUGAUAAGGCGAAGAACAGAUGGGAAGUAAUGGGAAGGUUACCACAAAUGGUGGACUCGUCAAACGGUUGGGGGUUGGCGUUUAAACCGUGCGGGGACCAACUGUUGGUGUUUUGUGGGCAGCGAGGUCCUCACGGUGAGAGCAUUGUGGUGAAUUCUUGGUGUCCAAAGUCGGGAGCUAAAGAUGGAAACUUGGAUUGGAAAGUGCUUGGAGUUAAAGAGAAUGUUGGUGUGUUUGUGUAUAACUGCGCAGUGAUGGGCUGCUAAAUAAGGAAACCUUCUGGAAAAGUUGGGGUUUUCUUUACAUCAAAUCUAUCUCUGGUUCGUUCUUUCCUUCUUCUUCUUUCUUCUUUCUUCUUCUUCUUCUUUAUUUGUAAAACAGAACUUCUUUCUUCUUCUUCUUCUUCUCUAUUUGACUGGUCUUUAGUUCAUUUUGCUCUUCGGAUCAUUAUGCUUUUGUUGUCUGUUCUGUUUAAUUUUUUUGGGUAAAUUGGAAAAAAAGUGAAAAUUCAUUCCUCUGCAAAAUGUUUUCCUUGUUUUUUACUUGGUUCAUCAUUUACCAAAGGAGAAGAGAAAAAAAAAAUCCACUGCGUCAUUUGCUCUGUUCAUCAUUUACUGAAUGAGAAGAGAAAAAAUAUAAAAUUUUACAGUGUGGCAUUGCUUUUGCCGAGAAUUGGAUUGUUGUGAAUAGUGAAAACUAUAAUUUGCGGUUUAUGUAGUUGUGGAUAGUGAAAACUUACGAGUCUUUUCAUAUGGAAGAAGUGAAAGCAAUAGACUUUAAUGUGGAGGGGUUAAUGAUCCUAUGACCAGUCUAGGAGACCCCCACGUACCACACGACCCAAAGCCGGAGGAAGAGGAGACUUCGAACUAGGAUUUAUGAUUCUUUAAUGUUUUUUUAACGAUAACAAAAUAUAUAUACGUUUCUUUUGAGAAAUUUAAUGCAGUCAAUAUUUGUUUUUUCUGUUAGAAACAGUCUCCAUCUGUAUAUUUCGGAAAUGCUAGUACGUUCUACAAAUUUCAGUGAGCUGAGAAAAGUAUUCAUGUGCUCCUUAUCUUUGCAGUCAUCAGUACAAAUGUAUGUAAUAAGUUCAGUUUGGUACACAACUUAGUUCAUAAAUCGUGAGAUCUUUUAGUUUGGUCUCAUAUAUUUUUUCUUGUUACAUAUAUGUAGAGGAAAAGAAAUUUACUUGUUAAGUUUGGGAGGCAUCUCAACCACGCUAACAUACACACGGAAAUAUUGCUGCUUCCAUGAUUCAUUUUUUUUUUAAUAAAAUUUCUGAUAAUAUAUAUAACUUUCACGAUUACAUGAAAAUAGAAAAAAAGGUGCCACAACGACAACGAACUCCGGGAUGAACAAACCCGGUACAAGAACUAUAAAGAAGAGGAUACAAUAAAUAUAUAUAAAAAUUAGAGAAAGAGUCCUCUAAACCAUAGAUUAAGCAUGAGUUCUUCAGACACUGUUGGGAUGUGGUGGGUGAGGAAGUCACAAUUGCAGUCCAGAGCUUCUUUGAGAAUGGGAAAAUGGAACCAAGUUGGAACUCCACAGCAGUCACCAUGAUUGCUAAGGUCACCAAUGCGGAAACAGUGGGUGAGUAUAGACCAAUCUCCUGCAUUAAUGUGCUCUAUAAAGUCAUCUCCAAGCUUUUAGCAAGAAGACUUCAGAAUUUGCUACCAGAGAUGAUACAAGAGAAUCAAACUGCCUUCGUUAAGCAGAGACAAAUUGUGGAGAAUGUGCUGCUUGCAUCAGAAUUAGUUCAAGGCUACAAUAAGAAUGGGAUCUCAAAAAGGGGAAUGCUGAAGAUAGAUCUCAGGAAAGCAUUUGAUUCCAUUGAGUGGAGCUUCAUAAUUGACAUCUUGGUGGCAACUAACUUCCCAAGAAAAUACAUACACUGGAUUAGUCAAUGUAUUAAGACCACAAGAUUCUCAAUCUCAGUUAAUGGAGAACUUUGUGGGUAUUUUAAAGGAAAGAAGGGACUGCGACAAGGAGACCCUCUCUCCCCUUACCUCUUUGUGAUUGGAAUGGAUACCUUCUCAAGGCUGUUGGAUCUUCGCUUCCAAACAGGACAUAUUGGAUAUCACCCUAAGGCAACGAACCCGAAUGUUACCCAUCUUAUCUUUGCUGACGAUGUGAUGUUGUUCUUUGAUGGUGAAUUCUCCUCUUUAAAGGCUAUUGUGAAUCUUUUGGAUUAUUUUUCAAGCAUCUCAGGUCUAAUCAUGAACAAGAACAAAACUGAGCUUUAUCUUGCUGGAUCUAAUGCUCCAUUUCAGGCGCUCUUAAGCUCAUCUUUUGGUUUCUAUUUGGGAACUCUUCCUGUGAGAUAUCUAGGUCUUCCCUUGCUGCCAAAUCCUCUCUCAAGGGCUGACUGUGAGCCGCUGGUUCAAAAAGUGAGAAAACGCCUUCACUCUUGGCAGAACAAACACCUCUCAUAUGCAGGGAGAUUGCAACUGCUCACCUCCGUUAUCCAAAAUAUUGUUGCCUAUUGGUGUGCUGCCUUUAUCCUACCUACAAAGUUUAUUAAGGAUCUUGAAAAGCUUUGCAGAAGAUUUUUGUGGUCUGGUUCUGCAGAAAUUCCAAAGCAAGCUAAAGUCAGCUGGAAAAAAGUUUGUUCUCCAAAAUCAGAAGGAGGCCUAGGCCUCAAGGACUUGAAAUCUUGGAACAAAAUAUUUGGGCUGAAACUCAUCUGGCAAUUAUUCUCUGCUUCUGGUUCUUUGUGGGUUGCUUGGUGUAGAAAUCAUAAGCUAAGGAGGAAGUGUUUUUGGAACCUCUCUAUUAACAGUCAGGGUUCAUCAAUGUGGAAGCAGCUUCUCAAGCUAAGAUCCACUGCCAAAACAUUCCUCUCUUGCAAAGUUGGAAAUGGUAAAUCUUGUUCCUUUUGUUUUGAUAAUUGGACUCCAUUCGGAGACUUGUUUUCUUACCUAGGCCCUCAAGAACACCAAAGGUUAGGUCUCCCGCUAGACUCAACUGUGGCCAAGGCUCGCACUAGUGAUGGAUGGAUCUUUAGAGGUGCCCGCAGCAAUGAGACUGAACUCCUCUUAAGACAUCUCGCUGAAAUAGAAAUUAAUGAGGAUGUUAAGGACACCUACUUAUGGGCUAGACCACAUGGAGAUCCUAGAAACCAGUUCAAUUUCGCUGAAACUUGGAAGCUCGUUAAGACACCUUCACAAGAGGUGACUUGGCACCACCAGGUCUGGUUUUCAGGGUCUAUCCCAAAGCACUCUUUUAUUUUGUGGUUAAGUUGCCUAGAUAGACUUCCAACUCUAUCAAGGCUUAGAAAAUGGGGAAUCUUAGAAGAUGAUACUUGCUACCUUUGCGAGAUCUACUUUGAGACAAGAGAUCAUCUCUUUCUAACCUGCCCAUAUAGCUAUGACCUUUGGAGAUGGGGUCUUGAAAAACUUCAGAUCCCAUUCGCAGGCUUCAACAACUGGGAUAGGUUCCUCAUGUGGCUUAAAGCUACAUCAAAUGACCCCAAAAUGGAGCCAUUAAAGCUUCUUUUGGCUCAAGCAGUUAUUUACUCUCUUUGGCAUGAAAGAAAUGCUCGCAUCUAUACCGGUAUUCGCACUCCGGUCGAAGCUCUUUUCCCUAUUCUUGAUAGGCGAAUCCGAAACACUUGCCUAGCGAGGAAAGACAUUCCAAAGUUCCAAGGCUUCCAUGAUUCAUAUUUUUUCUUAGCCCAUUAUUAGAAACGGGUUUUGCGGCUAGUAGCACAAUUAAGCUGUGGUGGACUUGGAAUCUGAAAGUUGGUUUCUCGCGACAGGUUGGCAAAACUAGCGAGACACACACGUAGAUCCAUCGCUUGUAAGCUAACCCAAGAAAGGAAAAAGAUUAUGACGUGUCGGAGGAACUGAUGGAUCGGAUUUUGGCGUUUACAUGGCUUGUGGUAUUUACGUUUUUCCAGUUUGGGUCAUCAUGUAUUCCCAUAGACCAACCUAGUAAUUUGGAAGUUCUGCAUGCGUGAAAGUUAACCUCAAAUAUUAUCUAGUGUCAUAGAAGCUACCAAAACAAAAUCCACUAUACUUAUGGGAAAAUUCAAAUUUGUAGUCCAUCCAUAGGAUAAGGUCAUAAUUAUAUAGGAGUAGCUUCGUAAUUGAUUGAAACUAAACAACACUAAAAACAAACUAAAAUGCUAAUUAUAAUAAAUAAAGAUUUUCCAUUCGACUCAAAGCUAAUGAAUCUUUGUGCGAUGAAAUAAAUCAAUAAUCUUCAAGAAUGUAUAACUAGAGUUUCCAAAAGAAAAAGAAACCGCCACGGAUAUACAUUAUAUUGGAAAAACCAGCGCGUGGAGAGCACGCGCUUCUCCCUUCUCUCUCUUCCCCUUCUUCUCGACAAAACUUGCUAGAUCUGGUUUCGUCGCCUCUCCGGUGUGCUUCCGGCGCCGGGGAGGGCUCCCUGAUUUUUAUUUUUUAUCUGUAGCUUUUGUUGGUUUGCUCCAGUGGUGAUGGCUUGGAUCUCCUCUUCUCUGAAGCCUUGGAUAGGUGGUGAACUGUUGCGUGGAGAGAAAGUACUCGCCAAGGGUUUGGGUCGCCGAUGUCGUCGCUAUUUAAGGACAGUGGCUUGUUUUCGGCGGUGGUUUGGUGGUUCUGGCGGAUCGACUUUCUCUCCAGCAGUGGUAUCAGAUCUGAUUUUAGAUCUUGGGUUUUUUUUUUGUGAGGUUGUUGAGGCGUGGGAGCAGCUCGGUCUCCUUCGGUGGCUGUGCUUGUGGUGCCUCUGGAUUCCGGUUUAGCUAGCCGGUCUCUUUCGCCUUUCUCCCUUUUCAGUGUUGGUGCUGAUCCGGUUCUUGGUCUCACCUCCGAGCUUCUGUUUCUUCGUGUCUUCAUCGGUCUCUCCUUCAACGGUUUUCAAGCUUCUGGUGGCAGAGAGUGAAGGGCAUUGGAUCUGUGACACAAGUGGAAGCUUCCUCAGCGUCAAUUUGUUUGGAAUUGUUGCUUUUGGUUGUUCGUGUGGCGGUUAUCCGUUAACGGCGAAUCUCUUCUGUCUUGUGGGUGGACGUUGGUGUCAGCUGCGUCUUCCGUAGUUGCUAGUUUGUGGCUUCUCGUCAGGUCUCCUUUUCUCUGUAUCGGAGGUUCGUUGUUGGUGUUUUUGAUUUGGUUCGUUCCGGUUGGUUCUUCCUAGGCUUGUGCUGCUGUUUUGCAUAGGCUGGUUUGGGGUUUGUUGUAGGUGUUUGUGUCUUCUUUGUAUUGUUGCGUCUUGGUUUGCUACGCUUUUCACAUCGGCGAAGGCUUAGUGGUUGAAUAGAGGCAGCGGUUCUGUCUAGGUUGCUUUCUCAAUCCCGUGGGAGAUGGUUCCCGUUGGUUCACGCUUGGGAAUGGUGGUCAGAGGCGGCUUCUCUGGCUGCCCGUAGAUGCUCCCAUGCCGCCGGGUGCGAUUAGGUCCAAUUUUAGCGGUUCCGUUUUUGCGUUAGUCCUCGGAGAAGCUGUAGGCGCCCUUUUGUCUCGAGGUUUUGAAGGCUGGCUUUGGGUAGGGUUGCUCGUGGCAACAACGAUGAGGACUCGAGUUCUUUGGAGCUGAGGCAAUCACGCAAAUGUUCGAACUUAGCGGUUCGGAAUUGGUGUUUCUUCUUCGGGCCUUUGCUAAUUGUUUCGCUAAUGCUUUCCUUGUCGUGUUUUUGUCUUGUGUUCGUAAAUUUUUUAGUUGUAAAUUUCGGUCAUUCUGAUUUCUUCGUUUUCUCUGUAACUUCUGUCGCAAAUUUGAAAAUUGGUAUAAAAUUUAACCUUUUACCAAAAAAAAAAAAAGAAAAAAAGACAAAACCUUACCAAAAAGACAAAACCUUACCAAAAAGACAGAACUCUCAUGGCCGUGUCAAAAAAAAAAAAAACACAGUUAGGUCAGUGUUAACGUACGUAGGCAUUUAAGUCUACUUAAUUAUUCUAUAGAAUCUUCGAGUUGAUGAUUCUUUCUCCGAUCCCCCAACAAUGUGUGGGUCUUCGAGAUAGCUUGACCUCACGUACAGUCAUAUACAAAGACAAACUUUUUAUUUUUUUAUAGGAUUUAUUACAUGUACAUAUAGAGUAGUUCAGAAUUCAUGCACAAGCACAAAACUGUACAAACCCUACCAUUAAUAAAGAGAUGGCAUAAGUCAAUAUAUUAUAUACGUAUCAUUUAUGAUUAUAUGGUGCAUGUAUUUUACAUAAUAGCAUUUAUAUUUUCAAACAAAAGUUAAUAUAUAUCAAAUAAACGUACGUUCUAUCAUUGUUUUGUAUUAGUAUAGCUAUUCAGAUUAGUGCGUCGCGUCAAUGGUAGGUUCUAACUUCUGAUACAUGCUAAAAGAAGCUAAUUACAUGUAAACAGAAUCCCACAUAAAAGAAAGAAAACAAAUCCUAUAAUUAAUGAUGUACAUAUGUAGAGAGAUUGCCUACCAAUAUGCUAUAGCUUUGCCUUUUGUGUCAGGCCGAUUCUGGUUGAUUUGGAUCACUUUGGUAUCUACUUUCACGUAAUCGGUAGGUUUGGCCAUUCAGAUAUAUUAAAAACAUCCAAAUCAGAAUUAUAGAUUUAGUUAUAAUUUCUCUUUUCAUCCAUAGCUGGAGCCUGGAGCCAUAUAUAUCAGUUAAUAUAAAUCUGUCUCUAGCUAGUUUUUAUAUAAAUCUUCUUUACAACUUCAUAAAAUUUUUUUUUUUAAAGUUUGGAUAACUUUCACAAGUUUUUUUUUUUCCUGAAAACAAAAACAACAGUAACGGUUACAUAGUAUUACUUUUGUGCAUGCCGUCGUUCAAACUUAAAACGAUUCUUCCAAUUAUAUAACAAAUCUAUUGAAAUUAGUGUCAUCAAUAGGAAAGCAAAUUCAAAUCUUCAGUCUAAUAACACCUCAGAUAAAGGAUGGCUGGUUUUUAAAUUCAAGUCAAAAUUAGCUUUAUUCACGAGUAGAUUACUCUUACAAAUGUUUUCCUUGAAAAGCAGAGAUUCUUCGUAAGAAGCAAAAAUAUGUAAAAUAAAGUCGCUUUUAUUGUUGGGGCAUCAUUCCAAAGCCGAAUUCAAAUUAUAUAUUCUCCUUCUUUACCAGUUACCACCACCAGCAUUAGAAAAAACAUGACUAACCUUUUUCUUUAGGUUCUGUGUGUUUUGUGUGUGGCUAUCGGCUAUCCACUGUCAAGAGUCAAGACAGAUAAAACUAUCGCCAAAAAAGCACUAGUACUCUCUCAUGCAACAUAAACGAUAACUAAAUCACAAAAACCAUCAUUAUUGAUCUUAGAACCAUUUCUUAACAAAUCUUUAACUCUAAAAUUUAUUAAAACCCCAUUAAUAAUGAUAACCUAAUUAGCCGAACUUGUAGAUUAUUUAAAGAAAUUAUACUAUAAAUUUGUACUUUUGCUUAACUCAGUAAUUUGUAACAUAAGCUUUAGAAAUGAAUUAGAGAGGGUUUAUUACUUGUUUCAGCUUGGAUGAUAGUAUAUAUUAGUAUAUAUGAUGUUACAAGAAUUAAUGAAAACCAAAAACUUUAAACAAUGUCAAAUCAGAGCAUAUUAUUAUUAAUCAUAUCUAUAGUUGUCGUAUAGAAUAAUUGUUUAAUGAGAUAACGUUAUUAUCUGCACCACCUAACCAAGCACAAACUUCACGCAUGAUCGUGAUGUAUGAUAAUUCAGAGAUCUUAACAUCAAACAAGCUUUGCUAAACCUAAUGCAUCGCUAACAAAUUUUUAAUCCAAAUAUAUACCAUAGUCUCUUCGCUUACAUAAGAUACUAAUAUGAAUCUUGCCAACAUUUAUAUAGAGCUAGCCACAUCACGUUAUUUACUCUUUCGUGAAAACAAUUACAAAAUUAUGACAAAAAAUAGUUACUAGAAAACGUGGAUUAUCAUAAAGUUAACUUUAAAGAUUAAAGGAAUUUGGUUGAUCCGCCUAAUUAUUAUUGUAUAGUUCCAAUAAUGAAUCCAAAAAACUACCAUUUGUUAAUCGUAAUUUAGAUUUGAUAGAUCAACACCUAGUUUUGGAAACGAAAAUUUCAGUCACAAUUAAGUUCUUUUUUGGAAAGCGUUACACGGUUCUAAAGACUAAUAAAUAGACAAUGAGAGCAAUAACAGAAAUGCAGGUGUUACAUCAAGCUUGGGUGAUAUGAUCAAAAACAAAAAUUUCAAAAAGAGAUUUAAAAUUGAAAAGGAAAAGAGAAGAAAGCCACUAAAUCACUAUGAUACUACACAUGUCAUACAUUCACAUGAGUUGGUUAGCCAGUACUUACACACACACACACACAAAUGUAAAAUUACACAAUUGUGUUCGUCUUAUCAUAUUGUGCCGCGCCCGUAUCAAAUAUAACACGCAUCACACAACCACUACUAUACUGUCUUUUUCCAUAAAUAUUUUUUUCUUUUGGUUUUUAUUUAUUUUUUCCGGAAUAAUUCGUGAGAAUGUACUAAAACUUUGUACCAAAUUGGUUUAAUGAUUUUUUUUUUCUUUUAUCUUUUACAAAAAGAAAAUUAUAACAAAAUCAGAUCAACAGUUUUUUAAAGUUAUAAGAAAGCAAAUCUUUGUAAAACACAUCAAGUUAGAACUCUGAAAUCAUCAGUAAAAUCUAUAAAAGUUAAGCAAUUAAUUGCUUAUGUAUAAGUUUAAGUGGUUAACCAAUAGUAAACAUAAUUUAGCAUCGCCUGAUUGCUGCUUUAACUAUAUAAGUAAAAAAAACAGAAACGGAUGGUAGGAUCAUAUUUGAUGAAAAUGAAUAAGCCCAACACUAGUGACUUAUCUAGAAAGAAAAUGAAAUUUACAUCAAAAUGGCAAAGAAAUUAAAAAUAUUUUUUUAGCAAUAGGCGAGGAGAGGUAUUGAGAAGAAGGAAGUGUAGGCAGGCAAGGCAGGCCCAUCUCUCUCUCUUUCUCUUUUCAUAAAUGAGAAUCAUGCUUUACUCUCUCUCUCUCUCUCUCUCUCUCUCUCUCUCUCUCUAUUUCAUUCAUUCUUCUUCCUCAUUUACAGCCCGAUUCCACUAUCUUCCUCAUCAUCAUAAGUAUACACUAAUCUCGAGAAGAAGAUAAAGCAACCAAAACAAACACCUCUCUCUCUCUCUCUCUCCCUUUCUCCUUUGUUUCAAAGUUUCUUCCUUUUGGGCGGGUUUUAAGGAAUAUUUUGGAACUUUCUCUUUUUGGGUACGUUUCUUUAGUUUCUGGGCUUCUUCUACUUGUGGUUUGUUUUUGUUGUUUGUUGUUUCUAGCUCUACUUGUAUAUUACUGUGUCACGCUUUUCUCUAGCAAACUUUUAUGCUUCUUGCUUGAUGACUAUAUCACAAGAUUAUUCUGAGCGUUUCGGUGUCCCUUCCUUCUAAUUAAAGUCUUUUUUUUUUUUUUUUUUCUUCUCUAUUUUGUUAAGGUUGUUUGAGUUCUCUUAGUUCUGCUUUAUUUGGUGCAGAGUAUUUGAAUUUUGGGAAUUCUAAAGGUUGCCUUAAACUGAAAUCAAUCUCUUGCUGUUUGUAUUAGUGAUGGCUACUGAGGAAAAGCCUCUUAAUCCUCUUGAUUCAAGCCAUGGUGAUUCUGCUCCUGCUUCUAAUCAGGUACAUAUCCACAUCACAUCCACAUCAAAAUUUAUGUAUGUGUGCAAAGUUUGGAUCUUGGUUUUUUCAAAGAUUUGAACUUUGAAUGAAUUUGAUGUGUCUGUUUAAGGGAAUUGAAAAGGUUUGAAACUAUUUGAGAUUUGAACUUCGAAUGAAUUACUUGCCAAAAAUUGCUUAGUGUGUUUGCAAAAUUCAGAUCAAAUUGAUUUAGUGUUGUUAGUUUCAUUCAUGAGAUUACUUCUUUUGAGGAAUUGCUUUCUUCUUCAAGUUCUCAUAGAACCCAUUGGUUACUAUCAUCUGUGUUCUUAAUGCGAAGGCUGAAGAAUCAUCUGCUAUAACAGAAGAGGCUUCUGCAAAUGUUCAACAAUGGAGGCGAAAGAACCUCUCUUUGCAGAUUCCCUCGAGAGCAACUGGUCUUUCAUCUCAAGAUUCGGUUGUAAUCAAAAUGCCUCCAACACCUAGCCCAACUCCGAGAAGAGUUAACUUUUCUCUGACUUCUAGCUCUCCAGGUCCUGGUCCUCCUACUUCUUCUGCUCUUCUGCGUGGCAAAUCCUCCCUGAAGAAUCUUUUGCCAAAAGCUGGCUGUAAACCUAAAACCUCUAACACUGAUAUCGAGAAGGGACAAGGGAAUGCCUGUUCUCCUUCUGCAUUGCAAGAGAAGGCUUCGAUAGCGAGGUCAUUAUCACUUUCGAAGUUAUUUACGCCUAAGAUCAAGAGAACUUCAUCUCUACCUGUGACUCCCGUUAUUCUUUCACACUCAGAGUCAGCUCAUGGGGGAAGCAGUGUUGCUCCUCCAACUCCAAACGUAAGCUUUUCUCUUGUAUCAUUUUCAGAGAACCUCGCUAUUGUUAGGUACUUAUACUUGGUAUUGCAGAGCAAAGGGAGUGUGCACAUAGCUCGCUCUCGCUCUGUGCCUGUUAAUGACAAGGAACUAAGCCUAAAGGGAAUGGAGUCAUUCUUCAGAGUAAUUCCUUCGACUCCACGUGUAAAAGAAGGAGACAUUUUCUCAAAUGCAUCAGAGGCUGGUGAUACGGGUAAGUUUGUGUUUCAGUCGGUUAUAUGUUUCCUUUUCUUGUUUCUGAAAUAUUUGUUUACUGAAGAUAACAAAUCUAUCAAUGUGUUGAACAGAAACAGGUGAUGCUGAUGGAGAAGAUAUACCUGAGGAUGAAGCAGUUUGUAGGAUUUGUUUGGUAGAGCUCUGUGAAGGAGGAGAAACCUUAAAAAUGGAGUGUAGUUGCAAAGGCGAACUUGCUCUUGCCCACAAAGAUUGUGCUCUUAAAUGGUUCACCAUAAAGGGAAACAAGACCUGUGAGGUUUGUAAAGAAGAAGUUAAGAACUUACCUGUAACACUCUUACGGAUCCAAAGCCUUAGAAAUUCUGGUGUUGUUCAGCUAGAUGUCACUGGUUACAGGUAAAAUAAACUUAUGUUCUCAUUCUUGGUACAAAUUACUUUACAGAGUAUUCAAAACAUCCAAUCUCUCUUAUGGUUAAAUAGGAAACCUUGACUAAGUCUCUGCAUUUAUUUCUCAACAGGGUCUGGCAAGAGGUACCGGUUCUAGUAAUCAUCAGUAUGCUCGCUUACUUCUGCUUUCUCGAGCAGCUCUUGGUAAUCUGUCUCUACUAUUUAUAACCAGCCUUAACAAAAACAAGCUUCUUGAUAUAGACUUACAUACAGAUAUACUACAGACAGAUAUCUAUAAUAUUAAGUCUUAUUUACAGGUUGAGAAAUUGGGUACGGGUGCAAUCGCGAUAUCUCUGCCAUUUUCUUGUAUUCUUGGUCUUCUUGCAUCCAUGACCGCGUCAACCAUGGGUAGGUCUUCUUUUGGAAAAAAAACUCUUCUCAAUGUGUUUCCUCCACUCUGAUACGUUUUUAGCUCUGGAAUAUUCCUAUGCAGUCAUGAGAAGAUUUGUCUGGAUUUACGCAUCUGUCCAGUUUGCUUUGGUGGUUCUCUUCGCCCAUAUAUUUUAUUCCGUGGUUAGUACUCUUCAACGCCUUUUUACCUUUUCCUUGCUAAAUAUAUCCUUGAAGCUAAAAGAACUUGCCAGCUUUUGGUUUAGCCGAUAAUGAUCGAGAGUUUAGAGAUCUCUUAGGCAAAAAUGAACAUAAAGCUGCAACCUGUAUCAUAUAUAUAUAUCAGUCUAUAAACUCAAAUUAUGUGUUGCUCAAAUCCGAUCUCCCGGUGGUUUCAGGUGAAGUUGCAACCAGUUCUGUCGGUUCUUCUGUCAACAUUUGCUGGAUUUGGUGUCUGCAUAUGCGGAAGCUCAGUGAUGGUUGAGUUUGUGAGAUGGAAACGAAGGUGGCGAGCCAGGAGGCUAGAGGAACAGCUGAACCAGGCUCAGACGCUGACACAACCACCCCAACAGCUGGAUGCAACAACCUCUCGGCAUCAUCCUAAUGCCUCGUAGAGCCAGCCUGAAAGUGGGGAGAUGAUUUUACAUUUAUACUGUUAGUUCGGUUAAUGUUAUGUAAUGAUUUGUAUAAAAGAAAGUGAACAAGAACUGCUUAAAGAUUGUUCUUUAGUUUGUUUUGCUUCUUUGCAUAUACACAUUUUACAUUUGAAUUGUUGUAGUAAGCUUGUAACUUGGAUUUGCGCAAUCUCUGCAAAUCAAAGGUUUGUAGUAGUAUUGGUUUUAAAGCUUCUUCAAUUUUUUGUUGUAUAAUAAAAGAUAAUAUCGAAUAUUAAAAGGAAAAUUAACAAAACAAAAUAGUCACGAGGCAAUCACGUGCCAAUUUCCUGAAAACUCUUCUUCUCUGUUUCUGACUUUUAGGCUUAAGUCUUAGCUCUUCUUCUCGACGACGGUGUAUGAGAUUUAUACAACGAUGAAUCUCUCCACGAGGCUCGCUGAGAAACUUCCCGUAAUCUUACCGGUGCCGUCUUCUCCUCUCCUACGUAAAGGUUGGUUUUUUCAAUCAGUACUGCUUUUGGGGUUUCUGAGAAAAUUUGGAUUCUUUUCAAAGGAACCAAAAUAAGAUAACUCUUUAGGUCGCAAGGUCCAAUCUCGAAUUCAUAAAUCCAUUAUUGUCAUGUGUGUGUGAUAGGAGUUUCCGAGUUAAGAUUCUUUUCGAUUGCUAACCACAGUAGAAGAUUGAGAUGGGGAUUACAAAAGAAGAUGGUUUGGAGUUUGGAGAGAGCUGAAACCUGUGUAGUGAGCAAUUCAUGUUUUGUUCAUCCUGCAACCGAAGCCUAUGCAAAAGAAGCUAUUGAAGCGAUCAAAUCCGAGAAAGUUAUAGCUGUUCCCACUGAUACGCUUUAUGGCUUCGCUUGUGAUGCUUGGUAAUAUGAAAAAUCUUCACUUUUGUAGCUGCAAUAUUAGCUUUUACAUUGCCUGGACUAAACGUUGUGAUUAUAUACAACAUAACAGUUCGUUAGAAGCGGUUAACCGGAUUUAUGAGAUCAAAGGGCGUAAGCUUACAAGCCCUUUAGCCAUAUGUGUUGGCGAUGUAUUAGACAUCAAGAGAGUUGCUACAACAAAUCACUUACCUCAUGGUUUGCUCGAUUCACUCUUGCCUGGUCCAGUUACUCUCGUACUUCAACGAGGUUUGCAUCUUCUUCUUUGAGUGGUUGCAUCGAUAUGAUCUCUUUAUGUGAGAGUGUUCUUUUAGUGUUUUAAACAGGUGAAUCAAGCAUUCUUGAAAAGUCCUUGAAUCCUGGGAUUGAUACUAUUGGAGUACGGGUACCAGAUUGUGAGUUCAUUAGGGAAGUAGCGAGAGGUUCAGGCAGUGUGUUGGCUCUUACAAGUGCUAAUCUAAGCGGUGAUAGAAGCAGCGUUUGUGUUAAAGAUUUUGAGAAUAUCUGGCAGCAUUGUGCUUAUGUCUAUGAUGGUGGUUUGCUUCCAUCGGGUCGCGCAGGAUCUACAAUUGUCGAUCUGACUAAUGCCGGAAAGUAUAAGAUCAUUAGAGCGGGAAGGUAAUGCAAUUGAUGAUUAGAUCAGUUAGUGUGAACUAUUGGAUUUAAAGUAUAAAUCUUUGUGGGGUCUUUGAGCUAAUUACUCACAAAAAUAUGUUCAUCUUGUCUUUGAUUCAGCGCAAAGCAUGCAACAGUGGCGAUUCUUGAAAAGUAUUUGCUGGAGGAAGAAGAAGAAGAAGAAGAAGAGUAGCGUUAGUUAAGAGAAGAAAGCUAAAAGAUGAAUGUGAAGUCUGACUUGCAAAAGAAUGCUGAGGUUUUGCUUUGGUUCUUUAAUAGAUCCUUGCUAUUGGUUCAAGAUAUGUAUGUUUAGUUUGUAAUACGAGAAGAUAGUUGUUGAUUUAGAUUUUGAUCGUAUGCUACCUCCAAUUUUCGUGGUACGCAUCUGUAGUUUAAAGAAACUUGGUGGACCGUUUCAUAAUUUUUACUCAAGUUUAUUAUUACUGGUCAUUAAUGGAAUAAGAAUACUAUUAAACCAAUCCAUGUCUGUUUUGUAAACGUGGCAACUGUUAAAAGCGAAUGGUGUCGUACUUAAAAAAAACACACACACACCCAAAUUAAUAGAGGAAAAUCUCAUAAACUUAUGUAGAAACUCAAUUUCAUUUUACACGCAUCCGUGCUCUAAUUUGAUUCCUAAUACUGUACUUGUGCUAAAACUUGGACUAAAAAAAAUUGUCAUUGGUCCUCUUGGCUGUUUCUGACACACUCUAAAACGUUUUAUCCACAGUUCCUUUCACCACCCAGCUUCAUAUACUUGUUAAUUUCUUAUAUGUGAAAUAUCAAUCCCUCUCAAACUCUUCUCACCACUAAUUUCUUCCUCUCGAACAUUCUCUUCUCUAUUUUUUGAUUCCCUGGUUUCAAGACUGGUUUCUCAAAUUGCGUGAUUUUGGCUCGUCGUCAGGUACUUUUCUCAUGCUUUAGAGAAUCUCUAGAGGGUUCUCUCAAAUUGGUUCUUUUGUCCGGUUUUGAUGAGUUUCUGUGCGAUUUCAUCGAGGGGACGAAGAUAAUUUAGUUGGGUAACUCUGGGUUUGGGAAAAAUUUGUUGAUUUUAUUUGCUUCAGAAUCAGAACUGAAGCUAAAAGAAAGUGUUGUGCUUUUGUUGUUAAAUUGCCUUUGAUCUUCACAGUAACGAAAAUGGAUUUUAGAAGAAUAACAAAUUCAGCUGAUUUUGUUCUGUGAAUGACUAUGCAGUUACUUUGAUUCAAAAUGGCGACUGGAGUGUUGCCAGCUCCGGUUUCCGGGGUUAAGAUCCCGGAUUCGAAACUUGGGUUUGGUAAAAGCAUGAGUAUUGUCAGAAUUUGUGAUAUGAGGAGUCUAAGAUCUGCUAGAAGAAGAGUUUCAGUCAUCCGUAAUUCAAACCAAGGCUCUGAUUUAGCUGAGCUUCAACCUGCAUCAGAAGGAAGCCCUCUCUUAGGUAUAUGCAUAACAGCUUCAUGCAAAGUUAUCAUUUUUCUUUUUAUAAAAAGAAAUCCUUUUUGGAGGUUUCGUUUAGAGUGAAUGAUUGUGUGUUAUAAUCGGUUUUGUAGUGCCAAGACAGAAAUAUUGUGAGUCAUUGCAUAAGACGGUGAGAAGGAAGACUCGUACUGUUAUGGUUGGAAAUGUCGCCCUUGGAAGCGAACAUCCUAUUAGGAUUCAGACCAUGACUACAUCGGAUACAAAAGAUAUUGCUGGAACUGUUGAUGAGGUUUUUCCUUCUGUCCCUUAAAAUUAUAUUUACAGUUUGAAAUAUGGACCUUGCGUAUUUGUGUACAUCAAUAUAUGAAUUUCUUGCGUCAGAUGAUUUAAUUGUGUUGCACCGUAAGCUUAUUAUUGUUCGGUCUGUGAUUAUAGGUUAUGAGAAUAGCAGAUAAAGGAGCGGAUAUUGUGAGGAUAACUGUUCAAGGGAAGAAAGAGGCGGAUGCGUGCUUUGAAAUAAAAGAUAAACUUGUUCAGCUUAAGUAAGUCGAUGACUGUGCUGAGUUUUCUAUCUUUGUAUGUACAGUUUGAGUCGUAUGAAACUGAACUGGUGUUUUGCGUCUUGGUUAACAGUUACAAUAUACCUCUGGUAGCAGAUAUUCAUUUUGCCCCUGCUGUAGCUUUACGAGUCGCUGAAUGCUUUGACAAGAUCCGCGUCAACCCCGGAAAUUUUGGUACUGUUUUUUUAUCUUUCACUUGGUUCUUUAACUUGAGAAUGAUCAAAAAAUUUGAUUUUGCAGCUGACAGACGGGCACAGUUUGAGACGAUAGAAUAUACAGAUGAUGAAUAUCAGAAAGAACUCCAGCAUAUUGAACAGGUGGAAGGAAACCUUUGUCUUACUUGUCUUGUAAAACACUGAAACCCUUAAAGUUUAAUCAGUCUUUAUUACCGGUGUUACUAUUUUUUAUAUUUUUUAGGUCUUCACUCCUUUGGUUGAGAAAUGCAAAAAAUACGGAAGAGCAAUGCGUAUAGGGACAAAUCAUGGAAGUCUUUCUGACCGUAUCAUGAGCUAUUAUGGGGAUUCUCCACGAGGAAUGGUGAAAAUUCUUGAUUACUUUACAAUGGUUUCUCUUAAUACACAUGUACUGUUGUCUGACAUGAGCUCUGUCGCACAGGUUGAAUCUGCGUUUGAGUUUGCCCGGAUAUGUCGGAAAUUGGACUAUCACAACUUUGUUUUCUCAAUGAAAGCGAGCAACCCGGUGAUCAUGGUUCAGGCAUACCGUUUGCUUGUGGCUGAGAUGUAUGUUCAUGGAUGGGAUUAUCCUUUGCAUUUGGGAGUUACUGAGGCAGGAGAAGGAGAAGAUGGACGGAUGAAAUCUGCAAUUGGAAUUGGGACGCUUCUGCAGGUACCUCAUUACAUAACAAAAGGGAAAGAUCUUUACUUUAACAGUUCAUGUAUGGCAAUGAUUGUUUGUAAUUGCAGGACGGGCUAGGUGACACAAUUAGAGUUUCACUGACAGAGCCACCAGAAGAGGAGAUAGAUCCCUGCAGGCGAUUGGCCAACCUUGGGACCAAAGCUGCUGAACUUCAACAAGGCGUUGUAUGAAUGAUUCUUUUUCAGACGCUUCUCUAGUAUAUUUUCCACAUUAUGGGACUAAUGCAACUCGUUUGUGUACUAGGCUCCGUUUGAAGAAAAGCAUAGGCAUUAUUUUGAUUUCCAGCGUCGGACCGGUGAUCUACCUGUACAAAAAGAGGUAAGACUAUACAUUUAAAAUAAAAAAAAAAACUCAUGUACUUCAUGAUGUCCUUUUCAAGUAUUGAAGAACAUAAAAAACAAAUCCUGAGAACUAUAGGGAGAAGAGGUCGAUUACAGAGGUGUUCUUCACCGUGAUGGUUCUGUUCUAAUGUCAAUUUCUUUGGACCAACUAAAGGUGAGUAUUUAGAAAUACUCUUCAGUAUUCUCUCCAUCUUCCAUUUCCUUAAUGCAAUCUAUAGAACGGGUCAUUUUCUUUCUGCUCACUAAUUUGCUUUCCCUCUAGGCACCUGAACUCCUCUACAGAUCGCUCGCUACAAAGCUUGUCGUAGGCAUGCCAUUCAAGGUGAGAUAUGGUUCAGUAUAUUUUGAUGAGAGACGCCGUCUCACUGUAAUAAUAUUAUAUUGGUUAUCAAUUCUUACUUUCCCGAGAAAUGCUUGUAUAGGAUCUGGCAACUGUUGAUUCAAUCUUAUUAAGAGAGCUACCGCCUGUAGAUGAUCAUGUGGCUGUAAGAAUCACCCUUUCUUUAUAUCAUUUUACUUUAAGAUUUGACAUGGCCGAGCAAAAACAUUGAGUUCUGUUUACAGCGUUUGGCACUAAAACGGUUGAUUGAUGUCAGUAUGGGAGUUAUAACACCCUUAUCAGAGCAACUCACAAAGCCAUUGCCCAAUGCAAUGGUUCUUGUCAACCUCAAGGAACUAUCUGGUGGUGCUUACAAGCUUCUUCCUGAAGGUGACCUGGUUCUUACCUGAAAGAAAGUAUAAUAAAGAGAACAAAUUUCUUUCAGUAUUUCUUAGCUUCGAUUAUUUCAGGUACACGCUUGGUUGUCUCUCUCAGUGGUGAUGAGCCAUACGAGAAGCUUGAAAUACUCAAAAAUAUCGAUGCUACUAUGAUUCUCCAUGAUGUACCCUUCAAUGAAGACAAAGUUAGCAGAGUACAUGCAGCUCGGAGGUAAUAAUAGAUAAUUCUUAAUAUCUGAUUUUUGCUGAGUUAAAAUUUCUGAUUUAUAAGCGCUAAAUGAUAUUCUUUUCCUGGACUUGCAGGUUAUUCGAGUUCCUAUCUGAGAAUUCAGUUAACUUUCCUGUUAUUCACCACAUAAAUUUCCCAACUGGAACUCACAGGUAGAUAACGAAUUUCAAGCUCUGUGCAGUGAAUGGAAAAUUCACUUUUGAUCUUAUUGUGUUUUCUUUCUUCUUGCGCACAAUGCAGAGACGAAUUGGUGAUUCACGCAGGGACUUACGCUGGAGGCCUUCUUGUGGAUGGACUCGGCGAUGGUGUAAUGCUUGAAGCACCUGACCAAGAUUUUGAUUUUCUUCGUAAUACUUCCUUCAACUUAUUACAAGGCUGCAGAAUGCGUAACACAAAGACGGUAAAAGCAAAAAGAUACACUAUCUCUGCGGGUUUUUUUUCUUGAAAAGGAGAAGUAAUAACUUGUAAAAUCGUUGCAGGAAUACGUAUCGUGUCCGUCUUGUGGAAGAACGCUAUUCGACUUGCAAGAAAUUAGCGCCGAGAUUCGAGAAAAGACUUCACAUUUACCUGGCGUUUCGGUUAAAACUCAAAGACUCUUAUACAUGUUUUCAAGGGAAGUUUUGUUUUUUUCCUUCUGUUUUUGAAUGUAAACGAGUUGAAUAAUGGUGCAGAUCGCAAUCAUGGGUUGCAUUGUGAAUGGACCAGGAGAAAUGGCAGAUGCUGAUUUCGGAUAUGUAGGUGGUUCUCCUGGGAAAAUCGACCUUUAUGUCGGAAAGGUAACACCUUUACUCUCUUUGGUUUCUUAGUGAUAGUGUUUAUAUAUUCGGUCCAAAUGUUGAUACUUUUGAGGACAGACGGUGGUGAAGCGUGGGAUUGCUAUGACGGAGGCAACAGAUGCUCUGAUUGGUCUGAUAAAAGAACAUGGUCGUUGGGUAGAUCCACCCGUGGCUGAUGAGUAGAUUUCAAACAGUGGAGAUGGUAGGCCUUUCUCUGUAAACUGAGCCAGAAGAUAAAAUACAUUUUAAGUGUAUAUCUCAUGUAUUUGUUGUUGUAUUACAUCAUAUUCAACAAACCUCUAAUAUGAUAACAGUUCUCGAGCGAAAUAAAACUAAGAGAAACGAGUUACAAAUACGUUAUACAUUUGUUCACAAAUAGCCAUUCUCUUAUAAUGAUAACACUUUCAUGGCAUGCAAGUAGUUAAUAUGGCAAACCAAGAAAUAUAUGUAUAUCACAAGAUUCACAAAAUCACUUCUCUUUUUACUUCAUAUAAUUGAGACGUAAUUUAUAAAUCUUUGCAUCAUUAGUUUAAGGAACAUACGAUGGAGAGAUUUGAAGAAUAAAAUAAGGUGAUGUAUAUAUAUGUGGAUUUAAUCAAAUAAGCAGCAACAAACAGGACCGGUGGGAUUGUCCAAGAGGCAGUGGCCGUCCAAAGGUGUAGGGUCGGUGCUCCUGUGGCAAUGGGUGUCGCAGUCGUUGUCGCUCUUGCACGUUCCUCUUAAGCGGCAUGGUCCGUCAAUUAUAUCUUUUUCUGUGAAUUUCAUAUAAUUUGGUCAAAGAUCCUUAAACAAAACAAAAAUAUUACAUACCACAAAAACAUGUUUUGGUUUAAAAAUAACCCAUUGUUUUGACUUCUCUUUUUUUAUUACAAUAUAAUUUCGAUUAAUUUUUCAAAUUUACAAAAUCAUCUAGGAUAGUUUUCUAAACUUUAAUUUUGAAACUCUUCAUAAACAUAAAAUCUGUGGAGUUUUGGAAUGUUUUUAAUUUAAAAACAAAAUUAAAAGAAGCACUUGUUAAUGUAAACCUAACAUUGUGGAAGGAAAAACCUAUAAUUUACCUUGGGAUUGGGCUGUGACAACGAGAGAGAAGAUCACGAAAAUUGCAACAAGUUGAAAUUUUGAUGAAGCCAUUUCUUAGUUUGUUUUCUUUUUCUUUGUAAUGCAAGGUAUUCAAGUUUAAGUUUGUGUUUGGAAAAUUAUGAUCUAUUAUCUGAUAUUUUAUAAGUGAAUUUCGUUACAAAGAUAGUAAUUGUUUUCUUUUCUUUUUUAAAAGUAGACCAUUUUUAGUAAGAUAAUUUAUGGUUAAUGUAGCAAUAACAAUAUUAAAAAGUCUCCUAAAAGUUAGUACUAGAUGUAGUUUCUGACAUCUAAAUUUAGUGAGGAUAGGAAGAAAAAAAAAUAGACGGUGGAGGAGUAACUUUGAUUACUUGUAAAUUUUUAAGAACCUUCUACAAGUUUAAUGCAAAAUACAUGAUACUCCUCAUAAGUGACCAAGCUCUCUUUCAUAUUGAAAAUCUCAAGAGAAAAGUUCUCUUCAAGGCUUGAUUGAAAAACAAUCUGCAAAAACCUACUUAAGGUGUUCAAAACAUGUUUGAUAUUCGGUUGAUCAAAUUGGGCCUUAUAUACUAAAUGGGCCGAUUAUACUAAUAUGGGCCGAUUACAGUAUCGUUCAGACAAAGUAAAAGCCUCGUGAAUGGUAAAGCUCUCUCUCUCUCUCUCAUCGGAGAAUUGAAGAUUGGGAAAAACGCCAAUAAACAAUCACCGGCGACGUAAACCAUGAGCAGUACCGCAGGGAAGCUCGUGACUUCAAGAUCCGAGCUUGAUCUCGAUCACCCUAACCUCGAAGAUUACCUUCCUUCCGGUUCCUCUAUCCACGAACCACGCGGCAAGCUCAGCCUGUAUAUUCUCUCAAGCAAUUUCUGUGUAUUUGAAUUUGAUCUGAUCGGGUGAUUGAGUAUUCACCCUUCUUCGUGAGUGAUUGCAGGCGUGACUUGCUCGAUAUCUCUCCCACUCUCACUGAAGCUGCUGGUGCCAUUGUUGAUGUAUGAUGUCUCGACUAAACCCAAAUCUGUGUCACGAUUAGAUUACUCUCUUAGACUUCAAAUAUAUGAGCUAAAGGAUGGAUUUUUAUCUCUGUAACCGUAUGUCAUUGUUGGUUUUUGGGUAUGAUUUUUCAGGACUCGUUCACAAGAUGUUUCAAAUCGAAUCCUCCAGAACCUUGGAACUGGAACAUUUACUUAUUCCCACUAUGGUGCUUUGGGGUUGUUGUUAGAUACUGUAUCCUCUUUCCCUUGAGGUUUGUUCCUUUUAUUUAUUUAGUAGUUCUUGUUCUUGGCUCAAAGUUACGAUUCACAGCCAGUGUGCUUGCACUAAGCAGUUCAUUUUUAAAAAAAUAUCUGCAGGGUCGUCACUUUAGCUUUUGGGUGGAUUAUCUUCCUUUCAUUGUUUAUCCCCGUAAAUUAUCUGCUGAAAGGUCAAGAUAGAUUGAGGAAAAAGAUAGAGGUGGGUUGGAUUCUCUGUUUCUGAUUACGUUUUCACUGUGAAUUCAAGAAGAUUUUACUUUCUUUUUCUGUGUUACCAGAGGGUCUUGGUGGAAAUGAUAUGCAGUUUUUUUGUUGCCUCAUGGACCGGAGUUGUCAAGUAUCACGGGCCACGGCCUAGCAUCCGUCCCAAGCAGGUUAUGUUUCCUUAUAAAAACUUUACUUUGUAUCUCUUUUAUGCUCGUCUACCUAUGCUUACAUUAUGAUCUGGGUUAAACAGGUUUAUGUUGCCAACCAUACUUCGAUGAUUGAUUUCAUCGUCUUGGAGCAGAUGACUGCAUUUGCUGUUAUAAUGCAGAAGCAUCCUGGUUGGGUUGGUAAGUUUCUGGCUAUUAGAGUACCCCAGAAGUGGCUUAUGACCUUUAUGACUGUUUAGUUUUAAUAGGUUUGUGGUCGAUUUAGUGAUGACUGAUUGGUUUACCUUUCAUGCUUUAUUGUGAAAGCCGUGAUUGACUUUUGUUGCUUUAUAUAUGAAGGGCUUCUGCAAAGCACAAUAUUAGAGAGUGUAGGAUGUAUCUGGUUCAAUCGUUCAGAGGCAAAGGAUCGUGAAAUUGUAGCGAGAAAGUAUGCAUAACUCUUAUACCUUUUAAAUGUCUGUUACUUAUUCUACUCAUGCUAACUAUGGGAAUAUGACUCAUAAAUCAGGUUAAGGGACCAUGUCCAAGGAGCUGACAAUAAUCCUCUUCUCAUAUUUCCUGAGGGGACAUGUGUAAAUAAUAACUAUACAGUGAUGUUUAAGAAGGUAUUUUGGACCUAACUUUGAUGUGAUUUAGCCUCGUACUAUGUUAUAGUUUCUGAUUCUCUUCAUGAUAAUGUUAAGGGUGCUUUUGAAUUGGACUGCACAGUUUGUCCAAUUGCAAUUAAAUACAACAAGAUUUUUGUUGAUGCCUUCUGGAAUAGCAGAAAGUAAGGGUAUUUUCUUUAAGACUUUCAUAUCAAAGAUAAUUUUGAAUUUCUGAAGUAUUGUUGAAAGGGAUGAAGAAGCAUUUCUAACUUAUUAUACACUCUUUUUUUGCUGAUAUAUUGCUCAGUUCUGAUUGAAACAAGUUUUCUUCUAGUGCGAAAUAUUUAGGGUCAUUUCUUUGUCUUGGUAACAAAUUGUCUUGCAUGCUCUUUGCAGACAAUCAUUUACUAUGCACUUGCUGCAACUCAUGACAUCAUGGGCUGUUGUGUGUGAAGUGUGGUACUUGGAACCUCAAACUAUAAGGCCCGGUGAAACAGGGAUUGAGUUUGCAGAGAGGUAAAACACUCUUCCCUUGGUCUUUCAUCAGAGAAAUCAUAUGCUAAGAAAUUUUUCUUUAAUUACCUGGCAUGACAUUCUUUUACAUCCAUCUUAUAUACUUGUGACAGGGUUAGAGACAUGAUAUCUACUCGGGCGGGUCUCAAAAAGGUCCCUUGGGAUGGAUACUUGAAGUAUUCGAGACCAAGCUCCAAGCAUAGCGAACGCAAGUAUGUUCUACGUCAUUACCUUGUAGAACUAGCUAAAUCUCUUAAGAAUUUUCAGAAGCCAAAGCAAGACUUUCCAUUAUAUCCAAACUUGGCAGUUGCACAAAUUUAGAGGCUCAACUUUAGUGAUCCUUGAAUUAAUACCAACAAUUUUUUUAUGUUUACUUUGUCUUCCUUUAAAUUGACAGGCAACAGAGUUUCGCUGAAUCGAUCCUGGCUAGAUUGGAAGAAGAUAAGUGAAUGUAAAAAUGAAGUUAUUUAUUUCCUUGUGGUGUUUCAUUUUUCAAUUAGACAAAAACAAUCUGAUGCCUCAUGUUCUCUCUGUUUUUUCAAUAUACAAUGUUGUGAAUCUCUCAAUAAACAGAACUCACUUUUGCAUCUUGUUCGAAUGCUACACCACAAAUUUGCAUAUUCAAAAGAUUUAUAAGAACGAACAAACAAAUAUAUACCGAAAGAAAGAAGACUUUGAGAAUUUUGAAGGCGGUGACGAGAUCUUCAGAAGAAUUCAGUGGCGGCGUAUCCAUACCGCGAACGGCGAACGUUCUCACGCCGUUUCUUCAACAAAUAUCCUCCACCGAAGCCGACCAUACUCACCGCUGCAAUGGCUCCGACAACAAUUCCAGUUUUGUCUCCUGCGGAGGCUUUUUUGCCUCCCUUUCUGAUAUUCUCAGUGUAAUUGAGAUCACUGGCUUCUGUAAACUGAGACGAAGACGAAUAAUCGUAUUCAGUAGACAUUGUCGGAGAUGGAGACAUUUCAUUCUCUGGCUGAGGCGGAGAAGACGAAUGCUCAGUAGGAGACACCUUUGGUGAAAUUUCUUUAGCUGAAAUCUCAACGGAUACGAUAAAAAGAGCUACAAUCAUGAAACCAACCUUCAUCAUCAUCUCAAAGGUUCAAACCUCUCUCUUUGUUUCUGAUCUCUCUGAAGACUUGAAGAGAUGGAGGGGAAUAUAUAGGAUGCUUAUGACAAAUGGUGAUUCGCCACGUCACAAGUGUAUAGAACCUAGAUACGGAGCGAAGCAUCAGAUCAUAUAGUCAAUUUAUUGAUUUUCCACUUAAAGUUGAUAUGAGUAACACUGAGAUUUGCUUUGGUACUUAUACUCAAUAAUGCUUUGGGAAUUUCAAAAUUUUAAUUUAUUUUUUCUAUUAGUGGAAGUAAUUGGUGUAUCUUAGUAGGAAGAAGCAAAUUGUAAGGAGGGAAUAUAAAAGAAUCAAUUGUGACAAUCGUAAAGCAAAGUGUAACCACUUUAUAAUGUUGACGCCUAACGAAGAAAAGUUUCACUUUUAGUGGUGGACUUAACUUGGGUCAAUUCAGCUCAUAUCAUUAUCAUAUAUUACGUAUACGGUAAACGGGUUCUUCUGGUUUUCCGGGUCAAUGAUGUAUCAUCUGAUCUUUAUUUCAAUGUGUGACACUAAAGUAAAGUUUGGCAUUCUACAUUUAGAUAAGUGAAACCAAAUCUAAGAGUGGAAAUUGUCUUUCCCAAACUAAUAGUAUUAAUUGUCUUCAUCUUUCUCUAUAGUCGCACACUCAUGAUGAAACAAUUCCGGUCAUACAUAAGGAGACAUAAUAUAACUUGUACCCUUUUCUUGGCUUUGGAUCACAACUCGUCCUUUGAGUCACUUUGGCUACUCUUUGCCGUGCUCUCGGUUUUUUCUUUGGUCUCGGUAGUUUCUACUUUUGGUGUGGACUCGACACUUUUAGGAGAUUCGGUUGAUGCAGGUUUCUCCAGUUUGAACGGGAUUGUUGCGUGUUUCCUCAAGAACUUGUAAAAUGCAACCACAGUGCGGUCUGCAUCUACCGUUAUCUGCUCCACACAACAACACAAUAAUACAAGGUUUUCUCAGUUUCAGAUGAUACCAAGAAGACAAAUGUGUUGCAGCCAGGAGAAUCAGAACUUACCGGCUCUGAAGUCUUGUUGCCUGCAGGGAAGAAGAGAAUUGUAGGGAACCCUUCAGCCUGCAAAACCAGAUAAAAUCAUCCCUGAGGCUUUGAUCAUAGAAAGGUUCUCGGUGCAGAGAUGAAUUGCAUUAACUUUAUUACCUUGGCCUUGGGAUGUUCGUUAGUUGUUCCAUCCAUCUUGGCUAUGACGAGAGAAUCAAUAUUUUUCAAAUGUUUUGCAAGCUUGUUGUACAUUGGCUCAAGGGCUUGGCAAUGGCCACACCAUGGUGCGUAGACCUGAGUUUUGUUUUAAAGAACAAAGCAUCGAUGUAAAGAGAAGAUGUGAAUCCAUAUCGAUUUAUUGAUGGAUUUUAAUACAAUAUGUACCUCGAGAAGAACAUCUUUAGAAUCGUCCAGAACAAUUUCAUCAAAGUUAUCUCCAACCACAAUUUUCACAUCAGCAUCGUUCUGUGGCAUAAAUUUUAAGUCCCAGUUUAACAUGAGCCAACAAGACGAUUGGAAAUUGAAGAUGAAAAAUAAACAGCUUUACCUUUUCCGGAAUGGGGUCUGACUUAUAGAAAGGCUUUAACUUGUCAUUCAGGAAAUCCUCUCCAAAUGUCUGCAGUAGGUUAGAGGUUUAAGUUUACCAAACAACAAUCUUUACAUGUCACCGUGAAGUAGAAAUUUUAUGAGUGAAAGAAACUUCAAAGAGAUACCUUAAUUUUAUCUGACUUGAUCUCGCCAUCAAAGAAGUGUUUUUUCGGGUCUUCAUUUCCUGUGUAGGCAAUAAGCUUUACACAGACCAACAUUUGAGAUAUAGUCAGUAUGUGCUUGUUGAAAAGAUCUAGGACUCAGAUUCUUAUAAAUGUGCAAUUCUUAAGCCCAUCACAAAAUAAAAACAAUCGACUUACUUUAGGACCAUUUUCGGACACACCAAAGUAUUCAGCGACUGGCUUUCCAUAAUCCUCAUUAUCCAGAUCCACAGAUACAAAGAUGAGCUGUAGCAAGAAACAAAAGGCUUCUUAGAAGUAACAUUACCAAGAUAACGUAAAGCCAUUGUUGCCCCCAAAGAUCCUCCUUCAUGGAUUCGUCUUGAUCCAAAACAUAAAUAUCAAAUAUUGGUCUAAACCAGACUAGACUUAUGUUCUCACCUUUCCUUUGAAUGAUUUCGCUGCUUCUUGGAAUUCAGGAAGAACCUUUUCAGAGUCUUUUUUGGUUGCAAACAACAGCAACUGUAAAGAGAUCAUAUACUUUCAUGUUAGCAGAUGGACCUAAACCAUCAUCGAAUUUGAAUAGAAGAAUCCUACUUAAAACAGUGACACACCUGUUUCUUGAUUGCACUCUCAAAAAUUUCCGGUGCAGUCUCUCUUGUGAAAACAGACACCAAUGGAAGCUUGUUGGCAGACACAAAACUAACUAUAGCAGACUUAACAAAUUCCCCAUCUGCAGAUUAAUAAUACAAACAUAUAAGCAAAAUCCCUAGAACAAGACCAUUGAAUCAAUGCAUAACAGAAAUUUACAGAAAACCAACCAAAAUGGCUAAUCUUCUCCUCUUCACUCUUCACUAGGACAAGAGCAGGCCUUUUAGACUCGGGAUCGAUGUGAAACAUCUUGGCAACAUCAGGAUUUACUGUUUGAUAGACGUUCACAUCGUCUUCAGCUUUAGAAGCAGCAGCAAGUUGGUCAUGCUCAACACCCUGUAAAAAAAUUACAUUUUAAAGAUCCAAUUGUGUUUACCUUAAGAAAAAAUACAGCAACGACUCAGAAAGACUAUAAACCAAGUGAAUAGAGAAACCAUACCACCAAUGAGUUCAAGUAUCCCAAGACGACUUUGUUCCCAGAAGUCAACACUUUCUCAGCAUCAUCUAAUGUAGUUAGAUUAUACACACCGGGGCCUAUCUUCUUCUUCACCCAUGUCACAAUUGUUUCUCUAAAUCACAACAUUUUUUAAAAAAAAAUACUCAGCAAUUCUAACUACAAAUUAGAUCCGACGAUAAAAUUGAAAUUAAUACCAAAACCCAAUUUCACUUACUUAGUCCUUCCUCCAGUGUAAGGCUUGUGCUCACCAUCAACGAAGAAAAGAAUAGUCGGAAAUCCCUGAACACUAUGCUCCUGAGCUAGCUCAUUUUCCUCCGUCGCAUCGAUCUUAGCCAAAACGACACCAGCGUCCUUAAGCUCCGUCGCAGCUGCAGCAUACUCGGGAGCAAGAGACUGACAAUGACCACACCACGGCGCAUAGAAUUCAACCAAAACGUAUUGGUUAUUCUCAAUCACAUCAGUGAAGUUACGCUCCUUGAUUACCACAACAUCUUUCUCAUCAACUUCCGGCGUCGGGAACGGAUCGGAAUCUGGAUUUCCUAGAUCGGAAAAAUCUCCUUCUUCAUCGUCAUCGUCGUUGUACAUAUCAGGAUCUUCGUCUUCACCUCCUUCGAAAUCGUCAAGUCCAGCUGAGGAGGCGAGUGAGUCAGCGCCGGGAGCGUCGUCUUCUUUGAGAUCCUCGAGGAAGCUGAGAUCCUCAUCGUCGACGUCGUCGGAGGAAGAAGCGGCGAAAGAAGGAGAAACGGCGGAGAAGAUGAGAAGAGCGGUGAGAGAGAAGAGGAGAAAAACGCGGAACGCCAUUUUAGUGUGUGCGACUCUGUUUGUGAACUCUUGAGAUGGUUGAGACUUGAGAUCUAAUAAAUUAACAACUACUACUGAAUAACGCAUGUUCGUUGUUACCAAAACAAACGUCGUCGUUUAGGAUAGAGUAUUAAAUUGGAUUAUUAGGGAAUAUUCUAUGUCAUUGACUAAUAAUAAAUGAAACAAAACUGAAAUGUUUAUAACCUGAAAUGAAUCCGAGUAAUUUAUUAACCGGUUGGUUUUACUACCAAAACACAAUAACCGGAUCUUUACCUUAAACCAUUUUAGUGUAAGUCAACCAACUUGACACAAAUUAAUUGGAAUUAAGUAUAGCUAAUAUUAUUUGAUUAGCAAUUUGAUCUUAUACUAUGUUUACAUGUAAAAUCAUUCUACAAAUUUAAGCUAUAUAUUAAGCUGAAUUCAAACCGAAAUAUACCAAAACUUUGAUAAAACAAACUCAACCAUAGCGCCUAGGAUUCAAUACUCUUCUUCGACACAUUGUAACUUUCUACAUAGUUUUUUUUUUUAUAUAAGAAUUGACAAAAGAACUUGAAAAGAAAGAAGUAUCGUUGUGGAUAAUUUAAGCAUCAGAGUGAGUCACAAUAGUGCGGAUCAUACUAGCACGUCGUUUCUUGAUCACAAAGAAGAUUGCCAAAGAGAGAAAUGCUACGAAAGAAAGGCCUAACACUACUCCAAUGGUUUCCCCUCGUCCUUCUUCAUCUCUGCGACUCUCACUUGUUGUGUGUUCGUCUGAUGAAACUUUAGUACUUCCUUGUGAAUCUGCUUCUACGAUGGAUGUCUUUGAAGGCGAAGGUGUAGGUGAGGAUGUCGAUGGUGAAGAAGGUGAGUUUUUUGGUGGGUUAUUGUGAUCAGGGACUGAUGAUUUUGGGUGGAAGAAAUCGUAAGCUUCCGGAGAGAAAGCAGAUGGGUUUGUAUAGGCUGGACCAUGAACAGGUCUGCUCCCAGCAAUGGAGACACAAAGAAGCAAAGAGAAGCAAGAGAAGAAGAAGAGCAAAGAGUGAGUUAGGUAUGUCAUGUUGCAAAAGUGUUUGUUUUUUUUUGUUUAGUUUGUGACUUUGUGUACAUGUGUUUGUUUUUUGGGGUUUAUAUAUGUAGUAUGUUGGUUAUAGAGGAGAUCAUAGUUGUUGCUUGAAGUUCAAAUUUGUAUGAUUGCAUAAUAUCAAGAAAAGAACAAAAAAGUGUUUUUUUGAUGGGUGAGGAGAGCAAUUAUCCGAUUUUUGUUUGUUUUCAAUCUUCUAUAUAUAACUUCCCUCUACAAAAUAAGUGUUCUUUUCUUCUAACGAACGUGAACAAUUAAUCUUUUAACUGUACAAAAGAAAGUUGUAUAUAUUAAUGUACAUAAUUUCUGUUUGAUAUAUCUAUAAGUUUUUAUCGUUUGCAUUUACAUGUUCUAACUAUAUCUAACAUGAUAUUAAAAAAUAGGGUUAUAAAGAUAUGUUCAUAUAAUCAUAUUGUUCAUAUUUUUGAGGGUAGGAUUGGUGCCAAAAGAAUGAUGCAUCAAGAGUUGUUAGCUUGAAGGAACCGCAACGGAAAAGUAAAAACUAGUUUAAGGAAAUUUAACUAAUCAGGUCCUCCACUACACAACUUUGGUUUUGCACAUUGUUUCUAUUUUUGAUUUCAUUGUUUUGUCAUUUUUUAAAAGAUAAAUAGUAAUAAUAAUAAUAAUAUUAUGAUAUGCAUGCAUAUCUAUAGAUGACAAUUAGGGCCUAUAUGUAAUUACAAAGUUGAGAAUUCUAAAACAUACAUGACAUCAUUAUCUGUUGAUUACCGAGAGAGAAAUGGAAUCAAAAGCAAAAUUAACGUGAACUCUACGAAAAGAUUAAAGGCAAACUUGAGAUUUAUCUUAAAGCAACAUUUAAUAAUAACCCACAUUUACACGAAUGGGAGAUUCCAUAAGAUUUAAAAAAACAGAACAUACAAAAAAAAAAAUACAGAGACCAGUGCCAGUGGUAGUGAAUUUCAUGGUAAUCAUAAUUUGAUUAACUUGUGGAUAAAUUAAAAUAAAUAGAAAAAGAUUUAAGCAGAGCUCCUAAAGGAGUUGAGAGCUUUAAUCGCUGCCGCUCUUAGAAUAAACUGAUGGUAUAACGCUGCUGCUGCUGCUCCGAUCAUCGGUCCAACCCAAAAUAUCCACUGUUACAAUCAUACAAAAACAAACAAAUUAUAAUCAAACAUUAUUUUUGGUUUUAAUGUGAAGAGUUACAUAUAAUCAAAUUAUAAUCAAACACCAUUUCGUAUAUAUAAACUAUAGAUCAAAAUGCGUAUAAAAGUUAGGUAUAGAUUACUUGGUCAUCCCAGGCCUUUUCCUUGUUGUAGAUAACGGCAGCUCCGAAGCUACGAGCCGGGUUGAUUCCGGUUCCUGUGAUGGGAAUGGUGGCUAGAUGAACCAUGAAGACGGCGAAUCCUAUGGGAAGCGGCGCCAAAACUGGCACGUGGGAGUCACGUGCACUUCUCUUGGGGUCGGUGGCCGAGAAGACGGUGUAAACGAGGACAAAAGUUCCGAUGAUCUCUGCACCUAGUCCGGUACCUUUGUUGUAACCGUCGGCGAGCUCGUUGGCUCCACCUCCAUAUCUAAGUAUCAUUUACCAAUAUUUGUAAUUAGUAAAACAGUAUAAUCAUAUUAAUUAGCUAGACCUUAUAAAGUAUAAACCAAAGUAUUUUGAAAGAGUUUUGAGACCUGGUGUAGUAAGAGCUUUGGAAUGCUUUGACGAGACCGCAACCGCAGAUGGCACCAAGGCACUGAGCCACAAUGUAUAACACUGUCCGCACCAGUGACACUUUUCUAGCAAGGAACAAUCCCACCGUCACAGCCGGGUUUAUGUGACCACCUUCAUCAUGAAAACAAAUUGAUUUACCAAAUGAAUUGUAAGGAUGUAUUUUAGUUUAUAUAAACCGAAACAAAACCCGAACUGAUUGACAUUUUUAAAGUAGAAAGUAAGAAAAUAUAUAUUUAGUUAUUUACCAUCUCUAGUUAGAAUACGUAGAUUAUUGUGAUCUAAACUAUACAAUACUUUUCUUUUUGAUCAAAAACUAUACAAUACUAAUAACUUUAUUAAUACGUGAAAAUCUAUGUGCCGUGACUCGAACGUUUGUGUAGAAACAUACUUACCGGAGAUACCGGCGGUACAGUAAACGAGAACAAAGAUCAUUCCACCGAAAGCCCAAGCAAUACCCAAUAUGCCUACGCCGCCGCAAUCCACCCCUCCCGCGGUUGCAUCGGUUUGAGCUUUGUAGCCGAUGACGGUGAGGACUGAGACGUAGAGGAACAAAAGUGUCGCCACGAACUCAGCUAUGACGGCUCUAUAGAGCGACCACUUCCCAAGCUCCUCCAUGUCCAACAAUGGUGCGGGAGGUGGAUCCUUGUAGUCUCUGGCCGCCGGGGCUCCACCCUCUUGCACAUCCAAGUCUUUUGCCAUGGCUAAAGAUGAUGAGAGAGACAGAGAUGACUUUGAUCAAUGUUUUUUCAGAUUUGUAGCUUUUCAGUUUGUGUGUGUUUGUGUAUAUAUACAUAGAGACUGUGCAAGGGUUUGGUAUAAGUACAUUAUAAGAUAAUUAAUAAUGUGGUUAAUAAUGAUGUGGACAGUUAAUUAAAAACAUAUUUUUGGGGGGAAAUAAUUAUAAAGGAAUCUUAUUAUCUUGUGCCUCAAAUGAGCUGGAGGUGGUAUUAUGAGAAUUGAGAGAAACAUCUCUGUUUUGUUAUUAUGUUUGUCAAUACUACUAAGAAAUGAUUAGCUAACCUGAUUUAAAUCUCUAUUUUGUUAAAACAGUAUGACGAUUUUUAAUUAAUCUUACUGAUGAUCAUAGUAACUUAGCAAAGCAAAAAUCCUUAAAGCCAAUACUUUGUCUACACGAAUAUUCUUAAGCCAAGCGUAGAGAUGCUUCUUCAAUUCAACAUUUUUCUGAAUAUUAUGCGUACAAUUUCCGAAUAACAUAACCAAUAAGGAACGAGCUGUCUUAAACUGUAUGAUUAGAGGAGGAUAAACUUGUUUUAAGCCGUCCAACCAACCCCUCGAUUUAGACAUUCUUGUGUUUGUAUUAAUUUAAUUGGUCGACCCAUGAGUUUUUUUUUUUUUUGUUUUGUUGUUGCAACGUCAAAUUUCAUAUCCGUAAUAUUAUUAUUUUUAAAUCUCAACCUCAAUUAUUUAACGAUAAUAUGAAAUCAAUUAUACUAAGUUAAGAUGGUUUUUCAUCUAAUAAACAACCAAAACAAAAACAAAAAACUCUAAUAAAACUCAAACAUAAAUAUGAUAUAUUUUAUCUGUUAACGUUUUUGUACAUGCAUAUAAAGUAUUCCGAAACAAGUCUAUAUAUAUAUCAACUUCGAUAUCGAACGCCGUCAUAAUUUCAUGCUUUAUUUAAUAAUAUAUGUGACAUUAACGGGUUUAGACCUGUGUUUAGAAUAUAAUUUCAACAUUAUAUACAUUUUUAUAUAUAUAGGAAAUUAGAAAGUGCGAGACAAAAAGUAUGAUCGGAAAUAGGAAUCUUAUAAAGGUUUCCUAACUAAUUAGCAAAUGAAGAAAGAUGCUCUCUUUAUUUGAGAAUUACAUUUUAGCGUGCAAGAAAUUUCUGCAAUUAAUGGUUUAUUCAGUGAACAAGCAAAGUCUCAUCUCAUGAUCUCACCCACAUUAUAAAAACUGUAUAAAAAUAUACAAUUUCAGGUGGAUAGCCAAAACAAAACAAAAAAAAAAAAGUAUAAAUUUUCAUGUAAAAUACUUGUAGAAUAGUAGUGUAGAGAUGGUUUUCGUUUCGGGUUUUGGUUAGAAAGUAAACUAAAAAUGUAAAGAGGUUAGUUUUAUGUUUUUCUCAAACGAAACAGUUGGAAUUGAAAAAAUAAGGAAAAGAACAAAUAAAGAGGAGAAGAUGAUAAGAAUGAGAGAUCCAUGACAUGCAACAAAUCCGAACAACGUUGAUUAAGCUCUCUCUCUCUCUCUUAUUAUUAUAUGUUAUCUUCACCAGGCGAACUCUUCUGUACAUGUAAUUGCUCCUCAACCCUCCGAAUUAUUCAAUUUAAUGUUGGACUUACAUGCUUGAUGCAUGCAUAUAUUAUAUAUUAUCAAUCUAAUUACAUGAAUUAUAUAUAAUGUGUGAUGAGUGAGACCACACAUAUAUAUACGUACAUCCAUGUGGCCAUGUUUAUGCAUUUUGGUUUUGAUUUUAAUAGCAUGAAUGGAUGCAAGUUUCAGAGUUUGUAUUUUUUUUUUUUUAGAUAACUAAAUUAAAUGUUUUUUUUUUUUUGGAUCCAAAGGAAUCAUAAUUCUUUUGCAGCAACAUGUUUACUUUUGUAGCAAAAUGAAAUAUAUCGAGUACUACUACACCAUCGCCUCUUAAAUGAUACGAACAACAACAAAUUAUUUAGUGACAAUGAAGGAAGGAUCACCACAUAUCUUUUGUACACUCAUCACCACAGAUUAUAGUUGAAAUAUGAUAAUGGACUUUAUAUUCUUGGUGUUACAACUUCUCAUCUAAGUCGUCUCUAUUAGACUUAAUCAGACCAGGGAGCUCUCGCGUCAAAUUGGUGCCACAUCGUCUGGCACAAACUCAACACCCUCAGUUUUGGUUAUAUAUGUUUGUCUGGAUCGAAACCAUACAUUGUGUAUAAACUCAAGCGUUAGAGACUCAACAUUGAUUAUAUAUGCUUCUAUGCUAUAAUCACAAAAUUAAUAUAAGCCCUUUGCAGCUAUUCUCGCGCAAUUUGAUUAUCUGAAUUACCUUACCUACUUCUCUCGUUUGCACUCAGGGUCCGUCAACCCCACUCGAUUGGUUCUUUAUUGACACUUGGUGCUUCCCAAGAACCAGAUGCACUGAAACAUACUCUUCUCAUCACAUAACAAGCCUCGAUUAACGAGGUAUGGCGUGAGGAGAUUGCUGGUUUCACCAAUCCACAACCCUGCCGCCGAUACUAAUAAGGGAGCCUGUUGAUCACAGCUUGAAAGUGGGUAUCUCUGAUUCUUCAUGUUUGGGUUGGACAAUCACCCUGAUCUUUAUCCCACUAAAGUGUUUAUUUACUAAAACAGGAUUUCAACACUACUGGUCAACAAAGUACGUAAGAGCUCAAGAUUUGGUUCAUUUAUCAUAUCAAUUACUCACACACGCACAACAAAGUCGACAAAGAAUUGUUUAUCCCAACCAAAACGUAAUCCAACACGAAGAGCACUGCUAAGUGGCUACACGAUUAACAUAAGCUACACAAAUUUCCCAUCAAAACAUAACCGUUCAAGACCAACAGCCAAAGAAACACUCCACUAAUUACCACAUUCUUACAGUAUCAGACUUUUUAAUAAGGUAUUCAACAAUGUCAUCAUUUAAAAAAGUGAAGUACCAUCACUGAUCGUUAUUCAAAGGGGGAAAUGGGACAACCAAAACUUAUUACUAUAAAGACAGCACUCUCUACAAAGACAACAUAAACCAUUAAACUGAAUGCUCCAUCUACAAAUGAGUCGAUCAAGUUACCCAUAGCACACUGCUCAAAUAAACUUCACAUCACCUGUCAUGAUUUUCUACAAAUCAGUUACAUAGCAAAAGCAACGAGUGCAUUGUGAGUUCAAAUCUCAAUACUGUAGAUAGAGAUAUCAAAAAACUAUGGAACACUACUAAUCAGCUCACAUUAAGAGUCUUGUGAUGCAUUCAACAAUGACACCAAUACAUAUAUAUAUAUAUCAUCCUGAACCUUUGAAUACUCAAAAACCAAACUGAUAGAUUAUAGAAAUGAAACAUUUUAAUUUAUCCCAAGAAAGGAUUUUUCAAAUGUGCGAAACCACAAAUCGUCUUUUCAGAAUCUCAAAAUAGUAUACUAAAACGCAAAAUCCCUCGAAAAAAAAAAACACAAAAAUCAAAGACGAUACAAAAACCUUGAAUCACUCGUUAGGAACGUCAAUGUCUCCACUGUUAAUCUCUUCCUGAAGAUCCUUAGGGUCUCUACCAUCAACCGUACAACCAACAGAUACACAAGUUCCCAAAAUCUCCUUCACUGUUCCACUCAAUUCCUUAGCUAUGGAUCUUGGACGCAUGAUCUUUGCAAUCUCAAUCACAUCAUCAAACGAAAUGUUGCCGUUAUGUUUGAUGUUCUUCACUUUCUUCCGGUCUCUCUCUGGCUCCUUUAGCGCCUUGAUGACCAACGCCGCCGCCGAAGGGACCACUGUCACCUUAGCUUGACGAUUCUGGACUGUCAGCUUCACUGUCACUCGAAGACCUUUCCACUCUUUAGCUGUCUCUUUCGCGAUGUCUUCUCCGAUCUUCUUCGGCGCCAGACCCAGUGGACCGAUCUUUGGAGCGAGUGAUGACGCUGCUCCCACCUCACCUCCGGUGACUCGGACGUACACGUCCACGAUCUGUGACGGGUCCAACUUCGGCGGCAUUUUCUCUUAGUCUUCUUCUUCUCUCACUUCACUCUCUGUUUCUAGGGUUUCCUCCUUUUUAUACUUCGUUUAUGUAGCUAGGGUUUUAGCUGAAAUGACGAGUUUAUCCCACCCCAAUUCGGGUUUGAUUGCUCUUAACCGAAAUUCAAAAUAGACUGGAGUUGGUUAAAUCAAAACCAAACAUUUUCAUUUCAAUGGAGCUGGGCUGGCUUUUCCAAACACAAAGUUAAUGGGCUCCUAUGUUUUUAAGGACGGCCUUAUAAGGUUUAAAAGCCCAAUGUUUCGGCCUAUGCGUUGAAAUGAUCACCUCCUUUAUCAUUUUCUUUCUCUCGAGGCUAGCAGGCUAAACUCUGGCAUAUCCCUGCAUUCACUGACUAGUCCAUGACUAGGUGGUAAGAACAAAUAAAAAUCUUGUUGAUGUUAUCUUAGAUGACAAGAAGCUUGAAUCACUUGACGAAACACGUGUUAUAGGGUCUAAUCAUUAAGCUUUAAGUGUGCUUUGUGAACCUUUAAUGUAAGAUUUCAUCAAACAAGAGCAUACAAACUUCUUUUACCUUAUAAUUAAUUUCCUUUCUCUUCUCCACCUAGAUAGAAAAAGCUACUCCACUCUUAAAGUAAGUGGUCAAUAAUGGCAUGUACCGAAUCUUACGUAUAUGGUUGGACCGGAUAUUCUUAUCAGCUUUGAGAUAAGGAAUAUACCAAUUUAUGCUUCCGGAUUAGUUACAUUAUAUGAUUGAAGCUUUCAAAGAGGAAUGGGGGGUAUAUGCAUCCAUACUCACACACACACACGCAAAUAAAUAUGUAUGGAGAGCUAAGAAAACUGAUCGAAGUUCAAGGUAUGAGAAAAUAUUUAUGUGAAAGACAGAGGCAGAUAUUAUAUGUACCACUACCACCCAUACAAGAGACAGAACCAUUUAAGCCUUUCGUGUGCGUAUUUGUAUAUGUAUUACUGAGGUUUGCUGAUGUACAUGUAACAAAUUUCGUUGCAUAAUUGAGAUCGAUGCAUGACAUUACAACUGAGCUUCCAUGGACCAAAAUUAGGAAGUAAUAUAAAAUGAAGUAGCACACUAGUUAGCAUCUAAUCGAUUAAUCACUUUAAAAAGCUAGCUCCCCGUAAUCAAAUGUAGUAGUAUAAAAUAGCUCAAUGAUUCACCACUUAUCUAUAAAAAAAAAAAUGGUAUAAAUCGUAAAAUCAUAUUCCAAACUUUUUCGCUGAGCCUUGUGACUGGCUAGCUAGCUGUAUCUAUUAAAAAACAUUGUUAAGUUAUUGUUCAUUUAUUGGUUUCACCUCGUAACUUUCUGGAAAGGAUAACAUGAUUUGAUAAAGUAUUUUAUUUUAUUAGUAUUAUAAUUUUCGCAGUAAAGACACUUUAUUUAUCAUCAUCAUCAUCACUAUUACAGCACAGUAUUUUAACUUUUCCUUUCUUUCUAUUCAAUUUCUUUUCUUUUUAUAAUACGUACUACUACGCUAGUAUUUUGGCUACUUAAAUUAAAAAAUAAUAUCUAUGUGCCCACUAUGUCGACAUCUGAAAAACCCCGAUAAAUAAUGUUUUUCCGUUUUAUUAUUACCCGAUAAACAUUUACUCGAUUUCAUUGAAAACAGCUCUUUAAAUCUUAUGAACUGUUUCCAAAAUAUGUUGAAGGACACAAAUAAAAUGAAACUCUUUCAAAGUAUUAAUUCCAAGACACACUACUAGUAGUAGAUAAAAAACUUAACGAGGAUAUUAUUUUCAGCUUUGUUUCUAAUCGUUUUGGGUUGAUUAUAUUUUUCAUACAAUGUGGAAAGUGACGCGUAGCAUAAUAUUGACCGUAUACUUUUUUUUAAUUGUAUUCGAAAUACGAUACUUAGCAAAAAAAAAAAGUAUUAGAUAUUUAUUUUCUCCAUUAUAUAUUUAAAGCAUAUAGAUGUGGAUAGACACCAAAAAAAACAACUAAAAAAGGAAAAUAAAAAUUAAACAAAAAAAAGGAAGUUUUUUGAUUUGAGCAAAACACAUAAGAAGCAACGUAGGACCAACCAAGAAGAGAGUUUCAACGUUCAACGAAUCUUGUGAGACUACAUUACAAAAAUCCCCACUCGCAUACUCGCACGUAGCCAGUCUCACGCGCUGAGAUAUUAUAUUCGAGACGGUACUUAUACGAGACUGUCGCGCGUGAGAGAACAUCGAGAGGAGAAGAAAACGAAAGGACUAGUAAAUAGCCUAAAGAAAUGCCAGCUGGCGAGAUAUUAUAAAACGCGUUUAGAUCAGAUGAGAGUGGGUUCUCUACAUUCACGUGGCAUCCAUCCAUCUAAGAUGACUGAUACAACACGUGUAAUGAGAUCGUUUUGUUACGAACACGUGUCAUGAUCGUGUUUGCUUUUUUGUCUUUCUCUUGGAACUGGGGAAGGCAGAAAAGUGAAUCCAAACCCCACCCGCGUCACGACAAAACAAAAAACAAACCAAAUAAGAGAAAAGAGAGACUUGAACCAAGUUUUUAAGUGGUACGAAGAGAAUCUAUAUUAUCCACUAAAAUUACGAAAAAUCUAUUAUUUUAUCAUAUACAUAAUUUGCUAAAAUUUGCAUUCUGACAUAGCAGUGAAGGAGAGGCAAUUAAUAAGAAAACAUUGAUCGUCGUUUAAUUUUGUAUUAGAAGAAAAUAAACUAAAUGUUUUUUCUUGUUGACAAACUUGUUUUUAAAGAUUUUCUAUACUUCUCUUUUAUAUUUUUCUCUUAGAAGUCGGUAUUGGUUUUUAUUUCUUUUCUUUGAAAGCUACCUAAGAUUCCCCUAUUUUUGAUUUAUAGUGGCAGAAGAAACAAGAGACUUGUAUCAGCAUGAUCCGUUAGUUUUAAAUCAAUACUUCAAAUAAAACAAAAAUGUUAAGUAGUUUUGACCAUCAUUAUUAAAAGUAUCUUAGCAAAAUUUUAAACUAAAAUCUAUUUUUUAACAAAUCUUAUCUUAAGAUCUUAUUCAAAUACCUUUAUUAAUAAAGUUAUUAAGAGGGAAAAAACACAUUAGAGUAACAGGUUAACUCAUAAUUAAUUAUAGUAUUAGUGAGGACUUUAACUAGGGAUAUGAUUAAGGAUUAGUCAUUUCAUUUAGUUUUAUAGUCUUGUUAGUGUGAACUGUUGAAAGAAUCUGGAAGCUGUAUUAAAAAAAUAUGAAGAGAGCCAAGCCAAGAGAUGAAACAGACUUAAUCCAAAACCAAAUAGCUGAAGAUAAUAAGUAGUUUAAUAAUAAGGUAAUAUGUUACAGGGAAGAGAAAAAUAAGUAGUAAAUUAUACAGUAGCACGAGGGAAAGCACGAGUGGUAAGGAAAGCUUGGUGCAGAGUGUGUUUUCUUCAUUGGGUAGUGAAAGCCCUAAAAUUAAUAAUAAUAUCUAAGUGUGGAACGGCUAAUAAGUUGUUUUGGUAGUAAGAGUUAUGGAUGGACCAAGAGUAUGUAUGAUGUAAAGUUUUCGACGGUUCUGGUUCCCCGCGCCGAUCACACCGACCAACCUCGUAAGUUUCCACACGGUCGAGAGCUCCUUUAUAAAUUUUUAUUCAUUAUUAUAUUCCCCCUUCAUUAUAUUCUCCGUCCAUGCAAUAUCUGAUUUUAAUCAUUCUUAUUCCAAUAGAGUAAUUAUUUAUAUACAGUAUAUAAUCCUUGUAGAACUUAUGUAUCCUCAGUUUAUAGGACAUCAGAUAUUUCUUUAAAAUUUUAUUUUCAUUUACCAACUAUAGUAUAGUUUUUCUCUAUAUUUAUAAUUAACCAAUGUGAAAUUAAUAUAUGUCGCUAUUUUGGAUUCGAAUAUACUUAUAAAAAAAAUGUACAAAAUGUGAUUUUAUAAAUAUGUAUUUUUAUUAAAAAAAACUAGAAAUCAAUAUUGGGAUGUAAUAAAAUACCAAAUUUAUAAUGAUAGAUAUCGUUUUAGUGUAUUGAGAGACACAUAAAAAAAGUUAUGAAGUGUGUGUGGUAAAGAAUAUGCCAAACACGCCACAUGUAAUAUUCUCCAACCUUGUUCAUAGAGUCUAAACCCUUUUGCAUCUUUCGACACUUCAUUUAAAAUCCAAGGGUAACUCUGUAAUUUAACAACUGACGGAAACUGGAAGUUAAGGGUCCCUUAUCCAAAUUUAUCCAAAAAGAAAAAAACCUGUGUGAGUGUGUAUAAAACCAGAGACUCCCUCAUGACUCUUUCUUCUUCUUCAUAGCAAUUAGCCAAAAUCAAAAAUACUCUUCAAACAAUUUUUUUCUUCUUAAAAUCAUUUUUAUUAUAAAACCUCUUCCUUGUUCAAUGGCGACGGGGAAGAGUUACUACGCUAGACCUAGCUAUCGAUUUCUCGGCACCGAUCAGCCUUCUUCGUAUUUCACCACCACCACCACCACCGCCACCGAUUCAGGUCUCGAAUUCGACGAAUCCGAUCUCUACAACCCAAUCCACUCCGAUUCUCCCGAUUUUCGCCGCAAAAUCUCUACCCCUUCCAGAUCCGGUAAAAAACCGUCGACUCAUCGUCCCUCCGCCGUUACAACAGCGUCUUCGCUUCCCGUUAACGUCCCGGACUGGUCUAAGAUUCUCCGUGGGGAGUACCGCGAUAACCGCCGGAGAAUCAUCGAGGAUAACGACGACGAAGACGGAGAUGAUUGCGAAGACGGUGGAGACUGGUUGCCUCCGCAUGAGUUUCUGGCGAAGACGAGGAUGGCUUCCUUCUCGGUUCAUGAAGGAAUCGGGAGGACAUUGAAAGGAAGAGAUCUGAGUAGGGUCAGAAAUGCCAUUUUCGAAAAAAUCGGGUUCCAAGAUUAAAAUAUUUGGAAACUUUUGGAGUUUUCCUGUAAUUUUUUUGUUUUGUUUUUUUGCCUUACUUCAAUCAUUUUCUCUUUAUGUAACUGUCAGAGAAGAGAGAAGAGAGAGAGAGAGAGAGAGAGAGAGAGAGCAUGUAAUAUUUCUAGAAAUGCCCUCCAUUUAUCGUUUAAUUCCGCAUAUCUUACCCCCAAUGUAAUUUCUUUUUAGAUUUUUAAUCACAUUUUGCGUAUUUUGCUGUCGAUUUGAUGCGAAUUUUUAAUCUGUAAAAAUUCAGAUUUUGGGUAAUGUUUAUCGAGAUAAGUAAAAACAGAGGUGGGAAGUGGAUAAAAUAGAAAAGUGUGGGGCAAAAUGUUACAAUUAUUAGUUGGGGUUUUUUUUUGGGUUAAAUUUACGGGGGUGUUUGAUGAGGUGGGUGAGAAAAGCAGAGGCUACAAACACAUGAAAGUGACAUUGUUGCUUCAAGAAUUAUUCUCUUUCUUUUUUUUCAUUUUUUUUUUUCAUUUGGCUCUAAUGAGAGAAGAUUUUGUAAAGCUAAUUAAAAUGGAUUUUUAGGUGAAUGAAUAGUUUUCGUGUAAGAGACUAUAAAAAGAGGUGCAUGAAGUUCAUGUGAGGGAUGAUCUCGUGGAUUAUGCUUUUCCUCAAUAUUAUGUAGAUUUUUUUUAUUUAUUUUUGGUAAUUAUGCAAACAUAUUUCGUAGAAACAAACACAAUUAAAUUAAAUCUUGGAAAUUCUCUAUAAUUAAUUUAUGGUAAAAAAUAUAUAAGGUUUCGUGUAAAACUAGAAAGAAAGAAAGAAAAAAACAACAUUGCUACCAAAUUGAUCAUAAUCUUAUCCAAUAUAACAACAAUCUUAUCCUGUUCUAAAGAAUUGUAAAUCAUCUUCAACAAUCAAAAUUUGAACCAGAUAUUUUUCUUCUUACAAGUACACACAUUGAAUGAAUAUAAUUACAAAACAUAAAUGUGAAAGAAAAAAAGAAAUGUCUUUGUAAGUUUUAUUGGACCCGCUAAAAAAGAAAAAAAAAAAAAAAAAAAGAAGAAGAAAGGGUCUAUUCUAGAAAUAAUGAGUAAAUUUUGAGUAAUGAGGGUUCUCUUGUCAAGUUGGGUGUCAUUUUCUGAUCAAAAAAAGUGCCCCAACCGUUUUGGCCCAGCUGGGAGGGGGACUUGAGGGACACAUCACUGUAAAUAUACUUACAAGGUAGCUCGCACUCGCAGAGCCAUGAUUGCCUCUAACGAAGACAAAUGUUCAGAGGAUGUCCUCUCGACAGACUCUCUCCCACAGUUCAAAUUACUACAUUGAAGAUAACCAAAUGAAUGAUCCUAGGAACAAGGAUGAGAGUUUUUAUUGAGAUUAUAAAGUUAAGAGAGAUUAUCCUCUCGACCAAACCGAUUUGGAGGUGAAGCUCAUAAUUAAGGAGUUUUCCCCAAAGUAGCUCAGAAUAAUUACAAAGAGUAUAUAUACAUGACAACAACAAUCAUACAUACAAACAAGUUUGUAACAAAAGAGAGACAUAAUUAAUUGUGUCUUGUUUGUUUUUCUUACAAUAUGACAACAUCUUGCACACACUACUGAUUAAAUUACUUUUUAAACUAAAAAGUAAACUGUCUUGAUUGGUAAAUGACAUCCUCCUUAAUAUUAUUCAUCAUCCACCAAGUUAGAUUAACAGUCCACAUCUGUUUUACUCAUCAAUCAUCACAUUUUAUAUAUAUAUAUGUUUUUUUUUUUAAUUCAACUGUAUUCUAAAUGUAAUAUGACACACUCCUUAUUUUAUAUAUGACAAUGAAGUGUUGAUUUGAACACUUAGUUUUUAUUAUAUUACCAAUCUUUAUUUUUUAAAGUGUACUUUAAUGCAAAAUGGGAGGAUGAUUGACUAAUUAAUUAAUUCUUAUUAUCUGUUAAAAUAUGGUUGUACAUGUAUUUCCCACCACCCUAAGGUAAAAAGGCCUAUAGAUGUAAAGCCCAAGUCUACUUCAACUUUUAAGCAAUAUAGAUGGGUUAAUGAAUUUAGUUUUCUCUUUUGUGGGCUUAUUCAAUAGUUCGAUGACAAGUCUACAUUUUCAUUUUUCUUUGUCAAAACUCUUACAAUAUAUGACCCCAUUUGAAUACUAUAUAUAUNNNNNNNNNNNNNNNNNNNNNNNNNNNNNNNNNNNNNNNNNNNNNNNNNNNNNNNNNNNNNNNNNNNNNNNNNNNNNNNNNNNNNNNNNNNNNNNNNNNNUGAAUCCCAUUUUUUUAUUGACAACAGUUUGUAGGUAAGAAAAAAAAAAAUAGAUAUCUGAAUAAAAGGUUUAGUGUCUUAUAAAAUUAUUCCCCGCCGAAUAAUCUUAUAAUUCGAUUUUUUAGCAUGUUAAAGAAUUUGAAGUUGACGAAUUCCUACGAAUAUAUAUAUAUAUAUAUAUAUAUAUAUAUAUAUAUAUAUAUAUAUAUAUAUAUAUAUAUAUAUAUAUAUAUAUAUAUAUAUAUAUAUAUAUAUAUAUAUAUAUAUACUACUUACCUUAAUUUUAAUUUUUUUAAGGUUUAAGUACGUUACGUACGUAGUACUAUAUAUAUAUAUAUAUAUAUAUAUAUAUAUAUAUAUAUAUUUUUAUCAUGAUGAUCAAUCAUGGAAUCUUAGAGAAAAGAAAUGGAACACUAUCUUCAACAACAAUGUUAAACGAAAUAACUAGUGAAAAUGUCAAAUGUGUAACUUAAGAAAUACAUUUGGUUUCACCUCUCGAAAUGAAGAAACUCUUAAAAAUCCCAUGUUCUAUAGUAACGCUUAUGUCAGCAACUUGUCAUAUAUGUAUUUUAGUUUGUGGUGAGAGAAUACUGAUUAGUGCUCUAAUUACGCGAAAAGACUAAAGUAGUUGGUAAAUCAAAUCUACGCACAUCACCUCUCCUCCCAUUAACGAGUGGAAGUUAUUUUUUAUUUAUUUUAUGUUAUAAUAAAAGAAUGGUUUAAUUCCUUUUUUGAAACAUACUAUAAUAUACACGCAUAUAUAUAUGAAAGAUAAAGUUUCCACCUUGUUUAAUGAUCCUUAAAGCUCAAGUAUAUUUUGUUGGGAUUAAUUCUUUUGUAACAAUUUAUAUUGGGAAAUGUGUAUGUGAUUCUCGUACUAAACAAUUAUGAAAUAUGCUUUUAUUUUUUUUCACUACUUCUACUAGCCUAUGUUUUCCACUCUCUUUUUCUAUUGUGUUGUCAAAGAAGACUUAAAAGCCUAGGAGGCGUUCAAGACCCUGGAUUUGUGCACUAAAAGCACUCGAUUUUAUCUGUUGAAUAAUUUUCGAUGCGUAUUUGUUAUUUGGACGUACAACAACCGCCUCUGUAUAGUGUCGCCACUCUCAAGCACUAAGUUUUCAGAUAAUUCCCAAAUACAAGAACUCCUCUACGACGUUUUUAACAUUAUGUAUUCUACGAGAGAAACUGACUUAGUUUGUCUUUUUUUGACCAACUCAUGUUUUAAUACUACAAUAUUCAAAUUGAUCAAGGAAAAAAGAAUUCAACUUAGAAUCAAGGGAUUAUGGAAUGGUACACAAUCUUUUUCUCAUUGCGAUAAUAACAACGUUAUCGGAACUUAAGUGCGCCUCAAAGUUUCAUGUACGAAAUAUCUCGAUGUUGGAAAGAUGAUCGAUGCCUAGUAUUGGUUUCAAUCCCAAAGGGACUAUAAUAACAUGCAUGUCUAACUUCCUAAAUCUCUUGGAAAAUAUAUUAUAGUUGCAUCAUGCAUAUGCAUCAUUGUGAUUUUAAAUGUCCAAAAAGAUAUUCAAAACUUUUUUCACAUAUGUAACUAAAAUUAGUUUUGACUUUGGUACAUUACAUAUAUCUUAGUCAGUAUGUAAAAAAAAAAAAGGAAUUGCAGAGGAGAAAACAAGAAAGAAGAAUGAUGAACAAACGUGUAGGAACGUUAACAUAUAGAAAAUGGUACCACAUUGUUACUCCGGUCAACUACAUUUAAUUAGGUAAGCCUUAAGCAACAAUACUCUUCGAGUCGUCGUUAUCAAUACCAAUCGAGGAGGACCCAAUCCUCUGUUUUCUCUUACAUGGGGUUUUGUUUACUUUGAAACAGUCAAAAUGCAUUUGUUGUUGUGACUGACACAAGUAAAAACUAUUUCCAUUUUUUUUCUUCUAAAAACGGUUAAAAAAUAAAAUCAAUAUACAAAUCUUUGCUAGUUUCAACCCUAGUAGGAGCUCUCUCUCUCUCUCUCUGGUACGUAAACAAGUUAUGUAAUACAUUUACACUAAGCUAACAAACACAACAUAUAAUGUAAAAAUGAUGUGAGAGUGUGUAAUUACAUGAGAAAACAAAAGGAGGAAGAGGACAGAGACAUAAUCAAGAUUUUCAAAGAUGUGAUGUGAAUAGAGAAUUUUUGAUAAUUAAUCAUUCAGUUUUGUUUUAGGGAAAGGAAUAUUUAAGAAGGAUGACAAAAGGAAUAAUGAAGGAUCCGACGAUAUGGAUGGCCAAUGAGAGGGUCCCUGGGUUAGGUCAGGUCUCCACAUUCGACAGCUACCUCUAAAAGUACUCAUGCGACCCCAUGGCUCAGACACUGUGGACCCUUAUGAUUGGACCUUUUAUGGGCCCUAAAUAUUUGGGUUAUUGGAACAUAUCCCAUUGUUCCCACAACUCUUCUCUCUCUCUCUCUCUCUAUAAGAUGGGCUCAAGAAACUCUCUUCUGUAAAGAUAGCAACAAUCUCAUCAUCACACCCUUGUAUACUUUUACCUAAAGAGUAGUUUUGUCUCGUAAUCUCCUCGUACACCACUUCAAUUUGUUGUAUGCUCCAAAUUUGAACAACUUUUUUCCACAUAUAUUUUGUUAUAAGAUUUGUUAUAUAUGUAUACAUAAUUUAGACAUGUGAAACGGACAUAUGAAUCUCCUAGCCCCCUAAGAAAACAAAACAAAACAAAACACUAGAGUCGACUGAUAAUGGUCAAAGUUUGGAGCGUCGGAGUUGUUUGACCGCAGGUUUCAAGAACCUUAAAUUAUUUUAUUUUCACCACGAGUUUUAGGGUAUGAGUAUGACAUUUUCUCUUCUUUAUUUUGAAUUGUUUGUGAGACAGUGUUUUUUUUUUUUUUUUUUUUUGUCAACAUUUUUGUUUGUUGUGGUUUUAUUUAAACAGAACAGUUGCAAUAAAUGUAUAUUGGUUCUCAUCAUUCAAUAAUUUUGUAUCGACUGCAGUACACAACUGUUGUCACAUAUUUUUCCAUUUCAUGUGUAUUUGGUUCAAAAGAAUAUAUUUUAAAACAUUUUAACAAGCUUAGUCGAUAAAAUCAUUAGGAGUAUUAGAAAAGCUUGGUUAGAGUUUGAGAGUUACAUCAUCUUCGCUAAGUUUGUAUAUUCAACAUCUCUGUUCUGCUCGUUUUGCCCAUUUUUGUACUAUUCAUUUUGCCAUCACUGUUUGCAUAUUUAUAUUCUACCAUAUGAUUUAACCUUUUAUUAAAUGUUCUGUUUUACCUUUCUCAGAACUACAGUCUUUUAAUUUUCAUGAAAAUCUUUUUUUCAUCAAACUGUCAGCCAACUAAAAAUAGAGAUAUUAAGUAAUGAUAAGAUUUAUUAAAUACGUUGGUGGAAUUUUAGUAUGAAGAUUUGGAAAAUAUAAUCGUAGAUAUCGUAGAUACGUGGUGAAAGAAAACGAAUGUCACAAAUGAGAAUUAGUAGCCGAAAUCUAGAAAAAACUUAGAAAAGCAAACCACAAGUGACCCAAAAAGAAAGAAAAGAAACCACAAUAUUUUAGUUUUGCUUGAAAACAUUAUACAUUACUUAGCAUAACUAUUUUUAUGUGUAUAUACUUUAAGUACACACACAUCUAUUUAUAUAUAUAUAUAUAUAGACUUUGUGAAACAAAUGAUUACAAAGUAGGGUUUCAAUUUUUUUUCCUUAAUAUGAGCAAGACUUUGAACAAACUAGGAAGGAUUUAAGGGAGAUUGAGAUAGAUGCCUGAUGAUUCAAUCAUAUUAUAUGGGAUCUUGAUCUCGACAUAUCAUUUACCCAUUCAUGGUAAUAUGGUAUAUGAAAACAAUACGAUAACAAUUUACAUUGGGAGGUAACUAAAGUGGACAAUAAUAAUAAAUAAGAGAAGAGAAAAAAUGUUAAAAUUUUGGUGGGGAAGUUGGGAGGGGGACAAAGUGGAGGAAUAUUAAUAUCCCAUCAAGACCAACAACAUCAACAAAAGUAUAUAUAUAUUUGACAAAUAUAUAAAAGCAAAAGAUAAUAUAUUGAACACCCAACAAUAUAAAAAAGGCCACAACGAAUGUGACAUUUUGACUUUUUCUAAUAUAUUAAUUUGGAUUUAUAUUUUGGUUCUGAAUUGGAGUUUAUCUCAAGAAUGAAAAAAAAAAAAAUUGUGAAUAAUUGAGUUUUGUACUAUAAUGUGAAAUUAAUUGAGACACUUUGUUUUUUUCUUUUUCUUUCUCCGUGCAUAGUCAAAAUUAAGACUUGUCGCAACCACUUUGAUAUUGAGAGACACUUCCUGUUUUUUACUCUCUCUUUAUUUUGUUUACGCACACUAUAAAUAUCAAUCUAAAGUAAUAAAAGCUUUAAGUUGAAUCAGGUGUUUUAGUUUAAUGAUAUCUAAAAAACAAAUACAAAUAUUUACUUGUGUUUUAUGUUUAAUCUGUGUUUUGCUGAUAGUUAGAGACUGUCGUUUGUGAUGGGCUUUUCAAUUUAUGUUACGGCUUAGCAUCGGGUAUUUAUUUGUAAAACUCUUUAUGUUAUUGUCUUAUUGAUGUGGUCAAGUCACUUGUGUUUUAAGAUAUUUUUUGUCAUGUAUCUAAUCAAAGGAAUGUUUUUAACUAUAUAUGUUUUCUUAAAGAGACAAUAGAAAAUAUAUAUAUGUGCAUGUAGCCGAAUGUGGUGGAAUGGUGAGAUAAGCAGUCGAAUAAUUACAUUUAUAUCCAUUUGCAAAUUGGCUGGGAUAAUGUUUUAACCAAAUUGUCCGGAUUUAACAGUUUCUUAAGGUUUCAGAUUCUUUUUGUCGUCUUGUUGUUACACAAUAAUACAUAUAGAAUAUAUGUAUAUAUAUAGCGCAUGAUCUUCUUCUUUUCUUUAAUGAAAAUUGAAAGAAUAGAACAUACAUUACACAAUAGAAUAAUGGUUUCACUACUAGACACUAAUUUUUUUUUUUUUAAAAGGUAAUCAUUGUGAGCAAAAAGACUAAAUUCAACCUCAAGUUAAAAAAAGAGAAGAAGAAGAAGUUGAUUAUACAAUUUCUAAAUUAAACUAUAUAUAUUUAUGUUAACUGUUUAAUUUGUCGCUUGUGAAACAAUCAAGCACAUGGGUCAGAGGGUCACUAUAUAUCCUAUAAACUAACAACUAUAGUACUAUUGUGAAAUAUUAUCAUUAUAUAUCAGUCAUUAGCAACGACAAAUGUCUCAAAGUUUGAAUCAAAGCUAUAGAAAAAAAUCAAUGAAUGAUAGUAACAAUCAGAUGGAUGAUAAUCAUAUGUCUUCUCUCUUAUAAAAAAAAUAUGUAGUUAAUGUAUCAUGACGCUAACAUAAGUAUAUAUCAUUUAACUGAUCCAAACUUCGUAGUGGUUAGCAAAAAUGCAUUUACACAAUAAUUUAAUCACUAAGCACAAAAGAUAAAACUUAUCGUUUAGUGAUUUUUGUUUAUUACCGAAAAAAUUAUGGAGCAUCUAGAUACGUCGAUCAUACUAGUUAUAGAAACGUAUAAUAGUUUAACAAAAAAAAAUGUAAUGAUAAAUUGGUUAAAAUGUAUUGUUGUUAAAAAAAAUAAAAAAGAGAGAGAGGGAGAGAGAUGAAAAUGGGGUGUAAAUGUGUGGACAGCACGUGAGAGUUACUUUUGGCGCAUGCGAAAAGCUGAUGGAAAUACCACAUCAUCAAAACACACUUUUUCAUUUUUAUUUAUUUUAUUAUCAUUUUUUGUAACUAUUAUAGAAUACUCUGAUUAGAUGAAAAAAAGAAGUAAAUAAAUAUAACAAUUUCAAUGACCCGUAAAAAAAAAGGAAAAAAAAAACACUAUGCAAGUUGAAAUCUUUAUUAUCAAACCAACGUGUUUGCUAUGGUUGAAGACUAAAAAUAUAUUUCUCACUUGCAUUUUUCUAUUAGCUUUUGUGGCGUAAAACACAGUAUUUCUUUUAUCACUAUUAGUAUAUGUCUAUAUAUAUGAUUAAGAUAAUUUGUUACACAUUUGUAUUCUAUGUAUAGUUUAGAAUUAAGAUUCAUUAUAUAGCUGUAAUAUAAUAGAUUUGUGGCUAAAAUGUUUUUAGUGUUUGUUUUUUAAAAAAUAAAAAAAUAUGUGGAUGUAUGUGGGCGAUGUGUGACUGAAGGGAAAGGCGCCAUCCAUGUCUGGAAUUAAGGAACCAUUUUUCUAAUGAUUUAUUGUGAUAAUAUGCAAUUUCUUCUUCUUCUUAUUUCAUGAAUUGUAUUUUGCCAUAAAUUAUCCUAAAAGAAACAUUUUUCUCUUAUUGUAUGAUUUGAGAUUAUAUAUAUAUACCAGAGUUGUUGUUUCCUGAAGAUUAUUUACAAAAAAUAAUAAUAUAUUUUUAUAUGUAGUUUGGUGUUGGAGCAUCGUUUGAUGCAGCAUAUUUAAAGAUGAUUAUGGAAUGAUGUUUUUGCUCAUGUAUGUAUUAAGAGUGAUGAAAAUAAAAAGAAGAAGAAAAACACCAACAAUAAUCUUGUAAUAUGUAACAAAUUUUUAUUUAAAUCAUAGGAUUUAAUAUAUUUGUUGGUCGAAAAAAACAAAUUUAAUUUAUUCGAGAAGAUAAAUAAAUAGGAAAAAGGAUAUUUAGCCAUAUUAUUUAUUCAUGUUUUUUUUUGCUUACUAUUUUGACUUAUUUAUGUUUGCAUACAAUUCUAUAUAAUAAACAUUCUUGUUUUUCAACAUACCUUAGAGCGUAUAAUUCGAAUCACAUGUGGUGAAAUUAUAAUUGUUAAUAACAAAUAAAUACACAAGUGGAAUUUAUAACCUACUUAAAAAGAAGAAGAAAAAAGGUAGUAUUAAAUUUUGGAACCAAAAGCAAAGUGAAAAAGUUUCUUACAGAAAGUAAUUACACUUACAGAUGAGUGUAGUAAAAAGGCAGUAAAAAAAAUUGUCGAACAGGUUUAGUCGUAUCACACACUAUGUUUGACUGAUCACUGUCUUCUUCUGAUUCACUUUUCCAUUCUAUUCAUUAUUAUUCGCUGCUAAUUAAGUUUAAUAUUAUUGUAUAAGAAAUCGAUGCUUUAAUCAGAUCAGAAUUAGUACUACUACUACUAAAUAACUAGCUAAUUUAGGCUUUUAAAUAACUAGUCUUCUGAUUACUAGUAUUUUCCGCCACCAACGCCUCUUUUAACUUCUUAACUUUUUACAUUAUCACACCUAACCUAACCUACUGGCUACUGUAUCUUUUGAAUAGAAUGUUUUUCUUUUUUCAUUUGAUAUAUACAUAUAUAUAUAUAUAUAUAUAUAUAUAUAUAUAUAUAUAUAUAAAUUUACCAUCAAAAUAUGUUACAGAUAACAGAUAUAUGGAACUAGUUAUCUUUUAAUUUUUCACUCAAGGUCCUAUUCCAUAAGAUCGUAAAUGUAAUUUGGAAAUAACUAUAUUGCGGAUGCUACAGUGUAUAUAGCUUAGCAGGUUAUUAAACUAAGCAAAAUUUGGAUAUAUCACAUAUAAUACAAUAAACACUGCACAGUAAGAUGAUAUGAAUUUGGGUCGUAUAAUAAAUGAAGAUAAGACAUGCUAACAAAUAAAAACAUGCACUACCCACAAAAGGAUAUAUAUUAGUGAGAGAGAAGAUGUUUUGAUUUGUAACAAGACAUAACUUUGAUUGCUUGAUGUGUUUAAAAUGAUUAUGUCAGAGACAGAGAACGAUCAUAGGCUCUCUCUCUCUCUUUUAUUUCUUUCUAAUAACAUCCAUUCUUAUUUCUUCUCUUCUUCUUCUUUUAUGGCGUCCGAUAAUGUCGAAUUUAAAUUCUAUAGGUUUUUGCAACUCGAACUAUCCUUAACUACAUCAUCUGGUUAAACUAAUUACAAGCACAGCUUCAAAGAGCCUAACUUUAAAGAGUAGACCAGAGAUCUUAUAACUAAGUCUGCCUUUUACCUUUUUAUAAUGAAUUGAUUUAAAACUUUCAUCGGACAAGAUUAGUCGUUCCUUAACAUUACAUUCUACUCGUCGAUGUUUUCAUUCGGGUCAUAUAGUAUGAUUGGUUAUUUUGGAAGAUUUUUCUUCAUCAAUUAAUAUACAUCUCCAAACAUAAAAACACACACAUUAAUAUACCUUUACAACUCUAAAAUACAAAACAAUGGACAUAUGAGAAUUGGUGUUAUUAGUCUUUGUUUUUUUUAAAUCUUAAACUUAGAAUUGUAAGAUAUACUCUCAUUAUUUUGCUCGGAUUCAUUUUGAUUUUUUUGUAACGGAUGUUCAAAAGUGGUAUUUAUCGUUUCUACCUAAAGUAAGUUCGGAAAUUUUAUCUACUUUUUUGAUUUCGCAAGAAUCAUGUGACUAACUUUUAUAUUAUACGUUACUCAAACAAUUAUAUCCGUUAAAUUAAAAAUAUACUUUUUUCUAGAAAUGCAUGAUACGUUUCAUGGUUUAAUAAGAACAUUUGUAAGCCUUCCCUAAAAUUUCUAGUUUUCAAAAUAGAUUUAGUUACAAAUUCAAAACUUAUUACUAAUCUGUUGUGCUUGAUGGUUAUAAAAAAAACUUACUUUGUAAGAAAUUAGUAGAUCUAAUCCAUAAAUGAACAAAAGCAGAAAGAUAAAAUAAAUGGAGUUCCUAUAAUGUCAUUUCACAAGAAAACAAUAGGGACAACUUCGUAAAUGAUCGCCGUAUUAUUUAGUAUUUAUUACUAAAUUAAUUAAUUAAUAUUAUUAUUAAAAAAAAACGCACCACUUUUCUUUUUCGCUGAUGCACAGCUUGUCGGUUUGCGUGCAAAUCCUCUGUUUCACAAUUUCUCUCUCUUCCCUUUUAUUCUUCCUCUUCUUCUCUCUCCCUCUGUUUCUAAGUUCAACAGAGAGCUAAAACAACACACAUCACUCUCUCUCUCUCUCCAUCUCCAUCUUCUUCACUUUCUCACAUAACCCACUCUCUCUUUCUUUCUCUCUUGUUCUUCAGAGUCUUGAAAAACCUUUUCAGCCUCUCAACUGUACUAAUGUUCAUGUGUUUCUUCUUCUACAUCAAUUCAUUGUUCCCAAGUGUUUCUGUGUCCUGAAUUCUGAUAUUAUGCUUCUUUAAGUAAGUUUGAGUUGACAUCACUUCCUUAGAUCAAAAGUUUUGAGUCUUCUCUGUUCCCAGAAAAUCCAACUCUCUUGUUGCUUCUUCUGUUUUUUUUUUUUUUUUUUUUUUUUCUCUCUUGAAGAAUCUUUAAAAUUCUCAGAUCUUCUGAAUCUCUCUGUUUACCAAAAAAAAAAAAAAAAAAAAACUUUUAACUUUUCUUUUUGGUAUUCUCUUCUUCUCUUCGUUUCCCUUUAUUUUUCCAAAUUCUCGUUUCCACAUGUCGUUGGUCUUUCGCUACAAGCCACGACCAUAGAAUCUUCUUUGUCUGAAAAUAAAAACACCAAAACAAAAAAAAAGAAUUACAAUUUACGUUUCUCUUAAGCAUACGACGGACUUCCCUAAGAAAUCAAAGAGAAAAGAAGAAGAAGAAGAAGAAGAAGAAGAAGAAGAAGAAGAAGAAGGUCGAAACAGUAAAGUUUGAGACUUUGGAAGCUCGAGAGAAAAAAUGGAGAUGGCGGUGGCUAACCACCAUGAUAGAAGCAGUGACAGUAUGAAUAGACAUUUAGAUAGUAGCGGUAAGUACGUUAGGUACACAGCUGAGCAAGUUGAGGCGCUUGAGCGUGUCUACGCUGAGUGUCCUAAGCCUAGCUCUCUCCGGCGACAACAGUUGAUCCGUGAAUGUUCCAUUUUGGCUAAUAUCGAGCCUAAGCAGAUCAAAGUCUGGUUUCAGAACCGGAGGUAUUGAUUCUCCCUCUUUGCUUCUCUCUUCUGGCUAUAAUAAAUUUUUAUACAUCUUCUUUUUUUGUUUAAUUAGGGAUUUGGACUUUGAUUGUUUUGGAUUUAUAAUCUGUGUUAUAUUCAAUGGUUACCAAGGACCACUUUUGUUGAUUUGGUGUUUGAUUCAAUUAUCCGACACAAUUUCCUGUUUUUACAAAAGGCUUACAUUGAAUAUGUCUGGUAGAUUUGGUUGUUCGUUUUCUGCUCUCAUUAGCUUGUCUUACUGUUCUUUUGGCUAUAAGGUUAAUUGUGUGAUGUCUAAUCUUAGCAGGUUUGCUGAUUGGUUUUGUUUUGUGGUUUUAGGUGUCGAGAUAAGCAGAGGAAAGAGGCGUCCAGGCUUCAGAGCGUAAACCGAAAGCUUUCUGCGAUGAAUAAACUGUUGAUGGAGGAGAAUGAUAGGCUGCAGAAGCAGGUUUCUCAGCUUGUUUGCGAAAAUGGCUAUAUGAAGCAGCAGCUAACAACUGUUGUAUGUAACUUUCUUCGUUUUAUAUAUGUUCUCAGUAGAACUAAUUGUUAGUCUUAUCUAUUCAAUAGGUAGCUUGAUUUAUAAAUUUAUUGGCUUGUUGUUUUUUAACUUCAGGUGACCGAUGCAAGCUGUGAUUCUGCGGUCACAACUCCUCAGCAUUCGCUUAGAGAUGCAAAUAGUCCUGCUGGGUAAAGUCUUGUUUUGGUUUUGUAGUGAAUUUUGUAUCAUCUUUUGUCUUGGCCUAUUAACUUGGUGUUUUGUUCUUAGAUUGCUCUCGAUCGCAGAGGAGACUUUGGCAGAGUUCCUAUCCAAGGCUACAGGAACUGCUGUUGAUUGGGUUCAGAUGCCUGGGAUGAAGGUUAUAUGCAUCUCCUACUGUUACUUAUGUGCUUUAAUGUUUUGUUUGUGUUGAUAUUGAAAUGUGAAAUCUGAUGUUGUGUGUCUUAGCCUGGUCCGGAUUCGGUUGGCAUCUUUGCUAUUUCGCAAAGAUGCAGUGGAGUGGCAGCUCGAGCCUGUGGUCUUGUUAGUUUAGAACCGAUGAAGGUAAGAAAAGGGUACUCUUUCUAAAGCCUAGAGAUUCGAGUCAAAAUGUUUAAUUUUGUUAACCAUUUCAGGUUUAUUGUUUUCUUGCAGAUUGCAGAGAUCCUCAAAGAUCGGCCAUCUUGGUUCCGUGACUGUAGGAGCCUUGAAGUUUUCACUAUGUUCCCGGCCGGUAAUGGUGGUACAAUCGAGCUUGUGUAUAUGCAGGUAAUUGCUUUUCUUUAUUUUGGAUUAGUUUUCUAUCUCUAACACUUGAAGAUGCAUGAAUAAAAUUGAAAAAUGCCUUUUGGUCAGACCUAUGCACCAACGACUCUGGCUCCUGCCCGCGAUUUCUGGACCCUGAGAUACACAACGAGCCUCGACAAUGGCAGUUUUGUGGUAUGCAACUCUCAUAGUGUCUGUAUAGUGCAUUAAAACUGCUGGUUAUUGAUUGUUCAUGUAUCAUUUAAAGGUUUGUGAGAGGUCACUUUCUGGCUCUGGAGCUGGGCCUAACGCUGCUUCAGCUUCUCAGUUUGUGAGAGCAGAAAUGCUUUCUAGUGGGUAUUUGAUAAGACCUUGUGAUGGUGGAGGUUCAAUUAUUCACAUUGUGGAUCACCUUAAUCUCGAGGUAGUUAGAUCCUUACAAAAGAACAUUUUGUAUUUGCGUCUUCUUAAAUAUUAAUUAAAAUUUUCUGUUCUUGCAUUAUAGGCUUGGAGUGUUCCGGAUGUGCUUCGACCCCUUUAUGAGUCAUCCAAAGUGGUCGCCCAAAAAAUGACAAUUUCCGUGAGUGUAAUAUGUAUAUAAUAACCUUGAGAUAUGACUGGUUCAUAUGCAUAUCUAAUGAUUGGGGUUUGGUUCAUGUUUUAGGCAUUGCGGUAUAUCAGGCAAUUAGCGCAAGAGUCUAAUGGUGAAGUGGUAUAUGGAUUAGGAAGGCAGCCCGCAGUUCUUAGAACCUUUAGCCAAAGAUUAAGCAGGUAAUUCGAUCGUGAGCUUAAAUCUAGUUACUAUUUGCUCUGUUUGGUUUUUUGACAUAUUAUCUGUUCUUGAUUUUCUUGCAGGGGUUUUAAUGAUGCGGUCAAUGGGUUUGGUGACGACGGGUGGUCUACAAUGCAUUGUGAUGGUGCAGAAGAUAUUAUCGUUGCCAUUAACUCCACAAAGCAUUUGAAUAAUAUUUCUAAUUCUCUUUCGUUCCUUGGAGGCGUGCUCUGUGCCAAGGCUUCAAUGCUUCUCCAAGUAUGUUAAUGUGCAUAGUCUGGUACUUUCCUUUUGUCCAUUUUUACUGGCUGAAAUUUUUAUUCUUUAUUGUCUUCUGCAGAAUGUUCCUCCUGCUGUUUUGAUCCGGUUUCUCAGAGAGCAUCGAUCCGAGUGGGCUGAUUUCAAUGUUGAUGCAUAUUCUGCUGCUACACUUAAAGCCGGUACCUUUGCUUAUCCAGGAAUGAGACCGACUAGGUUCACUGGGAGUCAGAUCAUAAUGCCACUAGGGCAUACAAUUGAACAUGAAGAAGUAAGGCUUCAAAGUCUUACCUGCUGAGAAAACAUCAUUUAGUGUUUUCUCUCUAACGUAUUUGGUGUUGUUAUGCUUCAGAUGCUUGAAGUUGUCAGACUAGAAGGUCAUUCUCUUGCACAAGAAGAUGCAUUUAUGUCCCGGGAUGUCCAUCUCCUUCAGGUCAAUCAUUUUAAGUUCUAACCCAAUGGAUCUUAAAAUUUAUCUCAUUCCAAAUUUAAACUGACUUUAAUGAUGUAUGGUAGAUUUGUACUGGGAUUGACGAGAAUGCUGUUGGAGCUUGUUCGGAACUGAUAUUUGCUCCGAUUAAUGAGAUGUUCCCGGAUGAUGCUCCACUUGUUCCUUCUGGCUUCAGAGUCAUACCUGUUGAUGCUAAAACGGUACUUGUCUUUCCUCUAUCACUGAUUUUUCUCUUACUUAGAGAUGGUUUGUCUCAGGCUUAUAUAUUCUUCCUCAUACAGGGAGAUGCGCAAGAUCUGUUAACUGCUAACCACCGUACAUUAGACUUAACUUCUAGCCUUGAAGUCGGUCCAUCACCAGAGAAUGCUUCUGGAAACUCCACUUCUUCUAGCUCAAGUUCGAGAUGUAUCCUCACUAUCGCUUUCCAGUUCCCUUUUGAAAACAACCUGCAAGAAAAUGUUGCCGGUAUGGCUUGUCAGUAUGUGCGGAGUGUUAUUUCAUCUGUUCAACGUGUUGCAAUGGCGAUUUCACCAUCUGGGAUAAGCCCAAGCCUGGGCUCCAAAUUGUCCCCGGGAUCUCCUGAAGCUGUUACUCUUGCCCAGUGGAUCUCUCAAAGUUACAAGUGGGUUUUAAUGUUUAACUAUAAAUCCCAAGCUUAUCGAUGAUCUCUUACGUUAAUAUGUUUGUCUUUUUCAGUCACCACUUAGGCUCGGAGUUGCUAACGAUUGACUCACUCGGAAGCAACGACUCGGUAUUAAAACUUCUAUGGGAUCACCAAGAUGCCAUAUUGUGUUGUUCUUUGAAGGUAUGUAUCCUAAUCCAAACUAAAACCGGUUAAAUCCUCUUUUUAGAAUUUGAUUCCGUUUUCUGUAUAGAAUACCUAUAGUCUUAGACGUAUAAUGUGGUCUGGUUAUGUUGCAGCCACAGCCAGUGUUCAUGUUUGCAAACCAAGCUGGUCUAGACAUGCUAGAGACAACACUUGUAGCUUUACAAGAUAUAACACUAGAAAAGAUCUUUGAUGAAUCUGGUCGAAAGGCUCUCUGCUCCGACUUCGCCAAGCUAAUGCAACAGGUAAAGAAAGGAUAGAUUCACUCAUCUGCAGAUAAUGUUUUCAGUUCAUUUAUCUGAGAAUUGUCUUGUCUCUACAGGGAUUUGCAUGCUUGCCCUCAGGGAUCUGUGUGUCAACAAUGGGAAGACAUGUGAGUUAUGAACAAGCUGUUGCUUGGAAAGUGUUUGCUGCAUCUGAAGACAACAACAACAAUUUGCAUUGUCUUGCCUUCUCCUUUGUAAACUGGUCUUUUGUGUGAUUCCAUUUGCUAGAAGGAAAGACUAAUUAAAAAUUUUCGUUAGACAACUCAAUUUUUUGGUUGUUGUUUAGGAAGUGUCUCUGUUUUGGUUUUUAAUUUAUUAUGAUCAAAUGUUACUCAUUUUUCUUCUGACAUAAUGUAUUUGGCUUUUAAAUGAGUGAGGAAAAAAAAGAGAACAGAUCAAUCUCUAUAUAUAUAUAAAGGGGACGGUGCAGCAUUUUUGUUGUAGUUACAAAAGGGGAGUUAAACUAAGGUUACAACAUCUUCUCUUUAGCAUUUGACAUCUUGACUUUUAAAUCCUUUGCUAUAUUUAUCUUAUCCCUUUAGUAAUAUAAACUAUUCAAAAAACAAAGAAUCAACAAGAAUCCACAGCUAGAUGUAAGAAAGAAAAAUUACAGCCAAAUAACUUUUUUUUUUGUAUUGGCCGUUUAAUAGAAAGAUCUUCAGAAUUUCAUGCAUCUAGCCGGUAAACCUGUCUGAUGGUUAACGGCGACAAUCUCAGAGACGUUGUUGCAACGAAGAACAUCUUGACCAAGCUUAGCUCCUGCAGCCUUAAGACCUUUAAGAGAAACAGGCAUGUUGAAGAGGUUGAGUGACGGAAGCUUAGAAAGCGGAGGGAGUUUCUGGUUCGGUAAGAAGUUUCUGAAAUCGUCCAUGAGCAAAGGAACUUCGAAAUCGGUUUUGUUGUGUUUCACCACAUUGUCUUUAGCUGCAAUGUGAGCUCCUGGUUCCAUGUGGUUGGUUGAGAAGCUUGAUUGGUUAGGGAAGUUUGGGUAGAGACUAACGUAUCCUCUAAGGUACAUCAUGUCGAUUAAGAAUUUCUUCCAAGAAGCUUGCCAACCGUUGGUUCUCGAUUUCGGAAUCUGGACAGGGUUAGCUUUCGCGUUCUCAGUGAAUCUCAUGUUCAUGUAGACGUAGAACUCUCUCCACUGCUUUGGGAAGAAAACGGCUCCCCAGCUGCAAGGUAAUUGAUGAAGGUAAGGUGUGUGUGGAUGGAUUUGUUUGAAGAAAUCUGUUGGGUUCCAUUUGGGUCUUUCUUUGACGACUUCAACGAUUUUGGGUGUGUAAAGAGAGAUCGAGGAGAGUUCCGGGAAAGAGACUUGAGGGUCAUAGUGGUAAGCCAGUAGAGCGUAUUUGAUCCAGAGAAAGUAAUAAGGAGAGACCUCAAUGUCGUCUUCAAGCAAGAGACCAAAGUCAUCAUCAGAAGCUGGAUACCAACUCUCGCUCACAGCUCGGAUUAGGCCUCCUUGGAUGAUUCUUCUUCUUAGUGUUUUUGGUCCGUGAGGCCAAUCAAACGUGCUCACUACUUUGAUCGUCUCUUCAUCCACUUUGCUAUCCAUGUUGAAGCUGAGAGAUAUCUCGUCGCCAAGGUAGUAUGCAUUGCUCAAAGACCUAAGCAAUCUUAAUAAAGACUGAGCUCGGUUUUGUGUAAUGAUAUUCACUGAGACUCUCAUCUUAUUCCAGUCUGCAAUCAUAACAAUUGUUGUCAACUCGAGUAAGCAAAAUUGAGAAAGCCAAAUCAGAAGGCAAAAGAUAAUGAUACUUACUUGGCAAUGCGGUUGAUCUUAGAUCAGCCAUCCAUAGAACCUUGGAGAUAGAAGCUCUCGGGAGAAGAACCAGUGCGGUGCCAUUAGGAUUUGUCUCAGUAGCCAUUUUCAAAGCUUUCUUGACAUUAGGAUCAGCAUCAGCUACCGUAAUCACCACGCUUGGGUUAUGGAUCUUAAUAAGGCCUUUGAUGCUCGAAUACACAGCUUGGAAAACAGGCACCUCUGAGUUAGACACACCCAAGAUAGCUCCAACUUCCAAAUCAAAAAUCUUGAAUCUCCUCUCCUUGCAAACAAUCUUAGGCCACUUCAAAGCCGAGGCCGCAUCCUCGCAAGGACAGAAAUUCCCACCGGAUACCGCGAUAUAAGCCUUUUUACCAACAGUGCCUCUGAACUUCUCAAGCAAAGGACUAAGUGCUUUAACUUCAUCGAUGGAAUGAGCGUAAAACAAAGCGUCGAUCUUCUGAGGAUGCAUCGCAGCCCACUGAGUAAUAUAACCAGUGGAAAGCGCUUUCCACCAUUGAUUGUCUCUCACUUCAACAAUGUUUUUGAAAAUCACAGUAGUCUCAGACACAUAAGCUAGUCUGUGUUCACUAUCUCCCCAUGUCUCCUUAUCGUUUGGAUCAACAGGUAGAACAAACGAACCUGCAUUCCUGUAUUUCUGAAGCUGAUAACUGCAAACACACACACCAAAACAAAAAAAAAUCAAACCACAAUUAUUACUUCAUAACAAAUAAAAAAGUUCCCUUUUUUCUUACUUUCAUCAUUAGAAAAUUUAGAAUUAUUAAAACCUAAUUCUUUUAUAUAAUUAAUAAUCAUAGUAUAACAAAACACGUGAUUGUAUACUCACAUGAAGUUCAUCAUCCUAAAGACGUUACUACAAUGAUUAAUACGAGAUUUUACAAUACUAUAAUAUAUUAAUAUUCAGUUGAACACCAUUUUCGAAAAAUAAAGUUUUAAUUAUGAUUAACCAAUUCAAACAUUGCCUUAUCAUACACUCAAAAACUUCAAAUUCCCGAGAAGAUCGAGGAACGUGAAACUAACCUCAGGUGAAGAUCUUCACCAGUAGAGAAUGUGAAUGGCUUCUCGAUGAACAAGGCUUUCACGAGCUCCGCCGAUAAGAACCACGAGCUUGAUAAGAAAUCAACCUGAAGAAUCCGAUCUAAGGUGAUGUCAUAAGCCGGAUCAGGCAAGUAAAGCCCAGCUUCCUUAGAUCUAAACUUCCUAUAGCUCGGAAACGUGAAGUCCUUUUGCCGGAAAGGCAGAAUCCUCCCGAUGCUUCCCAAAACGGAGUUUUCGUAUUUCUCAGUUCCGGCGACGUGUGCGAGCAUCUGAAGCAUCUUCUUCCCAGGAAUCAUAUCGUCGUCGAGUAUGUAAACCAGAUCCGCUUCUGUUUGAAGCGCGAUCUGGAAUCUUCCAUAGUAUUUGAAGUCGUAAUUUGAGCUGAUGAAGCUGAUUCGAGAGUCGUUGUAACUCCCGGCGAUUCGCCGGAGAGAAGCUUCGUUUGGACUUCCGAAGGCCAAAACCCAGACAUGGUGAAACGGCAGCGUUUGGUGGAGGAGCGAAUCAAGCUGAGCACAAAGUGUUUUCCUCUUGAAAUGGUUCAGUAUCACUGUUACUUUGGGUUUAUUAGGCCCAUUUAAAGCCCAUUUAGAUUUCAUCUUCAUCAACUCUUCUAGACUCUCAGACCCAAGAUUCUUCCUCUGGAACCCCAAAACGUCGUCGUAUAGCUCCCUCUUCAUCUUGAUCAUCUGCUGAUCGUUCGAUUUCUUCUGCGAGAAGUCGAUUUUCUCGUACUCGCAGACGUCCGCCGGAGAAACCAUCGCCGGAAAACUGUCUUCCGAUUUGAGGAAAGAGGCAGAGUCUUGGUAGUGGCUGACGACGUGAGGUGUGACGAUGUAGCUGCGCAUGUUAUGGGCCCAUUUAGUGGCCCAAGUGAAGUCAGGCUUGGCCCUUAAGUCAAUGGAAGGACUCAUGUAGUAGAGAAGUCCGGUGGCGUAGACGGCAAAUGCGAACUGAAGAAACGUAAGGGCCGUCACGAACUUGGCGGAGUUGAGUUUCCGGCUAGGCUUUGGUUUGCCGGAAGAAUAUUCACCGAAGAUGCUCUCUAUAUAAUCGCCGCCGCUUCUCACAGCCGGUGGUCGUAUAAAACCCAUUUUGUCAGAAUCCAAAACCUUAUUGUGAGAGAUAUAGGAGAAAGAAAGAGAAAUAAGAAUGUAGCGUUAAAAGUUGCUGUUUUUUCUUUGUAAGCUAUUUGGAGAAAUGUAUAUAUAUAUAUAGAGAGAUGAAGAAGGCAUAUAAACAUAUAUUUUAUAUAUAUAAAGUGAGUUUUGUGGGUGAAGAAGCAUUACGUAAGGGGGAUAUCACAUGGGGUAAACGUUCAUUAAGAAUAAAGUAAAGUGUUUAUAUGAAAAAUUCAUUGGUUGAAAUAUGUUAUUUAAAAAGGUUACGCGAUACCUUUAGAUUUUAUAAAUUAAUUUUCUAUUAUUCAAGAAAAAAUAUGAUUAUAUAUGUAGGUUAUUUUUAAGAUAAAUUAGGAUAAAUUAGGACAACACUCAACGGAAAAAGCCGGGUUCAUUGGCGUAUAUAAGGGUUACCCCUUUGCAUUUAACACUUCCAUAUGCUAUGUUUUUUUUUUCUUUCUUGCAUAUAUAUACAAUAAUCGUAUGACGAAGAACAAUAUAUAUAGUUUUAUAGUUAAUUAUAUAGUUCACUUUCUUGAUAUGAAUCAGAGAGUAAGAGAGUUUAAGAUGAACUAAACUCAAAAGCGUUCAAAAGCUUAACCAAUAUUAAUGUGCUCAAUAUAUGUUUGUUCUAUAGUGUAUGUAAAGAUGAAUGCAGCAUAAUCGAGAAGGGAGAACAUAAAGUAUUAUAAUACCUUUGUGUACAUGAUGGAUCGAUCGAGCCGAGCGUAUAAUGUGAGAGAAUCAAGCCUUUUCUUCUUCAACAAUCGAUCCACAAGAUAUAUUAAACUAUUUCUUGUUAUACAGAUUCUCUCCUUGAAUAGUAUAAAAGAGUCUAAGAAUCCAAAGAAAGGAAGAAAGAUUUGAGUAGAGAAUGAGUUAUUGAAAGUUUUUUAGAGUUUAAAAACAUUUUAUAGCAAAUGUCUCGGACAAGCGAUGUUUUGACUUUGCAAUUUGCAUAAAAGAUACGUCGUUGAACUUUGCAGCAAAUUUUGCCACCUUUUUUUUUUUCUUCUUAUAUCGUAUCAGCUUCUUAGUUAUAUCUUACUAUUCUCGGUUUUUUUAUUUUAUUAUUGGAACUUAGCCGAACAUUUUACCAGAAUUUUUCCAUUUUGGACAGCUUCAUGUAUCAUGUAAAUUCAAUAAAAACAAGAAAAAUAAAAAAGUAGAAAAGGUUUGUAAUGGUUUUCUUAAACCCGUAUAUUUUGGAUUGAGAGCCUAGUUAUUUUUUUUAUUAGAUGAAUAAAAAAAAAAUUCCAUGUGCAAUCGAGUUUAGAUCUGCUAAUUAAAACCGAAGUAGUUUUUGUUGAACUAACUAUUGUACUUGAAAAGUUUAAAUAAAGAGAUUUUUUACAGUUAAUGUAUAGCUUUGCAUUCUCAGUUCUCCUCUAUAUCUAUCUAUAUUUGGAUAAUUAUCAUGAUGUAGAUAUUUUAGACAUACACUUUCUCUGUAUAAAGACUUUUCAGGCACAUUAUAUUUUGGUGUUGGUGCUCUUAUGACCCAUUACACUUGCACCAUCCAUCAAUUGAUCGUUCAGUUCUUUCUUUGAUGCUGCAUUUCUUAUGAGUGCUUGUUUCACUUAAGAUUAUUCCUUUGUCUCAUAGCGCAAGAUGAUAUCAUAUUUUGAAAAAAAUGACAUUUUCAUCCUUAAGGUAUAUGAUCAAAUGAUCAAAAUUUACAAAACAGUAGCAAAUUCUGGAUUUUGGCUUUGUGAUAAUUAGGAAGAUACUAAUCUUCUUGUACAUUUCAACAAAACAAUAACAAUAACAAGCUGCUGGAUUUUGACAUGAUGUUUUCUUUGGAUUGUACAAAAAGAUUAGUAUAUUUUCUCUUUAUCUUGUGUAAAUAAAUAAUACUUAGUCUCUAAUCCAUGAUUAUUAUUAUUAAAGCUAUUAUUUUGUUCAUACUAAUAGUUCUUUGUUACUUUGAUUACGAGUUUUUGAGGUCGGUCACACAUGUGUGACUUUAAUUAAGAGUAUAAUUAUCCUUCUUCACACUAUUGCAAUAUGGUGAACAUGAUUGCUACCUUUUUCUAUUUGACGUCGAUUGCUUCUUUAGACCCAUCAGGUUUAUAUAUACACAACACAUCAAUAAUACGUGUGCGAUUACAUUUAUACACACAAGUAAAUAAUUAUUCAAAUAUGAAAAUGCAUGUGAUUUAUUUUCUUCUAGAGCUACGACUAUAUUUUUACUCAUAAAUAAGUUCUCGUACAUUUAAUUGCCCAUGUGAUUUUUGCAAAUUUCAAAUGAAAUUUAAUUACGAAAAAGUAUUUCAUUUUAUAUUUUACUGGUGGAGAACAUAAAACUACAAAAAAAAAAAAAGAGAACCCACCAUAUUACAACUAGUACGAUUAAAUUUUGCUUUUAUAUGUUUGGCGUUGAAACUAGACAAGAUGAUUUUGAGCAGCGGGUAUAACUAAGUUUGGAGACAAACUAGGCAUAAAAGUGAAUUCUAAUUAACGAAAUUGAUUUAUGAUGCUCGGUCUCUCCAAAAAUAGAAACUUGUUGUAGUAAUAUAUUUUUCUUUUUCCGAAGGAGUCGUAAUUUGACUUCUCAUAAACCAACUCUUUUCUCACGACCAAGCAGCUUCGUUGUUUCAUUGUACCUAAUAUAUGUAGACCGACAUAUAGUUAUGAACACAAAUGUUUAUUGUAAAUUACUUAUUAGAACUUCACCAAACUUAGCUUUUACUAUUUGUCAACUUCCUAGUGUCAAGUACACCACUUUCUAAUGUGUGUAUACAACAUGUAUAUGUCUGAUUCAAAGUCAAUGUACAAGUGGUGAUAAAAUUCUCUCUAUUAUUAAAUUAUAAUUUGCUGAGAGGUUUGAUAUCAACUUGUUGUUAACAAGAACAACACAUCAUAUAUAGAUUCAUAUGCAACCAACGUCUGCGCUUGUUUGUCUAGGGUAAAUUAUUUAUGGGUAGAUAAUAUUAAUUGAUGAUGUCAAUAAUUACAAGCUGUUAUUUAACAAAAAAAAUAGUUACUUCUCAAGAAAAUUGUGAAUUGUUUUGUCUUUUAUUUGUAAGUACAAAUAAUCUCUAAAAAAGGAAAAACUUACAAAAAGAACAUAUUACUGUUGGCAGCAGACAAAAAAGCCACCAAAGCAAGUUGAUGGAUGCAUCAUGCAUGUAACGAAAAAGAGAGUUCUGAAAAAUCAUUUUUGAAUCUAUCUAAAUAAUAGUAAGAAUGAGCAUGAUUAGUCGAUUAAGUUUAACUGAUUAAACAUGAAUGAAUCGAAGUAUAAACAGGAUUAUGAUACUAGUAUUGUUCCACUUUUUCUUCUUAAAAAUAGUAAAACAUAGUAUGCACGAAGCAUUAACAUACACGUUCGCAUUGGUGGCUAUCAUAUAUGGAACGAGCAAGAAUGCCCUCUUAUAGGUAUCAAAUCGAGCCUGGAAAAAAAAGAAGUACCAGCCAAACACCAUCCAUACAAGACAGUGGAAUAUACAAAUUAAAGAAGUGAUAUAGAACAAUAUACUUAUGCUUAGCGUUGCGACUAACUAUAUUUAGAAAUAUAAAAUCGUACAUAGAAAUAUAGAAUAAUCACUUGUGUGCAACAUAGGAUGUCGCCAUCUAAGAGGGUCAAAACUAAUCUAACGACGUGAAAUCCCAUUGGUCUAAAGUAUGACUAUAAAUAUCAAACUCACUUGAUCAAUCAAUGCUCAUACCAAAGGUUCCAUCAAAUUAGGCUAGUUUCAAUAUAGUCGUUGAAUUAUUUAGCAUAAAUACCUAAUAUAAGUUUGUCCUUGGUCACAUUCUGGUCCUCCAAUGAACAUAAAACUUACCUUUUCGACCAACAACCUCAUAUUGAGGAUUAUCUCCAACAUGGUAUACAUGACCAUCCAAAUUUUGGAAUAUCUCUAGUCUUUCCGACACAAGUUUUUGUGUUUGUGUAAGUUUUUUACUUGGUGGUAAGUAUAUAAAUACUUUGACUUGGGGUGAGAGAUUUUGGAGGAAGAUCUUGAGAUCCAAAAACACAGGCUAGCUUCAGCACGUGAAGCAAGUCGCAUAUCGAUUUUUAAUAGUCUUCAGUUUUAAAUUACCAAACAAAACUUUAAAAUAAUAAUAAUACGCACUGAAAAAGAAUAUAUAUUAUACGUUUGUGUUGUGAAUUAUAAGAUAUUAAUUCAGGACGUUCGUGGAAAAUUGAUUCAGGACGUUUGUGACUUGUGAUAUUUGGUCGUGUUAACCUUUUUUUUUCUUUUUUCUUUUGUUGUUGGUAUUUUCUCGUGGUCCAUUCACGAUAGAUGAUGAGCGAUUUUGAUAUAACGCAUGAACAAUACUAGUUUUUAGUAGCAUUUACAAGCCCACUAAUUUAAAGAUUUAAGGCCUAUAUAUUGUUGGAUUUGGAUAUCUCAUAUAUUACCCAACAACUGAUAGCAACGUUUUGCUUAGAAAGAAACGUAAAGAGAAGAUGACACUCACAUGUGAAGUGAUUGCGGAUGUUGUUUAUAAACUGGUAUACCAAAACGGCUAUUAUAUACUCUCGAAGUUGAAGAAGCUAUGGCGGCAAUCUUUUCUUGAAGAGUCCUAAACACAAGUGAGAAUAGUUUGAGAUUUUUAGGGAGCAAAAGUAUAUAUAAAUUUUAAAUAUUUAUCACAAUCACAACUCACACACAUAUUAUACACACCCACCAAACACAUAUAUGUAGACAACACAAAAAGAAUUAACAAAAUUAUUUAUUAUAAUGAAGGAAAAGAAGAAAAACAAUUGCUAAAAAUGCCAAUAUAUAUAUUUAUCUAUAUAAGCAGCAGUUAAAGCACAUUUUUCCCUUUUUCCUCUUUUUUUUCAACCCCAACAAAAACUAUAAAUACUAAUUAUACCCCCAAAACUGAGAAAUUAAACGUAAACUACCCUUCCCAAUUGAAGAUAAACAAAACGUUCUAAAAGAGAAAAAGCAGAAAACAAAAUAACGCGGGGAAAUUUUGAAAAAUCCAUAAAUGUCAAAAUCCCCGUUUUAUAUCCUUCCUCCAGCGAUCACCUUGGCUUUGGCCUCGCUGGGAAACUGAGAGCUUGCCGUAGUUUCCUCCGCGUCGAUGGACUCGAAUUAGAGCUAGCGAUAGGCAUUCCGAAUGUCAUUGUCUGAGAUAGAUUCACCAUAUCCACCAUUGAUUGCGUCUGGUAAGAUAUCGUCGUUGAAUCACUCAUGUCGCCUCUUGCUGUAGCUCGCUGCCACGAGUGCGAGCUCAGACCCGCGAGUACGUAAGCCCUACCCGAAGACUCGUAGACUUGACGGCUCGCCAUUCUCUCUUGCGUCUCCUUUAGCUCUGCACACAGUGUGACACACGAUGGAUCUUCCGCUCGACCUGACACAGACUCCGUCAGUACCCCACGGCAUGUCUCAAGAACCGACACAGCUUCAGUCAAAUCACCGCGUUCGGCUAAUACUCUAGCUUCGGAGAUGGCUUCCGCUGCACGUAUUCUGAUUCUCUGUCUGUCAACUUCAACUGACACCACAGGUCUUCGGUCAGCCAUCGCAAUCGGCCUGAGAAUCUGUACUUCACCGGAAUUAUUCAAAUCAACGGUCUCUUUUGUUACUGGGUCUCUGUAAACGCAUCGAACCUUGAGUAACGACAUUAGAUCAGAAACUCCACCAACACUGGGGAUAUCAAGAUUCACCAAGAAAUUCCUCUCUUCCUCUGCAUAGAGAUCCCCGACUGCGAUAGAUCCUGUUCUCGAAUUCGGACCUCUAUCAAACUGGUAACUUCCAGCUUUAACCGAUCCAAUCCUCAACAGAGUAUGAACGCACUCGAUCAUAACGCAUAGCUCUUGAACCACAACGCUGAGGAGACCUCCAAUACACUGCGCGAAUGCAUCUUGUAUAACCAUCUCAGACUCUAUGAAAGAAAAUGUACCUCCGGAGUUUUCUGCAAUGGAAUGCAUCGAUGAAGCAUCAUGGUCCGUACCAAACCCGAAUGCGUGAACUGGGAUCCGGUUUCCGUUGAUCUCUUUAGGAAGAAGGGCUUUGUAAUCCGUCCCUCUGGAACCAGUGGGACUAGUCAUGGUAUAUGUAUCCUGACCAUCAGACAAGAGCACGAUGCUCGAUACCGGGUUCUUGAAUCUACGGUCGAUCAAAACUCUAGCACCUUUCUUCAAUCCCUCUGCAAUGUUAGUCCCUCCGUUUGAGACCAACGAAUUAACUGCUUGCAAUGCCUCUUGUUUGCCAGUCUCAGUCAUGAGACGGAGAGGGAAAUUACGGCGUGCUGUGGAGGAGAAUGAUACAACCGAGAGACGGUCAAACGGGCCAAGAUUCUGAAUCACAAAACCCAUAGCUCGUUUCAGCAACGCCAGUUUUGUUCCCGCCAUGCUUCCGCUCACAUCAAGAACCGUGACUAGAUCCACAGGAGCCCGAGAAGAAGAUGAAUUUGAAGACGACUUUGAAGGAGCUUUUAGAUUGAUCAGUACAGCAAAAUCCUUAAACGAAACCGAUCUCGCUACUUCUGAAAUCUCUGGGUAUGUUUUAACUUCCAAUGUCCCACUAACACCAUGUUUAGAUUUCUCCAAACCAGAUUCAGCAGAAUGGUCUUGAUGUUCCAGAGUCUCAUCAUCAUUAAAAACCGCAGGCUCGGUGUUAAAGAUCGAGGAGACCCUUAGAUUGUCAGGCCGUGAAGAAGACUGAAUCGGGGACGACCUCCGCGGAGGGAUUGUCAUCCAGGCAUCGUCCCUAGGUCGACUUACCGGUUUGACACCAGUUUUGGACUUAGCAUUAGAGCUCUGGAGAGGGAUCUCAUUCCAUUUAGCGCGACAAACAGGACAAAUCUGGUUCCCGUGUUUGACAUUCGUAGUGAUGCACUGGAAAUGAAACGAAUGAGAGCAUUCUGCUGUAAAGAUUGCGUGGCCUUGCCCCGCUUUCAUCGCCGUCAAACAUAUCGCACAAGUUUUCUGCAAAAUCACAAAGCAUAUGGUUUCAGAUUCUGGAUGAAGAUUAGUUUGAAAGGAAAAAAAAUGAAACUUUACGAGUAGAAACUGGAAUCCACGUAAUACAGAGUUAGACAGGUCAUUGUCGUAAUUACAAGAAUCCAAAGAAACCUGACAUAGGUGAGUUUGUGUCAUAGUCUCUGACACAUUUGUUUCUGUUACUACAAGCCUCUAUUAUUGAAUGAUGACAUAAAAAGAAGAGCAAACAUAAAACAAAACAAAAAAAUUAUGGAAUCUUUCCAUUUCCUAUUAACUGGAAGAGAAAGAAAAAGUCUCACUAAUUAGGUUCAGUAGUUUGAUCAUUCAACAAUUUUGGGACAAAAAAGAUGGUUUAUUCGUUAGAAUAUGGAUCUUGGAAUCUUGAUCAAAGUAGUUUGGAAUCUAUCAGGUCAAACAAUCAAAAGAACAGUGGACAAAAGAUUGGGAAAGACAAAGGACACAGCUUUAUAAAGUUAAAGAACUGAUUUAACCAGAUGAGUAAUCAAAAGACUGUCUAGGCAAAUUCAACGCCAGAAAGAUUAAAGUUGGAUUUAAAAAAAUAACAAGCAAAAGUUAAAGAAAGUGUAAGCCUUCAAAAGAAUUAAAACAAAAUGUAUAAUUCAUAUCGCAAAGAUAUUGGUUAGCUUAAAACAAACAAGGAUCUUGGUUAGGUUCUAAAAACUGCAACUAUGGUUGAACUAGGUGUAUACUAAUAUUACGUAAAAUGUUAUACCACCAAACUACCUAGAAUAUAACAGUUAACUAGAUUAAGGAGAAUAUCUAAUUAACAGUGGAUUCAGAAUACUAACGAGGGUAUCUUUCAACAAUAAUUAAAAAGUUGAAUGCAAAAAAAAGCAACGAGAAAAUAAAAAAAGAUUGGUCCCUGAAGUGCACUUGACUAUUGUCAAAAAAUACUUUAUCCCCACAGUGGCUCCAUUUGCGGGAGUUGAUAAUUACAUGACAACAAAUUGUUCAUCUUUCUUCAACAAUACCAAGAAAAAAUUAUAACACUCAAAGACAAAAUAAAAAAGGAGAGAAAGAAACAAAAGGCACACUAUAAACCAGGGAAAGACAGAACAAAUAGAACCCAACCCAAUCUUAAGCCAGCCUAUAAUGUCAAAAUCUUGAUGAAGAUAUAAUGAUUCGAAUAAUGUGAUAAAGUUGGCUUUGGAGGAGAGACGUUUACACAAUCCUAAUCUCACUAAUCAUUUAACAUUUUCAUCCCUAUUCAGCCUUAUUAGAAGACAUUAUUGUUACUUAAACCCAAAAAAGGUCAAAACUUGCAAGUCUCAAAAACAACAAAACCUAUUGAUUAAGUUUAGGUUGAUAGACACAAAACAUAUGAGGGUCAUAGCAGUUUGAAAAAAUAAACACAUCUAAUGAAAAUAGAAAUAAACAACUACUAAUAUCAUUUGAUGUGCGUGAAGAUCCAAACACUUUUUAGAUAAAAGAGAAAUUAGUUGAAGAUUAAACAAGUACUAAUAAAGUAAGGAUUAGAUAACAAAUUAACAGCUAGUAAAAAAGUGAAUUAAAACUAAUUUUUUUAGAGUUCCAAGAAAGAUUAGCCCUUGGAUUUGCUGCUUAACCAAAUCACAAAUUUGAACCACACAAAGAUCCGGCGAUCCAACGGUGACCCAUCAUCUAAAAACCCAAACUUUACCCCAUUUUUUAAUGUAAAAAAAAAAACACAAAAUUUGGCAGGAAAAUAUCAAACAAGGAAUGAAAAAAAUUCAAUUCAACCAUAGAGAUAUAUAAAAAUCGAAACUUUAUGUAAGUUUUGAAGGAUUGUGAAGAAUCCAAAAAAGGUAAAAGAGAAACCUUUGAAGAGGAUUUGCUAAUGGAGCGAGGCAAUCGGAGACCAGAGGACGAAGGAGUCGGCGUAGUGGGUGUCGGGACCAUAACAGGAGAAAGUGAAACGGCGGCGUCGUCUUCUGAUCUUCUAGAAGGAGAAGAAGAAUCAUCAAGCGUUUUGGGAACGUAGAGACAUAAAUUGAGACCUAAAGCCAACUUUGCUUUUCGCCAUUUGCUUCCCAUUUCUUUAUUUGCACCAAAACCACAACCUAUGAUGAAAGUUUUUUUUAAAAAAGGCCUCUGUUUUCGAAUGAAUCUGAAAAGGAUAAGGAUCUCUUUCACUUUGUUAUAUUGUGUAGAUGUUGUUUUUUGGGAGCUAAGAGGAAGAGGAAGAAGAAGAAGAAGAAGAAGAAGAAGAAGAAGAAGAUUGGGUAAAUGAAUGAAUGAGCUGCAAAUUGCAAAGUUUCUCUGCGCAGAGAGAGAGAAGAGAGACGGUGGUGGGGAAGUUUUUGACCUUUUAUUUUUAUUUUUAUGUGAGGAUGAGUGAAGGGUACUUUGGUCAAUGUUAUUAAUCAUGAAAACUUGGGAUUAUACCAAAGUUAAAUUUGACCUUUGAUUUUUAGAGUUUCCUUAUUAAUUUGUUUUGUUUAUUUGGUCAGAUACGACUUUUACUUUCUUCUUCAUUAUUACUUAUUAUUUCCUUUCUUAAAAUUUUAAAAGAUGUUGUUCUUAAGUACAAACAUACCAAUUUGGUUUUUGAUUUGAUUACGCCGCUUUACUUUAUGGUAGUGGUAGAUUCGUAUGAAUUAUACGUUAUCGUUUUGGGUAAUAAAUGAUUUUAUGCAAUUGACAUUUAUUUAUCUUCCGAAUAUGACAUCAUAUUUUGUCAAUUUAUUACAGUAUCUUUAUUGUCAAAAUAAUCUAGUAGAAUUAUAUAAGUAUUGUUUUAAAGGUUUUUUCUUAUAUUAUACAUUUUCUACAGAAUAAUUAUUGUUUUACUUUUUCCUUGUAUUAUAGAAUUUUAGCGUUUGAUUAGUUCUCGUAUACCCCCCAAAAAAAAAAGGCUUAGCGUGAAACUUGUAAGAUUUAAAGGCAUGGCCGUAGAAGUAGGUGGCAAAUUAAUCAAUGCAUGUCUUGUUGCAUACACAAAUCUGCUAAAUUAAUGUAAGUUGUUGACUUUACAAAAAAUUAGAUACCCUUGCCUUAUUUACUUUUUUUAGCAACUACACUAUUUACCUAUUCAAUUCAAUGUGUCAUGUACCCAUGUAAUUUGGGCAAUUGCUAUUUUUAUUAAUAACUGUUUUUUUUUGUGUUUGGUCAAAGAUACUUUUAUUAAAUAUAAUUCAUACGAUCUUGCAUUCUACAAUCUACUACUACACAACCUUCACUUGCUAAACUUUUCCAAAUUAGUUUAAUGUUCUUGAUCAUAUCAUAAACAUGACAAAAUGAAAUGAAAUUUGGAAAUUUUAGGAUACAAGGACAUAUUGUAGUGGAUUCUCUUCGUUCUUCAAGCAAGAACUCUUUCCAUGGAAAUAUUUAAAUAGAGAGAGAGUCAUAGAUUGAUGGUUCACCUACUUUUACCUAAACAAAUAGUAUAACCACUACUCUAGAGAAAAACCAAAUUACAUGCAUGUAUAUAAAACAAAAAUCUAAUCCCUAAGUUUAGUAAACUGUCCAACGGAAUCUUGGAAGUUAUAGUAGAUUCUAGCAUAGCUUUUUUUAUUUAUUUUAAAUUUCAAUGGUAUUUAUAAUUCUGUAAAGUAAGUUUUUUCUGCCAAUGCACCAAACUAUUUCAAAGAAGGGCGGUUGAUACAAAUAUUUAAACUAUGUGCGGCGUGUGUGGAGAAGAAGGUAUGGGUAUAAAUUUAAUGGAAGUGUAGUAGUAGUAGUAGUAGUAGUAACUCUUUUUAUACAUUGACAAGGAUAUGCAUUAAGUUUUGGGUUGAAAAAGAGAAGAAAAAGCGAAAGAGAAAAAAUGAAUUUUGAGGUCUUGCUCUUAGACUUUGAGGAUGGAUAUGUUGGAAAAAUAAAGGAGAGGGGGAGGGGACAAAGAUAAAGCAAAAAAACUUGGUAGCCCAUUUAAUUAGAACCCAUUCAUUAGGUGGAGCAUGUUGAAAUUGUAGUCUAUUACAUACAUUACAGGUUGUCAACCAUCAUAGGAAAAAAAAAAAACUAUAAACAAAAUAUCUCAUGGAGAAAACCAUUUUCCAAAACAAAAUAUCUAAUAAUGUGUGAACAGUCCUUUUCUAUAAUUAAAUAGCCAAAUUCUAUCUAUUAUUUUCCAUAAGUAACGUAAAUUUUUCCGCAUUUUUCAAAAAUAUCAUGGUAUUUAUUUUACAUGAUAACAUGUUAUUUUCUCCAAUAUCAUUUUAUUUAUUAAAAUCAUACGUCAUGGUAUAUUGAUUAAUCAACUGAAAAUUCGAACAUAUACUAAUCUACAUAUACAUAACAAAACUGGAAGUUAGAGUAAAACAUAUAUCUUUCGGCAUUGUAAUACGUACUAUGCGUAUGUGUGUGUGUGUGUAAAGAGUGUAUAAGAAAAGAACUAACAGGCCACAUUGGUGUGAUGAAUCGUCUAAAUUAAAGGAUUGUUGAUGUAAACAGAUUACGUAAAUGGAUAGUUUAGAUACGACGAUGCUUUGUCUUGAAGAAAAUACCAAUGCUCUGCUUUGCUUUGCUUUGCUUUGCUGUAUACAACCAAACGAUGAUUGCGUAAUGUUAAACACACACUCAGACACAGACACAGUUGCAACUCUACCAAAAGUCAAAAUAUCUGCCACUACCCAUAAAAAGCCUCCCUUAAAAAACGGUCUCAUUUAUUUGCAUCCACGGUUUCUUGUGACCUUAUUUAUUUUUCUUCUCUAUAUUGUUGUAAAUUUAGUAAUCAUUCCCUUCUUCUUAUGUCACCUCCAAUUUAAAUUAAUAUUAAUAGAUGCUUUUCAUAUAAUAGGUUAUUGGUCCACCGGAACAAAAUUUGGUUCAAGUCUUCAGAUUGUAAUUAAAACAUUAUUAAUUUUUAGAUUAUAUGUAGACAACGAUUGAGAAAGCGAAAUGUCAAAUGAACAAACGUUAAUUAGUUUUUUGCUUGGUUUAAGCUUUUUUUUUUUGGGUUUUUAAUUGGUUAAAGUUGAAAAGGAUUUGGAUAACAUGUCAAAGCUGAAAGUUUCUUAUUGGUUUGCGCUGAAUCUUCAGUUGAUUUGUCUCUGAUCGCCGCCGUUUUCUUUGAACUUAAACAUAACCCUAUGUAUUUUUGCUUUCUACCUAUAUACAUAAGUCUUCACCUUUUUAUCAACACAACAUAAGAUACGUGCUGUCAUCAAUCUCACUAGCUCCUUUGUUCGUUCAUCAAAAUGAUUCCAUUUUUAUAUAAAGAUUAUAAUUUCACAUGCCUAUUUAUUUAGUAGGAUAUUCAGUGUAAAUGUUUAAAAAAAAAAAAAACUGAUUGUGUAUAAACAUGGUUUUUAUACAAAUGGUUUAGUUUGAAGUCAAAGAUAAAACAUUUGGUCAACAAAGCAACCUAUUAAUAUUACUUUGGAUAACGCCACAUCCCACAUGAAGCUCAUUGUCAAGGAUAGAGAGUUGUUCAUCUUUUUUUUUUCUUUAAUUUAAAGUAUUACAAAAAUAAAAUCUUCAAAUUCACUCACGAGAACGAAUAACAAGAGAACAACAUAUAUUAGCCGUUUAAUUUAUAAUAUCAAUUAUAUCUUAUAUCUAUUUUAUCCCAUAUUGACAAGUACUACACCAUAAUAGUUCAUAAAUCCAAAUCUAGAUAUAUAAUCAGGAGAAAUGUAAAGAGAUGGUUUUGUAACUUAAAAAAAAAAAGAAGUUUUUAUCAUUACGUAGAAAGAAAAAAUGUCUAGUAUGUCAAGUACAUUUAAAUAUGCAAAAUUAAUGUAGUACAUUUGGAUGUCAGAUGUAUGAUGCUUAUGAUUAAACAUAUAUAUACAUGAUCAGUAUAACAUUCACAUACAAAACAAUAUACAAGGCUCUGAUACAUUUAUUUGAAAACACACACAAACAUUUUCACAAAUUAUAAACGAAUAAAAAAUUAUAGUGUAGCUAGUAGUAGUAGUAGUAGUAGUAGUGUAUACUCUAAAUGGCUAAAAGAUACUGAAACUCGAAGUCAUAAGGGGUCUUCUCCACGACCGGAGAGGACGAAGAAGCUUUGGUGUUACUCUUAAAACAUUCCACCAUUAACUUCCUCAGUGAUCCAGACGUUGGUAAUUGGUUGCAAACCCAUUUCGCCAGAGAUCCUAACUGCUCCACCUCUCCACCGCCAUUCGCCGUCGGAACCACGAAGUCCGCCGCGUGUUUCACUAGAAGUUCCGGCAAGCUUAUCCGUUUGGUCGCCGUAACCACCACCGAGGCUUGCAGAUACUCCAGCUUCGAUUUCUCUAGCUCCGUUGUCACUCCUUCGCCAGUGUAUAUCCUCACCUUCAGUUUUUAGUGUUUUUUAGAGAUAGUACUAGUAAACCAUUCGUGAUAGUAAUUAUAUACAUAUCCCUAGUUUUAUACCAUAUAAUUUUUGGACUAAUCAUCUAUAAGAAGAUGAUAAUAAUCUUACUAAUCUCUUACCAUUAUUAAUAAUAAGCCAAGCUCUCUAAAUUGUAUGGAAUGUUGUAUAUGAACGAUACUACUUAUAAGUAACUGUUCAAUGGAUCGAACUUUGAAGUAUACAUAUUCAACAAUUGAUUGAUUUAUAGAUUGAGUGCCGAAUUAAAAGUGGAUUAAUAUGUAACUUUUUUUUUGUUUGAAGUAGGCAUGAAAAUUAAUAAUAUUAAUAUGUAACUUACUGCAGGAGAUGAUCGAGUUCCACAAGAGAGAGCAAAUGUGAUGUUAGGAUCCGUUGCUUCUACGCCAUAUAGUUUACGGAUAAUCAUUUCUUCGUGUCGAUCCUACGGUUACAUUUGCAUUAUUGACUAUACGAAGUUGAUCUUAGAAAUAUCAAUAUGAAGAGGAAUUUUUUUAAAUAAUGAUAGAUAUUUAUAUAUACCUGAGUCAUGGUAGAAGUUGUAGACUUCCUAAGGAUACAAUGCUCAAUGCUAUACGCACUUAUGUUUUUGCCUCCAACAUUCAUUGUAGCCUAUAAUUUAUACUUUCAUUAUAUCAAAUUUUUACUAAAUUUAUUAUAGUGUCUUGAUUGAAAAGGAGAAUAAUAAAAAAUAUACCUUAUUGUAAACAAGAGAUUGCAAUUUCUCAGCUGUUUUUGGAACUCCAUGUUGUAGAUAUCCCUGGUCAUAUACGGAAGUGAUGAACAUGAUCAGUUGUGUAUAAAUUUUUUUUGUAAUUAAUCAAUGAAGAAGUAGAGUUUAUAUUUACAUGCAUAAUACAAGCAUUAAACAUGUUGAUCCAAAAUGCUAGCUUUUGUUGAUGGCUCAACACUCUUAGAUCCACUGUCUCAAGAUUGUUCAUCAGUACCCUGCAUUUUAGCCACAUUGAUUAAUAUAUAUCUACUUCACCCGUUUGUCAGAUCUAUAUAUUUUGUUUUCUUUCAGAUUUCAUGUAUUGGAAACCUUACCUGAGUUUUUGGAUUAAAGAAACGGAGCUAGAGCUUGAAAUGCACUUGGAAUCCAUAGAGCUUGAAGUGAAGAUAACAAGAUUUUUGUAAGGACCAAUGUCUCUAGCCAGAGAUGUUUCUACAUCAAAUAUUCCAUAAGGAUCUUGUUGUCUUGAUUCCUUGUAAGACACAAGAUUCAUGGAUUUAGACAAGCUUGAGGUUGCAUUGUCGACCCUAAAGCUUCUUGAGCUCGAGAAAUUAGUUGAUCUCGAGAUUGGUCCCGUUUUCUCUAGCUCCAUGACUCUCGUGGUUCUGAGCAGGCGAACGUAGAUGAAAUUGAGACACUUCAUGAUGUUCUCGGCGAGCUUAUUUGGGUGCCACUUCUGUAUGUUUUGGCCGUCUUCCAUCAAGAUUGUGCUCGAUAGAGAUUUUGGUGGCAUGUCUAAUGAUGUAUCAAGUGCUACACGAUCCUUAUUAGGCUGAAAUAUACCAUUAGCAUUAUUCAAGAUUGAAUCGAGCGAAGCAAACAUAUGUUUGAUUAAUAUAACCAUAGAUAUGAAAAUGAUCAGACCUUAUUAGGAGAGGCAUAUCUAGGUUCACGUAGAGGUGAAGGCGACUUCAUCGUCCUAACCUUCUUCAUAUUUCUACUCUCUUGCAGCUUAUUUUCAUGUUGGUGGACUGACCGGUGAUUUUCCUUCUCAACGAUUCCAACUUUCUCGUUAGACUUGUGAAAGCUGUCGUAAUCCCCUUUUAUAGCCUUGUUGAUGAAAUGCAGCGUCUUUGUACCAAAUGUCGCAUUCUCUUGAUGAUGACUAGUUGUAACUUUAGUGUUGUUGUUGUUGUUGUUUUCACUCUUCAUCAUGGCUUUGUUCACCAUAGGGCUCGGAGGUGGGAGCUUAGGGUAUAGUUUUGGUAAUAUUGGAGCUUGAUAAGGGCUUAUGCUGUCGUCAUCGUAACUCUCACUAGUUUGCCAUGCUCGUCUUGAUGAACUUGUUGUAGCUUGUUUCAAAGUUUCGUCUUGUUCUUGCUUGAGAUUGAUCUGAAGAUGGCUUAUUUGAACUUCUAGUCUUGAGAUUUCUCCUUCUACUAUCGAUAGUUCCGUUAUUAGUUCCUUCAUCUGCAUUAGAUUAAGGUUAAUUAACUUAUUUAAUUUUUUUUGGUACAACUUAAUAAAAUGGCUUACUUAAUUUCGCUAAAACUUUAUUUGUUUAGUUGUUUAUGAUUAAUUAUGCCUAAUUUUCCGGCAAGGGGAUCUAACAAUUUUGUUUGAUAAAUACAAAAUAUAGCAUACCAGUUAAGAAUUCUAAAUUUUUGGUGACAUGAGACUUGGUUUAAAAGCAACGUUACCAGAAAUAUGUGUAUGAUGUUUAUUAUAUAUCAUAACAUAUUUAUAAAGUGUUCACACCAAAAAAAAACAUAUUUAUAAAGUGUUUGCUGCUUUUUCACUCUAACUAAACUUGGAAAUUACACACCACACGUAUGCAUGUAUGUGUUAAUUACUAAUUAUAACAUGUAGGUACCUUAGGAGGGAGAGAAGAAGGAAGAGUAAUGGAAGAGGAAGAAGAAGGAAGUUGAUGUUUUUGGACUUGUUCCAAUAUCUCACGUGUCUUUUCUUCUUGAUCCAGCAUCUCUCGUAACAUCCACACCUAACCAUUAUUAUUAAAUCAAUACACUUUUCACUUCAAGUUUUAUAAACAAAAAAAGCUACAAAUAUUGUAGAAACACCAUAUUAUAUAUGUCAUUUUGUCUCUUGUUGAUUAUGAUAAAUAAUACCAUAGUAUGUCAUUAUAUUUUGCCUGCGUGUUAAUGAUAAGGGUGCAUGUUAAUUUAUGUAACGCAAUCCCAAAGAUAAAACUGAACCGCAAACUUGAUUUGUACAGCUCUAAACACCUUGAUCCACGUAUAUUUAUAACAACAUCCCUUGAUGUUUGCAUAGACAUAUGUACAUACGAUAUAGAUAUAGGUAAAGCUAAUUUUUAGUGGAUUCCCAUACCUCUUUCUCUAUUUCUUCCUUUUUUUGCUGCCCAUUUAGCUUUUUCGUCCUCUAUACACAUCAAAAGGUUUAAAGGAAAAAAAAAACUCAAUUAGCGAAACCAUAUACUUCUUUUUCACAAAUUAAAUGAGAGAAAAGGUCAAAACACAGCAAAUCCAUACAACAAUGUAAUUAAGCAGAACCAACUGAUCAGGUUAACGUGAAAGAAUGCUACGAUCAAUCCAUUUUCAUAAGACAACCACACGUACGUACUGAUUUUGUAAAUGAAAAUGCUUUACGACGGUUUAUAUCUUAUUUUAUCCGAGGUGUCACCUUAUAAUUAACUCAAAUACUUUGUCAUAAACACUCGAUUUAAGAUUCAUAAAUUAAAGUUGUAUGCCAACAAUUUAUUAAUUUAAUUAACAUAUGAAUGCAUGAAUCAUGAUGAGAACGAAGCAUAUAUGGAAUUCAAAAAGAAAGUUAAACUCACAACACUAUGAGGGACAUUGAAGCUGGGAGAGCUAGAGCCGCCAGGGAGAGUUGUGGUGGGCAUGGCUAAGAUGGAACGGUGAUCUUCGGGACUGGACCAGCGAGACGAAGAUGGAGCAGUGAGACAGAACCGGAGAGAGUGGUUGAAGUCAGGAGGAAGGUAAUGGUAAUGAAGGAGGUUAAUAGAAGAAGAAGAAGAAGAAGAAUGAGACAUUUGAGAAAUAUUAUUGGCUUAGACUUGAAGAUGAAGAAGAGAGCGAUGGCGAUCGUGAGAGAGGGUUUGGUGAAGGAAGACGAGAAGCAGUUUUCAAAGCUGAUGCUCUUAACCGUCAUUGAGAUAGAGAGUGGUGAGUAAUAUUGGACAUCUCUUUAUUUUAUGUACAUAACACAAUUUUCAUUAUUACAUAUUUUGGUUUAUAAUUAUUGUUAUGGACCUUUGUUGGAACGUAAAGAUUAGGUUGUUGGUGGUGGUGGAUUAUGGUUUUUAACCAUUAAAGUACAAUUUGGAUUAUGAGUUUAAUUAGCUCACACUAAUCAUCAUGGAUUCAUGAACAAAGUUGGAUUAUGAUUUUAUAAUACUUUCUGUUAUUUUUAUUUAUUUUGAAGGAAGAUUAUAUUCAUACUCUUUUUUUUUUUUCAAAUAUUCAUAAUUUCAAAUAUUUUUGUAUUUAAUUUUUGAUUUUUAAAAUUUUGAUUUACAAAAUUUAUCACUCGAAUUUUGACAUAUACUUUAUACUUAAAAGAAAAAAGAAAAAGCCUAUGAUAUUUUAUAUGUCGAUUUGUCAAAAAGAUAUUUAAUUUCCUAAAACCCUCUCGCUAACCCCUCCACCGUCGCCGGCACCAUCUGAAACAGUGUGAUUGGUAUUUCGUUCCACUCUCCGGCAAAAGUUCUUCCCUUUUUCUCUUCUGAAUUCUUCAAUGGCGGCUUCACUUGUUCUCAACCGAGUAUCUCGAGCUACCAGCUCAAUCACUCUCCGUCGGGUCGCAGGUUUCAGUUCCCUUAAUGCUCAAAUUCACGGUGGAAGUAUCUCCGGAACACUACUUCGAGGUGAUCCUUUUUCCUCUCUUUUGUUGCUUUCUAUUGAAUAAAAAAUCGAACUUUGUGAGUUUUCCAUCACCGUCUCUUCCACCCUUUUUGUUUAGCUAAGUUUUCUUUAUGCGCAGAGUUGACUAUGCGUUUUUGGAUCCGAUUUUAGUUUGAGUUUUGGAAUUGAUUGUUUCUUGUUAGACUUGCUGUUGUAUUGCAAGAACUAUUGUUGAUUGGAAACGUUAUUAACUGCAAAAUAUCUUAUCUUUGUGUCCUCUCGGAGUGAUGAUGACAUGACUUUUUAGUUUUUACUCUCUCUGUGGAGUUGUAAGAUGAGAACUUUCUUUUAGUGAUUGGUGAAAAGAUGACUUGUGGUUUAUUAUGAGAAGCAUGUAGUUGAAUCUGUAAAUUAAUUGCUGUUUGGAUGACAUUGUGAAGAGUGUUCACCUUGCUCUGUAGCUUGCCGAAACAGUUUUAUCCAUGGAAGCAAUGGAUUCUGUUACAACAGCACCUAUACAGUUCUGUCAUUUGAUUUUUUUUGGUUUCUCUCUUGUUUUUGUAGAGAGAUCAUUAGCUACUCUUGCUGGAGGAGCUUCCCAUUUUGAUGAGAUGGUAUCUGUGAAUCAACGAAAGUAUUAUCUUCUGGGUGGUAAAGGAGGUGUUGGGAAAACGAGCUGUGCUGCUUCUCUUGCGGUUAAGUUUGCUAGCCACGGUCAUCCAACCAUUGUGGUUUCAACUGACCCUGCUCACUCCUUGAGUGAUUCUUUUUCCCAGGUAUCAGCUUCUGACUAGUCUCUCAAUUUUUAUGCUUUGAAAGUCUGUUUCCAGCCAUCAGUAAAUCUCGUGUUGGCAUCUAGGAUUUGUCAGGAGGAGUUCUAAAAGCCGUUCAAGGUGUUGAUUCUCCACUUCUAGCUCUUGAGGUGAUUAAGAAACUACGCGUCUCUGCACAUUCCUGGAUAUCUGGCAGGUUGCUGAGUUUGAUUCUCAUGUUGUGAUGUGUGACAGAUAACACCUGAGACAAUGAAGGAAGAGAUUAAAAGUCAGACAGGCGGUAAAAGCGUUAAAAAUAUGAUGGAUAGCAUGGGGCUUGGAAUGUUUGCUGGCGAGGUUCAUUUUCCUAAUCUAUAUUGUUUAUUUUCGAAGCCUCCAUUAUGAUUGAAAAACUUCAUCAAUGUCUCAGUUGUGUUGUUCAUUUUUGGUAGUUAGGGGACUUAAAUCUUGAAGAUAUGCUCAAUGCUGCCUCCCCUGGUAUUGACGAAAUAGCAGCUAUUUCCAAGGCACGUAUGGUUUCCCCCCAGAAUUCCCCUGGAAUGAGAAAUUUUUAAUAUAAAUUGCUUAUUGAGAUUUCAUUGCAGGUCCUUCAAUUUAUGGAGUCACCAGAAUACAAUAGGUUCACUCGUAUAGUUUUUGAUACUGCUCCUACGGUUAGUACUUUGCUUUCUGUCUUUGUUAGAGUCCUAGAGUAUGCUUUAUUUGUUAACUCUGGUUAAUUCCAAAAAAAUUCUUGCAGGGACAUACUCUGCGGCUUCUUUCCCUACCAGACUUCUAUGAUUCAUCCAUUAGCAAAAUAACAAAGGUUUGAGGAUGAAAUCUAGCUUCAGUUGUUGUUUGCUUACACAGUUUAUAUGCUUUGCGUACUUUUAUCUAAAUGGAUUAUUUUAUUAUUUAGCUCAAGAAGAAGAUCACUGCAGCAGCUUCAGCCUUUAAGUCGGUCUUUGGCAAAAAAGAGAUACAACAACAAGAACCUGUAAGUAGAGGUUUUUUCAUGUGAACAGUUAGGCCAUUACUUCCCCUUCACCUUCUCUCAAAUUCUAAACAUCAUUGACUCUAAUCAUUGUUUUAACAGCCUAACGAGUUAGACCAACUGAAAGAGAGAAUGGAGAAAGUUCGAAAUGUUUUCCGUGAUGUUAACACUACCGAGUUUGUCAUUGUGACCAUCCCAACGGUAACACCAUUCUUUUACUUGUUCAUAAAGAUAAAAGAUUUUUAUAUUAAGAGUUAGCUUGUAGAUGCUCUUGUAAAUUUGUUCUUCUACAGCCUAAGUAUGAUUUGAAUAGAAUUUGGGUCACCUUCUUGAGAUCAGGAGAUUUAUUUGGUUACAAAUUCAUGACUGGGUUAUUAUAUUUUGUUUUAGGUGAUGGCAAUAAACGAGUCUUCAAGGUUACAUGCAUCUUUAAAAAAAGAAAAUGUGCCAGUUCACAGGCUUAUUGUUAAUCAGCUUCUACCUCAAUCUGAAUCCGACUGCAAAUUUUGCUCGAUGAGACGAAAGGUAACUAGACUUAACAUUAUGCAAGCAAGCUUAAUAAUUCUGAUAGGUAUAGCCAUUGCUUGUACCUACAAUGUGAUAUCGUUCUUGAUAUUUCAGGAACAAACGCGUGUCCUUGGACUUAUUCAGAACGAUACAGAACUUUGUGGGUUAAAAUUGAUACAAUCCCCAUUGCUAGACGCAGAGAUAAGAGGUGUCCCUGCACUUAAGUUCAUGGGUGAUCACAUUUGGAGAUAAGAAAAUUAGUGUUCAUCUUUCAUUUCCAGUGAGUAACAAUAAGUUAAAUUCUUCUGCUGCCUUAAGAUAUGAAAUUCUAGCUGAUGAGAGGAAAACAAAUUAACAUGUAUUAACCUUACGCCAGGAAAUUAAUGGAAGUUCUAUGAGGUUUUCUCAUUGUUUUUCUAUAUACUUCUACAUGUUUACUUGGUGAUAAAAUGGAAUCGAUAGGAAACAGGUGAUAAUCUAUGUUAUAACUAAAGCAAUUGAAAGAUGUACAACAUGAAGAAUUACAGGUAGAAAUCUUAAACUCUGAUGAUGGAACUACCUAUGAACAGCGUGCUGGGCUAUUAUCUUCUGCAAAUGAUUUGUUCUUUCUAGUAAAACCUGUGUGCGUGUAGUUGUAGCAUAUAGGGAAGAAAUUGGUAGUUUCAGUUUCCCAAGAUUUGCAGGUACAGAAGGAUGAGGUUUUGGAAACUUAAAGCUACUUCUUUUGGAAAGUUACCAUACAAAAGAAAGCUGCACAGCGACUCAAGAUACCGGUUAAUGUCAGGAAGAUGAGGCAACGAGGAAAGUGCUUGAUGUUGUAUCCAUUCUCCAUCAGUGAUCCACACCGAGUGAUAAGCCAGACUCCUUUAUAUCUGAAAUAUAUACGGAAGAGUAAACAAGUUGAUCUAAAGACUGCAGAGAUAAUUGCAAUGGAGCUUUAUAACAGGGAGAGAUCAGGUUUGCAACCUUUGAGCAUUUGAUACCACAAAUGCUUCUAGAGCCCAUCGCGUGUAGCACAACUCUGAGAUUGAAUCUACGAUUUUGUUGUCGUUUGUACUGGUGGCAAUUAAAGUCAGAACUACUGGAAGUAACACUGACCACUGCACAACGAAAAAGAAAAAGACGUGAUUUGUGUGUUAAAAGUUUCUAUUUGAGUCUUUGGUUCUGUCAUCAGUAUUAUGCUCAAUGAUCGAUUAGAUACUUACUAGUUGAGCUGGACCAGGUUCGAAAAGUAUGGCCAGGGCAUAAGCUAUGCCAGUCACACAGUAUACAAGACAGAUUAGGACAACAUAAUUGUCUGUAACUGUAGAUCUUGGAUUGUUGAAGAAGUAGAACAUGGAUAAAUAAACAAGCGGUUUAACUAUGGUGUUGAAGUGAUCAACUGUGUCUUUUGCAAGGAAGUAAGCCAGGCUGCUCAUUCCGGCUCGGCUUUCUCUCCAAUAAUGUAGUUUAUCCAGAGAGAAAGAUCUUAAUGCAGUAAUCUUACACAGUAGAGCUGAAAAACAAGAAAUUUUGUGAAAAUUGAAGAAAUAGGCAAACUUGUUGUCAGAGAAGCUUGAAAAGUUUCUACUUACAAACAGCAAUGACUGUAUAUGUAUAUCCCAUAGCACCAAACGUUUCGUCGCUCACUUUAGCAAGUGUUCCUAGGCAGAUACCAGCAAGUAAAAGUAUUAGGUAAUCUACAGCUAGUGUCCUUGCUUCUCGCAGUCUUUGUUUACCUAACCUGCAAAGAAAACACAUUGAGUUUAAGAAAGGAUUCUCUGUGAACUGAUUGAUAUGGCUAGUAUUUGAGGGGAUAUACCUUCCUAAGAAGUAUCUGUAUUGCUGAUACACACCGGGAACUUCUCUUUCGGAUAAAUCACCUGAACUGCUGAAGUUAUUCUGCAAGUGAUCUUUCUUGAUUUCAACAUUUGCCUUGACAUCUUGCCAGAACUCUCCAGCAAAAGAUGUUCCGUCAUCUCCUACGACGCUCCCGUGAGCGCUUCCUCCAUGGGCAGAGUUUUCAGCGGAAGCUGAAGCCAUACCUUCAAUGCUUUUAAGCAUGUCCAUAGGAACUGGAUACCCAUUAUGCAGCAUCCACCUAACUGGAAGCUGUUUAUAGGUAACCCCUGAGCUUGUGCUUGGCUUUAGUAUGCCUUCUAAUAUAUCAAUGUAGUAAUCAGGAGGAUUCACACGCUCAGGGACAACAAUCCCGAGGCUCGAGAAGUAUUCUUCAACUUUUUUCACUGAUCCUUGGUAACAUAUCAGUCCACCUUUUGCCAGAAGUAUGAGAUCAUCAAACAUCCGAAACAGAGUAUAGCUGCAGAGAGACAAUAGCAAAUGAGAAUAAGAUCUAAUAAUCUGUUUAGUAUUAGCUAAUGGGAGAGUGUUUAUGUUGAACCUGGGUUGGUGGACAACCAUACAGAUGUUUACUCCUUCAAGAGCUUCACGGCGUAAAGCUCUUAGAAGUAACUGUGAAGAUGAACUGUCAAGGCCUGAAGUUGGUUCGUCUAAUAUUAAAAGUGAUGGUUCCAUCACCAUUUCAAGACCCACAUUGACUCUUUUCCUCUGACCUCCAGAGAUUCCUCUCUUUUCCACAGUCCCAACAAGAGAGUCUCGAACAUGUUGCAGACCAAGUGACUCAAUGACUCUUUCUACAACUAAAACCUUAUCCGGCUUUGGAAGAUCCGCAGGCAGCCUGUAUGUAGUAAUAAAUGGUUUAGGCAUAAAGUUGAAUAACAUGUUGAAAAUUUGAAUUUCAUUAAGCAAAAUGUGGCAUACCUGCAUCUUGCACUGAACCAGAGAUUCUCCUCCACUGUCAAGUUUCCGUGGACUAUGUCAUCCUGAGGGACAAAACCUAUGAUUUUCUUGUAGGAUUGAAUUGAUUCAACCUUUCCAUUGACGAGAAUCAUUCCACUCAUGGUACAACCUGGUGCUUUGCCUGUCAAAGCUGUUAGGAAAGUGGUUUUACCGGCACCAGAAGGACCCAUCACAGCAGAAACACGUCCAGGUGAUAGUUUUCCAGUCACACAUCUCAGAAGAUGUUUGUUUUUUCCUUUUAGAGUGAUCGAAAGGUCUUUAAAAGCAACUUCAAUCGUUGGUCUCUUUCGUAUGUCGAUAUCAUUAGCCAUGGAGAUGACUCCAGAGAAAGUCAAGUUCUUGUUCUGCUCCUGCAUUGCUUUUUCCUUUUCUAUCUGGCCAUAAGCGUAUCUGAACAUUUGGCUCUGCGUAUGCAAGGCCUUGCCUUUUGGAGCAUGUUUUUUAAUGUUUUUAUCACCAAUCUCAAGAUUAAACCCUUCAGGAUCUUCAGGGUUUUGUUCAAUGUCAUGUAACAUCUCUGUUAGUUUGUUCUUUUCCUUUUUCUUUCCCUUUUUUGUGUCUGCGCUACUCCCUGGCAUUGGUGGUAAGGCAGCAUCUGAUCCAGGUUUAGCUUGGCUUAAGCCUCUCAUCAAAUCUGGCUGUUUCAUGGAUUUCCUCCUUGAAAAUGUUCGGGAAAACGAUUGCUGCAGCUCGGUCGCAUGCUUCUUUGCAAUAUCUUUGGCAGAUUUCCAUUUCUCCCGUGACUGCGAAUCCCGCACACUUUGUACUGCUUUUUCCCUGGAUUUUGCCUGCCUUCUUUCUCUCGUCGCAAGCACUUGAUCAGAACAGUUGUAUAAGAUUAUGAGCAAGAAACCUAACCCAGCCUGCAUAGAAACCAGCCAAAGACUCAAAUAAUUGGAAAAAUUAACCAACAGAUACGUGAAGCAAAUAGUUCAAGGAGAGAUCAAUCAUGACUCACAAAAAGCAUGAUUCCGUAUGCUGUGAUAUUCUGAUUUGUUGAUCUUGGAUUGCAAGUUGCCAGCUUAAAACAAUCUGUAAAUUCAUCAGAGAAAAGAGACCGUGAGUUUUCUUUUCUUCUCUUUCUCUAUCUCUGAUAGUUUGGAGGUUAGUUCUCGAUAGUUGUUUGGACAAAAGAGAUCACUCACUUAGCUCUGCAGUAGAACCUGUCCUACAGUAAUGUCUGGAGCAACAAAAGAAAAACAAAGACUAGUUUAGCUGAUUGGAGAAAGAUGAAUCUUCAAAUAAGUUGUUAUAAUCACUCGUAGUUUGUUACCCUUUACUACAAGGAAGCUUGUCGAUAGUGGAAGGACAAAACGAUCCAGCUGAACAGAAAACCUCACUGCUACUAACAAUAUCAGCCCAAAUAUCAGCUCCACCACAAGUAUGAUUUGGCUGUCCAGAAGGAAGCUGGUAAUGAUAUCUGCAAGAAAAUAAAUCCUGCAGCUAAUCUUACCAUAUGUUCAAGACAAACUUAGAAAACUGAGCAAAAACAAGACUUACGGGUCGCAUAAUCCUGUUGUUCUGUUCAGCUUAGCCUCUGGACAAUAAGCUCCCAAAGGACAAGCUUCAUAUAUAUAUCAUUGGGAGGCGACAACAUUAGAAAUGGAUUACAAACAAAAAAAACUGAUUCUUAAAAUCAGUUUUGAAUUGUAUAUGAACUUACGGAUCAUGCAGGUGAUGCCACGAGGGCAGAAGAAACCAGCGCAGCAAGGCGCACAUUGCUGAGUUCUUUCAGGAACAUUCUUAUCGUCUUUGAGGUCAACUUUGACAUCUUUAGCAGUACGACAAGCCCAUCCAGGUUCACAUCCAGACAUCCAUGAAGAUAGAUUGCAGUUCUUGUUCGGUUUCAAGUAAUUCGUAGCUCUCUUUGCACCUCCUAAUAAUCCGUUGAAGUAUAUCCUCACUUCUGCAGCCGUACAUAUCCUCUGCAGCAUGUCACCUAUUCUCAAUCCAAAAGCAUCAACAAAAGCGUACAAAUGUUACUUUAAAUUCUUCUGAUAUGUAUGAAUGAAACAGAGGAUGUAUAAACAUAUAUACCUUUUGUGGUUUUACCACAGGCAUUUAAGAAAUCUGGCUUUUUAGAGAAAUUAAAGGCUUCGUUGUAAUCUUCUUUUCUACAACACAAAAAACACAAAAACAAAAAAAAAAGACAUUAUAACAUUAGAAACUAACACAUUGGUAAAUGACAAUGAGACAUUUUAAGAAACCAACACAUUGGUAAUGCAGAAACCGAGUUCUCGUUUAAUGUCAUCCUCAAAAACUUCGGUGAGAUUCGAUAUUUUGUCAAAGACGAAUUGGUUAUAUAGACGAUUAGCAGCGGGAUUAUCCAAGCUUCUAUCUUCUUGACAGAUUACAUUUUGAUGUAAGAUUAAGGAAAGAAAAACGAAGAAGGAAACAUAUGAUGUUUCUUGAAAACAUGAAUCUCUCCUUCUCAUCCCUGAAAUAUUCCGAGAGAACGGGAAAAAUAAUACAAUGUUGCAGAGAUUUAUUCUAGAGACCGGGAUGGAUCAAGGAGACAUUAGAUAGUUGAUUUUUUUCUUGAGAAAGAGAGAAUUAGGGUUUGUUUUUUUUUGUUUUUUGUUUUUUUGGGAGAGAGAUUGUAGUGUUUCUUGGGAGUCAAGAAAUGGAUGAGAGGAAGACAUGGCGAUAUUUGAGGAAGUAAGAGACAGAGACCAGAUUUUUAUUUCACCGUUUGACUUUCUCUAGCUAACUCGUGUCAUGCAUGGUAAUAGAUUUUUCACCUUGGAAUAUAUACUAAGGAAUUAAUUUAAAGCUAAGGGUAUCUAUUUUGAUGAAGGUUUUAUUAUGAUCUCUAUAUUGUAGUUAAAAAAAAUUAUAAUAAAUAUAAAGUAACAUAUUUGAAAUUUAAAUUAAAAUAAAAGACAUAUUUUAAAUCCGAGUUCGAGUUGGAAUAGGAUGUUGAACGUGGUACACUAUAUAUAUAUACAAGUAUCGACUAAACAAUAUGUGUAAUUACAGAGGUUGUACCAUAUUCAUCAUCAUGGACAAGAGCGAAACGAUGGCUGAACCUGGAUGUAAAUUGUGAGUGGAUCGUUGAUUAUUAUUUUAUAUUUCUUUGUGUAGUAGGCUAGCUAUAUAAUUUGAUUUCCAAACUAAGUAAUGCAUGGGUUGAUUGCAUAUGUUAUCUUAUAUUAUUUAAUUUGGUGGUGGUAUAUAUGUCACGCAUGCAGGUCCACGAAGCAAAUCCGUUACGUCUUAACCAUGCACAUACUCAUCUUGUCGGCCGCUCUUGCAGAGUUCUUGUACAUAAGGCUAAACAAGAUCCCCGUGACCUACUCCCAAAAAUGUUUGGGAUUUUUUUUGGCAUUCUUGUACAUCAAUGCCACUUUUGUCGGGCUCCAGGCACCCACAAAUCCCGGGAAACCCGAAGGUUACGGUGUCUUCGUAGUUGAAUGCGUGAGUCAUGUCUUAGGGAUUGCUCUCGUCGUCUUUCUCCUCAAUUGUAUCUCUCCCAUACUCUCUCUCUACGUCGGGUUACCCUCUUCCAUUGUGUUCAUGGCCCUUUGCUGUGGCUGUGUAUGUUUCUGUGCCGAAGACUCUGAUGACGACUUGCAAGGAAACCAAAGUUCUCUACCAGUGUAGCCCUGUACAAUUUUCUUGUUUUCUUAUAUCAUACAAUUUUAUUUUGUUUUGUUUUGGGUUUUAAACUUAUAGUACUAGGCUACUAGCUAGUGUUUUUUGGUCAAACCGAGAAAAUUGCGUUCUUGAAGACAAAAAUUCAUAAUUGAUUUUAUGCCGGUUUAAACAUCGGUUUUGUUCGGUAGUCCGGUUUAGAUGGAUUGUUAAUGAUUGUCGUUGAAAAUUCAACAACUUUUUUGGUGAG